AAGUAGCUCUCCCUGUUUAUUCUUGUUCUGUUGAAGCAAUCUCCUGAUAUUAUGUUGGCCAACAGUACCUUGCAAUCAAACAAAAGAAAUUUAUGUGAUCCUCAUGUGUUAUUCGUUUAUUAAGUGCUGUGUGUUCAUUUCUCAUUUGCUGUGUGUCUCAUUUGUGUCUGAUCUUGACAGUAUUCAUUUUCUGCGAAGCCAAACUAACGGCUAUUUUUUCAAAUUGAACAGCUUCUGAGGAUCGAGGAGGAGCUGGGCGAUGCCGCGGUGUACGCUGGCCUCAAGUUCCGUGCACCGGUGGAGCCCUACUAGAUGGGAUCUGCACGAGUUUUUGUGAAAAUGGGUGUGUUUAACCUCCGGAAUGAACUCUGGUUGAAGCUCUUAGGAUUGAGCAAUAAUGAAUGCCGCGCAUGUUUUAUGUGAACGGAACGGAUAUGUACCCCCAAACUUGCUCCAAUUUUGGUCCUUGUGGAUAUGUACCUGAUUCGGCCCUGAACCUUUUGGAUGUGUAAUACUAGUUUUUGGCGCAUCAUCUUUGCCGUUAUUGUGUUAGUUUACUUGUUGCAGAAAGCAUGCUUCUGAGAAACUUGCUUUCAUCUUUGUUUGCUAUUCUCAAAACACUGGUUUUCCAUUGCCAUCUGUUUUUCUUUUAAAGAAACUUGCUUCUGUUGUCAUUGAUGGGGCGUCCUGGUUGAUUGGAGAUGAGUACUUGAAGCACGUCAUGAUUUCGGAGGUUUGCCUCUGACAGCAACGGAUUUCAACUAGAAAAACUGGGCGAAAAACAGAUUGAAAACCGGCUGAAAACCAUCAUAUCUGAACAAAUUACUCCAUAGGUGAUUGUCGAGAUAACCCACAUUGUAGCGGACGCGUGAAGGUGAAUGAAAAUCUGCACAAAAACUUAGCCACUUGCAACCACCUUCAAUCUUGCCACAAAAGCCUGGACACCACCACCGCUAACCAUCGGUCCUGCUUGUCGUGAGCUCCAAGAUGAAGCCCCUGAGAGGGAAAAUGACACACCCGAGUGCCACAAUCGUCCGAUCACAAGAUCAAGGGUUUCCCUUGAAGAGGGAGGCCAUGAUGGUCGGGUCCCUGCAGGAGGUGUGCGAUAGCAUAACACCGAUGCCUAAAGGAAGGUUAAGGACGACCACAACCGCAACCAUUGUUGGUCAUGGCACAAAGGUCGAGAUGGGGUCUUCACCCAAGCUCCCUUACCACCUCGGUCGCACAUCAUCCCGCACUGGCGCCGGCAAGACCGCCAACCACCGUCUCUCACAAACCAUCAUCCCACACUGGCGCCGGCAAUGUCUCUUCUCUCUACUCGAAUCAUUAUCACAUGGGCCGCUCGUAAAGAUGGAAGUUACUCUCUGGGCCAUUUGAUCGUCACGUUGAAAGGCCAUUCACGAAAGCAUCUUUCAAAGCCGGGCUGCAUUGCAUUCUUUUGUCACAAGAUUCAUUGAUGUCCAAAUUAUUCAUGAGAAGAAGCCGUUAGCUGCUGUGGUGGGCAUUGCUACUGCAAAUAUGGGUGCUCAUCGCCCCAAGGGGCCCCCUCCGUACUUUGCAAAAAUCCACCUUGACGCGACUAUUCAGCCAUGUAUGGGAGAAUCGGCGGUGGCUGUUUGCCGGGACAACAACGACAACUAUCUACGCAGCUCGGCACUAGUUAUUGGAGGUGUUCAUGGCCCAACGGCUGGCUUGCCGUGAAGCUCUAUCAUUAGCAAGAGACCUUCAUCUACACAAUUUUAUCAUAACAUCUGAUUCUAAACAAGUUGCGGGAGAUAUUAGGCAAGGUAGCUAGGGUAGAGUUAGUGCCAUCAUCAGUGAGAUCAAAGCAGAGCAGCUUCUUUUAAUUGUAAUUUUACUUUCGAAUGUCGUGUUAUUAAUUUCGACGCACAUAGUUUACUAGUGAGGUUCUCUUUCUUUACCUCGGCCCGAAUUGUAUCCCACUAAUUAUGGUCUUUGAUCCCCUAAAAAAAUGAUUUUUGAUUAAUAAAAUUGGCUUUACCCUAAAAAGGUAAAAAAUAAUUAUCUCCCAAAAAAAGCUAAAACGAAAAAAAAACAUCACCCCAUCUUCUCCCCACUCCUUGAUGGCGCCUCCCGCCGCCGGGGAAACCCCACCUACGGAGGCUGCGGAGAACAGCGCCAAGACCGAGGAGUCGCGGUGGCUCGCGGCCCUCUCCGAGCCAGAGCUCGUCCGUGACGCCCCUCCUCUUCUUAUUCUCUCUUAGCUUCUCUUCCUAACGACUGGUGUUAAUGGCGCCACGGUGGUGUUGUGCAGGAUCUCCUCAUCAGCCUGAAGAUGCUGGCCGUGAAGCGGGCGGAGACGGCCGGCCGCCCCCACCUCGCCGACGGGUUCGAUCUGCGCACGCUGCGUGCCCUCGGUACUUACUACCUGAACCACUUUGCCAGACACUCAUCAUAUAUAGCCGCAGCGAUCUCUUUGCUGAGCAACAUGCUAUAUGCUUGUGCUUUUCCAGGUGUUGUUUUGCUGGAGGAUUUCAAGGCACGGUUAGAAGAAACCUCGGUCGAUGCAUCCGUUCUUGAUAGACUUGCGCUGUCGAGGGACUGUGUCGCGGAUGCCGGCGGCGGCAGUGGUGACUCUGAGGUGCUCAGGCGGCACGGCAAAGAUGAGCCAAAGCCAAAUAGCGUCAAGAGAGAACGAAAGCAGAGGCAGGAUGGGUGAGUCCUUUUGAGUAUUCGGUCGGUUUGGCUGAAGCAGUGCAGUCCAAUUUAGCUCAUGCCGAUAGUUUCUUGAGGUUCUGUCACUACUAAUGCAGUUACGGCGUGUUUGCGUAUGAUGCAGGCGCCAUGGAGAAACCGUGAAAAGCAAGAAGAAAAGAAAACUGAGCGAGAGGAGAUAGCAUCGAGAGAGCAGACUGCGACGAUCUUCCUACUGAUAGUGAUCUAGUGCAAACACCGCCCAGGGAUGUAUGUCGUUGAGCGACAACACUGAAGCUGCUGCUGCUGCUGUUAGUGGUGUAAAUUUUGCUUUUUUUUUAUCUGAACUCGAAACUUGUUUUGGGAAUGCAACCCGGCAGGGAAGGGAUGCCGUGAACUGAUGAUGAUGACUGCUGUGGCAACCAGGCGUAGUUUAAUGCAUCUUCGUUUCAGGACUCUCUUAACUGUGCCAUGAUUUCUUUUCUAGCAGCUGUAGGUUGCUGGGACCUGGGAGCAUGAGACACUCCCCUCCAGGAAACUGCUUUCGAAUCAACAACUAGGGUGGGUUAGCUGCUGGAUUCUAAUUUGUUUCGUUGCCUAGGCACCAGUUAGGUCGAUCAUAGCACAACUAAGAAUAUGAUUUCACCUCCUAUUCUUGGCAAAUAAUAUUUAGUGUCACAAAUUCAGUUGCUAGCAACAUGACGAUAUUUUCAGUAUCUAAUAGCAUUGCUAAUAAACCUUGCACCUUUUUUUUGGCAAAUGAUUACCUCUACUGAGCAAUGCCACAGCCUCUCAGGAAUGUGGAGAAUUUGGUUUAGCGUUAGCUGAAUCUUUAGUCUCUACAACAAUGCACCAAUAUCAAUUUUUGGAUUCUGCAACAAAUUAACUGAAAUAAUUUUCAAGGCAUAUCAGUGUUGAUGUUGAUUAAUUAUUCACUGCCAGGCUAAGAUCCUUUGGCAUCUUCUGUCACGGCAGCUGAAGAUGAUGAUUUAUAAUUUUAUAUAGUUGACUUGUCUGUUGUGACAUAAACUUACUUACUCUUUGUUUCCUUGAUUAAAUUUUCUUUUUUGUGGGGAUCUUAUGCACGGAAAGACCAUGUGCAUAACUUUACAUGCAUGUUCUUCCACCUAGACUGCUCUACGGCUGUGUUAAGGUGCCGGUUGGUUGACAAUGGUCACACAUUCAUAAUAUGAAUGUCUAUACAAGGGAUUAGGAUCCUAGUCUGUGAUGCAGUUUUUCUUCUAGAUGUACUAGUUCAACUCCUUUUCAUCAGUAUUUGAUGUUAAACUAGAUUCUUGUGCAGAUGGUUACCUCUUCUGAACAAUGCUUGCAAUGCUCUGGAAUGCUGAAAAACUAGUUUACCUUUUUGCUGAUUCUUUUUUAAUUCUUACAAAUUUAGUUGAGUUGCAUAACUAUAUUAUAUCUUAUAAGUAGCCAUCCGAGUACUUCUGUUAACUAAUGAUUUAGAGACUCACGGUGACCGUGUGACCAUUGGAUAACGCCGUCGAGGUGUUAACAAACUGGUGUUACCAAUAGAACAUCUCACAUUUAAUUUGCAUUUCUUGAUGUUUUAUAAUAGCACAUACCAUCUCUCCUGAAAUUUUAGAGACGACCAAUGAAUCACAGGUCUUGAUCAGUUUGUCCUUCUAUACAUACAAUUUGAUCGACUCAGGAACUAUCGAGAGGACAAAAACGACAGACGGACAGAUAAUCAACACAUAUCCAAGUUGUUUCAAAUUAAUUGCAGCCUGCAGGAUGCAACCUAUCACCAGAAUCUAAUUUCAAUUAUAGGAUUUUGGAAGCGCUUACCAGCUAGUCAUAAAGUUCAACAAUCUCUGAAUUGCUGCGGUGUCUGAAGAGCAGGAUGAGAACAGGUAGCUCCAGAAGCUGUAGAAGUUCACCCUCUCGUUGCACUUAUUUGUAGCCUGCAUAGCUCAUCUUUUGCUUCUUGUGGCACACCACCUACUUAAUUAAUAGAAUGAGUCAUAUAUUUGAACUCUCUACCUUGUUUAUCCUGCCAACCCAAACCCAAGAUAAAAGAUAUUAGUCAAUAAUAAUAAUAAAUGCUGACCAAAAUACCACUGUGUUAUUACAACUGUUGUUUCGGUGCUACCACAGUACACGAUGCGCGCAGAUUCAGGUUGCCACAGCUAUCACAAAUGCAACACUUAAUAUACUACCACCGUGGCAACUGGCAAGUCACAAAAGUUAUCAGUCCUUGGAUUUAAGUGAAGAUAGUUCACCUUCUUUGUGUACAUGACACCAGCAGAUCAGAAGAUAAUACACCAAAUGCACAUAAAAGACAAUACAGUUAACACCAUCUUGUUUACAGCAAGGCAAUAUAGUAGCAUGCCUCUGACACAUCAUCUUGUUUGAAUGCCUUCCGGCAAGAAAUGGACAACUAGUCUAUUUCUCUCACAUUUUCAGAGUAACACCAUCAACAGUGGCAGGACCAAGCUGCUCCAGCCUAAACAAUUGACUGGUACUGCUGGUUAAGCAAUGCAAACUACUACGAAACGUAACUUACUGUCAGCGCAUCGUCAAUAACUUAUAACCACAUGGCAGAGAUUAGCAAUCAUAGCUGAAAUGGAUCACUACUUUUGAUAUGUCAGUUUACCAAAAGAAAAGAAGCACAGGUCCAGUUCUUGCAGGCAACGAACCAACAGAGUAUUGGCAAUCAUUCGGCAAUUCCCAUCCAGCCAGCACUAAUACCACUUCUACUUUCAGAUAACCAGAGUCAGACAGGCACCAAGUAAACAGAACCAUCUACAGUUGCUACUAGAUGUACAAUCUAAGAGGAGGUGAACUUGGUGACGGCCUUGGUGCCCUCGGAGACGGCGUGCUUGGCGAGCUCGCCGGGGAGGACGAGGCGUACGGAGGUCUGGAUCUCCCGGGAGGUGAUGGUGGGCUUCUUGUUGUAGCGGGCGAGCUUGGCGGCCUCGCCGGCGAGCUUCUCGAAGAUGUCGUUGAUGAAGGAGUUCAUGAUGGACAUGGCCUUGGAGGAGAUGCCGAUGUCGGGGUGCACCUGCUUCAGCACCUUGAAGAUGUAGAUCUUGUACGUCUCCACGCUCUUCUUGCUCUUCUUCUUCGACUUUUUGUCGCCGCCGCCCUCCUUGCCGGAAGUCUUGCUCUUGCCCGCCGCCGGCAGCCGCUUCUCGGCCCUGGGCUUCUUCCCGGCCGGCGCCUUCUCGGCCUUCUCCGUCGUGGCCUCCUCCUCCGCGGGCUUCUUCGCCGCCGGCUUCUUCUCCGCCGCCUUGGGGGCCAUCGCUGCUUCUGGAGCGGGGAAAGGGGAAGCCGCCGAAGCCGGUGCGGGUUGGUUUGUUGGGGAAAGGUUGGGAGAUUUGGAACGAGAUGCUGGGAAAGGAGGAGCGGAGCUGAAGGAUUUAUACAGGGAGAGAUGUGACUGCUGAUUGGUGGAGGCGUGGUUGUCCCGGAUCAGUGACGUGGGACGGUGUGAGGCGUUCGGUGCUGUUUGGAUGGACGAUCGUGAUCUCUGCCGGGCGGACCGUGGUUUUCUUGAAAAAAAUUGGACCCUGAUAAGGCCCGAACGUUCGGUAGAAGCCCUUUCCAUACCGAAGAAAUGAGGAAUGCUGCGUCCACGCAAAGCUAUCUAAGGUUUACGUUUGUCUAAAAAAAAAAAGCUAUCUAAGGUUUACGUAGUGCUGCUGAUUUGGCAAAUUGGAAUAGGGAAGGGAGAGGGGCCCACACCCAUGAAAAUUAGGGGGAGGAGAGAAUUAAAGGGAAAGUUACGUAGGAUCACGUAACAGGUUACGUUGAUGUAAUAUUAGUGCCGAACAAAUUGUUCCCCAAGGCAGAAACGACCCAACGAUUCCGCUCGGAGCGGGGGUGUAGUGGGAAGAGAUGGAUUCGUUCGGCCGAUGGCGUGGUUGCGUUCGGCCGAUGGCGUGGUUGCGCCGAAGGCCUGAGGAAAAUGACGCGGCACCAUAAUUGCUUCAAGAUGCGUGUGAUUUCAUCCGACGGCCAUCGUGGUGUUCGGCCCAAAAGCUUAAAAUCUGGUCAUUCGGGAGUUAUAGGUUCCGAAGUUUUUUUAGGCGAACAGUGCACUUCACUUAAUAAAAAAUGUCUACGUGGAUACAAAUAUUUUCUGGAGGUUUUUUUAGGGGAAGGCCACAAUGGUUAGUGUCGGGGCCGGAUUUCCGGGACAUAAAUUCCCAGCAAACGACCCUUAUGUCACCACCAGCCCCAGGAUUACUGUUGCUGAUGGACAUUUCCUUGAUACAGAAUUCCAAGCAAUUACAAGUAUUUGAGUACAAGACCUUAUAGGUCCAUUGAGUACAACAAUGAUUUCUAGUGGCAGGUGAUGGAAACGACUCGUGGAUCUCCAACGUUGGUGGAACUCCAUUCCCACGGGAACAGCUGACCUGGAUAACUCCUAUCUCGCGUGGCUGCUAUCUCCGAAUCCUAGGUUGCGGGGUGUCUUCGUAGUGCUCGUCUCUGAGUCAUGAUCUGGCCAAGACAAUAGCCAGGGACAAGCCAGUGAGUACGUUUGAAUGUACUCGCAAACAUCAAGAACAAAAGAUAUACCGGAUGCAUAUGCUCAUGAUGAAUUAAAUUAUACUACCUCAUUUCCGGUUUAUAGGGCUCAAUUCAAAAAUCUCACCAACCAAGGUGGAUGAUGAGUGAUGGAAUAAUUUUCGUGGUUUGUAAAAGCACUCAAUUAAUGCGUUCGUUUUCCUCAAAGAAUUGUGUUUACCAGUGCAUUAAUUGCAAUGCAUGCAUGCAUGAAGUACAUGCAUUGGUCAAGUUUCUCAUAAUCCUUGCAUGCAAUGAAUUAAUGCAUCUUGAAAUCUGAGCAUGUGAUGGGGAACAAUCAAAUUGAGACUUAUAAAACGAGAAACCGAAAUUUUUGAGAUAAGCCCUAUAAACCGGGAAGGAGGGAGUAUGCAUGUGCUGACCGAGAAUAAAAGCAUGGCAUGACAAAUAUUCAUACGGUGCAGAAGGGUAAAUAAGUCAUAUGAUUAGUAAAUCAAAGAAAUGAAACGAAACAUCGGGCGUUGGACCGCCCAAAAAAUUCCAAGAGAAAUGCCAAACGGGUGUCUAAGAGAGAAUCGGGCGAGACAGGACCGCCCGAGAACUCAAGCGACGCCACGAGAGGUCUUGAAAAUGCAUGCCACAGUCGGGUGUCUGAAGCGACGCCUCAUAAAGGGCUUAUAUGAAAAUAAUAAAACGAGUAUCCAGGUGGACUAGCCAUCCUAAGUGAUACUCAUAAAAGAAAAGAAAACGAGUAUCCCGGGUAGUCUAGCCAUCCCAAGAGAUACUCAAGGUUAAACAUAAAAUGAAAAGGUUAGUCCACAACAAUAUCCAUAUCAACAAUAAUAUUCAUAGUGGCACCAGUAGUGACAAUAAUUAUCCUGCAGAACGAACCAUGAUCAAUUUAAUUAUUUCCUUCGGAGACUGACACUAAGACCGACACUUGACCAACUGUCGGGGGGAUGAACCCCGGGCAGGCAACGGAACCCGUAUCCUUUUCAAAAAUGACGAGGCCAACAUCGCCCCUCAAGCCGGCACGUGCUUGGCCGGGUCGCCCAACCCGGCCAACCCCCUCGACCCGGCCAAACUUCCAACCCGGCCGGACUCCUCAACUCGGCCCCAACAACCAGCUCAAGACAGUCAAACCCGGCACCAAGACUUCUCCAACAAGCCAGCUCCACCCUUGGCGCGUUCCUCAACCCGGCCACGGGUCAGUUCCCGUCCCAGCCCAGCCGUACGAUGGGACGAGUCUCCACCUACCAAUGACCGAGGCAACAGUGCCCCGCCCAUGCCUCUGGUCAGCCGGGGCAUGGCAACAGUGCCCCACCUACCCACUGACCAGGGCCGGCGUGGCAACAGUGCAACCAUCGUCACCAAUGACGCCAGCAAGCGGCGACCUGACGGAGCGCCACUGUAGCCGACUGAUAACCCACAAGUAUAGGGGAUCACAACAGUUCUCGAGGGUAGAGUAUUCAACCCAAAUUUAUUGAUUCGACACAAGGGGAGCCAAAGAAUAUUCUCAAGUAUUAGCAGUUGAGUUGUCAAUUCAAGCACACCUGGAUAACUUAAUAUCUGCAGCAAAGUAUUUAGUAGCAAAGUAGUAUGGAAGUAACGGUAACGGUGGCAAAAGUAACCGUAGCAACUUUGUAGUAAUUGUAACAGUGGCAAUGGUAAAGUAACUAAGCAAAGAUCUAUAUGUGAAAAGCUCGUAGGCAUUGGAUCAGUGAUGGAUAAUUAUGUCGGAUGCGAUUAUUCAUGUAACAGUUAUAACAUAGGGUGACACAGAACUAGCUCCAGUUCAUCAAUGUAAUGUAGGCAUGUAUUCCGAUUAUAGUCAUACAUGCUUAUGGAAAAGAACUUGCAUGACAUCUUUUGUCCUACCCUCCCGUAGCAGCGGAGUCCUAUUGGAAACUAAGGAUAUUAAGGCCUCCUUUUAAUAGAGUACCGGACCAAAGCAUUAACACUUAGUGAAUACAUGAACUCCUCAAACUACGGUCAUCACCGGGAGUGGUCCCGAUUAUUGUCACUUCGGGGUUACCAGAUCAUAACACAUAAUAGGUGACUAUAGACUUGCAAGAUAGGAUCAAGAACUCACAUAUAUUCAUGAAAACAUAAUAGGUUCAGAUCUGAAAUCAUGGCACUCGGGCCCUAGUGACAAGCAUUAAGCAUAGCAAAGUCAUAGCAACAUCAAUCUCAGAACAUAAUGGAUACUAGGGAUCAAACCCUAACAAAACUAGCUCGAUUACAUGAUAAAUUUCAUCCAACCCAUCACCGUCCAGCAAGCCUACGAUGGAAUUACUCACGCACGGCGGUGAGCAUCAUGAAAUUGGUGAUGGAGGAAGGUUGAUGAUGAUGACGGUGACGGAUUCCCCUCUCCGGAGCCCCGAACGGACUCCAGAUCAGCCCUCCCGAGAGAGAUUAGGGCUUGGCGGCGGCUCCGUAUCAUAAAACGCGAUGAAUCCUUCUCUCUGAUUUUUUUCUCCCCGAACGUGAAUAUAUAGAGUUGGAGUUGAGGUCGGUGGAGCACCAGGGGGCCCACGAGGCAGGGGGCGCGCCUAGGGGGGCAGGCGCGCCCCCACCCUCGUGGACAGGGUGUGGGCCCCCUGGUCUUGAUUCUUUCGCCAGCAUUUUUUAUAAAAUUCCAAAAAUAUUCUCCGUGAAGUUUCAGGUCAUUCCGAGAACUUUUAUUUCUGCACGAAAAUAACACCAUGGCAAUUCUGCUGAAAACAGCGUUAGUCCGGGUUAGUUCCAUUCAAAUCAUGCAAGUUAGAGUCCAAAACAAGGGCAAAAGUGUUUGGAAAAGUAGAUACGAUGGAGACGUAUCAACUCCCCCAAGUUCAAACCUUUGCUUGUCCUCAAGCAAUUCAGUUGAUAAACUGAAAGUGAUAAAGAAAAACUUUUAAAAACUCUGUUUGCUCUCGUUGUUGCAAAUAUGUAAAGCCAGCAUUCAAGUUUUCAACAAAGAUUAUGAACUAACCAUAUUCACAAUAACAUUUAGGUCUCAUGUUUACUCAUAUCAAUAGCAUAAUCAACUAGCGAGCAAUAAUAAUAAAUCUCGGAUGACAACACUUUCUCAAAAUAAUCAUAAUAUGAUAUAACAAGAUGGUAUCUCGUUAGCCCUUUCUGAGACCGCAAAACAUAAAUGCAGAGCACCUCUGAAGAUCAAGGACUGACUAAACAUUGUAAUUCAUGGUAAAAGAGAUCCAGUCAUAGUCAUACUCAAUAUAAAUUAAUAGUAAUGGAUGCAAAUGACAGCGGUGCUCUCCAACUGGUGCUUUUUAAUAAGAGGAGGAUGACUCAACAUAAAAGUAAAUAGAUAGGCCCUUCGCAGAGGGAAGCAGGGAUUUGUAGAGGUGCUAGAGCUUGAUUUUUGAAAUAGAGAUCAAUAAUAUUUUGAGCGGCAUACUUUCAUUGUCAACAUAACAACCGAGAGAUCUCGAUAUCUUCCAUGCUACACACAUUAUAGGCGGUUCCCAAACAGAAUGAUAAAGUUUAUACUCCCCCUCCACCAACAAGCAUCAAUCCAUGGCUUGCCCGAAACAAUGGGUGCCUCCAACUAACAACAAUCCUGGGGGAGUUUUGUUUGCAAUUAUUUUUAUUUGGUUUGAGCAUGGGACUGGGCAUUCCGGUGACCAGCCAUUUUCUCGUGAGUGAGGAGCGGAGUCCACUCCUCUUGAGAAUAACCCGCCUAGCAUGGAAGAUACAGAUAGCCCUAGUUGAUACAUGAGCUAUUCGAGCAUACAAAACAGAAUUUCAUUUGAAGGUUUAGAGUUUGGCACAUACAAAUUUACUUGGAACGGCAGGUAGAUACCGCAUAUAGGAAGGUAUGGUGGACUCAUAUGGAAUAACUUUGGGGUUUAUGGAAGUGGAUGCACAAGCAGUAUUCACGCUUAGUACAAGUGAAGGCUAGAAAGAGACUGGGAAGCGACCAACUAGAGAGCGACAACAGUCAUGAACAUGCAUUAAAAUUAAUAAACAUCGAGUGCAAGCAUGAGUAGGAUAUAAUCCACCAUGAACAUAAAUAUCGUGGAGGCUAUGUUGAUUUUGUUUCAACUACAUGCAUGAACAUGUGCCAAGUCAAGCCACUCGAAUCAUUCAAAGGAGGAUACCAUCCUAUGAUACCACAUCACAACCAUUUUAAUAGCAUGUUGGCACGCAAGGUAAACCAUUAUAAACUCCUAGCAAAUUAAGCAUGGCAUAAGCAACUAUAAUCUCUAAUUGUCAUUGCAAAUAUGUUUCAUUCAUAAUAGGCUGAAUCAGGAACGAUGAACUAAUCAUAUUUACAAAAACAAGAGAGGUCGAGUUCAUACCAGCUUCUCUCAUCUCAAUCAGUCCAUCAUAUAUCGUCAUUAUUGCCUUUCACUUGCACGGUCGAGGUGUGGACAAUAAUAAUAGUGCACGUGCAUUGGACUAAGCUGAAUUUUGCGAGCAUUUAAUUCAAGGGAGAAGACAAGGUAAUAUGGGCUCUUGGUUAAAUCAACAAUAAUGCAUAUGAGAGCCACUUCAACAUUUCCAUUAUGGUCUUCUCCUCUCGACCCCCAAAGAAAAAGGAAUAAAAUAAAACUAUUUACACGGGAAAGCUCCCAACAAACAAAAAGAAGAACGAGAAAUCUUUUUGGGUUUUCUUUUUAAUUAUUACUACUACAGGCAUGGAAAGUAAACUAGCUAAAAGCUACAACUAUUCUUUUUGUUUUUCUUAAGGUUUAUCAAACACACAAGAAGAAAGCAUAAAAAGAAAAAUAAACCAGCAUGGAUAGUACAAUGAAAAAGUAUGAGCACCAACAACUAGAAUGGGUGUGUGAACAUGAAUGUAAUGUCGGUGAGAAAUACGUACUCCCCCAAGCUUAGGCUUUUGGCCUAAGUUUCUCUAUGCCCAUGGAUCAAAGUUGUAGCUGGGGUCGUACUGAGAUGCAACAACUAUUGCCUCAUGAGCUGCAGCUUGGAGGCGAGCUGCCUCCGUCCUCCUCUCGUACUCGGUCGCCUCCUUCCUGGUUAUAAUAUAUCUCCUUUUUGCCUGAAAGUCAAAGAAAGUAGGAGCGGGGAGAGCAAUAUGGACAGCUUGACGCCUGUCAAACAUUAGUCGGUACUGGAGGGGCUGUUCAUUCCUCUCAACAAACUGAUGGCGAACCAUAGCAUUAUAAUCUAAAUAAGCAGGAGGCAAUUCCAUAUCAUUUUCAUGUAUGGGUAUCUCAAGAUAAUUAGCCACACGGGUUGCAUAAAUUCCACCAAACAAAUCUUCACUAAUACUGUUAUUAUGCAACCUACGUGCAACAAUGCCCCCCAAGUUAUAUUGUUUAUCUCCUAACACAACACUCUUGAGAACACUAAGAUCUGGAACACACAUGUGACAUGCCUCAUCCUUACCGUUUAUGCAUCUACCUAUAAAGAGAGCAAAAUAAUGUAUAGCAGGAAAAUGAAUGCUCCCUAUGGUAGCUUGUGUUAUUUCUCUAGAUUCCCCCACAGUGAUACUAGCAAGGAAAUCUUUAAACUCAGAUUUGCAAGGUUCACUAGCACUACCCCAUUGCGGGAGUUUACAAGCAGUAUUAAAAUCUUCUAAGUCCAUGGUAUAAGAUUUAUUAUAAAGAUCAAAUAGGACCGUGUGAGAAUUGUGUGAAGAUGUAAAUUUAAACCUUCUCACAAAGGAAUCAGUAAGGUGGUAGUAUUGAGGGCACUUAUCUAACAUGAAGCCCUCGAGUUCAGCAUUACGCACAUACGCGUCAAAUUCAUCCUUAAUUCCUGCUUGGACCAUGAAAUUUUAUGACGGCCAUUCACAAGGCCGCACUUGAGCUUCUCUUGGUGGUUCAUGGUCCGGCUCACGUAUUGCAGGCCUGGGUCCCUGCUUCCUUGAAGAAUCACCUUGGUACAUUUUCCUAAAUAUAUUUCUUCCUCUGAAAUAUUUCUGAAAUUUUUAGUAACUCGAAAUAAAAGUGAACCAAACUCAACAAAAUUGAUAGCAACCACUCCCACAAGUGCCUAGAGACUAUAUCAUGCAUUAGAACUACUUGGGACCAAAUAAAUUUGAUAUGCAAGCUCAAGAACAGGGUCACCUAAGCAACAAAAAUUUGCAAUGAAUAAAGCACUAGAACAAAAACUAAUUGGACCAUUGGAGGAGUCACAUAUCAAAGAACAAUCCCCCAAAGCAGUUUUGUGAGUGGAGCUUUGAGCAAGGAGAUCGAAAAUCGCAGCAAAACUAGCUAGAACACGGGUUUGAGCUAGGUGGUGAUUUUUUCUGGAGAAAGACAAAGUGUGUGGGUGCUGGAAUAAGUGGAGGGGGGCCACCAGGGGUCCACGAGGCAGGGGGCGCGCCCAGGGGGUGGGCGCGCCCUGGACCCUCGUGGCCAGGUGUUGGCUCCCCUUGAUGUGUUCUCAGUGCCAGAUAUUCUCAAAUAUUCUAGAAAAAAUCAUAUUUCAAUUGCAGGGCAUUUGGAGAACUUUUAUUUUCGGGGUAUUUUUUAUUGCAGGGAUAAUUCAGAAAACUGACAGAAAAUACUAUUUUUGCUUUAUUUAAUCUAAAUAACAGAAAGUAAAAAGAGGGUACAGAGAGUUGUGUUUUCUAACUUCAUCCAUCUCAUGCUCAUCAAAAGGAAUCCACUAACAAGGUUGAUCAAGUCUUGUUAACAAACUCAUUCCGAAUCGCAUGAAACCAGAGAAUUUUUGAAUAGCACUAGGUUACCUCAACGGGGAUAUGCACGUCCCCAACAAUAAGAAUAUCAUAUUUCUUCUUGACAGUAGGAAGAGGAAAUUCAAAACCUCCAAUAGUGAUCGUUGGAAUCUUUCCAAUAGAAUUGAUACUGUGGACUUGAGGUUGUUUCCUCGGAAAGUGUACCGUAUGCUCAUUACCAUUAACAUGAAAAGUGACAUUGCCUUUGUUGCAAUCAAUAAUAUCCUCUACAGUAUUCAAAAAGGGUCUACCAAGGAUAAUAGACAUACUAUCGUCCUCGGGAAUAUCAAGAAUAACAAAGUCCGUUAGAAUAGUAACGUUUGCAACCACAACAGGCACAUCCUCACAAAUACCGACAGGUAUAGCAGUUGAUUUAUCGUCCAUUUGCAAAGAUAUUUCAGUAGGUGUCAACUUAUUCAAAUCAAGUCUACGAUAUAAAGAGAGAGGCAUAACACUAACACCGGCUCCAAGAUCACAUAAAGCAGUUUUAACAUAGUUUCUUUUAAUGGAGCAUGGUAUAGUUGGUACUCCUGGGUCUCCAAGUUUCUUUGGUAUUCCACCCUUAAAAGUGUAAUUAGCAAGCAUGGUGGAAAUUUCAGCUUCCGGUAUCUUUCUUUUAUUUGUAACAAUAUCUUUCAUGUAUUUAGCAUAAGGAUUCAUUUUAAGCAUAUCAGUCAAAUGCAUAUGCAAAAAGAUAGGUCUAAUCAUUUCAGCAAAGUGCUCAAAAUCCUCAUCAUCCUUCUUCUUGGAUGGUUUAGGAGGAAAGGGCAUGGGUUUCUGAACCCAUGGUUCUCUUUCUUUACCGUGCUUCCUAGCAACGAAGUCUCUCUUAUCAUAACGUUGAUUCUUUGAUUGUGGGUUAUCAAGAUCAAUAGCAGGUUCAAUUUCUACAUCAUUGUUAUCGCUAGGUUGAGCAUCAACAUGAACAUUAUCAUUAACAUUAUCACUAGGUUCAUGUUCAUCACCAGAUUGUGUUUCAGCAUCAGAAAUAGAAAUAUCAUUGGGAUUCUCAGGUGUGUCAACAACAGGUUCACUAGAAGCAUGCAAAGUCCUAUCAUUUUUCUUUUUCUUCUUCUUAGAAGGACUAGGUGCAUCAACAUUAGUUCUCUGAGAAUCUUGCUCAAUUCUCUUAGGGUGACCCUCAGGAUACAAAGGUUCCUGAGUCAUUUUACCCCCUCUAGUCAUAACUCUAACAACAUUAGCAUUUUUAUUAUUAUUUAAUUCAUUGAGCAAAUCAUUUUGAGCUUUAAGCACUUGUUCUACUUGAGUGGUAACCAUAGAAGCAUGUUUACUAAUAAGUUUAAGUUCACCUUUUACUCUAGACAUAUAAUCACUCAAGUGUUCAAUCAUAUAAGCAUUACGUUUCAAUUGUCUACCAACAUAAGCAUUGAAGUUUUCUUGUUUAACAAUAAAAUCAUCAAACUCAUCCAAGCAUUGGCUAGCAAACUUAGUAGAUGGGAUUUCACCCUUAUCAUAUCUAUAGAGAGAAUUUACCUUUACUACCUGUGUCGGGUUAUCAAGACCGUGUAUUUCUUCAAUAGGUGGUAAAUUAAGACCAUGUAUUUCUUCAAUAGGAGGUAAAUUCUUAACAUCUUCAGCUUUAAUGCCUUUUUCUUUCAUAGAUUUCUUUGCCUCUUGCAUAUCUUCAGGACUGAGAAAUAGAUGCCCCUUUUCUUCGUAGUUGGCUUAGGAGUUGGUUCAGGAAGUGUCCAAUUAUUUUCAUUAGUCAAAAUAUUAUUCAAUAGCAAUUCAGCUUGAUCAACUGUUCUUUCCCUGAAAACACAACCAGCACAACUAUCCAGGUGGUCUCUGGAAGCAUCUAGUAGUCCAUUAUAAAAGAUAUCAAGUAUUUCAUUUUUCUUGAGAGGAUGAUCAGGAAAAGCAUUAAGUAAUUGGAGAAGCCUCACCCAAGCAUGUGGGAGACUCUCUUCUUCAAUUUGCACAAAAUUAUAUAUUUCCCUUAAAGCAGCUUGUUUCUUAUGAGCGGGGAAAUAUUUAGCAGAGAAGUAAUAAAUCAUAUCCUGGGGACUACGCACACAACCAGGAUCAAGAGAAUUAAACCAUGUCUUAGCAUCACCCUUUAAUGAGAAUGGAAAUAAUUUAAGGAUAUAGUAGUAGCGAGUUUUCUCAUCAUUAGUGAAUAGGGUGGCUAUAUCAUUUAAUUUAGUAAGAUGUGCAACAACAAUUUCAGAUUCAUAGCCAUAAAAAGGAUCAGAUUCAACCAAAGUGAUUAUCUCAGGAUCAACAGAGAAAUCAUAAUCCUUAUCAGUAACACAGAUAGGUGAAGUAGCAAAAGCAAGGUCAUAUUUCAUUCUAGCAUUCAAAGAUUUUUCUUUCAGCUUAGCUAAUAAUUUCUUAAGAUCAUUCCUAUCGUUGCAAGCAAGAAAGUCUCUAACAGUUUCUUCAUCCAUAACAUAACCCUCAGGCACAAUAGGCAAUUCAUAUCUAGGGGGAGAAUCUUCAUCAUCACUUUCAUCAAUAUUAUCAGUUUCAAUAAUUUCAUUCUCUCUAGCCCUAGCAAGUUGUUCAUCACGAAAUUCACCUAGUGGCACACUAUUAUCAAGCAUAGAAGUAGUUUCAUCAUAAGUAUCAUGCAUAGCAGAAGUGGCAUCAUCAAUAACAUGCGACAUAUCAGAAUUAAUAGCAGAAGAAGGUUUAGGUGUCGCAAGUUUACUCAAAACAGAAGGAGAAUCAAGUGCAGAGCUAGAUGGCAGUUCCUUACCACCCCUCGUAGUUGAGGGAUAAAUUUUGGUUUUCUCGUCUUCCAAGUUCCUCAUAGUGACCAGCAGAUAUAAAUCCCAAGUGACUCAAAGAAUAGAGCUAUGCUCCCCGGCAACGGCGCCAGAAAAUAGUCUUGAUAACCCACAAGUAUAGGGGAUCGCAACAGUUUUCGAGGGUAGAGUAUUCAACCCAAAUUUAUUGAUUCGACACAAGGGGAGCCAAAGAAUAUUCUCAAGUAUUAGCAGUUGAGUUGUCAAUUCAACCACACCUGGAUAACUUAAUAUCUGCAGCAAAGUAUUUAGUGGCAAAGUAGUAUGGAAGUAACGAUAACGGUGGCAAAAGUAACAGUAGCAACUUUGUAGUAAUUGUAACAGUGGAUAUGGUAAAGUAACUAAGCAAAGAUCAAUAUGUGAAAAGCUCGUAGGCAUUGGAUCAGUGAUGGAUAAUUAUGUCGGAUGCGAUUAUUCAUGCAACAGUUAUAACAUAGGGUGACACAGAACUAGCUCCAGUUCAUCAAUGUAAUGUAGGCAUGUAUUCCGAAUAUAGUCAUACGUGCUUAUGGAAAAGAACUUGCAUGCCAUCUUUUGUCCUACCCUCCCGUGGCAGUGGGGUCCUAUUGGAAACUAAGGGAUAUUAAGGCCUCCUUUUAAUAGAGUAUCAGACCAAAGCAUUCACACUUAGUGAAUACAUGAACUCCUCAAACUACGGUCAUCACCGGGAGUGGUCCCGAUUAUUGUCACUUCGGGGUUACCGGAUCAUAACACAUAAUAGGUGACUAUAGACUUGCAAGAUAGGAUCAAGAACUCACAUAUAUUCAUGAAAACAUAAUAGUUUCAGAUCUGAAAUCAUGGCACUCGGGCCCUAGUGACAAGCAUUAAGCAUAGCAAAGUCAUAGCAACAUCAAUCUCAGAACAUAAUGGAUACUAGGGAUCAAACCCUAGCAAAACUAACUCGAUUACAUGAUAAAUCUCAUCCAACCCAUCACCGUCCAGCCAGCCUAUGAUGGAAUUACUCACGCACGGCGGUGAGCAUCAUGAAAUUGGUGAUGGAGGAAGGUUGAUGAUGACGACAGCGACGGAUUCCCCUCUCCCGAGCCCCGAACGGACUCCAGAUCAGCCCUCCCGAGAGAGAUUAGGGCUUGGCGGCGGCUCCGUAUCGUAAAACGCAAUGAAUCCUUCUCUCUGAUUUUUUUCUCCCCGAAAGUGAAUAUAUGGAGUUGGAGUUGAGGUCGAUGGAGCGUCAGGGGGCCCACGAGGUAGGGGGCGCGCCCCCACCCUUGUGGACAGGGUGUGGGCCCCAUGACGUGGAUUUUUCUUCCAGUAUUUUUAAUAUUUUCCAAAAAGAUGUUCCGUGGAGUUUCAGGUCAUUCCGAGAACUUUUGUUUCUACACAUAAAUAACACCAUGGAAAGUCUGCUGAAAACAGCGUCAGUCCGGGUUAGUUCCAUUCAAAUCAUGCAAGUUAGAGUCCAAAACAAGGGCAAAAGUGUUUGGAAAAGUAGAUACGAUGGAGACGUAUCACCGACUCAACCCGGCCACUCCCUGACGAUCGACAAGACGGCCAACAGUGCCCCCAUACCCGGCGGGCCCAGCGCCCGGAGAACCCGGCGAGCCCUGACCCCAGGCAGGUCCCAGCGCCGGCUUCUCGGACAAUGACAAUCCGGCCCCACGGCCUUGUAACAUUACCCUUGUACCCCUGGGGGGUUGGCCUAUCACUACUAGGGAAAACCUUAUACAUAGAAUCUUAGCAGCAGCGCGGCACAAAAAGAGGCGCUACUGCUAAUUAGCAGUAGCGAGGUUAAGAAAAGCACGCUACUGAUGUAUAGCGCGUGAUGUCUAAACCGCGCUGCUACAAAAAUCUACCGACACUACCCAACAACCUAAGUUUACCAGCAGCGCUGUGUGACGAUGCGCGCUACUGCUAAUGCGAUAGUAGUAGCGUGCUUUUGAGUCACGUCGCUGCUGCUAAUUUUGAAAUUGUCCACACGGUUGGCCCGUUUAGCAGUAGCGCGUGUGAUGAAAGGGCGCUGUUGCUAAGCUCUUAGCAGUAGCGCGUUUUUCCUCCCGCGCUACUGCUAAGACGCAGCACCCCACCACCUUUUCCCACCCGUACGUCCUCCCCUCCCCCAUCUCCUCUCCUCCCUUUCCCCUACCUCCCACAUCCUCCCUCUCUCACUCUUCUUCUUCCUCAAUACUUCUUCCUCAAUACUUCUCCCCCCAUUACUCUCCCUCUUCUACCUACCUUUCUCUCUCUUCAUUACUCCUAGCUAACUAACACCACCUCCAUCAAUGCAUCUCCUUUCUCUUUUUCCUUCCCCCUCCACUAGUUGAAGUUGUCUCCUCCCAAAUUAGCUAGCUAGGUAGAUGUAGCAUUUAGUCAAGUGACCUAUUUGCCCCCUAACUAGAUCUAUCUUUGUCAAGAAGAGCUUUGUGCACUUGAUCUCCCUACAUCAUCAUCUCCACCGUGUGCUCGAUCUCGAGAUAGAGGUGAUUAAAAUUUCAUGCUUUUGCAAAAUGGAAAUAUGUGUAUGUGUGUGUGAUAUGAUAAUUGGGCAAUAUGAUGGAAAUUGUGUGUGUGGCAUGAGUUGACGCCAAAUUGUGCUUUUGAGUUGCCUAUGUUUUGCCGAAAUGUCGAUUUAUUUCCGUUUCGGCGAAUUCCGGGCAAACUCUAGAUCUAUAUAUGUCCUAUUUUUAGGGAAGGUCAUGCCGAAUUUUUGUAUGACUUUGAUGCAUGCACGCAUUUUUAUAAUCAAUUUGUUUAUUAUUACCGUGCAGACGUUCAUGAUGGCAGUGGAACGAUGGUGGACAGGUGGUUGCGGUCGGUGGUGUAGGACAUGAAAGAAAAUAACCGGACAGAGGUUUUAUGUCCGUGUCAGAAAUGCAAAGGAAUAGUUUGGCUCGACCCCUAUGACGAUGGUCGUGUCGAAGCACACCUGCUCAUGACUGGUUUCAUGGAUGGCUAUACUCGAUGGAUAAUUGAAGAUGAGGAUGACGAUGUUGAGGACACCGACGGGGCAGGCAAUGACGACACGGGGCAAGAAGAAGAGAUGAUCGAUAAUGGCGGCGGGGAAGAGGCCGGACAUGGCGGCGGAGAAGGGGCCGGACAUGGUGGCGGAGAGAACGACAUGGACUCCACGCAGCAGAGUUCGUCGGUACUAAGUUCAAUCGUGCGGGACCCUCAUGUUCAAGCACUGCUUCACAAGGAGACGAGUACUGAGAGAGCUGCUUCUAGAGAGGAGGCUAAGCUGGAGCAACUGGUGGUAGACUCAAACACUCCAUUGUAUGAUGGUUGCAAUCCUGAGGUGACCCGCUUGAGUUUCACGCUCCAACUCCUGAAGACGAAGGCUAAAAACAAAUGGACCGACACUAGCCUCGAUGAGCAUCUCAAGUACCUAAAGGAUGUUCUUCCCGCGGGGAAUCUAUGUCCUACUAGUGUUGAUGAGGCCAAGAAGAUCGUGUGCCCUCUUGAUCUGCCGCACGUUAGAUACCAUGCAUGCAUCAACGAUUGCAUAAUUUAUCGGAAGGAGCACGCGGAAAAAACCAGCUGUCCGGUGUGCAAUGCUUCUCGAUACAAGAAGGCCGGGAAGAAAUGUCCCCAGAAAGUUGUAUGGUACUUACCGAUCACUCCCCGUCUCCAGCAGUAUUUCAUAGAUCCCAAGGAAGCAAAGCUAAUGCGCUGGCACGCGGAGAGGAAGAAGCCCGACGAUGGAGAUGAUCCGAAGCUGAGACACGUCAAGGAUGGAAGCCAGUGGAGAGCGUUGAACAACUUCUAUCGGUAUUUCGAAUGUGAUGCAAGGAACAUCGUGCUCGGCGCGUGUACCGAUGGCAUGAAUCCGUUUGGCAACCAGAACACCAACCAUAGCACAUGGCCCGUGUUUGUAUGGAUGUACAACCUCCCCCUGGUUGUGCAUGAAGUCGAAGUACAUUCACAUGAGCAUGCUUAUUCAAGGGCCAAAACAACCAGGAAAUAAUAUUAAUUUGUAUCUUGGGCUACUUCAAGAGGAGUUAGACACAUUAUGGAAAACAACGGCCAAGACAUGGGACACCAGCAAAGGCGAGUAUUUCUACAUGAGAGCCGCGCUGAUCACGACGGUGCACGACUAUCUCGGUUAUGGAUAUGUCGUAGGCCAGGUGUGCCAUGGAUAUUGCGAAUGCACGCGGUGCAUGGAUGAUACGACGUCUCAGCAGCUAACGUCAAGGAAAGAUGGCGGGUCUGGGAAAAUCGUGUACAUGGGGCAUCGAAGAUGGCUCGAACAGGACGACCCAUGGAGAAACCAUGGAGAUCUAUUCAAUGGUCACGCCGAGCAUCGAGGACCUCCACGUAAGCGGAGCGGUGCCGAAAUCGAUGAGCUGUUGAAAAACUGGAAGGAGUGCCCCGCGCCGGGGAAGACGAUGAAAAAGGCGCCAGAGCCGCUGCUGAAGGUAUGGAAGACGAAGUCUGUGUUCUGGGACUUGAGUACUGGCACAAACUCGAUACACCUCAUUACCUUGAUCAAAUGCAUAUCUGUAAGAAUGUCCUUGAGAGAUUGCUCGCGACACUGAUGAUCAUGCCGGAUAAGACCAAGGAUGGGCCGAAGGCAAGAAAAGACUUGCAAGAUUUGAAAAUCAGGGAAGAUCUGCACAUGCCGCCCCGUAAAAAGUUAGACGAGACAGAGACGGAGACAAAGGCGCGGGAGAAGAAGGGCAAGAAAAUAAAGAAAUAGGAUUAUUGCCCCCCUUCUUGCUUCACCUUAAGUCAGGCUGAGAUCGAUCAAUUCUUUAAGUGCCUUACUGGAGUCAAAGUUAGUUCCGGUUACUGUGGCAAGAUAAGUAGAUAUCUAGACACGGACAAGAAAAGGUUCAGCGGGAUGAAGUCCCAUGACUGUCAUGUGAUGAUGACGCAGAUACUACCUAUUGCCCUUAGAGGGAUAAUGGACAAGCACGUCCGUGACACGCUUAUUGGUCUCUGCAACUUUUUCGACGUCAUCUCUCGAAAGUCGAUCAGUCUGAAGCAGCUCCGAAGGCUACAGGAAGAGAUCAUUGUGAUACUGAAUGAGCUUGAGAUGUACUUCCCGCCCGCGUUCUUUGAUGUGAUGGUGCAUCUGUGUGUCCAUAUUGUGGACGACAUAAUAGACCUGGGGCCGUCAUUUCUGCACAACAUGAUGCCGUUUGAGAGGAUGAAUGGGAUCAUCAAAGGAUUCGUUCGUAACAUGUCCCGUCCGGAUGGAAGCAUCGUCCAGGGCUAUCUGACACAAGAGUGCAUCUCUUUCUGCAAGAAUUUUCUAUAUGGCGCAGACCAGCUGCCUGGUGUUAGUGUUGGUUUGCCCAUUAACAAGCACGAUGGGAGGCUCGAAGGAGAAGGUCACUCCAACGGUCGCAGGGAACUGCACGUGGCAUACUCAGAUCGACGCAGCGACUUUGACAGAACAAACUUGGUAGUGCUACAACACCUAGACGAGGUAGAUCCUUUCGUGGCACUGCACAAAGAAAUUAUCGCAAAGAAGUAUCGUGACCGGGGGGUAUGCAGGACGGACGCCGAAGUUACUAGAGAGCACAACUCCACUUUCCUGCAUUGGUUCAAAGAGCAUAUUAUUGCUAAUCCCCCGGAGGAGGGCUCUAAGGACGGAUUACUCAUAUACGCCUUAGCACAUGGCCCCUCGCCCAACCUCGUUACCUAUCAGGCAUACGAUAUCAAUGGAUACACGUUCUACACGGAGGCCACAGAUAUGGACAGUGAUGAUCAGAACUCAGGGGUGACGAUGGAAUGCAUGACCGGCAGCGACAACAGCGCAACUGAAAGAUUUUACGGAAGGGUCGAGGAGAUCUGGGAGCUUGACUACUAUGGACUGCACAACACGACGAUGUUCCGUGUCAGAUGGGCUAAGAAUGUCGAAAGAGAAAACCGAAAUUUCACUACCAUGACUAUACCCGACGCCAAGAGCCCUACCGUGAACGCUAUCGCAAAAAACGAGCCAUGGGUACACGCUAAGCACGUGACACAAUGCUUCUUCAUAACCGACCCGCGCAAUCCCAGCCGUGUUAUCAUGAGGAGAGGCAAAAGGAACAUCAUUUGAAUGGAUGGAGGCGCCAACGAGGAAGACUACGAUCAGUACGGCAACCCAAUGAGGGAAGAUGACGAUGAUGAUGAAGUAUACGUCAAAAUAAGAAUCAAUACUACAUUACCUAAGAAAAAUCGUACUCCAUGGAAAAGGCAAAGUCACAAUGAGGGGCUCAAUUAUUCUUCAACGAACAAGAAGGGAAAGAAGCUGACUCAAAAACGAAAACGUCAAUGAUGAGGAACCGUAUGUAUGUUAUCGGUCAAAUGAUGUAAUAUAUAUGUUCCUAUUUUGUAUACACACUUAGCCAUUAUUAUGCAUGGGUCCAAUAAUGUAAUAUAUAUACAUAUGUUCCUAGUUUGUAUACAUAUUUAACCGUCAAAUGAUGCAAUAUAUAUCGCCUUCCAUUCGUUCACUGCUCUCGGAAAAAAAGAAAAGUAAAGUGAGAGAAAAUAAAGGAAAAGAAAAUAGAAGGAAACAAACAGGAAAACUGUUAUAUAGGUGUUAUAGCAGCAGCACUUUUGUGAGAGAAGAGCUACAACUAGUCAAGAUAGCAGUAGCGGUUUCUACACGAAACCGCUAUAGCUACCUCGGGUAGCUAUAGCGCGUUUUUCCUAAACGCGCUACUGCUAUGCCCACUUAACCCCCAAAAUCGGUCCCCACUCCUCUAUUCAUCCCACCUCUUUUCCCCCAAAUCCCCCGUCGCACCGCGCGCCGGAGCCCUGCCCUCGUCGGGCCUCUGCGCUCGCCCCCGACCCCGACCGACCCCGGCGCCGGCUCCGUCCCCNNNNNNNNNNNNNNNNNNNNNNNNNNNNNNNNNNNNNNNNNNNNNNNNNNNNNNNNNNNNNNNNNNNNNNNNNNNNNNNNNNNNNNNNNNNNNNNNNNNNNNNNNNNNNNNNNNNNNNNNNNNNNNNNNNNNNNNNNNNNNNNNNNNNNNNNNNNNNNNNNNNNNNNNNNNNNNNNNNNNNNNNNNNNNNNNNNNNNNNNNNNNNNNNNNNNNNNNNNNNNNNNNNNNNNNNNNNNNNNNNNNNNNNNNNNNNNNNNNNNNNNNNNNNNNNNNNNNNNNNNNNNNNNNNNNNNNNNNNNNNNNNNNNNNNNNNNNNNNNNNNNNNNNNNNNNNNNNNNNNNNNNNNNNNNNNNNNNNNNNNNNNNNNNNNNNNNNNNNNNCCCCGACCCCGACCGGCCCCAGCGCUCGCCCACGGCCCCGGCCCCGACCCCGGCUCCGGCCCCGGCGCUCGACCCCGACACCGACCCCUCCCAACCUCGGCCGUCGUCGGGACUGCACCCUCCAUAAGCCCCCCACCGCUCCUCCUCUCUCUGGUAGCUAGGGUUUUUGGUUAAUUUACUUAGGUUUUAGUUAGGGAAGAUGGUUAAUUAGGUUAUAUAUUUAGUUAUGAAUUUAGCUAGGUUUUUUCUUCAAGUUCUAUAUUUUUCUUCCUUCUAUAUGCAAAUUUGAAGUGGACAUGUGAUAUGUGGACAUGUGAUGUUUUGGACAUGUCAUAUUUGGAAUUUGGACAUGUCAUUUGGACAUGAUGAUUAUGUGCAGGGUAAAUGAUCCAAGUGGCCUAUGUUACGCCGGAAUGUUGAUUCAUUUCUGUUCCGGUGAAUUUCAGGCGCUCGAUAUGUCCAUUUUUUUAGCAAAGGUCAUGCCAAAAUUUUCCGUGAAUUUUGGCAUGAUUUGUGCUAGACAGUAGGCAUAUCGAGUGCCGCGAGUUGCUGGGAAACGACAUUCCAGCAAACAUAGAUUUCUUUUUUAUGUCAUUUCUCAUUUUUUCAUAGUUUUAGAAUUAAACGACGAGACUUAAUCAUAGGAAACAUGUCGAACAACAAAGAAAUCGGGCCUACUGACCAAGAUGCAGACGAGAUGGAUUAUGAGGGUGAACAAGAGUACCUUGACUAUUUGACUGCUAAGAAAUUCCAAAGUCAAUGUUUGUAGGUCGGCCUAGAUGAUGGUACUGACGCCGACAUCGACACCGACGGCGCCGGCACCGAUGGCGGCGCCGAGACGGGCGGGGAAGGUAUCGGCGGGGAAGAUACCGGCGGGGAAGGUACUGGUGCCGAUGCCGCUAUCGAAAGGAAGAAGCAGAAGAAGCAGAGGAUACAAAAACCUAACAACCUAGGGAUUGGACGACUGGUGAUCACAAAGAUGGCACCUGGCAAGUUUGAGCCAUUAGAGGCGGAAGAACCUCGCAAGUGCUAUGGGAACCAAGUAGGAUGCAUCCUACGGGAAUGCGCGAGCAUCAACGACGAUGACUUAAGGAGUAAAGAACAUUUGAUGCAGUUGCUCCCGACGAAGUUGCCCAAGAGACUCAAGUUCCCCGACCGGGAUGAUAACAUAGAACAACCGUGGGAUGAUCCGAAGAUGAAAAAGAUUAACAAUCACGCCAUGGGCAUGUUCAGCAAUGAUUUGGCCUCCUGGAAAGGGGGGGUGAAACGAGCUAUUGAGGAUGAGGAACCCCUGUCCAAGAUUCUGGAGGAAAAUCCGACACUUACGGAAGAGGAGUUCGAAAAGUUCAAGGACACUUGCGCUACCGAGGCAGCCAAGGCUAAGGCUGCAAAAUUCAAGAGCCUUCAGCAAAGGAACACGGGGAAGCAUCGCCCCGGAAGUCGUGGCUACCUCGGUAAAAGGUCCAUAUGGGAUAAGGAGGACGCGGAACGUGAAGCCACGGGUAUCCCAGACCCCAUCGCGAAGUUCACCAACCCCUUGGAGCGUGACUUCAUCAGGGCCCGCUACAAGUGGGACAAGGAAAAGAAGGUUUUUUACACGGACCAGAUCACGAGGAAAUUGAUUAGACUACUGGUAAUUAUUCUUUUACCACCUUACAUUUAGCUCCAUAUCUAGUCGACUACACAUUCCUAAACAGUUCACACUCCUUCUGCAGGAGAAGCAACACCAGCUUGCAGCCGAAAGCCCUACUUCUCCGAUGAGGCCCAAGUGGGACACCCCUCUCAACCGGGCCUUGAACGAACUUAAGGGACUGCCUUUGGGCCAGCGGCCGCAAUAUAGUCGUGUGCACGGCGCUGGAGACGGCGCCACGUGGAAGGUGUUUUAGAACGAGGGCCCGGAGGCCAAGAAGCAGAAAAAGAAGUUUAGUCAGGCGGACAUCAACGAGAAGGUGAAGCUUGCGGUCGAGAAAAAAGCAGCUGAGGAUGCGAAAAAAAUAGCCGAGGAGAAAAAUGAGUUGCUACAACAGGCAGUCAAUGCAGCUGUAACUGCCUACAGAAAUGAUUUCGCUACUAACUUGGUUCCAGCUAUCAUCAACUGGACAAAGGAAAAUCCAGACAAGACGGUACAUGAUUUCCCGUUGCCCAGUUUCGUCAGGAGCAACUCCAUGAACAACAACACCACCGCACCAUCACUUGCUCACGCAACUGGGCCUCCUCUCGCAGUUGCUCCCGCUCAUAGCAGCCAUCCUCAGUCUCUGGCGCGCUAGGUGGGCCUUCAUCUUUGGCUGAGCUCGACGCCCUCACGGUAAUUACAUGUCGCACCAAAAUAUAUAGAAUAUUCCAUUUUCGUUGCCUUUCGGAUGUUUUAUGCCACAGACAUAUGUUUUUGCAGGCCGAAGAAACCCCGUGCACCAUACUCUACUUGAUCAAAGGCCAAAAGGUGGACGUGGGAAAGGGGAUGAUAAUUGUAAGUGCAUCUAGUGCCACCCCUAGUUGGUUUUGGAGUAUUGACGACAAACCUGGUUGAGGGACUAAUGUGUUUGUGAGAAUUGCAGGAUAACACAGGUAGUAGUCCCUCAUUGAUUCGGUUUACCUACCGGAGUUGACCCCUAAAAAUGUAUGAAGACAUUGAAGACAAUGGUGGUAUGUGAAGAUAUUCACAUUGAAGACUAUGACCUGAGAAGACAUUGUGUGAAGAGUAUGGAGCGCGAAGACUUAGUUGUUUCGUUGUUUCCUUUUCUUCUUUGUUGAGUCGUAGGAACCACCGUACUGUUAAGUGGGGUCCCAGUGAACAAAGUCAGAGUGACUGAAGUGAUGCUCAACCAAAAUCCUAUGUCUUCGAGCGAAGACAAUGAGAGCAAAUCAUAUCCAGAGCUGGAUGAGUCAGCUUACUUGCAGCCCAAGUCAAGCUGUCGCGUGUGUUUGAAAUAUGACCGUUGGAACACGUGUCAGUUCCUGAGUGACCCAGGGUCAUUUCGGACAAAUUAGGUCGGGUUGCCUAGUGGCUAUAAAUAGCCCACCCCCUACACCAUAAAUUGGUGGCUGCUCAGAGUUAGUGCACGGCUUCUGUCGUUUGAGAGCAACCCACCUCCGAAGCUUUUGAGAGAGAGAAAUCCUUGCGAGGACAAAGCCCAAACACCCAGAGCCAAAGAGUGUUAGGCAUCACUGAAGUCUUUCUGUCCGCGUGACCUGAAGACUUGUUACACUUGAGGACUGUGAAUCCUCCAGCCAGUUAGGCGUCGCGUUCUGAGCAUCCAAGAGUCAUUGUGGAUCGCCGGUGAACGAAGUCUGUGAAGGUUUGGAAGUCUACCUUGAAGACUUACCAGAGUGAUUGGGCGAGGACUGGGUGUCCUUAGCUCAAGGGGAAUAAGGUGAAGACGUGGUCUUCUGAGUUGAAUCUCAGCCUCCCUAACCAGACGUACAGUUGUCACAGCAACUGGAACUGGUCCAACAAAUCCUGUGUCCUCACCAAGUGACUGGUUCUAUCCUCUCCCUCUCUUUACCUACAGUUUGUCUUCGUGAAGUCAUUGCCUGCUUGCACUACUUGUUUGACUUCACUGUGUGACUACUAUCAUUGUUUGGCUUCAUACCAUCUUCCAUCCUGAUCUGUUCUACCUAGCUGCUAUUAGUCUUCGUGCUUUCACUUCAUUGCAUACUUGACUAUGGCUUGCUUAGUGUAGUCCACCUUCCACUGCAUAUCAAUAGGUUCAUUUCUAUUUGGACGUUCAUAAGACUCGCCUAUUCACCCCCCUCUAGUCGAUAACUAGCACUUUCAAUUGGUAUCAGAGCAAGGUACUCCCUUGUUCUGUGUGAUUUGGUUUAACCACCUGAAGUUUUAGCUAUGUCGACUGCAGGGAUAAUCAAAGUCUCCGCUGCUUGCCCCGUCUUCGAUGGAACUGAAUAUCCCUACUGGAAGAAUAAGAUGCGCAUGCAUCUUGAAGCCAUUGAUGUCGACCUCUGGUAUGUCGUCAAGAAUGGCGUUCCCAAGACUGGUGAAGGUGUCACCCCUGCUGAUGUCAAGAAGUUCAUUCAACUGGAUUCUACUGCCAAGAAUAUCAUCUGUGGUCAUCUGACCAAAGGAUAGUAUGGCCGUGUGAGUGCUCUGGAAAUGUCGAAGCUAGUCUGGGACUGGCUCUCCAAGGUCAACGAAGGCGUCUCAACCCAGAGAGAUCAAAGGAUCAGUGUUCUUCGCAACCUCUUCAACCGCUUCAAGAGAAAUGACAAUGAGAAUGUCCAGCUCACGUUUGAUCGCCUCACUGACAUCACAAAUGAGCUACGUGCUCUCGGCGCCACUGAGAUCACCAAGCAUGAAAUCUGCAAGACACUACGGAGAUCACUUGACAGCUCGUUUGACACCCUUGCCCUGAUGAUACAAGAACGCCCUGACUUCAAGACACUCGAUCCGUCUGAUAUACUUGAGAGGCUCAACACACAUGAGUUCCAGCUAUCUGAGAAAAGAGAUAUCUAUGGUCCCAACUAUGGCCGAACUCGUGCUUUGAAGGCAAAAGCUGUUUCCUCAUCUGAAGAAGAAUCUGACUGCAGUUCUGAUGAUCCUGAAGAUAUUGGAAAGGAACUUGCUAUGCUUGUGAAGAAGUUCCUGAAGUUCACUAAGGAGAAGGGCUUCAGAAAGUCUUCACGAUCGAGCUCAAGAAAUGAUGAAGCUUCCACUCAUGACUACAAGAAGAGAACAUGUCACAAGUGCAAGAAACCUGGACACUACAUCUCUGAGUGUCCACAGUGGGACAAUGAGAACAACAAGAAUAAGAAGAGCAAGGAAUAUGAUUCUGAUGACAAGAAGAAGAAGAAAUCCUCAAAGUCCUCUUCCAAGUCCUCAUCCAAGUCUUCAUCUCACAAGAAGAGCUCAUCUGGCAAGGCUCGUGCCUUUGUGGGCAAGGAGAUGGAUUCAGAGGAGGAGUCUGCUUCUGAGGAGGCGGAGGUGGAGUCUGAGGAGGAGUCCGACCCUGGCAUUGCAAGUCUGGCUCUAGCUACAGCCUACGUCGCCAAGUCUAUCUUCAACACUGAAGACAAUGGCCCCGUCACCAACGCUGAUGCUAAUGACAAGGACGACUCUGCUCCCACCUACUGCUUCAUGGCACGUGGUGCCAAGGUAAAAUCACGCUAUGCUUACUUUCAAACAUCAAGUGAAGACGACUCUGAUUGUGAAUCCAAACCCAGCUACAAAACACUUGCUAAAAUUGUAGCUGAACAACAGAAAGCUAUGGAACAUACUGAAAAACUGUUAGACAAACACGAUGACCUGUUGGACGCGGAAAUGACCCGUUCUCAGUCCUUAAUUGAAUACAUAAAAAAUAUUCAUGUUAAGUACCAGGAACUUGAAAGUCGUCAUGAAACGCUCUCAACCACUCAUGAAAAGCUCUCCUAUGAUUAUCUUCAAAGGAAGCUAGAGAUUGAGAAAUUGAGAGCGGCUCAUGAAGAUCUUCAAAAAGAAAAUGAGUCACUUCGCGCUCAACAGAUCAUGAAACGCUCUCAACCACUCAUGAAAAGCUCUCCUAUGAUUAUCUUCAAAGGAAGCUAGAGAUUGAGAAAUUGAGAGCGGCUCAUGAAGAUCUUCAAAAAGAAAAUGAGUCACUUCGCGCUCAACAGAUCAGUUCCGCUCAGGAAGGAUUUGAACCACCAUGUCUAAAAUGCCUUGAGCGUGAUAACGCUACUUCUAUUGCUGAAUGUUCUACUGCUGCUACUGUUGCAAUAUCUUCAACUGUUGAUGUGGUAACUAACCCCUCUGCUGAGGAUACCACUACUAUUGCUGAUGAAAAUGCUAGGUUAAAUACAUUGCUUGAAACAGGGAUGUACAAAAGUCUCAAAGGGCAUCAGACAUUGUGCGAUGUCCUCAAAAAGCAGAUUUUGAACCAAAACCCUAGGAAAGAGGGUGUUGGGUUCGAGAGGAAAAUGAAUGUUGAUGGCUCCUACUGGAAGCCUGAGCAGUAUCCCAAAACCACAUGGGUUGCUGCAAAGGGACCUUCAGUGGAUCCAUCCACCUUAUCUGGCUUCACUUGUGCUAACCCUAUUAUCAUUGAUGAAUCCUUUGAUGCAAACUAUAAACUGUUUAAGAAUCAGAAUGGUGAAGUGUUUGCCAGGUAUAUUGGUACUAACUGCAGGAAUGGGCCACCUAUGAAGAAGAUCUGGGUUCCCAAAAGUUGUCUUGAGAAUCUUCCUGUGAAUAUCAUCAUGACACCACCUGGGAAGAAGACAAAUCUCAGACCAAAGGCUUCAUAUGGUCCAAAGGCUUCAUACAGAUACAGGACUCAACUGAGUCACCCUAACGCCAAUGUUUUGCAGGGAAAUCGUACUAAGACUUAUGAAUAUGAGCGUGUGUCUUCAAACCGCUAUGUUCGUAAAACUAAGAACUUUUCUGCUUAUUCAUAUGAGUAUCAUUCAUCUCCUGCAAGGCUAUUUGCUAGGGCUCCAAAGCCGAAGUUCUCAGAUGCUGCACUUAGACUCAUUGCUUCUAAGCCACCCCUGAAGAUGUGGGUGGUUAAGAAGAAUUAACUUUCUUUUGCAGGGAAAGGUCUCCAGCCGGAAAUCAAAGGCGUUUGAUGCUAUUGCUGGGGACCUAAAACAUCUUGUAGGGCGCAAGAUCAAAUGCCCAAAUGGUCUUACUAUGUAUUUUGUUCCUGAAUCGCUUGCCAAUCAUCCUAUCAGUCCUAAUCUUGAUCUGAGCUUUGAUAAUCCUCUUGCCCGUCAAAUGUUUAUGCUUCACAAUACUCUUGGUGAAGCCUAUCCCCCUAACUGUACUAUAGGGUAUGACACUUCAUGCUUUAGAAUGGACGAUGGACAGCGGAUGCACUAAUCAUAUGACUGGUGAUCGAAGUCUUCUCAUGGACUCAACCUUACGACCAUCUGACAAGAGUCACAUCACAUUUGCUGACACUGGUAAAAGCAAGGUAUUGGGUCUAGGUAGAGUUGCAAUCUCAAAGGAUCAGCACAUGGAUAAAGUGAUGCUUGUUGAAUCCCUUGGUUUCAACUUAAUGUCUGUCUCAAUGCUUUGUGACUUAAACAUGAUUGUGAUAUUUGGAAAAUAUCGUUGCCUUGUACUAAUGGAAUCUGACAAAUCUUUAGUCUUUGAAGGGUACCGGAAAGAUGAGCUGUACAUGGUAGAUUUCUCAGCAGGACCACAGCUUGCCGUAUGUCUUCUUGCAAAAGCUUCAGAGUGCUGGCUCUGGCAUCGGAGGCUAGGGCAUGCUAGCAUGAGGAACUUGCAUACUCUCGCAAAGAAGAAGCAUGUCAUAGGCAUCGAGGGCGUCAAGUUCAAGAAGGAUCACUUGUGCGGUGCCUGCGAAGCUGGAAAGUUGACUAGGGCCAAGCAUCCCUCGAAGACAAUCAUGACGACAUCACAACCCUUCAAGCUGCUACACAUGGACUUAUUUGGCCCUACUCACUACUCUACUCUCACUACUACUGCUUGUCUUUAUGGCUUCGUCAUUGUUGAUGAUUACUCAAGAUAUACGUGGGUGCAUAUAAUUCUCUACAAGACUGAAGUGCAGGAUGUCUUCAGACAAUUCGCCAACCGUGCCAUGAACAACUAUGGCGUCAAGAUCAAGCACAUCAGAAGUGACAACGGCACAGAGUUCAAAAACACCGGCCACGAUCUUUACUUGGAUACACUGGGAAUCACUCAUGAGUUCUCAGCUCCGUAUACACCUCAGCAGAAUGGCAUCGUGGAGCGCAAGAACAGAACGCUCAUUGAGAUGACAUGGACAAUGCUUGAUGAAUACAAGACUCCAAGAAAGUUCUGGCCUGAAGCUAUUGAUACUGCAUGCCAUGUCAUCAACCGUGUUUAUCCUCACAAGCUUCUGAAGAAAACAUCCUAUGAACUCCUCACUGGUAAGAAGCCGAAUGUCAGUUACUUCAGAGUAUUUGGUGCUAGGUGCUGGAUCAAGGAUCCACAUCACACUUCAAAAUUUGCACCGAAAGCACAUGAAUGUUUUAUGCUCGGUUACGGAAAGGAUUCGCACUCCUACAGAGUCUUCAACCUCUUUCACUAUAAAGUGGUUGAAACUAUGGAUGUGCGGUUCGAUGAGACUAACGGCUCGCAAAGAGAGCACCUGCCAAAUGUGCUAGAUGAUGUUCCACCUAGUGAAUCCAUCAAGCUCAUGGGAACUAGAGAAAUCAUACCGUCUGAAGCACAGCCUGAAGAGGAACUUAUCAUUUCUGCACCUAAUCAACCAGAAGACAGUGCUCAGCCCGAAGACAAUCCUCCUAACGAUGACAAUGAUCAGCAAGAGCAAAAUCUUUGUCCGGUUCAUCCUCGUGUUGCAACUGAAGUACAGAUUGAGAAGAUAAUUGAUAGCAUCAAUGCGCCUGGUCCACUCACUCGUUCAAGAGCAACACAGCUAGCAAAUUUUUGUGGGCACUUUGCAUUUGUCUCAAUAUCUGAACCCAAGAAAGUCGCUGAAGCCUUCAUGGAACUUGAAUGGAUUCAAGCCAUGCAAGAAGAGCUUCAACAGUUCAAGCUGAACAAUGUCUGGGAACUUGUCAAGCGUCCUGACCCCCGCAAGCACAACAUAAUAGGCACACAAUGGAUAUAUCGCAACAAGCAAGAUGAGCAUGGUUAAGUUGUCAGAAACAAGGCUCGUCUCGUUGCUCAAGGAUACACUCAAGUUGAAGGGAUUGACUUCGAUGAAACAUUUGCUCCUUUGGCUAGGCUUGAAGCUAUUCGCAUAUUGCUAGCCUAUGCAAAUCAUCACAACAUCCUGCUGUAUCAAAUGGAUGUGAAGAGUGCAUUUCUCAAUGGAAAGAUUGAAGAAGAAGUGUAUGUUGCACAACCUCCUGGCUUUGAAGAUCCAAAACAUCCUGAUAUGGUGUACAAACUAAACAAGGCACUGUAUGGCCUCAAACAAGCCCCUCGCGCUUGGUAUGAUACACUCAAAGACUUCCUGAAGAGCAAAGGCUUCAAACUUGGUUCCCUGGAUCCCACACUCUUCACGAAGACAUAUGAUGGUGAACUAUUUGUAUGCCAAAUAUACGUGGAUGACAUUAUCUUCGGCUGCACCAACCAAAAAUACAGUGAUGAGUUUGGACACAUGAUGCAAGAGCAAUAUCAGAUGUCCAUGAUGGGUGAGCUGAAGUUCUUCCUUGCUCUUCAAAUCCGUCAACAAAGCAAUGGCAUCUUCAUAUCUCAAGAGAAAUAUCUCAAAGAUUGCCUGAAGAAGUUUGGAAUGCAAGACUGCAAAGGUUACACGACGCCAAUGCCAACCAAGAGUCAUUUGGGUCCUGAAGCCAAUGGUAAAGAGUUCGAUCAAAAGGUAUACCGCUCCAUGAUUGGUUCUUUACUUUAUUUAUGUGCAUCUAGGCCAGAUAUUAUGCUUAGUGUUUGCAUGUGUGCUCGAUUUCAAGCGGCACCAAAGGAAUCACAUCACUUAGCUGUGAAGCGAAUUCUUCGAUAUUUGGCUUACACCCCAACAUUAGGAUUAUGGUAUCCAAAGGGCUCAGAGUUUGAUCUAGUUGGAUUCUCGGAUGCUGAUUAUGCUGGUGACAAGGUGGAUCGCAAGUCUACAUCAGGCACAUGUCACUUUCUGGGACGAUCACUUGUCUGUUGGUCUUCAAAGAAGCAGAACUGUGUAUCACUCUCCACUGCUGAAUCUGAAUACAUUACUGCUGGAUCUUGUUGCGCUCAGCUUCUAUGGAUGAAGCAAACACUCAAGGACUAUGGCAUCCAUCUGAAACAAGUACCACUAUACUGCGACAAUGAAAACGCCAUCAAGAUUGCCAACAACCCAGUUCAGCACUCGAAGACAAAGCACACUGAAAUUCGUCAUCACUUUCUCAGAGAUCAUGUCAUGAAGGAAGAUAUUGAUAUCAUACACGUCAACACUGAAGAGCAACUGGCAGAUAUCUUCACAAAGCCCUUGGAUGAGAAAAGGUUUUGCAAGUUGCGGUGUGAGCUAAAUAUCUUGGAAUCCUCAAAUGUCCUGUGAUCAGGCACAUCUCCUAACACUUAUGCAUGUUGAUGACUUCGAUGUGCAACACACGAAGUAAAGUAUAUCUUCAAUCAAUGAAGACUUACACUCUAAGUGUGAAUACAUUAACGCGAAAUUUGACUUCGGAGCGCCACAAUAAUUGUGCGCCGUGUCUGGGUCUAAUACUUCCUAUACGGUGGGUAACACCACCACCAAAUUUUUCUGUUUGAAGUGUUUUUCUCAUGGCGUUACAUUUGCUAUGUCUUCGCAUUUGGUUUGUCUUCAAUAUCAACAUGACUUCAUGUUUUUCUUCACAAUGAUGAUUUGGUUUCAUUCUGAUAUAUACAUAUACAUAUAUUAGUGUUCUGUCCUCUACAGCAUUCACUUAUAGCUAUGUCUUCUUGUUUGAAUCUUUUGAACUAAGUGAACUAGAUGAUUCCCCGCGCGUUGCUGCGGGACUUUGUUGUGGAUUUUCUGUGACAUCACUACAUCAAAUAAGAAAAUAACUUGAACAAAUAAUAUGAUAGAUUUUUCCAUAGGGAGUUGUGAAUGGCUGCCGAACAACACAACCCACUAUCGAAACAUGGACCCUAAAUAAUAAGCAAUACAACAUGGCAAGCAUUCACACAAUGGUAAGACGACAAAUUUCCAAAAAAAAGUAUGUACUGUAUUGACAUAGUUCAAGCAAAUACAUAUAGAAGCAAGAAUGUUGAGCCCCCCAAGCUGUAAGGGCUUAAAGAUGGCUCCUGGAAGAUGGGUCACUAAACAUUAUUUGUGUGAAAACAGUACUACAUACACCUGCAAGCUACCAAGAAGAGAAGUGAACGACAUAAGCUUACGGAAUACGGAUAUGGGAAAAAGGGUCAAAUUUGGUGCUUGCAAAGAUGAGUAUUUUUAGUUUGGCUGUUGAGUCAGUGAACUCAUGUGUUAAGAUGCUGUUUUGAUUGAUACCAAGAAUACAUGAGAUCUCAUGUGCUUUUAGAUAAAGUGAUAGAUAUAAUACAUGAGAACUUGAGAUCUCAAGUACUUCAUCAACCUAACUAACCUCUAUUAAGUUAUCUACGGUACUUUUUCAGCUCGUGCAACCAGGGUUGGUCAUGGGAUUAGAACAGGUGGCAAUGGUGUGUGCGUGGCGUGGUCCGCGAGUACGUCCAUGACCUUGUAGAACCGCGACCCCCAAUCUUAUAACCACAAGGGUAAAUUAGAAAGAUUAUCAAAAACUCAGUACCGACUAACAAAAUAAUAUGGUCCCUUGUAUUGUGCUCCACAUGCUAGUUAACCUUAAAACUGUUCUCAGAAAGUGUCUCAUUAAAUUGAUUUAAUUAAUAACAUGUUAAUACAUAAGUGCUCCACAUGCUAGUUAACCUUAAAACUGUUCUCAGAAAGUGCCUCAUUACAUUGAUUUAGUUAAUAACAUGUUAAAUACAUAAGGCGGGGAACAUGCAAAGACAUGGAUGUGUCUCAUAAAUUCAUAGUACGAACAUUGAUUCACUGAAUUCAAUAUAGGUAAAGUCUCAAGUUCACCAUAGUAAUCUGACAACAAAAGAGAGAACCUGGCAUAUAGAGGGGAUCGUGACGGGUCGCAGGCAAUGUCGAGGGCACAGCUGGGUCCUGGCCUAAUACGUUUCCCACCCUCCCGUUAGUGAUUGCAAGAGAAACCUGCAUGAAAAGGUGGCCUGAUAAGGACAAUUCUAAUUCAGCAACUUAGUAGUAAUUUAUUGAUGACUAAACAAACUGUAUUGACCACGUAGGUAUGCUAAUAUGGCUGUAGUUCUACCUGUAGACUAAAGAUGGUCAAAAAUUCGGUAAUAUCCAUGUAGAAAAUCAUGGAUGCACACCAUUUGAUCAGUUGGUAGCAGUGAACACCAAAGUAAGAGAGCAUUUUAUGUAGCUUCAGAUAGUAAGCAGCAAAGUAACAGUGGCAAUACAUGGUCGCAUCAAGGCUCUUUUUGGGUAUGCAUUUAUAGAUAAGUCAAUUUGACCUGCAGCUUUAGGAAGACAGUUAAAUUUAAGAGCGAAAUAUCAGUAUAGCAGUCAGAUCGAUAGUAUCAAGUUUCAGCAUCUCUAUAAUCUGAUAUUUGCAUCAACCAAGCAUGAAUAUUGCAACACGGUAUCUCUGCAGCUUGUGCAGUUAUACAAACAUCAAUUGUAAAAUCUCUGUAUUAAGAACGGACCUGUAAAAAACAAAAAACUGGAUGUCCGAGACCAGAAUCAACGAACGCCGCGAGUAAGAAGGUGUAGGGAGAACCUUGCAUGGAGAAGGACAGUAGCAAAAUGGCCACCCACCCACCCACCCGCCCGCCGCCACCCUAAAACCCUAGCCCACUCACCGCCGGCGAUCUCCACGUCUGACCGUGGGAUCACUCAUCGAAUCCGGCCAUCGUGUUCGGCGUCGUCUGCUCCCUCUUUUGGUUGUCAUCUCAAUGGCGGUACAUGCUUCCAUCUCCCUAGGUUUGGAUUUCUCAGCGGGGAUGAGCAUGGCGCAUGAGAUCGGCCGCUUGUUUCACCGCACGGUCCAUCCUACGGAUCGAUCUGGCCACUUUGUCCUGGUGGCUUCAUUUGCAUGGCACUCUUUCCAUUUGGACGAGGACAAUGUGGGCUUGGCACUUGAAUCAGCCAUUGGUGGAUAUUGUUCUGCUCUCAAGGUAUCUCAACUGCAUGAUCGUGUUUUCUCUUUCAAUGUUUCGUGCAAAGAAGUUGGGUUUUUUAUCUUGCAUCAAAGGAGUUUUGUCUACCCGCAAUUCAAAUGUUACUUUCAUCUUUGGGGUCAUGGUGGCCCAGAUUGGGAAAAAGAAUUUAGGUUAUGGCAAUCUGAAUGUGAUCAGGAGUGGACUUUGAUUAGUCCCUCUAAGAAGAGAGCUAGGUUAGGAUUGGAAGCCAUGCAACAUGCCCCAAGGAAAUCUUCUCUCUGUACUCAAUCAGCUAGAUCUAAGCAUUCCAAGCAUAUUCAAUUUGCCACGUUCAUGCAAUACCCGACUAGAAAAGGUUAUAAUUAUGGGCCUACGUCUGAUGAGGUCACAAUUGUCCGGGAGGCAGGCUAUGUGGUCUCUGGGCAUGAAGCUGUUUCUUCUACGUCGUCGGCAUCUUCGCCGGUACCUGUUUCUUCUUCGUCAUCGGCAUCUUCGCCGCCGGCGUGCCCAGUCAUUCAGUUUGGAACGUUGCCGCCAUCCCCGCAGGGAUCCCAUGCAUGCGACAAGUCUGGAUUUUCGGGUGGUCUAUUGUUACCUGCCACGGCAAGUUUAGACUCGCCCGUAUUGCCUUCUGUUGCAUCUUUGGACCUUGUCACGGCCCUGGGCUCUAGUGCCCAGCCCAUCUACCUAUCGGAUGAUGAAGUUGAAAGCCCAUCUUCGCCGGCGAUUCAGUUUCCCUCUCCAAAAGAUAUUGUUGAUGAUCUGCAGAGUUUUGAUGAGAUGAUUGAGGAUUUAGCUGCAAGCUAUUGGGACUACCAGAAUUGUUUGGGCAUGCGCCACACGUCAGAGACCUGCACAAACCUGAUACGGUGCAGAAAUUGUUUUCGUUCCGGUCAUAUUAAAAAAGAUUGCACCGGUCACGCUCCUGACUUAUCCCUUUGGGUGCCCAAAGUCCCAUCACCUUGCUUUGGAAAUCAUGAGAGGAAGGAAAUUUACUCUGCUUCCCUUGCCUCUUCGGUUUCCCAAGAACAAACGCCUCCCCAGCAUAAAACCCCACCUCCUGCUACUCCACCGUCAUCGCCAUUGCCACGCCCGCCGCCGCAAACCACAUAUCACCAAGCAGCAUCAAGCUCUGAUCCUCGCCCGCCUCCCCCAAUGGCGGUGUAUGAGAUCGAUCCGUUUUGCUUCAUCCCUGCUGGCUUCGACAUUGUGGAUGGUGGUGCGGAUCGUCUGCCGCGCACCUACUACACUCCGGCGAUCCCUCCCCCCCCGAGUGCAUGAGCAGUACAUGGUGGCAAUCGUUGAGCCCGUCCCCCCGGCUCAUCUGGUUGGUGCUCGUCGGCAGGAGGUGCUUAACUUCUUAGUUCAGACCAUGCAUGUUCCUGUCCUCUCUGCUCAAACUUGGUUUCAAGGAGUUGGUUUAUUCAAGAUGGAAGAUCCUGUGGUCCGUGACUCUUUCACUUCGCAUCCGCCUUUUCCUUUGGGUUUAGAUGAGGAUGGCCAGGAGUUCUUCGUCAGAUUAAUUUUGCAUAACCAGGGAGAGGGUUUCAGAGCUCUACAUGGACACAUACAUGGUUGGUUGAUGUUUAUUGGCAUACCUCUGGAUUACCGUAAUACACAGUGCAUUGCGGAUAUGGUUAGUACCUUUGAUCAGUUCCACUACUGGAAUAGUAUAGAUCGUCAGAAAGUCAGAUCAUUGGUUCGAGCUUCGUUCCCUGACAAUGCGCUGGUUCCACGCUCGGUUGCUUUUAGGGAAUUUCCUAAUUGGGGCGGUACUCUAGUUUCUUGGACGGCUGGCUGCUAUAUCCUGGAUGGUGACUUUGCUGAGGCUAUGGUUCCAGCGGAUGAGGACCCUAUGCCCCUAGAUGGCAACCCACAUCCCAUGCCAGGCGCUAAUGCUCCCCCUCAGCCAUUCUGGGCCAUGCCGCCGUACCCUGCUUUGGGUUGGAAUGCGGUGCCCCCUGGUCAUGAUCAAGGACACAAUGAUGCUCAAGGAUGGGGACAGAACUUGAACAAUGAAGGUGGUUGGGGGCCUUGGGAGGAAGCCAACCAGCCCGCCCAUGAACCUGUACAGGACCCAAUCGUACAGGACCAAAACUCCAUGAUCCUCAAUCCAUCCAUGAAUUCUGAUGAUGAUGCUGACAUGGAAGAUGUUCAGGAGCCUUUGGUCCAUGUUCAUCCAGCGGGGCCGCUCGAUCCUAUCAACCUGGGUAUUGUCAGGGUGUUCUAUGGGCCGGUGCCACCACCAGCAAUGAUUUGGGAAAAAUCUUUCAAGUCCUUGAUGCCAGAGUUCUUAAUCAUGAAUAUUCCAGCCUUUCUGCCAGGCCUUUGCUUGCCGCCCUUGCCUGUUAAGUUGAGCUCGCCUCUUUUGGAGCAAUGCUGGCACUCCCUGGCUUUCUACAAGACUGAUUUCUGCACUCAACCACGCCCCUCUAUUGUACUUCAAGACAUACCAGAUGAUUCGCAGGACCCUGCCUCUCAAGCAAUGGAUCAUUCCCAGGAUGAGUUCCUGUUCAGAUCUGUCACCCCCUCGCCCUUGGGGAAGAGACCACGGCAAGCUCGUCACUCCAAGCGUGAUGUUCAGAUCGUUCAAGAGUUGGCUGAUUUUUCUGUCAGACGGAUGACACGCAACUGUGCAAAAAGGACUGGCAUGAAGCCCACCUCUGCAAUUCCUGUGAAGCCUACUCCUCUCCGUCGCCCAAGGCCAAGAAGCUCAAGCUCGACGCGGAUGCAGGCCAAGAUACUCCUCUGCCACCUCCGACGCUGAUCGCUACAAUGCAGGCAAUCGGCUCUUCACUUGUGUAACGCCCACGAUGCGGCUAUAUCUCCCACGUGUCGAGGCACGACUUAGAGGCAUAACCGCAUUGUGGUUUUGUCGCAAGAAGGGUCAUCUUCACACAAUCCCAUGUAAUGAACAAGAAUGGGAUAAAUAGAGUUGGCUUACAAUCGCCACUUCACACAAUACAUAAAUUAAUUCAUACAUCAUCCAAAAUCCACACAUAGACCGACUACGGUCAAAUCCAAAUGAAAAGAAGAUAACCCCAAAUGCUAGAUCCCCGAUCGUCCCAACUGGGCUCCACUACUGAUCAUCAGGAAACGAAACAUAGUAACGACCAAGUUCUUCGUCGAACUCCCGUUAGAGCUCGGUAGCAUCACCUGCACUGGUAUCAUCGGCACCUGCAACUGUUUGGAAGUAUCUGGUGAGUCACGAGGACUCAGCAAUCUCACACCUGCGAGAUCAAGACUAUUUAAGCUUAUGGGUAGGAGAAGGUAGUGAGGUGGAGCUGCAGCAAGCACUAAGCAUGUAUGGUGGCUAACAUACGCAAAUAAGAGCGAGAAGAGAAGCAACGGAACGGUCGUCAACUAGUAAUGAUCAAGAAGUGAUCCUGAACUCCUACUUACGUCAAACAUAACCCACAAACCGUGUUCACUUCCCGGACUCCGCCGAAAAGAGACCAUCACGGUUACACACGCGGCUGAUGCGUUUUAGUUAAGUCAAGUGUCAAGUUCUCUACAACCGGACAUUAACAAAUUCCCAUCUGCCACAUAACCGCGGGCACGGCUCUCGAAAGUUUAUACCCUGCAGGGGUGUCCCAACUUACCCCAUUAUAAGCUCUCACGGUCAACGAAGGAUAUUCCUUCUCCCGGGAAGACCCGAUCAGUCUCGGAAUCUCGGUUUACAAAACAUUUCGACAAUGGUAAAACAAGACCAGCAAAGCCGCCCGAAUGUGCCGACAAAUCCUGAUAGGAGCUGCACAUAUCUCGUUCUCAGGGCACACCGGAUUGUCCAAACUUCCGGUAGGCGAGCCCAGAGUUGCCCCUGGUGGCCACCGGUGGCUGACAGGUUGGACCAACACUCAGAGGAGCACUAGCCCAGGGGUUCAAAAUAAAGAUGACCCUUGAGUCUGCAGAACCCAAGGGAAAAAAAGGCUUAGGUGGCAAAUCUUAAAACCAAGGUUGGGCCUUGCUGGAGGAGUUUUAUUCAAGGCGAACUGUCAAGGGGGUCCCAUAAAUCACCCAACCGCGUAAGGAACGCAAAAUCAAGGAACAUAACACCGGUAUGACGGAAACAGGGCGGCAAGAGUGGAACAAAACACCAGGCAUAAGGCCGAGCCUUCCACCCUUUACCAAAUAUAUAGAUGCAUUAAUAAAAUAAGAGAUAUUGUGAUAUGCCAAAAUAUCCAUGUUCCAACAUGGAACCAACUUCAACUUCACCUGCAACUAGCAACGCUAUAAGAAGGGCUGAGCAAAAGCGGUAACUUAGCCAAACAACGGGUUGCUAGGAAAGGAUGGUUAGAGGAUUGACAUGGCAACAUGGGAGGCAUGAUAUAGCAAGUGGUAGGUAGCGCAACAUAGCAAUAGAACGAACAACUAGCAAGCAAAGAUAGAAGUGAUUUCGAGGGUAUGGUCAUCUUGCCUGAAAUCCCGCAAGGAAGAAGAACGAGUCCAUGAAGAAGACAAACGGACGUAGUCGAAUGAAUCCUCACAAACGCAACAUUACUGGAACUAUCAAGGGGAAGCGCAACCGGAAAGAAGCAAACAACAUGGUAAACAACCAUCACAUAAGCAUGGCAUGAUGCACAAUCAAGUAUGAUGCAUGUCCGGUUUAAAGAGGCAUGGCAAGGUGAAGCAAACAAUACUACAAUUUAAGUGGAGCUCAAUAUGCAACGGGUUGCAUAUUGACGAAACACCACAUCAAUUAUUUAGUUCGCUCUUGUUUAUGCUACUCAUCAAUAUUAAAUGUUGGUUAACAUGGCAAGAGGUGAGGCUUAACAAAACUACCUAUCUAGGCAAAUUUAAAUGAGGCCGGAACAACAAACAACAAUUCCGGAAAAUCCUCAUGUGCAUAUUUUAUAUUUGGUACUGUUCUGCCUAAAACCAUAUUUUAAUGGUAUUAAACAGUAAAACAAAGUGCACCAUGUUAAUCUAUGCAUUUUUCCACUCCAAUUACGUAUAAAGUUUAUUUAAUUCGGAGCUACGGUUAUUUAAAUAUGAAAUAAAUCUUUUUAGCAUGGCAUUUGAGCAAAUUUAAUCAAACAGCAAUUUAAACAUUUCAAACAUGGAUGAAAGUAGCAUAUUAUGAAACUAGAAAAAAUUCUAAGCAUUUUACAUGUCUAAAUCAUUUUAAUCCGAUGCACGGUUGUUGAGUUAUUAAAUGCAUGAUGUUGAGGGUUUUUCUGUAAAACUGCAGUUCCUGGAAAAAUAGUUAAAAUCGUUCCGUGGAAAAAAACAUGAAUCGGGCCGAAUCUGCUGGCCCAACAGUGCACAGAGGGGGCGCUGGAUCUGAUGCUCACCAUGGGUUUGGCCCGGGUCGGUGGAGAGGGGAGGCAGGGCGAAGUGGGGCUGGAGACGCGUUGGGCCUUCGCGCCCUUGCAGCCCACGCACGCGACGAGGAGGCACGAGGCAGCAGGCGUCGCCCUUCUUUGCUUGAUGCAGAGACUGAAGCCGACCGCGGUGGCUUCAGGUGAGACAGGGGACGACAUCUACGCGGGGAACGCAAGGAGGCGGCGGAGACGAGCGGAACCAGACGCGUGAUGGUGUUCUCCGGCGAGGUGGCACGCGGGCGAAGCUGAAGGUUGCGGCGCAUGUUCUCUGUUCAAAUGCAGAGAAGGUUUCAGAGAGAUAAAGAAAUCGGGGUGGAAACAAGAAGGCCGUGAGGAGGCUUGCUGACCAGCGAAGGAAUGGCCAGGAUCCGGCGGAUCCUGAUGCGAUCGAGGCUGGGGAACGGCGAGGCCGGAUGGAUCCACCUCGGACCCGGCGAGGCAGCUUGAGCUCGGCGGCUGGACUCGUUCUGUAGGCAAACAGAGAGGGAGAGAUAUUUAGAGAAGCAGAACGAAAAGGGAAAGAAGAGAGAAGGCGAGGGCGACGGGCGCGCGACUUGCAGGGCUCCGGCGACGAGGCAACGCGGCGGCCACGGACUUGGCGAAGCAGGGGAGCUCCGGGACAUGCGGGACGCGGGGAUGGACGCUGGAGGACGGAUCCGUCCGUCUCCCGGCUGGCCUGGUGCAAACGGCGGCGAGGGAGCUGCGGCCAACCAUGGCUGUUCCUGGUACAGAGAGGGAGAGGCAUGAGAGACGAGGGAGAGGUGCGGCGGCCUGCUCGUACUCGAUGGCGAAGGGACGAAGCAGCAUCGGCGGUGGCGCUCGCCGGCACGGUGCUGGAGACGGCAGAUGCAAGGGCAAGGGAGGAGCACGACGCAGGGGCUCCUCGGGCUCAGACGUGAGGAAGGAGGAGGCAACUGCGGGCUGGUUGGUCCGAUGAAGAAAAUGAGGGAGGAUUUUUGGAUCGGGAGGGGAUCCCGAGGUGGGAGACGACCAGGUGGAGUGUGGCGGCGGCUAGGAGGACAAGGGGGUGGAUUUCUACGGUUAUCCAAAAUGGACUAGGAAUUGACUAUAAAUAUGGAAAGGAGGGAAGUUUGGAUCUUCUGAUUGAAAUCUGACGGACGAGAAUAAAUAGGCUACGGAGUCCAAUAAAUAAAACAAUCAUAUCUUAGGGAUACUUGGAGAUGAUCCGGAUCCAUCGGUAACGACAGCCGGGUUCGGGUUCAGGGAAGUUUUGGAAGCGCACACGAGGGGGUCUGUGCACUAUACAGAGAGACUCCAGUUUAGGCAAGAGGGAAACGGAGAACAAGGUUGGCUCAGAACGGUCAACAAAAGCAAGGGGGGAUGCGGCAACUACGAGUAGAUGCGAGUUUUAAAAAGAAUGACGACAACGAGUGCCGAUGCAAUGCGGAUGAUGCCAUGAUGAAAUGCAACAAACAAAAUAAAACACACGACGGCAACGAAGAACAUUGAAGGCUUCUGAAGCGUCGGUCUUGGGGCGUUACAACACUCCACCACUACAAGAGGAUCUCGUCCCGAGAUCUAAGGACGGCACCGGAGAAAAGCGGAAGAGGAAGAGAAGAGGUAAAGCUAAGUUGCUUCUUUGACAAACGAGUGAAACCACGAACCUUGAGAGAUUGAAUGAAUGAAAAGAGAGAAUACAAGGGAGAUGAACGAGAUUGAAAACACUCCGUUAUCAAAGAGGAACAAGGAACAUUGCGAGAACCUUUGUAGGUUGAAUAAUAUGAAACAAGAGCUUAACGGAUCAGAAGGAAUAUGAAAGCACACCGGUAGAAAAGAGAAACAAGGAACACCAUGUGAACCUUGGAGUUUGCAAAGCUAUGAAUGACGAGAACAAUGGACGAGAAGUACAUGCAAGCACUCAGGUUGAAACGAGAUGUACAAGGAACGAUAAGGAUCAAUUACGAUAACGCUCCGGUUGGAAAAUGGAAGGGAUAGAAUAUGAACUUGGCAAAAUGAAAGCACUUGGACGAGACUCCGGUUAAAAUAGGAAUGAUAGACACAACACUCCGGUUAAAUGGAUAAGUAAGAAAAGAACACGAUCCUCACAAUUCGAUAUGAUGAGCGAAGAGAGCAACAUCACCAUGCCUCCGGAAGAAAAAAUAGAAGAUAGAUCAUUGGAAUAAAGGAAUGGAGAAGAAAAUGCCAACUUCUGCCACCAAUGAUCUUGGAAAGCACCCUUCCAAGAAUGUUAGAACGGAGUUGUUGGAAAAAACCAACAACGAAACGAAUAAGCUUGUAGUGGGCUAAUGGAAACAUCUCAACAUUAUGAGGUGACAAACGGCCACUAAAGGAAGACAUUGGUUUGAGUGAGAGCACCAAGGCGAUGAAAAACUUCUUUCACCAAGAGGAUAGGAGAAAACUUGGAUCAUUGAUAAGCACCAUAAUAGCAACAUUCCUUAGGGAAGGCUUUAAGUGAAACAUGACACAAGAUAAAUCCAACGAAGAGAUUGGUGGAUUUAAAAUAUCUCAUUCUUGACAACAUGUGAAUCAUGAAACGCGAACUCAAAUUGUCAAGAAUGACAUAACACCACCUCAAAUGAUAAGGUAGAAUGAAUUGCACUUUAGAAUGCAAGAUGAAGAAUGCUUGGAAUCCACAAAACAAAACAUGUGUUGAGCACCAUGUUUAUUUUGAAGUAUGGCUUGACAGUUCAUAGCUUCGAGAGAAAUCUUGAAGAACAAUUGAAGAAUGAAAGGAAUCCUUGACGAAGCACCAUGUAGAGCCUCCAUGAAGAACUCCGGUCAAACCAGGAUGAUAGAAAGAGAUAGAAGUUGAAAACACAAGGUGAAGCCUUGCGAUGAUUUAGAUGUAGCUUCGCGACGAGAUAAUGCGAAAAAACUUGGAACUUCGGAAAAGAAAAGAUGAAUCAUCCGGAAUCGAGAAUGUGAUAUGAUGAACAACUCUGGAAAGAAGGAACUAGAUCACUUGGAUGAAAAAUAAUAAGAAUUACGUUAUGCGUAUCCUUCACCAAUUUAAAUUGAUGACAAGCAACGGAUUUGGCAUACUACUUAUUUUUGUAGAAAGGAUUAAGAUAGAUAUGGCGCAAAGUUGGGAAGGUCUUCAACGAACCACCGGUAGGAUUGAAAAGAACGAAUGAAUCUAUAUGAUAACGAAGGAAGAGAAUUCUUGAACGAACCACCGUAAGAAUUGAAAAUGAACGAAGAAAAGAUAAAGAAACACCGGGAAGAAUUAGAAAAUGAACGAAGAAACUUGAGAGAAUUUAGAUAAAAGUGAACGAAGAGAUCAUGAGCUGAUUAGAGAAUACUUGAACGAUGCACCGGAAGAAUAUGGAGAUGAACGAAGAGACAUCAAUUUAGAAUAAUUGGAGAACGAGGCUGAAAACUUAGAACGAAGAAAUCUUCUGAAAUGAUGGCCUUUGGAUGAUCAAGAAACAAAAACAACUCAUGAAAUGCUCCAGAUGGGUAUGAAAAGAAUUUUCACAAUCGAAAAACAAUUAUGAGAGGAUGGCAUAAGCUAGAACUAUGAAUCUUCAAGAGAAUGGACAAGAUUUAAGAGAAACUCUUCUUCGGUCUUCAAAUGUUGAGAAUGACGAUGAGAAACACCACCAUGAAUUGUUGAGGCACUCCGCAAUGAAAUUAGAAAGGUUGAACCAACGAUGAAAAGAAUUUGAAAGAUCUUGGAGAAGGAGUAUGACUGAUGAUACUUCAUUCUUACAUCAAACUUCUAAAAGAAUUUGGGAAUAGCUCCGAAAAGAAUUAGAAGAGUCAGGUAAGAUCCUGGGAAAAGACCUAUGGGUUAGGGCCCACUCAAAAGAUACACCGUUGAAUGACUAAAAGAAAGAUUGCGCCGGUUGAAUUAAAUGGCUCAAAAGAGAUAACAACCUCGAGAUAGCUUGAAUGGAUUGGGAAUGGAAAUGCGAAUCUUCUGAGAUAUCUUCAGCACUCCAGAUAACAUGAAUAGCAAGAGGUGGAUGAUUAAGAGAUGCACCGACAUGAGAAAGCAUUUGAAACAAGGAAAGGAAUGUGAUUAACCCCGAAAACUUGAAUUGAAUCCACCGGAGAAGAAAAGAGAAUGAUGAACUUGAAGCUCCGUUAGUAUCUUCCUGAGAAUCACCGGAUAAGAACAUUGACGGAAAAGGAUGGAGAGACUUCCCAUCAAUAAAAAGGAUACUUGGUUAAGAAAUCUUAGUCCUUGAAGAAAAAGGGUGGGAGGGCGGGAAAACAAAGACAAUUUGGGACGGAUGAAACAAACAACGUUGGGAAAAACUGAGAGGUGAUCUUGUGAAUGUUGAAAUGAUCGGAUCCACUUGAAGAGAAGCACACCGGUUGAAAAGAAUUAAUAUGACAACCUCGAUGAUCGAAAGGAUUAGCAACCACAUAGAAAUAUGAGAACACCACUUAGAAUAAGGUAUGGAAUCAACACUUCGCAUUGAAGCAACUCGAAUACCACAAAACAAAACAACAACAAAGGAUUGGCUCGCAAAAUAAGCCAGAACAAACAUAUGAUAGAUAUUUCAUCCGAAGUUUUCGUGGUGGGGCCCACACGGGCUCGAUCGUACAGCACCAUCAUGUACAAGGCAGUGCACAUGACAUACGAAGCGUCCCCGAGUCGGCAUAGCCAAGGAAUCUUUAAGACACUACGAGACCACUGUAAAACCAACCGUGGAUAGGCAGACCACUAGACGUCGAACCCCAAUCUCAUAUCAUGCUUCUGUCGGAAAGAUAUCCUAUGAGCUACUUGAAUUCCCACUUAUAAACUCCCGAAACUUUCUGGUUAUGCAAUCAGGUGUUGGGGAUAUAGGGGACGCAAUAUAUCUCACCCAAACUAACAAUACCUAGAUCCAGCUGUAUCCAUCCCUCAACACAUAACCAACAAACCUUCGGAAAUCAUUUACCUCAACCUUCGAAAAGCAUCCGUUAUACGAGUUAUGGCAAUACUCCCGAACUCCCGCCCCAGUACUGGGUGGCGUCGAGGUGAUCUCACCAACAACUGCAUAAAAGAGAUUUUCGAUGUCGGCGAAAAAAACUCAGGUAUUCCAGAACUGCAACGAUAAAAUUGUGACGACAACACCUCGGAGCUCAACUCCCCGGGACACUGCCACAACCCCUAAAUGUCAGGAGGCACCAAGAACAAUGUUCUCGUCACAAAACCAUUGGAACGAUUCCAAGAUACCCGCGUGAUCCUAAAAAAAAAUUCGUGAAAUUUGAGGAGAGGAGAGCCAAAACUUCUACGUCAGGGGGCCUCACCAGAGAGAUGAAGGGACUGAGGAGUAAAAAGAAUCCUACUCUCCGAUAUAUAUAAUCCUAAGACUCAAAACAUUUUUGUUCUAGACUCAACAACACCAGCGAUUCGAUCAAGCAGGGGGCUCCUAAGUCGGCGAUGGCUCUGAUACCAACUUGUAACGCCCACGAUGCGGCUAUAUCUCCCAUGUGUCGAGGCACGACUUAGAGGCAUAACCGCAUUGUGGUUUUGUCGCAAGAAGGGUCAUCUUCACACAAUCCCAUGUAAUGAACAAGAAUGGGAUAAAGAGAGUUGGCUUAUAAUCGCCACUUCACACAAUACAUAAAUUAAUUCAUACAUCAUCCAAAAUCCACACAUAGACCGACUACGGUCAAAUCCAAAUGAAAAGAAGAUAACCCCAAAUGCUAGAUCCCCGAUCGUCCCAACUGGGCUCCACUACUGAUCAUCAGGAAACGAAACAUAGUAACGACCAAGUUCUUCGUCGAACUCCCGUUAGAGCUCGGUAGCAUCACCUGCACUGGUAUCAUCGGCACCUGCAACGGUUUGGAAGUAUCUGGUGAGUCACGACGACUCAGCAAUCUCACACCCGCGAGAUCAAGACUAUUUAAGCUUAUGGGUAGGAGAAGGUAGUGAGGUGGAGCUGCAGCAAGCACUAAGCAUGUAUGGUGGCUAACAUACGCAAAUAAGAGCGAGAAGAGAAGCAACGGAACGGUCGUCAACUAGUAAUGAUCAAGAAGUGAUCAUGAACUCCUACUUACGUCAAACAUAACCCACAAACCGUGUUCACUUCCCGGACUCCGCCGAAAAGAGACCAUCACGGUUACACACGCGGUUGAUGCGUUUUAAUCAAGUCAAGUGUCAAGUUCUCUACAACCGAACAUUAACAAAUUCCCAUCUGCCACAUAACCGCGGGCACGGCUCUCGAAAGUUUAUACCCUGCAGGGGUGUCCCAACUUAGCCCAUUAUAAGCUCUCACGGUCAACGAAGGAUAUUCCUUCUCCCGGGAAGACCCGAUCAGUCUCGGAAUCCCGGUUUACAAAACAUUUCGACAAUGGUAAAACAAGACCAGCAAAGCCGCCCGAAUGUGCCGACAAAUCCUGAUAGGAGCCGCACAUAUCUCGUUCUCAGGGCACACCGGAUUGUCCAAACUUCCGGUAGGCAAGCCCAGAGUUGCCCCUGGUGGCCACCGGCGGCUAACAGGUUGGACCAACACUCAGAGGAGCACUGGCCCGGGGAUUUAAAAUAAAGAUGACCCUUGAGUCUGCAGAACCCAAGGGAAAAAGGCUUAGGUGGCAAAUGUUAAAACCAAGGUUGGGCCUUGCUGGAGGAGUUUUAUUCAAGGCGAACUGUCAAGGGGGUCCCAUAAAUCACCCAACCGCGUAAGGAACGCAAAAUCAAGGAACAUAACACCGGUAUGACGGAAACUAGGGCGGCAAGAGUGGAACAAAACACCAGGCAUAAGGCCGACCUUCCACCCUUUACCAAAUAUAUAGAUGCAUUAAUAAAAUAAGAGAUAUUGUGAUUUGCCAAAAUAUCCAUGUUCCAACAUGGAACCAACUUCAACUUCACUUGCAACUAGCAACGCUAUAAGAAGGGCUGAGCAAAAGCGGUAACUUAGCCAAACAACGGUUUGCUAGGAAAGGAUGGUUAGAGGCUUGCCAUGGCAACAUGGGAGGCAUGAUAUAGCAAGUGGUAGGUAGCGCAGCAUAGCAAUAGAACGAACAACUAGCAAGCAAAGAUAGAAGUGAUUUCGAGGGUAUGGUCAUCUUGCCUGAAAUCCCGCAAGGAAGAAGAACGAGUCCAUGAAGAAGACAGACGGACGUAGUCGAAUGAAUCCUCACAAACGCAAUAUUACCGGAACUAUCAAGGGGAAGCGCAACCGGAAAGAAGCAAACAACAUGGUAAACAACCAUCACAUAAGCAUGGCAUGAUGCACAAUCAAGUAUGAUGCAUGUCCGGUUUAAAGAGGCAAGGCAAGGUGAAGCAAACAAUACUACAAUUUAAGUGGAGCUCAAUAUGCAACGGGUUGCAUAUUGACGAAACACAACAUCAAUUAUUUAGUUCGCUCUUGUUUAUGCUACUCAUCAAUAUUAAAUGUUGGUUAACAUGGCAAGAGGCGAGGCAUAAGAAAACUACCUAUCUAGGCAAAUUUAAAGGAGGGCGGAACAACAAACAACAAUUCCGGAAAAUCCUCAUGUGCAUAUUUUAGAUUUGGUACUGUUCUGCCUAAAACCAUAUUUUAAUGGUAUUAAACAGUAAAACAAAGUGCACCAUGUUAAUCUAUGCAUUUUUCCACUCCAAUUACAUAUAAAGUUUAUUUAAUUCGGAGCUACGGUUAUUUAAAUAUGAAAUAAAUCAUUUUAGCAUGGCAUUUGAGCAAAUUUAAUCAAACAGCAAUUUAAACAUUUCAAACAUGGAUGAAAGUAGGAUAUUAUGAAACUAGACAAAAUUCUAAGCAUUUUACAUGUCUAAAUCAUUUUAAUCGGAUGCACGGUUGUUGAGUUAUUAAAUGCAUGAUGUUGAGGGUUUUUCUAUAAAACUGCAGUUCCUGGAAAAAUAGUUAAAAUCGUUCCGUGGAAAAAAAACAUGAAUCGGGCCGAAUCUGCUGGCCCAACAGUGCACAGAGGGGGCGCUGGAUCUGAUGCUCACCAUGGGUUUGGCCCGGGUCGGUGGAGAGGGGAGGCAUGGCGAAGUGGGGCUGGAGACGCGCUGGGCCUUGGCGCCCUUGAAGCCCACGCACGCGACAAGGAGGCAUGAGGCAGCAGGCGUCGCCCUUCUCUGCUCGAUGCAGAGACUGAAGCCGACCGCGGUGGCUUCAGGUGAGACAGGGGACGACGUCUACGCGGGGAACGCAAGGAGGCGGCGGAGACGAGCGAAACCAGACGCGUGACGGUGUUCUCCGGCGAGGUGGCGCGCGGGCGAAGCUGAAGGUGGCGGCACAUGUUCUCUGUUCAAACACAGAGAAGGUUUCAGAGAGAGAAAGAAAUCGGGGAGGAAACAAGGAGGCCGUGAGGGGGCUUGCUGACCGACGAAGGAAUGGCCAGGAUCCGGCGGAUCCUGAUGCGGGCGAGGCUGGGGAACGGCGAGGCCGGAUGGAUCCACCUCGGACCCGAUGAGGCAGCUUGAGCUCGGUGGCUGGACUCGUUCUGUAGGCAAACAAAGAGGGAGAGAUAUUUAGAGAAGCAGAACGGAAAGGGAAAGAAGAGAGAAGGCGUGGACGACGGGCGCGCGACCUGCAUGGCUCCGGCGAUGAGGCAACUCGGUGGCCACGGACUUGGCGAAGCAGGGGAGCUCCGGGACGUGCGGGACGCGGGGAUGGACGCCGGAGGACGGAUCCGUCCGUCUCCCGGGUGGCCUGGUGCAAACGGCGGCGAGGGAGCUGCGGCCAACCAUGGCUGUUCCUGGUACAGAGAGGGAGAGGCAUGAGAGACGAGGGAGAGGUGCGGCGGCCUGCUCGUGCUCGAUGGCGAAGGGACGAAGCAGCUUCGGCGGUGGCGCUCGCCGGCGCGGUGCUGGAGGCGGCAGAUGCAAGGGCAAGGGAGGAGCACGGCGCAGGGGCUCCUCGGGCUCAGACGUGAGGAAGGAGGAGGCAGCUGCGGGCUGGUUGGUCCGGUGAAGAAAAUGAGGGAGGAUUUUUGGAUCGGGAGGGGAUGCCGAGGUGGGAGACGACCAGGUGGAGUGUGGCGGCGGCUAGGAGGACAAGGGGGAGGAUUUCUAGGGUUAUCCAAAAUGGACUAGGAAUUGACUAUAAAUAUGGAAAGGAGGGAAGUUUGGAUCUUCUGAUUGAAAUCUGACGGACGAGAAUAAAUAGGCUACGGAGUCCAAUAAAUAAAACAAUGAUAUCUUAGGGAUACUUGGAGAUGAUCCGGAUCCAUCGGUAACGACAGCCGGGUUCGGGUUCAGGGAAGUUUUGGAAGCGCACACGAGGGGGUCUAUGCACUAUACAGAGAGACUCCAGUUUAGGCAAGAGGGAAACGAAGAACAAGGUUGGUCUCAGAAUGGUCAACAAAAGCAAGGGGGGACGCGGCAACUACGAGCAGAUGCGAGUUUUAAAAACAAUGACUACAACGAGUGCCGAUGCAAUGCGGAUGAUGCCAUGAUGAAAUGCAACAAACAAAAUAAAACGCACGACGGCAACGAAGAACAUUGAAGGCUUCUGAAGCGUCGGUCUUGGGGCGUUACAACUUGGCAUCGCUCCGGACGAUUUAUCGGAGGAGAAGCUUAUGGCUCCUCCUAAACAAGCUCCACAAGACGAGGGUUCUCAUGAUGAGUGAUUUACAGAGUUAUUUGCUGGGACCAAGGAAACAUCUGGUCGUUUGUUCUUUUGGUUUUCUUUUGUCUUAUGUCGCUCUGAACUUGUCUGAUGUGGCUGUGUGUUACUCUGCGGAAGUUAUACCUAAACUGUUAAGCAGCUCAGUAGGAUUCUAUUGUCUUAUGUUAGUUAUUUAUGGAGACUACAUCGUUUCGUAAUUGGAAUGUGCUGUGUUGGAAUGUACGUGGUCUGAAUUCUGAUGCUCGCCAGCGUGAUAUUAGAGCUAAGAUCGAGGAGAGCCACUGCUCCGUAAUUUGUUUACAGGAAACUAAGUGUGAGCAGUUUGACAUUAGGAAGAUUCGGUCCUUCUGCCCUAGGCGUUUUGAUCAGUUUGCUUUCUCUCCUUCUGUGGGUGCCUCUGGUGGAAUUUUGGUCAUUUGGAAUUCUUCUGUCUUUGAGGGGCAGCUAGUGGAGGUCCAACGCUUCAGUGUUGUUGUUGUUGUUUCUUUCAAGUCUGUUCGUAACUCAGAACGAUGGACUCUGGUUUCAGUGUAUGGGCCAUGUGAGGGUCAACCUAGAGACGAUUUUGUGAGUUGGUUAUAUCAUCUAACUAUCCCUCUGGAUGAGAAUUGGUUGCUCCUUGGUGAUUUUAACUUCAUUCGCUCUCUAGAUAACAGAAAUCUGCCAGGAGGUGAUAUAAAUGACAUCUUUCUCUUUAAUGAAAUUAUUGGUCAUCUUGGGCUAAUGGAACUGCCAAUAAAGGGUAGAAGCUUUACUUGGUCCAAUAUGCAGCAAAUCCCUCUCCUGGAACAGCUCGAUUGGUUCUUCACAACCUCCGACUGGAUCUCUCACUACCCUAAUACAGUUGUCUUUCCUUUGGCUAAAACUGCAUCAGAUCACGUGCCAUGUGUGGUUUUAAUUGACACUAAAAUCCCCAAGUCCAAGGUUUUUAGGUUUGAAAAUUUCUGGGUGGAAAUACCAGGGUUUAUGGAGUGUGUCAAGAAAUCUUGGGAGGCCCCUGUGUUUUCUGACCUCUCUGCAUCUGCAGUUUUAACCAGGAAAUUUAAACGCCUCAGGUAUGAUUUGAGAGUUUGGAGUAAAACCUCUCUUACCUUAAGAAGUUAACUGUGGAUUGCAGCAAGGUUAUUCUCUAUUUUGAUAAGAUGGAGUUAAGACCACUCGUUAGAACUGAGUUCAAUUUCAGAAAAAUCGUCAAGCUUCAUUAUGAGCAUUUGUUGAAACUCCACUAUAUUUAUUGGAAGCAGAGGUGUACGAUCAGGUAUAUCAAGGUGGGUGAGGAAAACUCCAAAAUUUUCCAUGCCAUGGCAUCUGAGCGCAUGAGGAAAAACUCUAUAGCUAGUCUGAAAACCCCGAGGAUGGAUGAUCCCGUUUCAGAUCAUGAUCAAAUGGCGGGAAUCCUCCGGGCUUCCUUCAAAAACCGAAUGGGCCAGGCCCAGGACAUCUCAAUGGGCUACGAUUUGGGCGCACUCAUUCAGCCUGUCCCUGGUUUGGAGGAAUUUUCACUUCCCUUCUCUGAUGCUGAGAUUCAAAAGGUUUUGCAAGAGCUGCCAACCGAUCGGGCACCAGGGCCUGAUGGUUUUAAUGGCAUGUUUGUCAAGCGCUGUUGGCCGAUCGUCGAGAAAGAUUUCUUGAGUUUGAUCAAAGACUUUUAUGAAGGGAAAGUUUCUCUGGAAAAUAUUAAUGGAUCUCUCAUUACCCUCAUCCCUAAGAUGAUAUCUCCUGAGGGGCCGGAUGAUUUUAGGCCUAUUUCUCUUACCAACACCUGCUUGAAGUUUCUAACCAAGUUGUUGGCUAAUAGGUUGCAAAGGGUGAUUUUGAAUUGCAUCCAUAAAAACCAGUAUGGCUUUCUCAAGGGUAGAUCAAUCCAGGACUGUCUGGCUAUUGUUAUUCUGAAAUUGGAUUUUGCCAAGGCUUUUGAUAUAGUUAAUCAUGAGGUUAUUUUGCCGAUGCUCAAACACAAAGGUUUUGAUGAUAAAUGGAUUGGUUGGGUCAAAGAGAUCCUUUCUACAGGGUCUUCUUCUGUGUUGCUCAAUGGCAUCCCUGGCAAGCAGUUCAAGUGCAAAUGUGGGGUCAGACAAGGGGAUCCUUUAUCACCUCUUCUAUAUGUAAUAGCAGCUGACCUUUUACAAUCUGUGGUUAAUCAAAUGCUGGCCCAGGGUAUCUUAUCACUCCCAAUCCCCACACAUGACCAGGAGUUCCCUAUUAUACAGUAUGCUGAUGAUACUGUUAUCUUUCUGUCACCCAGAGAUGAGGAGCUGGUUGCUCUCAAGAACAUGCUGCUUACCUUUCAGCAAUCUACUGGUCUCAAGGUCAAUUUUGCAAAGUCUUUAAUGAUCCACUCAACCUUGAGGAAGGUGAAGCAAUUAGGUUAGCUGCUGUGUUGGGCUGCAGGAUUGGCCAACUCCCUUUUACUUAUUUAGGGUUGCCCCUUGGAACCACUAGGCCCAGGAUUGUUGAUCUCAUGCCUUUAGUGAACACUUUGGAGAGGCGUCUGACUGCUAGCUCAUGUAUGCUAAACCAAGGAUCUCGUUUGCAGCUCCUAACUUCAGUCCUGACUUCUUUGCCAAUCUACUUUCUUUGUAGUUUGCAAAUCCCACCUGGUAUUAUCAAGCAGUUGGACAGAAUCUUCAGACAGUGCCUCUGGAGGGGGAGUUCUGAUGUUCCCAAGCAAUCUUUGGCCGCUUGGGAUUUAGUCUGUCGGCCAAAAGACAAAGGUGGUCUUGGGGUUAUCAACUUAAACAUUCAAAACAAGGGUCUUCUGCUCAAGCAUUUGCAUAAAUUUUAUAAUAAGGCUGACAUACCCUGGGUGUCCCUCAUCUGGAACAGUUAUUAUGCUGAUGGUGUUCCACACGCUACAACCCCAGUGGGCUCCUUUUGGUGGAGACAUAUCCUCAAGCUCCAUGAUGCAUACACAGCUAUUGCCUCAGUGCACAUCAACAUGGGUGACUCUGCUCUGUUUUGGACUGAUGCUUGGUUUAUUGGUGGCUCUUCUAGACCUUUAUGUUGGAGAUUGCCAAGGUUAUUUUCCUUUGUUAACAAUGACAAGGUUUCAGUGCAUGAAUUCCUCAUAUCGCAGGAUAUUUUUACCAUGUUCUUCUUGCCAUUGUCUCAUGAGGCUGCUCAGGAGUUGCAAGUGCUAGAAGAUUGGAUCAUGGCCUUGAACAGGGACACCAACAUACCAGAUGUUUGGGUUUGGCCGGGCAGAUCUAGUAGUUUCUCAGCCAAGAGUUUCUACACCUUGAUGCACUCACAUUUACCCACAAUUCAACCGUGUAAAUGGUUGUGGAAAAGCAGAUGCACCAUGAAGAUCAAAGUCUUUGGAUGGUUACUUUUGUUUAACAGGCUUAACACCAAGGACCUUCUGAUCCGCAGGCACUGGAGAUCCCCCCUGGAUGAUAAUCUUUGUGUUAUCUGUCAUGAAUUUUCAUAUGAGGAUACGCUGCAUUUGUUCUUCAACUGUAAUUUCAGUCGGAGGGUUUGGAACUACCUUUCUAUUGACUGGUCAAGAGGGCCGGAUAUUCAGCAAUGUAUCCAACAUGCUAGCUCAAGCUUCAGGCAUCCUUUCUUCUUCGAAGUAAUUUUGACGGCAUCAUGGAAUAUUUGGAUCCUCAGGAAUGGCAGAACUUUUAGAGGGGAGAGAGCUACUUUUGCUGCUUGGCGGUCUAACUUUGUACAUGAUCUUUCACUCCUAACUCAUAGGCUCAAGGAUGAUACCAGCAUCAAGCUUAAAGCUUGGAUAAAUGCUUUAGCCUAAUUAGUCCAGGUAGGUAGUUCUAGUCUUGUACCUUAGCUUUGUAGGCUAAUUUCUUAGCUCCUAUAUAUAAUCCUACUAUUCCUUUUUGUACAGUUGCUCGAUUUCAAUAAAGGGCUGUGGGGCUUUGCCUCACAGUAAAUAUUAAAAAAAAACCUUGCAUGGAGAAGUGAGACGACGCCUAGGUUGUAGGUGUGUCCCGGGGAGCACGUGCAGCACCAGUAGGCGAUGAUUAGUGGAUCUGUUGAUGAUCAAAUUCAUCACAUCCCAUGAUCAUACGGACUACGGAGGGUGAAACAUGGCGAUUGUGGAUCAGAGGUGCAGGCUUGAGACAACGGGAAUGGAGCAGGUUCGCCACUUAAAAGGGGAGGGGGAAGUUCGUCGGCUACACGCACAUGAGCAGGAGCAAUAAACCCAGCCGUUCCUUUUCUCGAUAGUGGAUCUGUCGAUUGGAGAAGAUGAAGAGGAAAAGGGGCGGCCGUGAAGAACACUGGAGGUGUUAUGGGAAGAACAGGAGUGCCAUGAUGGGAGGGAAUUGAAGCGAUGGGCAAGGCACUACGAUGGGGAAGAAGAAGCGACGGGGAAGAAGCGCGAGGGGAUCCCCUUUGGGGGAUAAAAAUAUCUGACGCUACAAAGCGGUGCGCCUGGAAAAAAAGGACGACUUCUUUAGAGAAAAAAAGGGACAUGAAGAAAAUGAUGCCAAGUGACGUGGCAUCAUCACAAUCUAGGAAAAAUCAAUAGUGGGAGUUUAGGAAUAGAGGAUGACGUGGCACACUGAUGUGGAUAGUGUGCAUGAUGAGAGAAUAGGGAGUAGUGGGGAGUAACUUCUUAAAAAUGGUAGAUGUGAUCGGACCCUAACCUCUCUAUGCUUUCUGCCUCAAACUCUAUAUAUCCAAAUCAUAUGCAUUCUGUUGAAACGGUCAAAUGUAUUCUCUGCGUCCUUGUCAGCGGAAGAUACAGAGACAAACAUUAAAUCUAUUUUAAAUGCUCAAUUCUUAUUGCCUGAAACCCGGAGAAGCCGGAACGAUCAUCCGACAGUCCAGGCGGGCGUGGGAACGUGGGACAACUCCCAAUGUGUUGCAUGUUCGCCAUGUGUCCCUCAGAUGUGAACCACCAGGGGCGCCUGCGUAAUUGUGCUGUGCUGUCCCUUUCCCUAUAAAUACACAUCCAAUCGCGGUCAAAAUCUUUCUUCCACCUCUCCACCUCAACAAACCCUAGCGCCAUCGCUAGCUCUCGACGACGCCGGCGACGAAGCGCUUAGCUGCCGCGACCUCUCCGACGCCGUCUUCACGCCGGCCGCGGACAUCGUCUUCUCCGCCGCCGCCUUAGGUGUCCUCCGUCGCCAAGUUAGGGCACGGAAGAUCGAACUGCUCGGCCUCAUCUUCUACUCCGUCUAGCAGUUCAUCGUGUGGUAAAUUAAAACCCUCUUUUUACCGUCUUUUUGAUCCUAUAGAUUAAUCCUUUCUACCAAAAGUGGUUUCUGCCUCCACAAAUUUGGAUCUAUCCUGUUUGCAUCUCAUAUGAUGCCUAGUAUAUUCACUUAUGCUUCACACGUAGUUAGAUUCCUCACUUGUACGUAUUCUUGGAUUCGUACAAAUCUGGAACCAACUCUCAACAUAUAAGUGAAUGUCUUCGCGCUAUGAGGUCAAUGGCUUCUAAACUGAUUUAUCUUCAAAAUCUUCUAAGAAUGCAUAUGACCUCUUCCCCUUCCCUCGCAUCUCUAAUGCUGUCACAGGUACAUGUCCGUGGGAGAAUCCCUUGGUUCUCAUAGUCUGCAUUCAUUUGCAGAAUUCUUACAACAUCAUAUCAACUCUCCCGAAGCCAGUUCCUGUCUGACCAGCAGACGGAAGCCUUUGACAGUGUUGAAGCCAUUCAGUCUGAACCUCAUGGCAAUAGAAAAGUCUGCAAGGAAGGGUGGCAGACAGCGCCGUGGGAACACAUCGAAGGAUUUGCCACCAUAUCUCUAUGAGCUGUACAAGACAGAUCCAGAGGAGGACUACAAUCAGUGAAAACCCCGAAUCCAAUGGAUUCGAAGAUAUUGGGCAGAACAAUGGUACAAGUACAGGUUCGUGACCCAGGAAUAUGCUGAGAAGAAUGCCAUCAAGCGACCCUGGGGAGACAUCUUGUACAAAAAUCUUCCACCCAAGUCCAGAGCUGAAGCCAUUGAACAAGGCUUCUACCCUUGCAUGGUCCGUGGACCACAGCCUGCAGAUGCCGACCCAUCUUCAUUGCUAUGGUGUCGUGACGACAAUCUGUUCAAGCGCAACUUCCAGUUUGCCAAGAACUCGGCCAAAGAAAACAAGAAGUCGCGGGGAUUAGACUUCAACCCCGGUCCCUCUGCUCCUCGUGCUGAUGGCACACGCGAAGCUGAACCCAAUCUUGUUGGUCCCUUCUACAACCUGGAAGGUCUCAUCACUCAUAUUAUGGUUCAAGGGACAGACGUGGAUCAACCUACAGAUGACGCUGAUUCUGACGAAGCGCCUGCACCACCGAAGACUAAGAAGCUGAAGAAACCCAAGGCUUCGAAGCCUUCCACUGCACCAAAAGCUUCGCAAGCGAAGCCUCUGGCCACUGCUCCUUCUCCACCAGGUGUGCAGUCUGAAGCCCAUGCACACCACUGGUCCAGCUCUGACCCCUGCUGCUGUUUUGAGGAAUGAAAAUGACGCCAUUGAUCUGUCAAGUGAUGACGAUCUUGCCGAUGACGCUCUUGAGCAGCUGAUAAAGAGCAAGCAAGAGGCAUAAAUCUUCAAUGAUUUGCCUCUCUUUGACGUGGAAGUAUUGAACAACUUCAUUGAUGAGUGGUUUGACACCCCCAAUCUCAGCUUUGAUGAUCUGCAACUUCCCAUUGGGCUAAGCGUCUCCUUCCAUGGCGCCAUUGCUGCUGAGCUGGCUCUUGCACAGAAAAUUGUUGAGCUGAAGCACAAGAUCGACUAUGAAAAGGCUCAGUUCAAGAAGCACAUGGCCAAGCUCAGCGUAACAGACGUCCAGAACUUCAAGGUCGUGCUGCAUGAGCUCAAGGAAGCGUUUCACAAGAAACGUGAAGAAGCCAAAGGUUCUCGAGAGCGCAUGAAGCUUCUGGCUGCAAAGUGUGUUCAAGCUUACAAUGAAGCUGAGAAGCGCAAGGCACUUGGGCAUCCUGGCAUCGACCCUAAGAUGGCUGCCAAGCAGAAGAAGAAGCCUGCUGUGGACCAAGCUGAACCAUCCAGGCGGGAAGAACCUCGCAUUGUCUUCCCCGCUAGUAUGACAUGCGUGAAGCCUAAGGUCCCCAUAGUGGCUUCAGAGCUUCAGAAGACAAGGGCAGCCGAAGCCAAAGCCAGAAAGCUCAAGACCAAGAACACCACUGACAAUGCUCCACCCACCAAGAAGCGCAAGACCAAGAAGAAAGAUCGGGCUGCUCCCACAGAGCCCCUUGUCGUCGAGCCAAUUUCUGUUGCUCGUCCUCCAUCUGCACAACAAGAAUGUCGUUUGAUAGUUCAUGAGCCUGCUUCCCCAAAGGCUCUUGAAGUUGAAGACAUUCCAGCUGUUGACCCCACCGCAGCUGAAGACAUUUGUCAUCAAUACAAUGUUGAAGAUGAUUAAGUCCUUCCUCAGAUCGAGCAUAAUGUGGUAUCAUCGCCUGUUCUCACGAACAACGAACUCAUCAGCAUUGGUCGUCCUUUGACGCUAAUUGCUCAGGAUGACUCAUGGGCUGAUCACCCUCAAGACUCCCCUCGUCAAGCAGAAACACCAGUUACUCCCCCAACUCAAGUCACCACUCCGAUGAUUGAAGAUGAAGACUUUGUGGCCCAACCAACUCCAUCUCCACAAGCGUCACCAGCAUUCCGCAGGCUUCGCAAAGGACCAAGGCCACAGGUCACUCUGUCAAGUGUUCCAGAAGGAGAAGAGCGCCAAUCGGUUUCUCGCCAAGUAUUUCCUGAAGCCUCUCCAACUGUGAACAACCCUGAGUCUGAAGCCAACGCAGCUGAAGAUAUUCCGGCUGCAUCAGCCGAUGACCAAGAAGAAGAACCAAGAGUUGAAGAAGUUCGUGUUGCUACACCCCUGUCCAACCCUGAAAUUGUUCUCGAGGAGAACGUGACCGACCCUCCAGCUACUCAAGUGGAGGUCAACAACAUUCAGGCGAUCACCAACACCAACACUGAAGCCAAUGACGUUGUCAUGGCUGAAGCUAAUGUGGCGCCUGAAGUCAAUGUGGUGCCUGAAGUGAUAGCACCUGAUGCAAAUCAGCAGCCUGAAGUCACAACCACUGUCACUGCUCCUGUACCGCCUCCCAGGCCACAUACUAUUGAGCAAGCAUACAACUAUGGUCAGCUGAUCACUGUCAGAUGGCCUAUUCUGGUUCCUCCACCUGCUGCUGGUCCGCAGUUUGAUUACCAUGUCGAGCACAGGCCUCAGGUCCAGAAGCCAAAGCCAAGACUGCCCAGGUUUCCAGGUACUGCCACUUCACCAGGGUCCUUUCUUUGACAGCGCCAAGAACCCCUAUUCCAAGCCAAGGAUUUCAUCUAAUCGGUUCUGGAGCUGUCAGCAGCGCAGCUACUACUCAUGUGUUCUCUAUGAUCAAGGGCACAUCUUCCCUCAUAUGCGUCUUGACUGUGAAGCCAUUGCCGGAUUGCCAUGCCUUGAAGAGCCCUUGACUGCUUCCGUGAUGCUGGAUUGCUGAAUUUUGUGACUGAUAAGGAUCAUUGGAAUGAAGAGCUUCUGCUGCAAUUCUAUGCCACCCUCCACAUUCGCGGCCACAACAGGGAUCCGAAGACAUGGGUCCUUGAGUGGAUGUGUCGGUGUACAAAAAGAGGGGUGCGUUUUUGUACCCCUUUACCUGUGCACGGGCAGUCGGAGCGGCGCCCACGGUCACGCCAAGCAGAACAGGGGAGGUAAGCCAAGGUAAGACCGAAGCCCAAGAUAAUCAGAGCAAAGCCAAGGCCAAGACCACAAAGAGCAGAGGGACGAAGCAGAUUCCCCCGGCAAGACCCUUGCCGGGGCAGCCUCAGCAGCCCCGGCAAGAUCCUUGCCGGGGCAGCUCGCCCCACACCAACAGAGCGAGCCACCCUUGAGCCCACGGUCCCCAACGCCAUCAUCCACGUGGGCCCAGGGCUCGGGAAGGCACCUCUGUGGUGGCAUGCAGAUCUUUGUGAAGACAUAUUCAAGGUCAGAUGAGGAUUAGAAGACGACGAUCCUCGGCAAGAUCCUCGCCGAGGAAGGCCACCAGAGCCCCGGCAAGGCCCUUGCCGGGGACGACAGCGCGCCACGGCAACACCCUUGCCGGGCCACACGGCAAGACCCUCGCUCGGCCACCCGGCAAGGCCCUCACCAAGGACGCCAGCGGGGCCACCGCCAGGCCCAUGCCAACCAAGCUUCCACCGCCGUUCACAUGCAGCUGCCAGCCCAACCAGCUGGGCGGGCACCUGCGUGGCGACAUGCAGCCUCCAGGCCAACUCAUCAAGCGCCUGCGUGGCGGCAUGCAGAUCUUCGUGAAGGCUCCACCACCGCGCCACCUCAGCUGCCUGCCUGCCUACAUGGCGCCGCACACAUCGCUGGCCAGGGCGCGUGUCAAAGCGAGGAGGAGCGGCGACGGAUGGGACGGGCCUCGCCCCCGUCCCCAAUAAAGCAAGGAGACACCUAAGCUACGCAUUAAUGCGUCUUGUCCUGUAAUACGAGCGAUAAGCUCAGGGCACUGUACGCCUUUCCACCUCCUGUGUGCCACUGUGGCAGCCCCUUCCGACUAUAAAAGGAGGCCCGUGGCAUACUGGAGAAGGAUUCGGCUCUUUCGAACCACGCACUCACCACAGCUAGUUCGAGAGCUCAAGAACUCUCUGAAAUACACCCUCCAAAGCAGGACUAGGGUUUUACGCAUCCUCGCGGCCCGAACCUGGGUAAACGAUCCUUGUGCUGUCUACUAGCCCUGCUCUUCUCGCAACCCCGCGCCCCGGCAACCGUAGUAGGGAUUCUUGUGAUCCCAUAGGUGUCGUUCCACACCGACAUCUUUGGCGCGCCAGGUAGGGGAGUGCAAUUGUGAGAAUCUGGUCUAGUAGUUAGCCUAGCGGUUCUUCAUCGCCAUGGCUCCCAAGAAGAAGAUGGCCACGGCGAUCGGCUCAUUGGGAGCCGAACGGCCCGUGCCGGUGCGCACGAGCAGUGGACCGGUCGUGGGCAGGACCCGGGCCGCGGUCCGCGAGCACCAGCAUCGCCCUGGCAGUCAGAACCUGGCGAGUGGCGUCGUUUGCGCCCUAGAUGACCGGCCGCACGUCGCCAGAUCCAAAGACGGAGCUGGGGCCCCCGCAGGCGGCGCGGGGCCCUCCAGGGGUGUCGUUGUGCCACCUCCGGGCGGCGCAGCGACCUCCAAGACGCCCACGCCGGCGACCACUGCGCGCUCUUCCCAUGGUGUGCGCGCCGAUCAGCGUCACCACGCUGGUGACCCUGGGCACCGCCGUGGGAAGAGCCCUGUGCGUCAUCCGCGGGAUGAAGGGGUUCAGCAUGCCCACCGAAGCGCUGGCGAAAAUGGCAUGCAGCUGCUGGGUCGUAACGGAGCUCCUUCUAACAUAGUUAGAAGUCGAAGCGCGCCGCGAUCCACGCAGCAGUCGCCGCCGCCCACGCCAGCAGAAGCUUUGGCACGCGCGCGCAGCUGCUCCUCGACUUCUGUAACGCCCACGAUGCGGCUAUAUCUCCCACGUGUCGAGGCACGACUUAGAGGCAUAACCGCAUUGUGGUUUUGUCGCAAGAAGGGUCAUCUUCACACAAUCCCAUGUAAUGAACAAGAAUGGGAUAACGAGAGUUGGCUUACAAUCGCCACUUCACACAAUACAUAAAUAUAAUUCAUACAUCAUCCAAAAUACACACAUAGACCAACUACGGUCAAGAUCCAAAUGAAAAUAAGAAAACCCCAAAUGCUAGAUCCCCGAUCGUCCCAACUGGGCUCCACUACUGAUCAUCAGGAAAAGACACAUAGUAACGACCACGUUCCUCAUCGAACUCCCACUUGAGGUCGAUCCCAUCAUCUGCACUGGCAUCGUCGGCACCUGCAACUGUUUUGGUAGAAUCUGUGAGUCACGAGGACUCAGCAAUCUCACACCCGCGAGAUCAAGCCUAUUUAAGCUUAUAGGACAGGAUGGUGUAAUGAGGUGGAGCUGCAGCAGGCACUAAGCAUAUAUGGUGGCUAACAUACGCAAAAGAGAGCGAGAAGAGAAGCAAUGGAACGGUCGUCAUCUAGUAAUGAUCAAGAAGCGAUCCUGAACUCCUACUUACGUCAAACAUAACUCAAACCGUGUUCACUUCCCGGACUCCGCCGAGAAGAGACCAUCACGGCUACACACACGGUUGAUGUAUUUUAAUUGGGUCAAGUGACAAGUUCUCUACAACCGGACAUUAACAAAUUCCCAUAUGCCUCAUAACCGCGGGCACGGCUUUCGAAAGAUAAUACCCUGCAGGGGUGUCCCAACUUAGCCCAUCAUAAGCUCUCGAAUGUGCCGACAAAUCCCGAUAGGAGCUGCACAUAUCUCGUUCUCAGGGCACAACGGAUGGGCAAGACGUCGGGUUGGCAUAGACCCUGGUUGCCCGGGGGCGCCGGACAUCGCCCAGUUUGGGCCAGCACUUGAAGGAGCACUGGUCCGGGGGUUUAAAAUAAAGAUGACCCUCGGGCUCACGAAAAACCGGGGGAAAAGGCUUAGGUGGCAAAUGGUAAAACCAAGGUUGGGCCUUGCUGGAGGAGUUUUAUUCAAGGCGAACUGUCAAGGGGGUCCCAUAAUCACCCAACCGCGUAAGGAACGCAAACUCAGGGAACAUAUCCCGGUAUGACAGAAACUAGGGCGGCAAGAGUGGAACAAAACACCAGGCAUAAGGCCGAGCCUUCCACCCUUUACCAAAAAUAUAGAUGCAUUAAUUAAAUAAGAGAUAUUAUGAUAUCCCAACAUAUCCAUGUUCCAACAUGGAACCAACUUCAACUUCACCUGCAACUAGCAACGCUAUAAGAAGGGCUGAGCAAAAGCGGUAACUUAGCCAAACAACGGUUUGCUAGGAAAGGAUGGUUAGAGGCUGUCAUGGCAAUAUGGGAGGCAUGAUGUAGCAAGUGAUAGGUAGCGCAGCAUGGCAAUAGAGCGAACAACUAGCAAAGCAAAGAUUGAAGUGAUUUCGAGGGUAUGGUCAUCUUGCCUGCAAGGUUCUCAGAGUUGUCGAAAGCUUGAUCCUCGUAAGCGUACUCAACAGGUUCCUCGUUCACGAACUCGUCUCCCGGCUCUACCCAAAACAAGAACACAAGCAAUGGAACCACAAUCAAUCACGGGAAAUGCACAAGCAACAUGAUGCAAUACAUGAAUGAUAUGCAAGAUAUGAUAUGCGAUGCAUAUGCGUGCGCCGGAAGAAAAAUGAUGAACAAGGCAGUAACUUGGCAAACCAAGUAUGCCACUGGAAAGAUGAGAUGAUUUCGGUCGAAAUCGAUAUAAAGAUCACCGGAAACGGAUGCACGGUUCGCGAAAGGCAAGCAAAACAAGAAUGACACGAAUCUGUGAUUAACAGCAUGAUAUCACUUAGAAUACAUCAAGUAACUAUGCUACAGCACUCCAACAUAGCAACAAAGCAUAUGAAAGUAAUCUAAAGGAGGUGUUUGACAAAAGAUGAACACUGAGCUACGGCUAGAUCACAACAUAACAGGCUCAAACAAGCAUGGCAAAAGUGCGAAAGAUAUCAGGUUAACAGACUUGGUGAAAUUACUGGACAUGGCUGAAACAGCAUCAGGUAGCAAUGUUCAGAGCAAGAAACACACAUGCUACAGGAACUUAAUAUAGCAAAACAAGGCAUGGAAUGAAUCUACUAAAUGCAUAGAACAAAAGUCCCUUACUGACCAUAAGCGAAAAACGACCAAAAGUUAUGAUGGCAACCAUGUGAACAUAGCAAGUUUCGUUAACAGGUUACAGACUUGGCAGAAAACAGAGCAUGGCAGAAACAAUAAUAUGAAGGCAUCUUGGUAAGCUUGAUGCACUCACCACAAAGAAAUUCAUGACAAAACAAGCAUACCUACAGCAAGAUGGCAUGUUUAUGAAGCUAUCCAUGGCAAGAGCAAGUACAUAGCAUGUAUGAAACAACUACAACAAGCUUGGCAAAUUGAAUAACACGUAAACAAUCUGCCAUAAAUAUUUUAUAGCAAAAGUAGAGCAAGAUUGAGUCAUUCUAUGGCACUCCAUAAUUGCAAACAAGGGUAGUAGUGGAUCAAUUACAACAAUAUCUACAAAACAUCCUUACUGAACAUCUCCAAAAUAUGCAUGGAUCUCUCUGUAGCAUCAAGUUUACAUGGCAACAAAAUAACAGCAGACAAAGACUUGGAGAAAUCACCAAGUCUCUGAAAUCAGAAACAUUACAGAGCCUAGUUUGCAUGCUUGUGCUAGUCACCACACAGAUCACAAAAAUACAUGGCAUACACCUCUGUAAAUAUGGCAUGGCAUACAUCAAAACACAUGUAGAGCUCCUACUCAUAAGAUGCACAUAUCAAAUGCAACAAAAAUAACAAAUCCUCAUGUUCUGAUAAGUAACAGCAGUUAACAGCAUAUAGCACGCUUGCACCAGAGAUUUGGGCAUCAAGAUCAACUCAAAUGAACAUAGUGCAAUUGAACAAAAUGUAGAGCAUCACAAGACGAACAUUUCGAUAUAUUACAUGCACGAAACGGAGCUAUAUGCAGAGAGUUAUGCCAUGAUGAACAGGGGUAUAUAAUGUGAACAUGCAAAAGACUUGGGAAUAUUUUCGGGGAGAGGAGAGGAAAGUCAACCGUGGGCUUCCUCGAUCCAGAUCUGGCCCGGGCCGGGCUUCGAGCUCGCCGGCGGUGGAUGGCGACGCCGGAGGAGAGGAGGGAGAGGCCGGAGGGAGGCGGCGCUCGGGGCCGCUGGCGGCGGAGGAGGGGGGCGCCGGCGACGGGCACGGCUCGGGCGGCGCCGACNNNNNNNNNNNNNNNNNNNNNNNNNNNNNNNNNNNNNNNNNNNNNNNNNNNNNNNNNNNNNNNNNNNNNNNNNNNNNNNNNNNNNNNNNNNNNNNNNNNNNNNNNNNNNNNNNNNNNNNNNNNNNNNNNNNNNNNNNNNNNNNNNNNNNNNNNNNNNNNNNNNNNNNNNNNNNNNNNNNNNNNNNNNNNNNNNNNNNNNNNNNNNNNNNNNNNNNNNNNNNNNNNNNNNNNNNNNNNNNNNNNNNNNNNNNNNNNNNNNNNNNNNNNNNNNNNNNNNNNNNNNNNNNNNNNNNNNNNNNNNNNNNNNNNNNNNNNNNNNNNNNNNNNNNNNNNNNNNNNNNNNNNNNNNNNNNNNNNNNNNNNNNNNNNNNNNNNNNNNNNNNNNNNNNNNNNNNNNNNNNNNNNNNNNNNNNNNNNNNNNNNNNNNNNNNNNNNNNNNNNNNNNNNNNNNNNNNNNNNNNNNNNNNNNNNNNNNNNNNNNNNNNNNNNNNNNNNNNNNNNNNNNNNNNNNNNNNNNNNNNNNNNNNNNNNNNNNNNNCGUAGCGGACGCGGAGAGGCUGCGGGCGGCGGCGCGUUUGUCCGGCGGGGUACGGACAUGUCCGGCGGCGCGGAGGGAUAGGGUUAGGGUUUGGACUGCGGAUUAUCUCGGGAGGGGUGCAAUUAUAUAGGUAGAGGGAGCUAGGAGACUCAAAACGAGGUGCGGUUUUCGCCCACACGAUCGUGAUCGAACGACCUAGAGCAUGGAAAUGACUUGGAGGGGUUUUGGGCUGUUUAGAGAGGGGGUUUUGUGGCAACACACAGAAGGCAUCUGCGGUUACCCGGUUAACCGUUGGAGUACCGAACGACCUCCAAAUGGAACGAAACUUGACCGGUGGUCUCCCGGUGGUAUACCAAGGCCACUUGACAAGCCUCGGUCCAUUCCGAGAACGUUCGACACCCGCUCACGAAAAGAAACAAGAGGGGUGCGCCGAAGGAGGUGGGAGUGCCGGAUUGCAAAACGGACAACGGGGAAAUUGCUCGGAUGCAUGAGACGAACACGUAUGCAAAUGCAAUGCACAUGAUGACAUGAUAUGAUAUGCAUGACAUGAAAAAAAUGCAAAAUGAAAGACAAAACCCGACCACGGAGGGAAUAUCAUAACACAUAGCCGAAAAUGGCAAGAGUUGGAGUUACAAAUAUGGAAAGUUACAUCCGGGGUGUUACAACACUCCACCACUACGAGAGGAUCUCGUCCCGAGAUCUAGGACUGAAAGAACUCCGGAUAUUCGGAACGAAGAUGGUCCUCGCGUUCCCAGGUGGCUUCUCGGUCGGAAUGGUGUGACCACUUCACUUUCAGGAAUUUGAUUGACUUGCUGCGAGUCUUGCGCUCAGUUUCUUCAAGAAUAGCAACGGGGUGCUCAUGUUAAGACAAAUCUACUUGGAGGUCAAUCUCUUUGAAGUUGAUAGUGCGCUCAGGCGUCUUGAAGGACUUGCGGAGCUGUGACACAUGGAACACAUCGUGCACGUUCACGAAGUUGGAAGGAAGCUCAAGUUGAUAGGCGAGGUCGCCUCUUUUGCGAAUGAUCUUGAAAGGACCCACGUAUCUAGGGGCAAGCUUCCCUUUGAUACCGAAGCGACGAGUGCCUUUCAUUGGAGAGACGCGGAGGUAGACAUGGUCUCCGAUCUCGAAAGCCAAAUCACGGUGCUUACUAUCAUAGUAACUCUUCUGGUGCGAUUGCGCGGCUUUGAGAUUAUCACUGAUGACUUUACACAUUUCUUCAGCUUCAGUGAUUAAGUCAUUGCCAAGAAGUUGGCGUUCACCAGUCUCUGACCAAUUGAGAGGAGUACGACACUUUCUGCCAUAGAGAAUCUCGAAUGGGGCCUUGCCCGAACUCGCUUGGAAGCUGUUGUUGUAGGAGAAUUCAGCAUAUGUAAGACAAUCUUCCCAUUUCAUGCCAAAGGAAAUGACACAAGCCCUGAGCAUAUCUUCAAGAAUUUGAUUGACUCGCUCGACUUGGCCACUAGUUUGAGGAUGGAAAGCUGUGCUGAAGCGAAUGUUGGUGCCCAUGGCCUUCUGGAAGGAGUCCCAGAACUUAGAGGUGAAGAUGCUUCCACGAUCAGAAGAAAUCAAUUGUGGAAUGCCGUGCAAGGAGACAAUUCUGGAGGUGUAUAGCUCUGCCAACUGAGCUGCUGUGAUAGACUCUUUCAUUGGAAGGAAAUGAGCCACUUUAGAAAGCUUGUCGAUGACAACGAAGAUAGCAUCAUUUCCGCGCUUGGACUUGGGAAAACCAGUCACGAAGUCCAUUUCGAUAUGAUCAAACUUCCACUCUGGGAUAGCAAGAGGUUGGAGGAGACCACCUGGUCGUUGGUGUUCUGCUUUCACUCUUCGACAGACAUCACAUUCAUUCACGAAUUGAGCAAUUUCUCGCUUCAUUCGAGUCCACCAAUACGACCGCUUGAGGUCAUGGUACAUCUUCAUACUUCCAGGAUGAAUGGAAAGAAGAGAAUUGUGCGCCUCGUUCAUAAUGACUUUCCUUAGAUCACCUUUAGGAACCACAAUCCGGUCCUCGAAGAACAAAGUGUCUCUGUCAUCAAUGCGAUAACACUUGUAUUUGGAAAGACCCUUGUCGACACCACGUUUCACCUUCUUCACCAUGGUAUCCAGGAGUUGUGCCUCACGAAUUUGAUCUUCCAAAGUAGGAGAGACUAUGAGGUUGGCAAGAAAGCCUUGAGGAACAACUUGGAGAUUCAGCUUGCGGAAAGCUUCACAAAGAUCCGGUUGGAAAGGCUUGAGAAUUAAGCUGUUGCAAUAAGCCUUCCUGCUUAAAGCAUCUGCAAUGACAUUGGCCUUGUCUGAGUAUAUUCAAUACUCGGAUUGUACUCUUGAAUCAUUUCGACCCAUCGAGUCUGCCUGAGGUUGAGGUUGGGCUGAGUGAAGAUGUACUUGAGACUCUUGUGAUCGGUGAAUAUGUCCACUUGUCUUCCCAACAAGAGAUGUCUCCACGUUAUUAAUGCAUGGACAACUGCCGCCAACUCAAGAUCGUGAGUGGGGUAGUUCUUUUCAUUGGGCUUCAACUGACAAGAGGUAUAGGACACAACUUUCUUCUCUUGCAUUAACACAACACCGAGACCUUGGAGAGAAGCAUCACAGAAAACUUCAAAUGGCUGGAUUCGUCAGGAGGAGUUAAGACAGGAGCUGUGACGAGUUUCUCUUUGAGAGUGUUGAAAGCAACAUCACACUCAGGAGACCAGACAUACUUCACAUGCUUUUGGAGGAGGUUGGAAAGAGGCUUUGCAAUCUUAGAGAAAUUCUCAACGAAUCUUCGGCAAUAGCUUGCAAGACCAAGAAAACUGCGGAGCUGCUUGACAUUCUGAGGAGGUUCCCAAUUCACAAUUGCGGACACCUUCUCGGGGUUAACAGCGAUGCCCUUGGCAGAGAUGAUGUGACCAAGGUAAAGAACUUCAUCAAGCCAAAACUCACAUUUGGAAAACUUCGCAUAGAAUUGAUACUCUCUGAGCUUGUCGAGCACCAAUCUCAAAUGUUUGGCAUGAUCCUUCUUAUUCUUGGAGAAGACCAAGAUAUCAUCGAGAUACACCAGGACGAAUUCAUUGGUAUAGGGGUUGAAGAUGAAAUUCAUCAUCCGAGAGAAUGUUGGAGGAGCAUUGACAAGGCCGAAAGACACGACAGUAUAUUCAUAAGAACCAAAGCUUGUUCUGAAUGCUGUCUUGGGAAUAUCUUCUUCACGAAUGCGAAUCUGAUGAUAACCCAUGCGAAGGUCAAGCUUGGAGAAUACUUUAGCACCUUUGAGUUGCUCGAAUAGCUCAUUGAUGUUGGGAAGUGGAUACUUGUUCUUGAUUGUCUUCUUGUUCAAUGGACGGUAGUCGACACAAAGUCGGUCCGUGCCAUCCUUCUUCUUUACAAAAAGAACACCACAACCCCAUGGAGAAGAACUCGGUCUGAUCAAACCCAGACGCUCUUGUUCAUCGAGCUGUUUCUUCAAUUCCUUCAGCUCCUUGGGUCCAAGCUUGUAUGGACGCUUGCAAACGGGUUCAGUUCCUGGCUCAAGAUCGAUAACGAACUCAACUGGCCGGCGAGGAGGCAUACCCGGAAGCUCUUCUGGAAAGACAUCUUGAUACUCACAAACAACUGGAAUUUGAGAGAUGGCAUUCAAUUCGCCCUUCUCAUUGAGAGAAAAUAACCGAAUGGUUUCAUCACGAGCGGCAUAGAUAAUCACAUCCUCAGAAGAGUGUGUCAAUUGAAUUUCCCUGGCAGCACAAUCAAGUUGAGCCUUGUACUUAGAAAGCCAGUCCAUCCCGAGAAUUAGAUCAAUAUCCGAGUCACCAAGAACCAUUGGAGAAGACAGAAAUUUAUAAUUGCCCAUCUUGAUAGAAACAUCCGGAGCCAUCAUUUUGGUAUUCAUGAAUAAUCCCGGAGCGGAAACCGCUAUCGGCUUAGGAAGAUCAACAGUAUGCAAAUUGUUCAUGGAUGCAAAAGGUCUUGAUAUGAAAGAAAUAGAUGCACCAGUAUCAAACAAGACUUUUGCAGGAAUAUCAUUAACAGGAAGAUUACCCAUUAUCACAUCAGUAUAUUCCUCCGCUUGAGCUGCAUUCAUCAUGUUCACCUUUGCAGACUUUGGAUUAUGCUUGACCACUGCAUUGUUGAAAGAUCUGACAGGGGGAGGAGGCGGAAGACGCCUUUGGUUGAAGCACUUGUUAGCAUAGUGACCUUUCUGCUGACACUUGUUGCAAGUCACCUCUGAGAGUGGACGGUGAUAAGGAGCAUUGGACUUUGGAGCUUGAUUCUGAGACUUGUUCUGAUAGCCAGAGUUGGAAGAGUGGGAAGAACCAUGGCCACCUUUGUUCUUCUGCUGGUAAGGCUGACGAAACGGAGGAGGAGGCAACCAGAACUUCUGUUGCUUAGCUGCCACAAGUGAGGAAGAAGAAGACUGCACUGCAUCCCUGACUCUCUUCUUAGAAGCCUCACACUUGAGCUGAGCAGCCUCUUGCUUCAGUGCCAUAUUGUAGAAUUGAUCAAACUGAGUAGGCUCAACAAGAACGAGAGCUAACUGCAGAUCCUCUCUAAGGCCACCUCUGAAGUGAUAGAUCAUGCUCUUUUCAUCAGGAACGUCUUGUUUAGCGAAGCGAGCAAGUUUCUGAAACUGGAUGUUGAAUUGAUACACAGACAUGUUGCCUUGCUUGAGAUUGCAGAACUCCUCACGCUUGCUCUCAACAACACUUUGUGGAAUGUGGUGCGCUUUGAAAUCCCGACAGAAGUCAGUCCAAGUAAUCACAGGACCUCCUCUGGAAUCUUUGUAUUGUUGAUACCAAUCAGCAACUUGGUCCUUGAGCUAAAAAGAAGCGAACUUGACAUAGUCCUCAGGCUUGACAUUGCUACAUUCAAAAUGCUUGUUGAUGUCCACGAGCCAAUCAUCGGCAUCCGUGGCCUCGGCACAGUAGCUGAAAGACUUGGGCUGAUUUGCGAGAAACUGGUUGAGGGUAGCGAAGUGAGGCUGAUUGUUGCCUUGGCCUUGAUUCCCUUGAUUGCCUUGCCCUUGGGUGCGGUCUUGCAAGAGUUGCAGAAUCAUCUGAGCAUUGGCGUUGGUGGCUGCCAUGAUAGCUUGCCAUGCCUCCGGAGGUGGAGGUGGUGGUGGAGGGUUCUCUUGACUCCCUUCAUUGCGAUCCGGAUUCUGACGCGUUGGCGGAGCCAUCCUGAAGAGGGUGACGUCCGUUAGCAUCUUGAUAGACAAAUAGACAAGUAGAAUCAACAGAUAGAAAUUGCAACAUAUAGUCUUCACAAUAAACAUUCGAACGAGGAUGAACGAAUGAAUUCCAUAGUAAAUCAUUGCACUUCCAUAAAUUGAGAAGCCACUUAGAACAAGGUAUGGAAAUCAACAUUUGACUUCGAAGCAACUCGAAUACCACAAUUCAAAACAAAACAAAGUAUUGGCUUGCAGAAUAAGCCGGAACAAACAUAUGAUAGAUAUUUCGUCCGAAGUUUUCGUGGUGGGGCCCACACGGGCUCGAUCAUACAGCACCAUCAUGUACAAGGCUGUGCACAUGACAUACGAAGCGUCCCCGAGUCGGCAUAGCCAAGGACUCUUUAAGACACUACGAGACCACUAUAAGACCAACCGUGUACAGGCGGACCACUAGACGUCGAACCCCAAUCUCAUAUCAUGCGUCUAUCGGAAAGAUAUCCUAAGAGCUACUUGAAUUCCCACUUAUAAACUCCCGAAACUUUCUGUUUAUGCAAUCUGGUGUUGGGGAUACAGGGGACACAAAAUAUAUCACCCAAACUAGCAAUCCCUAGAUCCAGCUGUAUCCAUCCGUCAACACAUAACCAAGAAACCUUCGGAAAUCGUGUACCUCAACCUUCGAAAAACAUCCGUUAUACGAGUUAUGGCAAUACUCCCGAACUCCCGCCCCAGUACUGGGUGGCGUCGAGGUGAUCUCACCAACAACUGCAUAAAAGAGAUUUCGAUGUCGGCGAAACUCAGGUAUUCCAGAACUGCAACGAUAAAAUUGUGACGACAACACCUCGGAGCUCAACUCCCCGGGACACUGCCACAACCCCUAAAUGUCAGGAGGCACCAAGAACAAUGUUCUCGUCACAAAACCAUCAGAACGAUUCUAAGAUACCCGCGUGAUCCUAAAUUUUUUUUAGUGAAAAUUGAGGAGAGAAUAGUCAAAACUUCUAUGUCAGGAGACCUCACCAGAGCGAUGAAAGGACUGAGGAGUAAAAAGAAUCCUACUCUCCGAUAUAUAUAAUCCUAAGACUCAAAACAUUUUUGCUCUAGACUCAACAACGCCAGCGAUUCGAUCAAGCAGGGGGCUCCUAAGUCGGAGAUGGCUCUGAUUACCAACUUGUAACGCCCACGAUGCGGCUAUAUCUCCCACGUGUCGAGGCACGACUUAGAGGCAUAACCGCAUUGUGGUUUUGUCGCAAGAAGGGUCAUCUUCACACAAUCCCAUGUAAUGAACAAGAAUGGGAUAACGAGAGUUGGCUUACAAUCGCCACUUCACACAAUACAUAAAUAUAAUUCAUACAUCAUCCAAAAUACACACAUAGACCAACUACGGUCAAGAUCCAAAUGAAAAUAAGACAACCCCAAAUGCUAGAUCCCCGAUCGUCCCAACUGGGCUCCACUACUGAUCAUCAGGAAAAGACACAUAGUAACGACCACGUUCCUCAUCGAACUCCCACUUGAGGUCGAUCCCAUCAUCUGCACUGGCAUCGUCGGCACCUGCAACUAUUUUGGUAGAAUCUGUGAGUCACGAGGACUCAACAAUCUCACACCCGCGAGAUCAAGACUAUUUAAGCUUAUAGGACAGGAUGGUGUAAUGAGGUGGAGCUGCAGCAGGCACUAAGCAUAUAUGGUGGCUAACAUACGCAAAAGAGAGCGAGAAGAGAAGCAACGGAACGGUCGUCAUCUAGUAAUGAUCAAGAAGUGAUCCUGAACUCCUACUUACGUCAAACAUAACUCAAACCGUGUUCACUUCCCGGACUCCGUCGAGAAGAGACCAUCACGGCUACACACACGGUUGAUGUAUUUUAAUUGGGUCAAGUGACAAGUUCUCUACAACCGGACAUUAACAAAUUCCCAUCUGCCUCAUAACCGCGGGCACGGCUUUCGAAAGAUAAUACCCUGCAGGGGUGUCCCAACUUAGCCCAUCAUAAGCUCUCACGGUCAACGAAGGAUAAACCUUCUCCCGGAAAGACCCGAUCAGUCUCGGAAUCCCGGUUUACAAGACAUUUCGACAAUGGUAAAACAAGACCAGCAAAGCCACCCGAAUGUGCCGACAAAUCCCGGUAGGAGCUGCACAUAUCUCAUUCUCAGGGCACAACGGAUGGGCAAGACGUCGGGUUGGCAUAGACCCUGGUUGCCCUGGGGGCGCCGGACAUCGCCCAGUUUGGGCCAGCACUCGAAGGAGCACUGGUCCGGGGGUUUAAAAUAAAGAUGACCCUCGGGCUCGCGAAAACCCGUGGGAAAAGGCUUAGGUGGCAAAUGGUAAAACCAAGGUUGGGCCUUGCUGGAGGAGUUUUAUUCAAGGCGAACUGUCAAGGGGGUCCCAUAAUCACCCAACCGCGUAAGGAACGCAAACUCAAGGAACAUAAUCCCGGUAUGACAGAAACUAGGGCGGCAAGAGUGGAACAAAACACCAGGCAUAAGGCCGAGCCUUCCACCCUUUACCAAAAAUAUAGAUGCAUUAAUUAAAUAAGAGAUAUUGUGAUAUCCCAACAUAUCCAUGUUCCAACAUGGAACCAACUUCAACUUCACCUGCAACUAGCAACGCUAUAAGAAGGGCUGAGCAAAAGCGGUAACUUAGCCAAACAACGGUUUGCUAGGAAAGGAUGGUUAGAGGCUGUCAUGGCAAUAUGGGAGGCAUGAUAUAGCAAGUGAUAGGUAGCGCAGCAUGGCAAUAGAGCGAACAACUAGCAAAGCAAAGAUAGAAGUGAUUUCGAGGGUAUGGUCAUCUUGCCUGCAAGGUUCUCAGAGUUGUCGAAAGCUUGAUCCUCAUAAGCGUACUCAACAGGUUCCUCGUUCACGAACUCGUCUCCCGGCACUACCCAAAACAAGAACACAAGCAACGGAACCACAAUCAAUCACGGGAAAUGCAAUAGCAACAUGAUGCAAUACAUGAAUGAUAUGCAAGAUAUGAUAUGCGAAGCAUAUGCGUGCUCCGGAAGAAAAAUGAUGAACAAGGCAGUAACUUGGCAAACCAAGUAUGCCACUGGAAAGAUGAGAUGAUUUCGGUCGAAAUCGAUAUAAAGAUCACCGGAAACGGAUGCACGGUUCGCGAAAGGCAAGCAAAACAAGAAUGACACGAAUCUGUAAUUAACAGCAUGAUAGCACUUAGAAUACAUCAAGUAACUAUGCUACAGCACUCCAACAUAGCAAAAAAGCAUAUGACAGUAAUCUACAGGAGGUGUUUGACAAAAGAUGAACACUGAGCUACAGCUAGAUCACAAGAUAACAGGCUCAAACAAGCAUGGCAAAAGUGCGAAAGAUAUCAGGUUCACAGACUUGGUGAAAUUACUGGACAUGGCUGAAACAGCAUCAGGUAGCAAUGUUCAGAGCAAGAAAAACACAUGCUACAAGAACUUAACAUCGCGAAACAAGGAUGGCAUGAAUCUACUAAAUGCAUAGAACAAAAGUCACUUACUGACCAUAAGCCAAAAAGGACCAAAAGUUAUGAUGGCAACCAUGUGAACAUAGCAAGUUUCGUUAACAGGUUACAGACUUGGCAGAAAACAGAGCAUGGCAGAAACAAUAAUAUGAAGGCAUCUUGGUAAGCUUGAUGCACUCACCACAAAGAAAUUCAUGACAAAAUAAGCAUACCUACAGCAAGAUGGCAUGUUUAUGAAGCUAUCCAUGGCAAGAGAAAGUACAUAGCAUGUAUGAAACAACUACAACAAGCUUGGCAAAAUUGAAUAACACGUAAACAAUCUGCCAGAAAUAUUUUAUAGAAAAAGUAGAGCAAGAUUGAGUCAUUCUAUGGCACUCCAUAAUUGCAAACAAGGGCAGGAAUGGAUCAAUUACAACAAUAUCUACAAAACAUCCUUACUGAACAUCUCCAAAAUAUGCAUGGAUCUCUCUAUAGCAUCAAGUUUACAUGACAACAAAAUAACAGCAGACAGACUUGGAGAAAUCACCAAGUCUCUGAAAUCAGAAACAUUAUGGAGCCUAGUUUGCAUGCUUGUGCUAGUCACCACAGAGAUCACAAAAAUACAUGGCAUACACCUCUGUAAAUAUGGCAUGGCAUACAUCAAAACACAUGUAGAGCUCCUACUCAUAAGAUGCACAUAUCAAAUGCAACAAAAAUAACAAAUCCUCAUGUUCUGUUAAGUAACAGCAGUUAACAGCAUAUAGCACUCUUGCACCAGAGAGUUUGGCAUCAAGAUGAACUCAAAUGAACAUGGUGCAAUUGAACAAAAUGUAGAGCAUCAUGAGACGAACAUUUCGAUAUAUUACAUGUACGAAACGGAGCUAUAUGCAGAGAGUUAUGCCAUGAUGAACAGGGGUAUAUAAUGUGAAAAUGCAAAAGACUUGGGAAUAUUUUCGGGGAGAGGUUUGGAAAGUCAACCGUGGGCUUCCUCGAUCCAAAUCUGGCCGGGGCCGGGCUUCGAGCUCGCCGGCGGUGGAUGGCGACGCCGGAGGAGAGGAGGGAGAGGCCGGAGGGAGGCGGCGCUCGGGGCCGCGGGCGGCGGAGGAGGGGGGCGCCGGCGACGGGCGCUGCUCGGGCGGCGCCGACGACGGGCGAGGCGGCGAGCGGCGGCGGGGCCNNNNNNNNNNNNNNNNNNNNNNNNNNNNNNNNNNNNNNNNNNNNNNNNNNNNNNNNNNNNNNNNNNNNNNNNNNNNNNNNNNNNNNNNNNNNNNNNNNNNNNNNNNNNNNNNNNNNNNNNNNNNNNNNNNNNNNNNNNNNNNNNNNNNNNNNNNNNNNNNNNNNNNNNNNNNNNNNNNNNNNNNNNNNNNNNNNNNNNNNNNNNNNNNNNNNNNNNNNNNNNNNNNNNNNNNNNNNNNNNNNNNNNNNNNNNNNNNNNNNNNNNNNNNNNNNNNNNNNNNNNNNNNNNNNNNNNNNNNNNNNNNNNNNNNNNNNNNNNNNNNNNNNNNNNNNNNNNNNNNNNNNNNNNNNNNNNNNNNNNNNNNNNNNNNNNNNNNNNNNNNNNNNNNNNNNNNNNNNNNNNNNNNNNNNNNNNNNNNNNNNNNNNNNNNNNNNNNNNNNNNNNNNNNNNNNNNNNNNNNNNNNNNNNNNNNNNNNNNNNNNNNNNNNNNNNNNNNNNNNNNNNNNNNNNNNNNNNNNNNNNNNNNNNNNNNNNNNNNNNNNNNNNNNNNNNNNNNNNNNNNNNNNNNNNNNNNNNNNNNNNNNCACGGGGCGGACGCGGAGAGGCUGCGGGCGGCGGCGCAUUAGUCCGGCGGGGUACGGACGUGUCCGACGGCGCGGAGGGAUAGGGUUAGGGUUUGGACUACGGAUUAUCUCGGGAGGGGUGCAAUUAUAUAGGUAGAGGGAGCUAGGAGACUCCAAACGAGGUGCGGUUUUCGCCCACACGAUCGUGAUCGAAAAACCUAGAGCAUGGAAAUGACUUGGAGGGGUUUUGGGAUGUUUAGAGAGGGGGUUUUGCGGCAACACACAGAAGGCAUCUGCGGUUACCCGGUUAACCGUUGGAGUACCAAACGACCUCCAAAUGGAACGAAACUUGACCGGUGGUCUCCCGGUGGUAUACCAAGGCCACUUGACAAGCCUCGGUCCAUUCCGAGAACGUUCGACACCCGCUCACGAAAAGAAACAAGAUGGGUGCGUCGGAGGAGGUGGGAGUGCCGGAUUGCAAAACGGACAACGGGGAAACUGCUCGGAUGCAUGAGACGAACAUGUAUGCAAAUGCAAUGCACAUGAUGACAUGAUAUGAUAUGCAUGACAUGAACAAAAUGCAAAACGAAAGACAAAACCCGACCACGGAGGGAAUAUCAUAACACAUAGCCGAAAAUGGCAAGAGUUGGAGUUACAAAUAUGGAAAGUUACAUCCGGGGUGUUACAACUUCCCUCCUGUUGCAGAGAAGCUCGACAAGUGGAGGGCCACCAUCCGGAGCCUCGUCGCCAUCGCCAACAAAGACGAUCCACGACCAGCGGGGCCCUCAGGUCGGCGCUCCACCGAGCCACCACGUGCUGGCGCUGGGAGGACCGGGGGAGCUGCGGCCACGGUGCACUCUCCUCCUCCUCGCCAGCCGCCGCGGGCGUCUGCCCGUCGUGACGACGCUUGUGAUAACAUCUCAAUAGCGUCGUCCGACCCACGGACCCUCCGCGACCAGCGCCAGGUCCUUCGGGAACGAGCUCACAAAGACGCUCGAACCAGCGUCGAACGCCGACGCGAAACGCGCGUCCAGUCGGACAAGCGGGCGGGACCCGCUAUGGACCACCCGGCACCGGGGGGCUCCGGCGGCCUACCUUACGAGGUGGGAUGCCCGGCCUUUACCCGUGAGCUGCGGCAGUUCCAGUGGCCGUCCCAUUGCACGUUCAAGCCCGACGUCAGCGAGAAGUACACUAGCAGGACCCAUCCGUCCGAGUUCCUCAGCAUCUACACCAUCGCGAUGCAGGCUGCUGGGGCUCGCGACGACAAGGUGCUUGCCAACUAUUUCCCGCUGGUGCUCAAGCCCAAUGUGAUGUCUUGGUUGAUGCACUUGCCGGUGGAUUCCAUUUCUUCCUGGUCGAAUCUGUGCCAUGAGUUCGUUGGCGCCUUCACAGGAGGCCACCAAGCUCAUGGCCAGGCCAGUGAUCUGCAUAUCAUUCCCCAGAAGGAAGGGGAGACCCUACGCAAGUACAUCCAGAGAUUCAGCCGGGUGCAGUACAACAUCCCUGACGUUCAUCCCGCCGCUGUGAUUAGCGCGUUCCACCAGAACAUGCGCAAUCGCAAGAUGCGCGAGGAGCUGGCGAUGACCAAGGUCAAGGAUGUGGCCGAGCUCUACGUUCUGGCCGAUAGAUGCGCCCGGGCUGAAGAGGGAAGGAAGUACCCCGGCGAAGACGCCGGCACGGAAACCGACUCUACCGAUGAGGACGCCGCUACCCCGACGAAGAAGGGCCGGCGUUGCAACAGGAAACGCAAGGGCCAGGCCGUGCUUGCCGUUGAGGGAUCUGACGACACCGGUGCCGGCAAGAAGGUCAAGGCAGGCGCUCCCGGCAAGGAGAUUCCGGGUGCGCCGCCUGCCGGGCCUUGGUGGCUACCGACAAGCCAGGGAGCUCCGGCAAGCAAUACUGCAAGAUCCACCGCACCAAGGGCCACGACCUCCAGAACUGCCGACAAGUCGAGCUGCUUGCUGAUAAGCAAAAGGCUGAGUACAAGAGGCGGGACAAGGAGAAGGACAAGGACGGUGCCGAGGGAUCCGACAAGAAGCGUGGCGGCCAAGGAGGCUGCCCCGGCAAGGACAACCAGCAAGAGAGGCCCGCCCGGGGCCGCGACAAGAAACAAGAAGAUGAUGAUCACGACGAGGAGGACGAGUCUGGUGAGCAAGGGUUCCAGAAGGCUACGGAGGCCAUGUGCGUCGAUGGCGGCGCCUCGCUGCAUACCUCUCACCGCCAGCUCAAGCAGUGGGCGCGUGAGAUUACAGCAGCAGAGUCGUUGUUCGACUCUCAGAAGCCACUGAAGUGGUCCAACACGCCCCUCAUCUUUGACGCCGAGGACCACCCUAACCGCACUACCGCGGUCGGGUGUUUGCCAUUGUUGGUCACACCAACGAUACGCAACCUCAGGGUGAACAAGAUGUUGGUUGACAGCGGGGCCGGCUUGAACCUGAUUUCGCCUGUCGUGAUCAAAAGGUUGCAAAUCCCUGAUGGAUACCUCGAGGAAACGGGCAUGUUUCAAGGGGUCAAUCCAGGGAGGAGCCAGCCGAAGGGAAAGGUCACACUGCCCGUGACAUUUGGAGGAGAGUUGAACUACAGGACAGAGAGGAUUGUCUUCGACGUGGCCGAGAUCCCCUUGCCCUAUAACGGGAUCCUCAGCCGCCCGGCACUAGCCAAGUUCAUGGCGGCAUCACACUAUGCCUACAACAUGCUAAAGAUGCCUGGGCCGUUGACCAUCAUCUUCGUCCCCUCCGGCAAGAAGGACAUGCUGAUCUGCGCCGACCAACUCUACCGGGAAGCAGUUGCAGCAGCUGCCGUCAAGGCACCUGCUCCUGCCGCUGAAGGGCUGGGAGGGAAGAAGAAGCCCGACAAGACCUCUCGCACCCACUCCGGCAAGCGCACCUCCUCGGAGUGUUGCGCUACCGUCGAGGACGUGCCAGAGAGCUCUACCGACAAGAGCAAGAGAUCCAGAGCCGAGCCGCCGCAGACCAAGAAGGUGCCCAUCAGGGAGGAUGGCGCGGGAGGGGUCUUCACCAUAGGCUUCACCCUCGACAGCAAAUAGGAAGGCGCGCUCGUCACCUUCCUGCGGGCGAAUGUCGACGUGUUUGCGUGGCAAGCAUCUGACAUCCCCGGUGUUCCCAGGGAGGUGAUUGAGGACCACCUAGCUGUCUGCCCCCACGCGCGGCCCGUCAAGCAGAAGGUCAGAAAGCAGGCUCUGGAGAGGCAGGAGUUCAUCACAGAGGAGAUCAGGAAGUUGGAAGCGGCAGGUUUGGUGAGAGGAGUGCUCCACCCGACGUGGUUGGCCAAUCCGGUAGUGGUGCGCAAGGCGAAUGGGAAGUGGAGGCUGUGUAUUGAUUACACAGAUAUCAAUAAGGCUUGUCCUAAGGACCCCUUCCCGUUGCCGCGCAUCGACCAGAUUGUUGACUCCACAGCCGGGUGUGAUCUGUUAUCAUUCCUCGACGCCUACUCAGGCUACCACCAGAUCUUCAUGACAAGAGAGGAUGAAGAGAAGACAACAUUCAUCACCCCAUGUGGUACGUAUUGCUUUUUACGGAUGCCUUUCGGGUUGAAGAGUGCUGGCUCAACGUUCGCAAGAGCAGUCCAAAUUGGUUUUGAACCUCAGCUCCAUAGAAAUAUGGAGGCCUACAUGGAUGACAUAGUGGUCAAAACCAAGGACGGGCCACCUCUUGUGCAAGAUCUGGAAGAGACAUUUGCCAACCUGCGCAAGAUCAACCUCAAGCUGAACCCUGAGAAGUGUGUCUUCGGCGUUCCAUCCGGCAAGCUUCUCGGGUUCUUUGUGUCGCAGCGCGGGAUCGAGGCAAACCCAGACAAGAUCAAGGCUAUUGGGUUGAUUGAGGCGCCCAAGCGGAUCAAAGAUGUGCGUCGGCUCACCGGCUGCGUUGCCGCCAUGAGCCGAUUCAUCUCCAAGUCUGCCGAGCGCGCCCUUCCCUUCUUCAGAAUCUUGAAAAAGGCAGGCCCAAUGGAGUGGACCCCAGAAGCCGAGGCAGCAUUGCAGGAUCUAAAGAAAUACCUUUCCUCCACGCCAAUACUGGUUGCGCCUAAACCACAAGAGCCGUUGCUGCUGUAUCUGGCGGCGACGAAUCAAGUGGUCAGCGCUGCGCGGGUGGCACAGAGGGAGGUCAACGAGGAGGCAGUGACAACGGCAGAACCAGCGGAUGGCAAGCCCAAGAUUCCCCCGGUAGGGCCUGGUGCCAGCAAGGCGAGGCCCCCGACAGAGUCUGAUGCCGCCGAGGCAGUGCCUGCGCAGUCAAGUGAGGUGGUGCAGAAGAAGAAGAUGAUGCAGCACCCGGUUUACUUUGUCAGCUCCCUCUUGCAGGGAGCUAGAUCGAGGUACUCCGGUGUGCAGAAAUUGCUCUUCGGCCUCCUGAUGGCCUCGAGGAAGCUGCGUCAUUACUUCCAAGCCCACGAGAUCACCGUCGUCACCCGCCUCCCAUUGCAACGGAUACUGUACAACCUAGAUGCGACUGGAAGGAUUGUGGAAUGGGCCUUGGAGUUGUCAAGCUUCGGUUUAAAGUUUGAAAGUACCUCGAGAAUUCAGAGCAGAGUCUUGGUGGAGUUCAUUGCAGAAUGGACCUCAACGCCCGACGAAGAAAUCCAGGAGACCACUCUCCCCGGCAAGGAAGCAGACCGCGACUGGAUCAUGUACUUUGAUGGGGCUUUCUCGCUGCAAGGCGCCGGUGCCGGUGUGCUGCUCGUCGCGCCAACCGGAGAGCACCUCAAGUACAUUAUCCAGAUGCACUUCCCCAGGGAGAUGUCCACCAACAACACUGCUGAGUACGAGGGAUUGCUCGCCGGUCUCAGGAUCGCGGCAGACCUUGGGGUUAAGAAGCUCAUCGUCAGGGGAGACUCGCAGCUUGUUGUUAGGCAUGUCAACAAGGAUUACCAGAGCCCAUUGAUGGAGGCCUACGUAGAUGAGGUGAGGAAGCUGGAGGAACGCUUUGACGGUAUCCAAGCGGAGCACGUCCCCCGAAUGGAGAACGACAUCGCCGAUUACCUGUCAAAGCGUGCUGCAUUCAAGCUACCUGUGGAACUAGGUACCUUUUUACUCCGGUUAACUCAACCAUCCGUCGAGCCAUCAACGGGGCAGAACAAGCAGAAGUAGUCAGGUCCCGGCAAGUACUUUCCUACCGAGCCCCCUGGGGCCGCCGGCAAGGGUGCUGCCGCGGACGCUGAGCCUGCCCAAGAGCAACUGGCUCCGGCAGGGCGUCAAGCCCUGGCCGUAGAGACAGCCGUUCCCAUGGCGGAAGAAAUGCCUUUGGCCCUUGCCGUCGAGCCCCAGGCUCCGGCAUGGGCGCAGCAUACCGUCCAAUUCCUCCAAACAGGGGAGCUUCCUCAGGAGCAGGAAGAAGCGGAAAAAGUAGCCCGUCGGUCCGCCCUGUACCAGUUCGUCGAUGACGUCCUGUACAGGAGAAGGCCGAACGGCGUGAAAUUGAAGUGCAUCCCCCGGGAGGAAGGACUGGUGCUGUUGGCGGAGAUACAUGGAGGCAUAUGUGGCUCCCACAUAGGGUCGAGGGCCCUUUCCAGAAAGGCGUUCCGGCAAGGUUUCUUCUGGCCCACCGCCCUCCAGGAUGCGACGGCAGUAGUAACCAAGUGUGAAGCGUGUCAGUUCCAUUCAAAGAAGCUUCAUCAACCAUCCCAAGCCCUUCAAACAAUCCCUCUCUCCUGGCCAUUCUCGGUCUGGGUCUCGACAUACUGGGCCCUUUCCCCCGCGCUGUCGGGGGCUUUGAGUACUUGUACGUUGCAAUCGACAAGUUCACAAAGUGGCCGGAGGUGGAAGCAGUGAGAAAGGUGACUGCUCAGUCACCUGUCAAGUUUUUCAAGGGACUGGUCUGCCAUUUUGGUGUGCCAAAUAGAGUCAUCACCGACAACGGCACGCAGUUCACGAGCCACACCUUCAUGCAAUACAUUCAAGACCUCGGCAGCAAGGUCUGUUUUGCUUCCGUGGCACACCCACGGAGCAACGGCCAAGCGGAGAGGGCGAAUGUUGAAGUGUUGCGAGGCCUAAGGACAAAGACUUUUGACAAGCUGCGCAAGAGCGGAAGGCGCUGGAUUGAUGAAUUGCCGGCGGUUCUUUGGUCGAUCAGAAUGACGCCAAAUCGAGCCACCAGCCAGACACCUUUUGCCCUGGUCUACGGGGCAGAAGCAGUUCUCCCCACGGAACUCAUAUACGGGUCACCUCAAGUGCUAGCUUAUGAUGAGCUUGAGUAAGAGCAGUUGCGCAAAGAUGACGCGACGCUCCUUGAGGAAGAUCGUCUUCGGGCGGCUGUGAGAGUAGCACGCUACCAGCAAGCCUUGCGCCGCUACCAUAGCCGCAAGGUUCAUGCCCGAAGCUUUGAGGAAGGCGACCUUGUUCUUCGGCGCGUUCAGUCGGCCAAGAAUGCCAACAAGUUGACGCCGAAGUGGGAAGGCCCUUAUCGGGUAAUACGAGUCACCAGGCCCGGCGCAGUCCGCCUGGAGACCGAAGAUGCCGUCCCAGUGAGCAACUCCUGGAACAUCGAGCAUCUUCGCAAGUUUUACCCAUAAGGUGCGGCUUGCCGGGCCUCCCGGCAAGCCACCUUUUGUACAAGCUUUGCCGGCAAGGCAUGUGACCCUUUGUACAAAGCCAGGCACAAACCCUGAGCAUAAAUAAAUGAAGCGCUGGCGCCCUAAGUCAUAGCAUGCAUGCUAGGUCGAGUCCCUUCCUUGGUUAGGGUUGAUAGUACUCAGCAGCGACUAACCCCUAGCUUAGAGGUCGAGUGCGCGUCUAUCUGUUUCUCUUCUGUCCUCUUUUGGUUCGCAGGGCACAUGAGCACUUCUACCGAGCUACUUGGAAGAAAGAAAACGGAACAGCGUCCUGACCCCGGCAAACCAGAGUUGCCGGGGGCUGCAAGCACAAGGAUCCAACCGCGGCAAGAUGAGAUUGCCAGGGGCUGCAGAUCUAGAUAAGUCUUUCAUCCUCUGUCAUGUAUUUCGGAACCGGACUGGGGCAUGUGAAACCUCGUUUUUAUCUCUAGGCUGCCGUGCUCCCCUUUUUCCUAUACCUAAGGAUUAUUUCCUGGGUUCGGAUUUGGUUGUAGCCGCGGUAGCAAGGAGGUAGAACGAGGAGCCUAAAGCCCACUUCAUCCCUGCCUCCGCCAAGAGCGCGAGAAGGUCGAGUGGAGUGGGGGGACGGCAAGGUCUGUUGCCGGGUGAAAAACGUUUAUCUUAAACAAUAACAAGGAUUCGCUCCUUGUCGCGGGAUUUACCCAUGAACGAAAAACCCGGCAAGCAUCCCUUUUUCAUUAAAAACAUCCCAUACAGGUACAGUUCGUACGGAAUGAAAAACUUGAGCAAGGGGAUUACAAGUUCUAAAUUUAACGAAGGCCCGCAGGCUUACAAACUAAAAAAGAGAUAAGAUGCCCGUAAUCCCUUUCUUGUCCCUGUCCUCAGGAGGCAGGUCGAGGAGGCGAGAGGGCAAAAGGGGCGCCUAGGCGAGCUACGAGCAGCAGAAAGCACCAAGAGAACACCUCGGUGGCUGCCCACGGGUGGGUCGGUGAUGACGGUGCCGGGAAAGGAGCUGGAAGAUGAGGCGGCAGGACCGGCAAUACGCGAUGAAGGCGUCGGUGCCCGCGUACUCCGAGUUGAUGGCCUUGCCACCCGCCCUCUUCCUCUUCCGCAGCCUCCCGACGCUAGCCUCCCAAGGAGACGGCCCCGAGAAGUUCAAGGAGCUGGCCCCACCCCUGGCAAACCUCUGCCGGAGGAGCGGCCAGGUGCAGAUGCUGCUGCUGCCGCACCCGCCCAGGCGCGGGGCGUCCGACGCCUAGUCGGACUCGUCCCCGUCAUCUGCCCCGCUGUCCUCCUCAUCACUUUCACUCGAGGAAGAGCUUCCAUCAUCGGAAUCUUCGUCGGAGGAGCUUUCCACGCAGCACUUCAGGCGAGUUCCAAACUCUCCGAAGACCUUGACGGAGAGCAGGCCAUCCUCCAUUAAUUUGAAGUAGAGGACGAGCCCCGCCGUCAGGCUGUGGAUGCGAGCAAACGUCUUCCAUCCACGGCGGAUGUACAUAACCCGAGGAGCCGAGAAGUCGACGUAGACCCGCGUGCCCCCGUUCCCACAGCCCCUCAUGUGCAACCUGAGGGUCUGGGGCGGGUCACGCUCCAUCACCCGAGCAAACGGGGCGGGGAGACGAAGACGAUGACACGGAGGCCGGCGCAGCCUGAUGAAGAACUCGCGGGGCUGGUCUCCGACAUGGCCUUCCAUCGGAAAAGGCAACAUUGGCGGGGGCGAAGCCGGCGCGCCGCCUCGUCCUCCUCUUCCCCGAGCACUGCGACCUCUGCCCCGGCCUCGCCCACGGCCUCGCCCCCUCCCCCUUCCCCUCGCGGCCGGCUCCACCACCGCGGGCUCAGGAGGAGAAGGGACGCGCUGUCGAGCGGCGACCCUCGCCGCCACCGUCGAAGGACCAGGAUUCCCUUUCUCCAUGGCGAGUGAAAGGAAGAAGCAGAAGCGAGAGGAGAUAGAUGACAGAAGAGUGCGAGACGCCAUCUCUCCUCCCCCUUCCUUAUAAGGGAGCGGGGUCGGGGCUCGGCUGCCCCGCUCGGCCAAUCCGGCCACCAGAGGCGCAGGGAAUCGGGACCGACCCGCUGCCCCAACCAGCGACGGCCUGGUUUCCCGCCUCCACCGCUUGCCACCCCAAGUGCAUGGAGGACGCGUGGCGAACGUGCAGAACCGAGGGGACGGGCGAAGCGACCUCUCCCCACCCCGUGAUCGUGGGGAGUGGACGCCUUGAAGACCGCACCCUGGCCCCGUUCAGUAAAUGAGCCGCGCCUCCACGCCUCCCUCUUUUUACAGGGAAGGCGCGAGCCGCCUCUUUACUGCGAUGUGACGCAUGCAUGUGGAGACCGCCCCAUGCAUGCCGCCCAUGUCACGCACACCCCUCCACGCCGCGCUGCGGGCGCGGGUCGUGGGUAGUGCAGCGCGCGAAAAGUCUUACCACGGUAAAAAACUGCCCCGCCUGCCCGCGCACCGUUUUGGGCCUGGCCUAACAACGUGUCGUGCUUAUGUGUAGCAACACGAACUUCUUCAACUCUUGGUUCUUCUUCUUGGUCAUCGGCUGAUGUGUCGGUGUACAAAAAGAGGGGUGCGUUUUUGUACCCCUUUACCUGUGCACGGGUAGUCGGAGCGGCGCCCACGGUCACGCCAAGCAGAACAGGGGAGGUAAGCCAAGGUAAGACCGAAGCCCAAGAUAAUCAGAGCAAAGCCAAGGCCAAGACCACAAAGAGCAGAGGGACAAAGCAGGUUCCCCCGGCAAGACCCUUGCCGGGGCAGCCCCGUCAAGAUCCUUGCCGGGGCAGCUCGCCCCACACCAACAGAGCGAGCCACCCUUGAGCCCACGGUCCCCAACGCCAUCAUCCACGUGGGGCCAGGGCUCGGGAAGGCACCUCUGUGGUGGCAUGCAGAUCUUUGUGAAGACAUAUUCAAGGUCAGAUGAGGAUUAGAAGACGACGAUCCUUGGCAAGACCAGACCCCCGGCAAGGCCCUUUCCGGGGACGACAGCGCGCCACGGCAAGACCCUCGCCGGGCCACCCGGCAAGGCCCUCACCAUGGACGCCAGCGGGGCCACGGCCAGGCCCACGCCAACCAAGCUUCCACCGCCGUUCACAUGCAGCUGCCAGCCCAACCAGCUGGGCAGACACCUGCGUGGCGACAUGCAGCCCCCAGGCCAACUCAUCAAGCGCCUGCGUGGCGGCAUGCAGAUCUUCGUGAAGGCUCCACCACCACGCCACCUCAGCUGCCUGCCUGCCUACAUGGCGCCGCACGCAUCGCUGGCCAGGGCGCGUGUCAAAGCGAGGAGGAGCGGCGACGGACGGGACGGGCCUCGCCCCCGUCCCCAAUAAAGCAAGGGGACACCUAAGCUACGCAUUAAAUGCGUCUUGUCCUGUAAUGCGAGCGAUAAGCUCAGGGCACUGUACGCCUUUCCACCUCGUGUGUGCCACUGUGGCAGCCCCUUCCGACUAUAAAAGGAGGCCUGUGGCAUACUGGAGAAGGAUUCGGCUCUUUCGAACCACGCACUCACCACAGCUAGUUCGAGAGCUCAAGAACUCUCUGAAAUACACCCACCAAAGCAGGACUAGGGUUUUACGCAUCCUCGCGGCCCAAACCUGGGUAAAUGAUCCUUGUGCUGUCUACUAGCCCUGCUCUUCUCGCAACCCCGUGCCCCGGCAACCGUAGUAGGGAUUCUUGUGAUCACAUAGGUGUCGUUCCACACCGACAGGAUGACAGGCAACGUACACCAUGAAGCUAAAGCUUUUGACAUUAUUGAGCUCACUGGUCCGCCCACUCCAGGUGAACUAUAUGAACCUGGUUGUCAGCUUCACCGCAAUGCUUUGGAGAGCAUCUUUUAGAAGCCAGAGCCCAACAUGAGCCAAAUGCUGAGCACGAUGAAGCCUCUGCCACAUGACGCUGAUUACCCAAAGGAAUUCUUUGUUGAAGACCUAGAGUAUCUGCCCCGCACUAUUUAUCAUAUCAUCAGGCGAACUCUAUGGCCUGUCAAAGGACAUUCUUCAGCAGCGAAACUUGAAGGAGCAAUGAAGACUUUGGUCUUUUAUAUCUUCAAUGGCAUCAACUUCAAUGCUCAAGACUUCUUUAUCAGGCAGUUGGCUGCAUCAGGCUCUGAUCUCUUUGGACCGAAGUUCUACGCUCCAUGGGUUAUGCGCCUCAUCAAGCUACAUUCAGCUGUGAACUAUCAGCCCUCUGCUCGCAACCAUCUGAUCUUUCUGCCAGAGGUUGAUAUGUCAGUUGAAGCCAUAUACCCAGAGCCUGCCAAGGAGCCUGUUUGUCUUCACAAUGCUGAUCACCAAAGCUUCACACAACCCAUUGAAGGAGUCCAGGCAGUCACUCGUGUUUAUCCUUUGGCUGGCAAUACACGCUUACCUUGCCGUGCUCAAACUGAAGCCACUGAAAGCACUAUUGCUCAAAGGCCUCGGAAGCGAUCUCGUGUUCUCAAUGACCGAGAACUUCUUGUUGCCCUGCAUCAGAAACAGGAUAAGCAUCACUUCUGGCUGAAGUGGCAGAUGCAAAGCCUCUUGGUGGACGUCAAUCGCAUUCGCAAUCUUGCCACCAAGAAUGCCUUUGUUACACAUGAAACCUGUCGGAGGUCAUGGAAGAGUUUGACAUUGCUCAGUGCUGAAGCAGAUCUUCAAGACGAUGGCUUCACUGAAAGAUUCAAGUUUGACUCCACUCCUCCAAGGAAUGCUAUCUUGUGUCGACCUCCGUCUCUUGAAGACUCUGACUAUUCCUCCUCCGCUGCAAUGGUGAAUGCCAGAGUAAUCGAUGAUCAAGAUGAUGCUACUUCACCUCCUCCAACUUCAGCGCGUAUCGACACUGCACCAAGUUCGUCUGCACCGCCAAACCCCGACGCCGACCCUGCAUCCUCUCCUACUCCUUCUGGGAAUGAGUAGAGGCUCUAUGUCUUCAAACCUUUUUGGUCCUUACUGACAAAAGGGGGAUAAGCAUAUGAGUUGAUAGUCUUCAAGCGGGUCCAUAUGGGCGGUUGCUUUAUAUUUUGCCUAGUGUUUACAACUCUCGCUUUUGAAACAUUUGGUUCUUUUGAGUUGUAACACUUAAACUUGAUGGUCGUCUGCUACCUCUUUGCUAUUCUGUGAUGCGAUGAUAAAUUCCGCAUGUGCGAUGAUAAAUCCCGCACGAAGUCAAAUUGCAGACGUCCAUUUUUCAUUAUGCAUGUCAUUAUCUUCGUUAUAUCAAAUCAUGCAUGAUGAAUUGUCUUCAUAAGUGAAGAGAAUCUCCACAAGUACAACCUGCCAUGUGCAUUUGCAUUCCAAAAGCAAAUUACUUAUAUGCACAUCUUCAGGGGGAGCCUUUUGCUACUUAUGAAGACAAUACCUAAACCCCAGUGAACAAAGUCAGAGUGACUAAAGUGAUGCUCAACCAAAAUCCUAUGUCUUCGAGCGAAGACAAUGAGAGCAAAUCUUAUCCAGAGCUGGAUGAGUCAGCUUACUUGCAGCCCAAGUCAAGCUGUCGCGUGUGUUUGAAAUCUGACCAUUGGAACACGAGUGACCCAGGGUCAUUUCAGACAGAUCAGGUCGGGUUGCCUAGUGGCUAUAAAUAGCCCACCCCCUACACCAUAAAUUGGUGGCUGCUCAGAGUUAGUGCAUGACUUCUGUCAUUUGAGAGCAACCCACCUCCGAAGCUUUUGAGAGAGAGAAAUCCUUGCGAGGACAAAGCCCAAACACCCAGAGCCAAAGAGUGUUAGGCAUCACUGAAGUCUUUUUGUCCGCGUGACCUGAAGACUUGUUACACUUGAGGACAGUGAAUCCUCCAGCCGGUUAGGCGUCGCGUUCUGAGCAUCCAAGAGUCAUUGUGGAUCGCCGGUGAACGAAGUCUGUGAAGGUUUGGAAGUCUACCUUGAAGACUUACCUACAGUUUGUCUUCGUGAAGUCAUUGCCUGCUUGCACUACUUGUUUGACUUCACUGUGUGACUACUAUCAUUGUUUGGCUUCAUACCAUCUUCCAUCCUGAUCUGUUCUACCUAGCUGCUAUUAGUCUUCGUGCUUUCACUUUAUUGCAUACUUGACUAUGGCUUGCUUAGUGUAGUCUACCUUCCGCUGCAUAUCAAUAGGUUCAUUUCUAUUUGUUUGUCUUCGAAACUCUCAUGUUUUGAAGACGUUCAUAAAAAUCGCCUAUUCACCCCCCUCUAGUCGAUAACUAGCACUUUCAAUAAUGAACCCCUUGCAACCCACGUUCCACAACCAGCCGAUCCCCGCUGGGCACUUCAAGGUUAACUUGUCCAGUGUGAAAUCGGGGCACGGGGAUUUGCCUCCUCCAGUACAGCAUGUGGGAGAGGACGACGAGACCCCGCCGCGGAUUGGAAGCUGCCAGGGUUGGGUGCUGCUAUGGCCGAAGAAUCUUAUUCACCUGGAGCCGGCCGAGAGCACACCAAUAACCACACAUCAACAAGCAUGUGCGGAGACCACCACCCCGCCUACGCAAUUACCAGCUCCUGUAGUGCCGGGUGAGAGCGGCGGACGACGUGAUGAAGGGGGUGCAAUAGUACUGGCUGCUGUAAUAGGUCCUGUAGAACAAAGAAUGGAUGAUGAGACGGAGGUCGACCCAAUGGGUUUCCUCAAUACAAACGCGUAUGACUGUGACUUAGAUAUGAUGAGUCAACCAUAUGACGAACCGGGCUAUCAGCAUGCUAAUGAGGAUAUGGAUGAUCUGCCCGGGCAGGAAGGUCGUAGCAGGGAUUGCAAAAAGUCUCUCUUCAUGAAAUCCUCACAGGACACGCCUGAAGAUGCUGCCUCAACACAGGCUCAACUAGCCGGGGGUCGUACAGUGCUUAGCCCGGGAACACCGGGGCAGGGGUUAAGGAAGGGUCUGGAAGGUGUGCCCAAGAAAAAGGAGAGGAAGAGAUCGGGGAAGAUAGCUGCCUCCAAACAAGCCAGAGCACAUAGCAGCCAGACGAUGGAUUCUGAAGAGCGUGUACCCGUGAAAUGUGCGGCCAUGUUCCAUCUCAUGGGCGAGCCGAUGCUACCGCCAAAACCGCUGGAGGCACUAUCAGGGGAUCUGAGGAGACUGCACGACCAUGUGGUGUCGACUGAGAAAAGCCUACUAGCCUCGAAGGAUCCAGGAUAUCUGACAUACGCGGCUCGUGUGCCUGAGGGGAAGUGCGACGUCGACACACGGCCCGUGGAGGUGUUCUUCCUGCGGUUUGACCAUAUCUUUGAGAUGUUUCUGACAAGGUGGCUCGAUUUUACAAUCGUUCGCCUUUUUGCGCUACAUAUGAGCUCCGUCAUGAAGAGAGAAGAAGUCUCGCAAAUCUGUGUGGCGGAUCCGUACUACAUGCACGAGUCUUUCUUGAGUCUCGUCGACUUUGAGUGUGAAACCGCUAGGGACUACCUCCAAAACUUCAUGGUACAGAAUACGGACCAGGAAAUUGUCCUCCUGCCUUAUCAUCCAAAGUAAGUCAAUUCCGGACAACCCUUUCGUACAUUUCAAUCAUUCCUUCUUGCUCAUAUGGAGAGUAAUUUGAGGUGUCUUUUCCCCGCAGCAACGGGCGCGCCGUCCUUAUCGUUCUUUACCUGCGAGUCUCCCACACCGUGUAUUUUGACCCUUCUAGAGACUACGAGAAAAAGGACUACACCCACAUAAUGAAUAUUCUAGAUGAUGCUCUCCAAGGCUUCAGCAUUAGAGGUGGCCACAUGCAGAUCAGGAAACAAAGGAACAAGAAGAUGGGUUUUGCGCAUAAAACUAACUUCUGUUGCAUCCAUGUCCCAGAACCAAGUAAGAAGGAUGGAUUCUACAUCCUCCAUCUCAUGAUUGAGUUCAGCACGGAUCACCAAAAGCUUCGCAUGACAAGCAGAAAUGAUGAUCAUAUCCACAAGUGGCUAGAAUCUCAUGGAGAAGCGGAUUAUAAACUUAGAGAUGACUUCUUUCGCAUCCAAAGGGACAUUGCGAUGAUCAUCAUGAAAGAAGUCGUCGAUGAGAAGGGGAUGUUCCACCACGGCCCUAUAUCGCGAGCUGACGUCCGAACUCGCAUAGGCAUGCAACGUCAAGACCUUAUGCCGUUUAACAAGCUAGGGUCCAUCCUCGAUGAUAUGGAAGGAUGGAACUUCUAGUGAUUUAUGAUGCCGAUGAUGAUGAUAUGUGUCGGUUGAACUUGUAUACUUUCUGUAGCGAUGAAACUUUGUGAUGUCCAUGGUCCCUGCCAAACUUGCAUAACGCUACUUUGUUAGUUUGCGUACGAUGACCUGCGUACCUCUAGUUAAUUAGUUUGCGUACUGUAUGUUGCAUCUAGUUGCUAACCCUUUCUUUUUCGUGUUGCUCUAGUAUAUUUUGUUGCAUAUGAUUGUACAUCCUCUUCAUGAAGAUGCAUCUCUAACAGGUACCUAGUUUCUUGAUGGCGAGAUGGCAGUGCUAUGUCGUGUACAAAGGGAAGGUUCCGGGGGUGUACAACGAGUGGCCUGAGUGUUAGGCGCAAGUGAAUGGGGUCUCGGGCGCCAGCCAUAAAGGCUUCAAAAGCAAACAAGAAGGAGAAGCUAGUUACUUGAGGUUCACGCUAGCGCGAGAGAGGACUCGUAACCGCCGCCUCAUGUACUGCAUAGUUCCGCUCUCACUCAUAGUGAUAGCUCUUCUCGCGUAUACCAUUGUUUAGAUGGAUGACGUUGUAGUUGCAAGUAUUCGAGACUUGCAUGUAUCGCUAUUUUUGAGAUGAUGACGAGAUACCACUUUGUGUUGGAUGAUGAUUAUGAUGAGACUAUUUGUAUGUAUAUGCUAUGAUUACAUUUCUGGUCUCGGAGCCAUUUGUAUGUGCAUCAUGAUGACAUUUGUAUCUGCUAAAGAUUCCUGUAUAAAGCCUGUUCAAAUACAAAACAAACAUGCAGAAAAAAACAAAAACUACUAAAAUUAGCAGUAGCGAGUGGAGAAAAGUUAGCAGCAGCGUCACAGUAGCAGUAGCGCGUCCUGGCAAAGCGCGCUAGAGCUAUUAGCAGUAGCAAGCUUCCACGAAGCACGCUGCUGCUACACUUGUAUAGCAGUAGCGCGGGUGUGCACGCGUUGCUGCUAUGGGUUAGCUGUAGCGCCUUAUUAGUAGCGUCGGUCCCUGCGCUACUGAUAUACCUAGAAACCGCGCUGCUGCUAGCACUACAAAAAAAAAAGACACAUCCAUGACAUUUUGGGCCGAACGAAUUUUUUUUUCUGUCAUACUUAUGACACUUCUAUGACAAUAAUUGUGACAAAACACGGUAUCAUCAUAGAUGUGGUGGGGUCCUACUUCUAUGACAAAAAAUCAUGAUAGAAAAUGGGCUUUUCGUCCUGGGCGGGCCGGAGACGCAGCUGCAUGACAUUCUUUGGGCCGUCCAUGACGGAAAAAACCGUGGUAGAAGCGAGGGCGAGGAAAAUAUCGGGGUGUUCCCGGUUAUGGUGGGUGGUCGGGGCCGAGCGAUGCGCGUUUCUCUUGUACACGCACGCGCGUGGGUGCGAGGCGUUGGGCUCUAACUGAACCCGAGCGAGGCGUUGGGCUCUAACUGAACCCGAGCGUUUGCACUGCAGGCUACACGUUACUGAACUCGAGCGAUCGAUCGAUGGCUGUUAACUAAACCCGAUCGAGCGAUUCCUUCGCUACUACUGCUAACUGAAGCCGAUCGAUGCUGCCUCUGGAUGAACAGUGAGCGUUGCUGGGGGGGGGGGUUGGAUGAACAGUUCCCAGUGAGGGUGGAUGAACAGGACCCUGUGGUGUUGCCUCUGGAUGAACNNNNNNNNNNNNNNNNNNNNNNNNNNNNNNNNNNNNNNNNNNNNNNNNNNNNNNNNNNNNNNNNNNNNNNNNNNNNNNNNNNNNNNNNNNNNNNNNNNNNNNNNNNNNNNNNNNNNNNNNNNNNNNNNNNNNNNNNNNNNNNNNNNNNNNNNNNNNNNNNNNNNNNNNNNNNNGGUUUGGAUGAAUAGUCCAGGCGGGGGUGGAUGAACAGGACCCCGUGGUGUUGCCUCUGGAUGAACAGGACCCCGAUCGAUCGAGCCGGUUGGGGCUGGAUGAACAGGACCCCAUGGAGGGCUGGAUGAACAGGACCACCCCGUGGAGGGCUGGAUGAACAGUAGACGGUGGAGGGCUGGAUGAACAGUAGCCCGUGGAGGGGUGGUUGAACAGGAGCCCGUGGAGAGGGCUGGUUGAACAGUAGCCGGUGGAGUAGCGCGCGGUGGAGGCUGGAUGAACAGGAGCCCGUGGAUGAACAGUCGCAGGUGGAGGCUGGAGGAGGUCGACGGUGGAUGAACAGUAGGCCGUGGAGGCUGGAGGGGGUCGACGAUGGAGAUGAACAGUAUCCCGUGGAGUCCCGUUUUGCGGUACGCCACACCCCUCCCGAUGAACAGGACCCCCUUUGUAGCGCUCCAACACAAGUCCGUUUCCUCCGUUUUGCGGUACGCCACACCCCUCCGAUCAACAGGACCCCCGUUUCGACCGUAGGAGGUCUGUUUCCUCCGUUUUGCGGUACGCCAGACCCCUCCUGAUGAACAAGAUCCCGUUUCGAAUGUGGCCGGGCGAACACAAGGCCGUUUCCUCCGUUCUGCGGUACGCCAGGCCUCGUUUCCAUCGGCUGUUCCGUCCAAGCCGGUUGGCUCCCACGCGUUCCGUUGCCUCCCGAUGAACACGACACAUUCCGUUGCCUCCCCAUGAACACGACGACGACGCAGUUUCUCCAUUCCGACCCAGCCAUGUACACGAGCCCUGGCCGUACGUACGCACGAGUAGGCGUUCGAGACCCCGCCCGUAUGUACGUACGUGGCCGUAUUUACUUUCUUGCACCCUGGCCGCUGUACGUACAUGUACAUGCUACGUGCGCGCCUCUACAUUGACCAGUAUGUACGUACACGUUCGCGAUCAGAAUGACAACGCUACGUAUGCUUCGACCAGGUGGGUCCCGACUGUCAGGCACUUCCUUGCGUGCGAAGAUGUAGCUGGUGGGUCCCAGCAGUCAGUGGGGCGAAUUAUUUUUUUUUGCCCGGACGCACUUCCUUGCAUGCGAAGAUGUCGCUGGUAGGUCCCAGCAGUCAGGGGGGAAACGUUUCUUUUCACGAAAUACGGUUGCCCGUUCGGUGGGUCCUUGCUGUCAGGUGGAGGAAUCAUUAUUUUCCGCGUAAUAAGGAGGCACUUCCUUGCUGCGUCCGUGGACCCAGCCGUCAGCCUCUCCACGUACAGUCCACAUCCGAUGGAAGCCGUUCCUUGACCACGUUGACCACGGGGUGCCGAGAGCACCAGGGCGGUGGACGACGGCGAGGCCUAGGAAGGGGACGACACGGAGCCGGGGAAGACGCGGCAGUGGAUGCCCACGCGUAGAGGAGUAUGAGGGUUCACUGGUUCGCUGUGGUGUGAGGCUGUUGUCGCCGCAGAAUAACAGGGGGUGUGGGUGAGUAGAGGGAUGGCCUGGCCAGCGGUGGGAGUAGUAGAUGUGGUGAGGCCUCCGCGACGUCGCAGCCGGCCACGAGAGGCAGGAGCACGAGGCACGACCGGCGCUGCUUUGGGCGGCUGGAGCAAGAAGACCAGAGGUUGAAGAAGCACUACGGCCGUUGGAUGGACAUCGUACGGUCACUGGAGCUAGAAUCAUUCAUAUUGACUAAGUUGACAAAGCACUCCGUCCCCAUCAACUUAGUAGGCCCACAAGUCAGCCUCCCACCAAGGUGGGUCCCAACUAGCAGGGGGAGUAUUCAUUUUUUGUGCGUAAUAAGGAGGCACUUCCGGUGGGUCCGAGCUGACAGCGGGGGGAAUGUUUUUUCGCGAAAUACGGUGGCCCAUCCGGUGGGUCCCAGCAAUCAGGGGGGAAACGUUUUUUCGCGAAAUACGGUUGCCCGUCCGGUGGGUCCCUGCUGUCAGGUGGAGGAAUAAUUAUUUUCCGCGUAAUAAGGAGGCACUUCCUUGCUGCGGCCGUGGACCCAGCUGUCAGCCUCUCCACGUACAGUCCACGUCCGAUGGAAGCCGUUCCUUGACCACGUUGACCACGCCGCGCCGAGAGCACCAGGGAGGUGGAUGACGGCGAGGCCUAGGAAGGGGACUACGCAGAGCUGGGGAAGACGCGGCAGUUGAAGCUCGCGCGGAGAGGAGUACGAGGGUUCACUGGUUCGGCUGCGGUGUGAGGCUGCCGUCGCCGCAGAAUAACAGGGGGUGUGGGUGAGUAGAGGGAUGGCCUAGCCAGCAGUGGGAGUAGUAGGGGGCAGUGAGGCCUCCGCGGCAUCACAGCCGGCCACGGGAGGCAGGAGCACGCGGCAUGACCGGCGCUGCUUUGGGCUGCUGGAGCAAGAAGACCAGAGGUUGAAGAAGCACUACGGCCGUUGGAUGGACAUCGUACGGUCACUUCAGCUAGAAUCGUUUAUAUUGACUAAGUUGACAAAGCCCUUGGUACGCGUCAACUUAGUAGGCCCACAGGUCAGCCUCUGAAACGGUGCACCCCAGAUGUCAGGGGGAGGAAUCAUUUUUUGGGCGGCUGAAGCAAGAAUAUCCGAGAUUGAAGAAGAAGCACGACAUCCGUUGGAUGGACAUCCAACGGCCACAGCUGCCAGAACCGUUGUUGUUGACAAAGCCUUGCAUACGCGUCAACUUAGUUUUUUUUAGGGGACGCGUCAACUUAGAAGGCCCACAAGUGUGUGGCAAAGAACAUAUAGCCCAUUUGCGAUUUGUAAGAAUGUACAGCCCAUUUUUUAAUUCUAAUGGAAUUUACUACAUCCCAUUUAUAGUUUGUUAAAAGUACAGCCCAUUUUUUAAUUGUAAUGGAAUUUACUAUAGCUCAUUUACAGUUUGUUAAAAGUACAACUCAUUUUCUAGCUAGGACAAUGAUUAAUAAUUUCAACCAACCGCUCAAAACAGAAUUAAAAAGAAAUUCCCACAUUUUUAUGGGAUCCGAAAUAUUUUUAUCCCAAAUUUCUAGUCAGACUAAAUAUAAUUUCAAAAUAAAGUUGUAUUACGUUAAAAUCCAACGAAAUAUUACACGCGCAACAAGUAAUGAAAUUAAAAUUUUCAAAUUCCAAAAAUAAUAUAUUUUUUAAACUAAUUACGUGUUUGGUGCAUUUUUUUAUAGUUACUGCCCAGUUAUUAUAAUUACAUCCCAUUUAUUAUUUCUUAAAGUCCAUUUUCCUGUUAAGCCUAAUGCAUACCUUCUAGGAAAGUUUGCAGCCCAGCGGGGCGGAGAAUAACAAGUUGACCCGGAUAUUGUGUACAACUGUCGGCCCAAUUGCAUUGCUAAUGUUGAGAAAAAAGCCUGUGUAGUACAGUACAACCUAACAUGGCUACUCAACCCACAUUCAGCGACGCCGGAAAGGCCCAAACAAGGCUUCUAUACAACUUUUUGAAGUCACUGAGCUCAAUUAAUAACUUAAGAAAAAAGUUAGAUUACAGCGGAACCUAAUUAAAAGCUGUCACGAGCAAAGAAAUAAUUCAACGGGUCCCACUUGUGCGUGUGUGCGUGUGCGUGUGUGUGUGUGUGUGUGUGAGAGAGAGAGACCCAUCGGUCGAUGCUCAUAAAUACAUCUUUCAGCCAUAUGCAUUGCUGAUGCUCAGUAAAAACUUAUAUAGUUGACACAAUCAUAUAGAACAUCAUAGCACACCGAACUUGCAUACAAAAAUUUCAUGCAGGCGGCACAAUCAGGAUGGAAGGAGUGGAUCGCUACGGGUAGGGCUAUGUUGAAACCAACGAACUCGUACAUAACGGUUCAUCGUAUUUAUCAAUGACAGGGAAAUAUCUUGACUACUGUGCAAAGAAAACAGACAGACAACACAAUAAGUUCUGCUAGCACAUUAAGUUGACGUACAUCCCUUUCUAAAAAAAGUUUAGGUACAAAAUUACAACAUGUCACAAUCAAAUGUACUGGCACAUCAGUGCUUCACACCCAUAGCUCGGAUUUAACUAGUAUCUGACAAGAUUCAGUUGUUACCUCAAAUUAGAGCACAUCCAGGCAGCCAGCCCUGCCUCUUCUCCCAAAGAAGCAGUGGCCUCCGCCGCGCGAUGGAGUAGGCCCUGUGCCAUCCAUCGUUCCGAGCAACACGGGGAAAGUCUGACGUUGACUCCUAUAAUGGACGUCGUCGACGGACCCUGGCACCAGCGGUGGCGGCAGGACUUCGAUUGAUGGAUUGACCACUUUGUCGACAUGCACGAACACUCGAUACAGGUACAUCCCUAACGUGGUCCGCGGCGGCCUUGGUGGCGACGAAUAGUACAACCCCGCUUCCUGAACCGGUAUCUCAACACCAAUCACCUUCGGUAUAGUGGACGGCUUCUUCAUCCAUGCCAUAACCAUCAGAGCCCAGCUGUUUGGAGGAACAAACAUACUUACGAGCUCACCUCCAAGGUCGUUGAUAAGCUCAUUCAUGGACUCGCUGUUCCAAGCACGUCGAGGCAUGCCGUGGAAGGUAAGCUUUGUUAAAAACUCAAGCUCAGAGGGCACCGAGCCCCAUCCUGGGUGCCACCGAUCAAAGCUCACCAGCGCGCCAUCGCAGAACAAACGCCGGGAAGAUUCAAACACACGACUGUAGUCGAAAGUUGUCCGGAACCUGACGAAGAAAUCAGCUGAUGGCGGACAGACUUCAACGAGUAAGUCACUUAUUUGGAUGCCGUGCGCAAUAACAAGAGCUUUGACAAGGUCGUCCAGCGAGACGGGAGGCCGGUCGCCGUUGAUGGUUACCAUCAGCACUUUGCCGGCAAACUGGUCAUCAAGCGCCGCCAUGCCACUGUUGAGCGACAGCAUGCAGUGACCGAAGGCAGGAUGGACCUCAGGAUCUCUGGCUCGGAGAUCCGCAUUGACCGGUGACAUGAUGGUGAGCUUGAGUACAGGGAGUACAGGAGGGGGAUUUGGGGGAACUGGAGUAGGAAUCGAGAUUCUAGAGGUGGGGGAGGGGCGGGAGAUUGGGGAUGAAAAGGUAGCUUGAAUUUCGAACACGCGCCAAUAUGCUCUCGGCGCGCAAGCGCACGAAAACACCGGUGGCACCCACAUGUCGGCCUAAGAGUCCUUAUUCUUUCUUUUUUGGAGAGCCUGGCCUUUUUUUUGAGGAUCUUUUGAGAGCCCGGCCUGAGAGUCAUAAUUGACCUGUUUGGCAUUGCGUUACUACUCGGCCCAUAUUCAACGACACCUCACUGGCCCAAACAAGUGUACAUCAUUGAAAAGACACUGAGCUCAAAUUAUAUAACUUGAAAAAAGGAGAUACACUCUGAACACUGGAGAAUGGUGAUGCCCUCAUUUAGCCCACCAGUAGUUCGAGACAAUAAAUAGUUCGAAACAACGAUAUAUACAACAUUCAAACACUAACUAGUGACUACUACUGACAUAAACAACAAGACAUGAUAGUUCAUAAGAAGUCUUGCUACACCACCAAAACGCACCCAUCUGCAGCGCUCAGACUCUCGUGAUCCAGACGAGAAUGACAUUCUAAACAGAGGUAACUAUUACAUAGUAAGAGUGACAUAGACGAGGAUGACCAAAUGACAAGGAAUAUGCAUAACAAAAGAAAGAACUACCCAUCCAGAACAAGCAGCAAAGACAACAAAGUCAUUCGAAGAGAUGAUCCAACACCAUCAUAAUCUGCAGCCCUGCUUCAGCGACCAAUGAUCCGGAGACACCAGUACUUCACCCUUCUGAUGCAACAGCGCAAUUACCUAUCAACCUGAAGGCUUGAACCACAUCACUGCCUGUCGUAAUUGAGACAUCCAAGGAUCAAAGUUAAUCCGGAUGCCUUUGUCAUUCUCACCUUCUUUUGGUUGCAGGCUGUAUCGUUGACAAUCAGGGGAGUUUGCUCCCGAACUCCUAGGGCUUGCCGUGUAGACACAAUUUUCCAUAGCAAACAGAGCCUCUCUGCCAUCAAGGUCCUUGCCAACGGUGAUCUCCUGGUUAAUCGGAUAAUUGAGUCCAAGAAAUAGAGAGUAUGAACCAAGGUUGUUUACCCGCCUCCAACUAAAAAAUCCUGAAGGCCCCAACAAGCUGGUAUCCUGCUCAUAGACGUAACAACCACUGUCCGGAUACUCACGUAUUUCAUGGUGCUUGUAUACAAUGGGGUUUUUGCAAUAUAACUUUUCUGGCUCAUGUGUCCGAAUGAUCAUUAGUCUUUUGCCAUCGUCUGAUCGAGCUAGGAACCAGUUGUGCUUCCCUAUUUUUGGCAAAGGUGGUGUGAUUACAAAGGGCAGUAACUAUAGGGACACUGCAUCAUAUAAAAAAGGACAGACAUUGUUAAUGUAAGAUUAGCAUUGUUCAGAGUAUGAGUAGGAUAAUGCAAGAAGCAACAUUGAUAUGUCCCUGUUGGAACUGGGAGGAAAAUACAGGGAAAUGUAUACUGGGUUCGAAAAUAUAGAAGUGCCAUGCAUGGUUAUACUCAUGUUAUCUCGCAAUCGAUUCUUCACAGGAAACUACCAUGUCAUGCAUGUUAUGUAAUCAUGUUCUAUCCUCACAAACAAAUUCUUCAAGGUAACUAACAGACCAUGCAUUGUUAUAUACUCGUGUUCUGUGGGCAAAUUUUUUGUGAGGAUAUUAUUCUAGCCAUUGAUUGCUGAAGGGCGAAUAUAGGUAUGUACACAUGGUAAGUGUCGUGGAAUUGUCACGGCAGAUGUCCUCGAGCUAGGACUUAGUCGUGGAGCCAUCGCAACUAGGAAGCUUAAAGGGGUUAAACGGGACAAGGAACACGGGGUUUAUACUGGUUCAGCCCCUUACGGUGAAGGUAAAAGCCUACCUCCAGUUGAGGUGGUAUUGCUUAUGGUUUCGAUGACCAGGGAGCUUAAUUGCUAUGCCUGGCUCUCGACGAGAUCUUACUUGUCCCUAAACCGCCGCCGGGUCGUCCCUUUAUAUAGAGAGGUUGACGCCCAGCGGCUCUCAGAGUCCCGGCCGGCUCAUAAGAGUGUCCGGCUCGGACUCUCAACUAUUCUUGCCUUACACUACAAGUCUUGCCAUACGGCGGUCUAUCACUACGGGCCUUAAGCCAUCUCCGGGUCUUAGGCCCAUCAUUGACCCGCUGUCUUCAAGCUCGGUACUGGGCUUCGCGUGAUGACCAUUAUGAGUAACCCGGCCCCUCCUAGCGGGUGACUCUAAUGGUUAUAUCCUCAACAUUAGGCCCCAGAUUGAUUUGAACCUGUUCAUGUCAAUGUUCAAUUCUUUUGAGAGAAAGGAUCUUCCGGCUUCUGGUCGUGCGAAGAUUAUAACCCGCCGUGACGUCAUCUUCUGGAUUCUUGGUAACCCGCCAUGACGUCAUCUUCCAUUAAGUCCAUUUUUUUAUUCCACCAUAUCCGCAACGGAUCUUAUCUUUAAUUGCCAUCCUGAAAAUUGAGGCAUUUUUGUGGUGAGAUAAUCACGCCGUGACCUCCUCGUUUCUCGUGCCCACUUAUGAGCCUCACCUUAUAAAUAGCCCGGCCCAUGAGGCUCCAGUUACUGGUCGCCUCCAUCAUCUUCCUCCUCUCGCCACUGUACUGCCGCUCGAGCUCCACCGCCGCCACCGCCGCGGGUCUCCUCGUCUUCCCCGACUCAGGCCGCUGCAUCAACCUGACUUGACCAGAGAAACGGCGGCGACCUCCGCAACUCUCCAGCACCCGUAAGCCCUUGCCACUCCAUAGAAUAGAUCUGCAUUAGGGUUCUUUUCUGUUCUUCCCGUGUUCGUCGCCGUUCAUCGCGAGCUCUUGAUAGAUUUCAUUAUUACCACCUUUUCUUGAUCUUUAGACUGCAUAGAACUGCUGCGGUAGCUGUUUCACACCCAUUCCCAAUGUACAUAGAUCCCCUUUCAUUGCAUAAAGGCUCCGUUCAAACCCUUGAACUUUUUCUGUGUCUGUUCUAGGUCUAGAAAUUUUUCCUUUUAGCCAACCGUUUGAUCCAAAAUAAUUACUGCGAUCUGUGAAACUUGUUUUCACCACACUUAGUCAAAAAUUCGAUCUGCUGAGCUAUGGAGGCUCACAUUUCCGGCUUAAAAGAAGCCACGCUCCGUAAACUUUCCGGCUCAUUUAAUGAUAAAGCUGUAGACAAUUUGAAUUACUCACGAUAUCUUCAGCGGCUUAGAUAACCCGAUGCACUUAACCAUAUGUCAUUAGGCCCCUCUCAUAAGCCGCCAUUUGAGUAUUAAACUGUAGACAUGUGCCGGCUUAUAAUUGAACCGGACUUUUUCCUUUUGUCAUAGGCUUCAUCUUUCACAAUGCCUCCCAAAGCUCCCAAGGCACCCAUCACGUGCAACUGGAUGAGAUCCAAUGUCACCGACGACACUUUAGCUGAUUUCAUAAAGACGGGUUACUUGCCCAAGAAGGAAAUCAUGUCCUAUCAUGCCCCUGACCCGUCGGAAGAGAGACCUCAACCUAGAGAUGGUGAGGUGGUGAUAUUCGCUGAUCACAUGAGCCGGGGCUUCGCACCGCCCGGCUCAAAAUUCUUUAGGGAUGUUCUGAACUUCUUCGAUCUGCGGCCGCAAGACAUAGGACCCAAUUCCGUGUCAAAUAUAUGCAACUUCCAAGUAUUCCGCGAAGUCUAUCUUGGAGAAGAGCCCAGCCUGCUGCUCUUUAGAGAGCUUUUUUAUCUGAACCGCCAGAAUGAGUGCGCCAACGGGCCGAGCCUGGAAGUUGGUGGAAUCUCCAUUCAACGCCGGAGAGAUUGCCUCUUUCCUUAUGCUGAGCCGCCAAGCCAUCCAAAGGACUGGAACCAGACGUGGUUUUAUUGUCAGGACACUUCUCCGGCUGACGAGAGCCCUCUGCUUGGCUUUCGUGCCCUGCGUCUGGAACCAAAUCACCCUUUGCCAGACAAACUCUCUCAAGCUGAGCGUCAACCUCUGAUCCCCACCAUCAACAAGAUCAAGGCUCUCCUGGGAAACGGCCUCAACGGCAUUGAUCUGGUCCGGGUUUGGAUCUCUUGGCGGGUGAUCCCCUUGAGCCGCCGCCCCGGCUUAAUGUGUGCUUACACGGGCCGGAAGGAUGACCCCCUGCGGCACAGCCCCAACGAUCUUCCUGAGGACGUUGUGGAUGACAUGACUAAGUCUCUCCUGAACGAGAGCUUAGCCGACUGUGGGAGAACCGCCCUGAACCCCUUCUGCCAAGCUAACCCGGCUCCGGCGGUAAGCCACUGACCUGAACACCUUGGUUUUCUUUUUAAUAGUUUCCAUCUAGACCUUAAGAAAUCUUUGUUGUAUGUUUCAGGCUAAUGACAAGUUCUGGAAGGUCAAAUAUGACCAUGAAGCGGCCAAAAAAGCCAAGAAGGCUAAGAAAGCCGCCAGGAGAGCCACUCCCUGCAAGAAGGGAAGCAGGCCUACUGCCUCAGAGCUGCAUCAGCUAAGUGACAUCUCCGAGUCAGAGGUAACCCCUGAAUCUGUAGGCUCUUGUUUUGUUUCUUGUUUAUUCCUAUCCACCUUACCGAUACCGAUUAUCAGCAGGAGGACACCGGAGCGAGUAUCCCGGUGACUGAAGAGGUAACUACACUUUUCUCCGACUCGGAGCCCUUGCCAAGGCUGAAAGUCCGAAGAGUAACUCGGAAAGUAAGAUUUUCACAUCCUUUAGCUUAUCAAGAUCCUCAAUUUCUUUUGAAGCGACAGAUUCAUGAGAGUCGACGGCACACCCGGACCAACAAGGAUGCAGACCUCUCCUCCGGCUUACCUGAAGCAUCAAGGAAGCGCCGGACCGAGGUUAUCUCCAACUUAUAUCCUUUUCAUCCUUUGGCGGGCGUUACUCGUCAACCGCUCAAUUCUUCUUAUUCAAAUUAUCAGGACACUUCACCUUCCUCUGGUGAUUCUAUGCAAUCGAACCUGCCGGCUUUCAAGACCGCACCCGGGUAAUGAUGAUCAUCUUAUAUUGUGCUUAUCUUUACUCAUACUUUUGUACUAACCUUUUGUCCUUUCAGUGCUCAAGCAAAGCUCAGCAAGAGAGCGAAGAAGAAUAAACCGGUCGAAGACCCGGUCUUGACUGAGCCGGAGGUUUCAGCUCAAGAGCCGCCAGCUGCCUCUGCUCCUAAAGCCACCGCUCCAACCGACGAGCCAAUCACAGAGACUUUUGCUAACCCGGAGAUCUCCAGCCCAGCUCAGCCGGCCGAUGACCCGGACGUGGUAAUCACCCGGACGGAAUUUGUCGAGCCGGGGAGACCCACUGCGCUGGCUAAGUGCUCUGCCAAGGAAGAGUUGCUAGAGCGCCGCAGGGCCAAGCUGGACAUCACCAACUACGCUAACUUGAGCAUUGGAGAUAUCAUCUCCGGCUAUGUCAAUCAGGUGCACAACAGCCGGGACCUGGAGAUCGACAUGGUGAAGCAGAUACAGCAGAAAUCUGAGGUACCACUCUCUUGCUUACUGCAUAGUCAUCUUUACCAUACUAGCCCCCAAGUCUACUACUUAUGAUAGAAUAUGUUGUAGACUUAACUUCCGGCUUACUUUCAUGAACCGGCAAUUUGUAGAUAGAACCUUUCAGCAUACAUUAGCCCCCAAGUGCCAAGUGUCUUUGCUUGGAAAGUGCUUGGGACUUUAAAGUUGUAUAAUAAUUAUUCAUACUAUAACCCGGAAAUUGUACAGGCUGCUUGCAAGAAAUUUUAGGCUGAUAUCUCUGAGCUGAAGAACCGCCUGAAGACUCAGGAAACUGAGACCCGGAAGGCCAACGCUAAAUUUGAGUCCAGUGUUGCUGCUCAAGAGAAGCUGAAGAAGAAGUUUGAAACCGAAAGGAAGACUUGGGCCGAAGAGAAGGCUGCUCUGGUCAGCCGGGCCGAACAGGCGGAGGCGGCUCUGACGGAGAGAACCGCCGAACUCUCCGGCUUAAAACGCCAUGUGUCACAGAUGGUCGCCGCAAUCUUCGGUAAGUCAUUCUACAGGCUUUAAACAAGUUUAUAGUCUUUAUGUCUCAUAAUUCCCAUCAUUGCUAGCGGCUUAUCUUACUUUGUUAAACAGGUCCCAGAAGCGCCAACCUCAACCAGAACAUGCUGACCAAGCUGAAGGCCGUGUACACUUUGGUGGAGCAACUCUACACCGGGUCACAACGCGCCUUGGCCGCUGUGGCCCUGUCCAAUGAGGUUCCAACUCACCUGGCGGACGUACUUCAGCGGCUUGCCGUUCUUCCUCAGCGUUUCCAAGAGCUGCGACGGGCCUCUGCAAGAGCCGGAGCCAUAGCUGCUCUGAGCCGGGCCAAGGCUUUCUUUCCAGAGCUAGACCCGGCUGACAUCGCACUUAGAUACCCCAGCCUGAAGGAAGACGGCACCCCCUUCGACCAAAAAGACUUUGCAGCCUGUGUGAAGAUCAUGCGCCCGGUGGCCACCCUGAUUGGGAAUGACACCGACCUUACCAAGUACCAGCCGGGCUACGACGCAGAGAAUCAGAGGGUCCCUACUCCGCGUUAUGAAGCCAUCAGCUUGGUCCCGCCGACUCGUAAGCACACCUUUGCCCCAGAAAUUGACCCGGCCGGGUUAAUUGACGAGGAGGCUCAGUUUGAAGCAUUGAGCGGCAUUGACUGGAAAUCGUCAACCUUCCAGGUCAUGGGAACAGCCGGAGGAGCGGAGAGGGAUGAGUUGGAAGCUUCAACUCAACAAGCAUCUUGACUUGUAGGCGGCUCAUGAGUACAUCUUAAAACAAUGCCUCAUCUUUUGGACUCGGGGAGUCUUGUAAUAGAGUAGGACAAAUACUUAAUUUUGUCGUGCCAUCGUGCACGUGUUGAAUGCUUAGCUCCGUUGAAACUGAUUUUUCUUAUUCCUCCGGGUUAUAAUUGAUCAGUUAUUUUCCUUAAGCUCGAAUAGCUGUAUUGAACCAUCCUGCAUAGAAAACAAGUCACAAGUCUCUAGGCGGCUUACCGCACUGAGAAUCAUAAACCUUAUAUAUAUAACCCGGAAUAUGAACGAAGUCACCAAAGACUGGCCCUCAAUUAUAUCUUUGAUGUAACUGUAACAGCAUACUUACAAACCUUCAAGCAUACUUCCGGUUCAUGUAACCCGAAUAGUAUGGUUAAAAUCUCAAUGCCGGUUCACCAGUAUCGAUAAGGCUUAUUGCGUGUUACCCAAGUUAAGCCGGCGGAGCCAAAAACCGCCCUUGCACACUGCUGAUGUGACCAAAAGAACUUGUUGUAAGUCAGAAGAUCAAAACUUAGGGGCUUCCAGUUCGAAUACGACCAGAGAACCUUCCAAAGGGGUUAAGCUAAGAUUCGAAUGCGAUCAUAUAGCCCCCAGUGGCUUUGGCAAUGCCGAUCAAGAGGGUACCGACAGCUAUGUUCUAUUUGGUUCGAAUACGACCCAUGUUUGAACAGGAAGCCCCCAAAUGACCUUAAGAGUUGUUUAAUGACGGUGAUUCGAAUACAAUCCACGUCGGUUCCCAAAGGGGGUUGAGCUAUGAUUCAAAUAUGGUCAAAGAAAACUCCCCAAUGAGCUCGGCACUUUGCCAAUCAAGUGGGUAUCGACAGCUAUGUUCUCUUUGGUUCGAAUAUGACCCAUGUUUGAACAGGAAGCCCCCAGGUGAUUAUACUGCUUACGGCUAGAUUCGAAUACGAUCAUAAGCCGGAUCCACCUCCAAGUGACCACGUGAUGUUGUAAUGGAAAUAACAUGUUUACCUUUGGAGGAGAAAAGGACAGAGGUCCUGCUUUAUUAUUUAACAUAAUAUAUACAUGGCUAUAGAGAUAUGUACAUUAUGAGAGCCGGUGGCUCAAGUGUAAUAAGGCCGAAGCUGAGCUAUGUUCCACGGCCGACGGGUUUCUUCCUCCGACUUGCGUGAAUCUUUAUGCUCCCGAACAUCAAUAAGGUAGUAUGACCUGUUGUGCAAGUUCUUGCUGACCACAAAGGGCCCUUCCCAAGGCGGGGAUAGCUUGUGUGCAUCUGUUUGAUCUUGGAUGAGCCGGAGCACCAGGUCACCCUCCUGGAAGACCCGGGACUUAACCCGGUGACAGUGAUAACGGCGCAGGGCUUGUUGGUAAAUCGCUGAACGAGCUGCUGCCACAUCACGCUGUUCGUCCAACAGGUCAAGGGCAUCUUGGCGCGCCUGUUCAUUAUCCACCUCAACAUAAGCCGCCACUCGAGGCGAGUCAUGACGGAUGUCACUGGGGAGGACUGCUUCCGCUCCAUAAACCAUGAAGAAGGGCGUGUAACCCGUAGACCUGUUAGGAGUAGUAUUGAUGCUCCAUAACACGGAGGGUAGCUCCUCCAGCCAACAACCCGGCGUCCGUUGCAAAGGGACUAAAAGCCGGGGCUUAAUGCCCUUCAAAAUCUCCUGAUUAGCUCUCUCAGCUUGACCAUUGGAUUGAGGAUGAGCCACUGAUGAAACAUCAAGUCGAAUAUGCUCCCGUUGACAAAACUCCUCCAUGGCGCCUUCAGACAGAUUGGUACCAUUAUCAGUUAUAAUGCUGUGUGGAAAGCCAAAGUGAAAUAUCACCCUUUUCAUGAACUGAACCGCCGUGGCUGCAUCACACUUGCUAACUGGCUCUGCUUCAACCCACUUUGUGAAUUUGUCAACUGCCACCAAAAGGUGGGUCUUCUUAUCCUUGGACCUUUUAAAAGGCCCAACCAUAUCAAGCCCCCAGACCACAAAUGGCCAAGUGAUUGGUAUCAUCCUCAACUCUUGAGCUGGCACAUGAGCCCGUCGCGAGAACCUCUGACAAUCGUCACAUUUACUGACCAAGUCCUCCGCAUCAGCAUGAGCCGUCAGCCAAUAAAAACCAUGACGGAAAGCCUUGGCCACGAGAGAUUUUGAGCCGGCAUGAUGGCCACAAUCCCCUUCGUGAAUCUUACGCAAAAUAUCUUGGCCUUCCUCAGGGGAAAUACAACGCUGGGAAGUUCCAGUAACACUACGACGAUGCAGCUCGCCAUUGAUGAUGACCAUUGACUUAGCCCGCCGGGUUAUUUGUCUGGCCAAAGUUUCAUCCACAUGCAAAUCUCCCCGGGUCAUGUAAGCCAAGUAUGGUACUGUCCAGUCUAGGGUGAUGUGGAGAGCCGCCACCAAAUGUGCUUCCGGGUCAGGGACAGCCAAGUCUUCCUCUGUAGGUAACUUAACAGAAGGGUUAUGCAAGAUGUCCAAGAAAGUAUUAGGCGGCAUCGGCUUUCGCUGAGAGCCCAGCCGGCUUAAAGCAUCAGCCGCCUCGUUCUUCCUGCGAUCGAUGUGCUCUACUUGGUAACCCUGGAAGUGUCCAGCAACGGCAUCAACUUCACGGCGAUAAGCCGCCAUGAGAGGGUCCUUGGAAUCCCACUUGCCUGAUACUUGUUGAGCCACUAGAUCUGAGUCGCCCAAACAUCUUACUCUGCUCAAGCUCAUCUCCUUAGCCACCCGAAGACCAUGGAGCAAAGCCUCGUACUCGGCCGCAUUGUUAGUGCAUGGAAACAUCAACCUUAGCACAUAACGGAACUUGUCACCUUUAGGGGAAGUCAACACGACUCCAGCCCCCGAGCCCUCCAAUUGCCUAGACCCAUCGAAGUGAAUAGUCUAAUAUGUAUUAUCCAGCUUUUCUUCAGGCACUUGUAGCUCUGUCCAAUCGUUGAUGAAAUCCACCAAGGCUUGAGAUUUAAUAGCAGUGCGUGGUACGUAUUUCAGACCAUGAGGCCCGAGCUCUAUAGCCCACUUAGCCACUCUUCCUGUGGCUUCUCUAUUUUGGAUGAUAUCUCCAAGGGGAGCAGAACUAACCACAGUGAUAGGGUGACCCUGGAAAUAAUGCUUAAGCUUCCGGCUUGCCAUGAACACACCAUAAACAAGCUUCUGCCAAUGUGGAUACCGCUGUUUGGACUCGAUGAGCACUUCACUGACGUAAUAAACCGGCCGCUGAACCGGAUACUCCUUACCCUCUUCCUUGCGCUCCACCACCACAGCCACACUGACGGCUCGUGUGUUAGCAGCUACAUACAGUAAUAAGGGCUCCUUGUCAACCAGAGCAGCAAGGAGUGGGGGCUCCGCCAGCUGUCUCUUCAAAUCCUCAAAAGCAGUAUUAGCAACGUCAUUCAAGACAAAGUCAUCAGUUUUCUUCAUCAACUGGUACAGUGGCAUGGCCUUUUCACCCAAACGGCUUAUAAACCGGCUCAAAGCAGCAAUGCGGCCUGCUAGACGCUGGACGUCGUUUAGACACGCCGGCUUAGCCAGAGAGGUGAUUGCCUUGAUUUUUUCCGGGUUAGCUUCAAUGCCUCUGUUAGAAACCAGGAAACCCAAGAGUUUGCCUGCAGGAACACCAAAAACACACUUGGCCGGGUUAAGCAUCAUCUUGUAAACCCGGAGAUUAUCAAAGGUUUCUCUAAGGUCAUCGACCAGAGUCUCCUUUUCCCUGGAUUUAACCACGAUAUCAUCCACAUAGGCAUGAACAUUGCGCCCAAUCUGGUUAUGAAGACAAUUCUGCACACAACGCUGGUAAGUCGCCUGUGCGCUCUUGAGUCCGAAAGGCAUAGACACAUAACAGAAGGCUCCAAAGGGAGUGAUGAACGCCGUCUUCUCUUGGUCCUUAACUGCCAUUUUAAUCUGAUGGUAUCCAGAAUAAGCAUCCAAGAAACUUAAACGCUCACAACCCGCCGUGGCAUCAAUGAUUCGAUCAAUACGGGGGAGAGCAAAAGGAUCAGCCGGGCACGCCUUAUUUAUGUCCGUGUAGUCCACACACAUCCACCAGGUGCCAUUCUUCUUGAGCACGAGCACCGGGUUAGCUAACCAUUCUGGGUGAAAGACUUCAACAAUAAACCCAGCCGCCAAGAGCCGGGCCACCUCCUCACCAAUGGCUUUCCGCCUCUCUUCAUUAAACCGCCGUAGGAAUUGCCUGACCGGCUUAAAUUUCGGAUCAACAUUGAGAGUGUGCUCAGCGAGUUCUCUAGGUACACCUGGCAUGUCAGAAGGUUUCCAUGCAAAGAUGUCCCUGUUCUCACGGAUGAACUCGAUGAGCGCGCUUUCCUAUUUCAGAUCCAAAUUGGCAUUGAUGCUAAACUGCUGAGAUGAGUCACCUGGAACGAAAUCAACAAGUUUAGUCUCAUCAGCUGACUUAAAUUUCAUCACCGGCUCAUGCUCCGUGGUCGGUUUUUUCAGGGAUGUCAUAUCUGUUGGGUCAACAUUGUCUUUAUAAAAUUUCAACUCCUCUGUUGCACAAACAGACUCUGCAUAAGCCGUGUCGCCUUCCUCACAUUCCAAGGCUAUCUUUCGGCUGCCAUGAACCGUAAUGGUCCCAUUGUGACCCGGCAUCUUGAGCUGUAAGUAUAUGUAACACGGCCGUGCCAUGAACUUGGCGUAAGCCGGCCGCCCAAAUAUGGCAUGGUACGGACUUCUUAUCUUGACCACCUCAAAGGUCAAUUUUUCCACCCUGUAGUUGUAUUCAUCUCCAAAGGCCACUUCCAGUUUGAUCUUACCAACUGGAUAAGCCGACUUACUAGGCACCACACCAUGGAAAACAAUAUUGGACUGGCUGAGGUUCUUGUCAAUCAACCCCAUGCGACGGAAGGUUUCAUAAUAGAGGAUGUUGAUGCUGCUGCCUCCAUCCAUGAGCACCUUAGUGAACUUAUAUCCUCCCACCGGAGGAGCCACCACCAGGGCCAAAUGACCCGGAUUAUCAACCCGGGGAGGGUGAUCCUCCCUACUCCACACAAUAGGCUGCUCAGACCAUCUUAAAUAGCGUGGAACCGCCGGCUCAACAGCAUUCACAGCCCUCUUAUGAAGCUUCUGAUCUCGCUUACACAGACUGGUGGUAAACACAUGGUACUGUCCACCAUUGAGCUACUUUGGAUUGGUCUGGUAUCCCCCCUGUUGCUGUUGAUGACCCUGGCCGGAUUGCUGAUUAAAGCCCCCUUGAACAUUCUGAGGAUUGGAAUUUAAGCCGCUGCCCGGGCCAUGAAAGCCGCCGGCGCCUGAGCCGCCGCCCGAGCCAUUGUUGCCAUUAAAGGCAUUGGAGUUCUUAAAGGCCUUCAUGAUUGCACAAUCUUUCCAUAGAUGAGUAGCUGGCUUCUCCCUGGAGCCAUGCCUUGGACAAGGCUCAUUCAACAACUGCUCAAGCGUUGGGCCUGAACCGCCGGCUCGGGGAGGUGGCCUCCCUUUACGUCGCUGGUUGUUACCCUGUGAGCUGGCAUUGGCCACAAACUCCAUGCUGCCAUCAGCCUUACGCUUGUUACCUCCUUGGUUUGCCGGGUUAUGCUGAGGACCCUUGCCAUUGCCGUUCUUUUUUUCCUUCCCUGUCCUUUCAUCAUCUGAAGCGGGGUCCUUUGUACUAUCAGAGUCGGCGUACUUGACGAGAGUCGCCAUCAGCGUACCCAUAUCAUUGCAGUCGCGCUUAAGCCGCCCGAGUUUCAUCUUCUGGGGCAGGAAACGACAAUUCUGCUCCAACAUUAAGACUGCAGAGCCGGCAUCCAUCUUAUCAGAUGAAUGUAUUAUCUCUUUGACCCGGCGAACCCAAUGUGUCGUAGACUCACCCUCCUGCUGUUUACAGUUAGUCAAAUCCACAAUUGACAUAGACUGCCUACAGGUAUCUUUGAAGUUUUGAAUGAACCGGGCUUUCAGCUCAGCCCAAGAUCCGAUAGAAUACGGCGGCAGCCCUUUCAACCAAGUGCGGGCAGUCCCAUCUAACAUCUUGGUGAAGUACUUGGCCAUCGCCGCUUCGCUGACCUCCAGCAAUUCCAUGGCCAUCUUGUAACUCUCGAUCCAGGCUCCGGGUUGUAAAUCAGCCGUGUAAUUAGGCACCUUCCUAGGCCGCUUAAAGUCCUUGGGUAAACGUUCAUUGCGAAGAGCCGGCACUAAACAAGGGACACCUCCAGUCCUUGUAGGGAUACCCACGUCGGCGGAAGCCGUCGGAUAAGCCGGGGGUGUUUGGUAAGCCGUCAACUGAGGCAUCUGCUCCGCCUCUUGCCGUGCUCUGUCUUGGUCUGCUGCGUGAAAGGCCCCGUUAUGAGCCGGGCCGUGGCCAGGUGGCAAGUCACGGCGUCAGACAUUACUUGAGCCGGUCGCUGAGACCAUGUGUCUGCUAUAACUCGGGCUCCGGCCUGGAUGAGGAGUUGAAUGGAUCCUGUCCCGGCUAUAAGAGUAUGCCUCUUGCUGCACCAGAGCUGUCUGAAGGAGUUCUCUGACCCGGCGGGUUUCAACAGCCAUUGGAGAGUCGCCAUCAAUUGGAAGAGCCGCCAGCCGCGCCGCCGCGGCAACCAUGUUUUCCAGCGGGUUGGCAUAAUGACCCGGUGGUAUUGGCACGUACUGAGGCGGGGCGGGGUUCACCCGGGGAGGUCCCAUCACUUGGGGCUGAAUUGGUGCCCCUGCCCCGGGCACUAUAAUCUCCGGCGGGUUACUAGACCCUGCACCCGGCGUGUUGAAGAGAUUUCGAGGAUCGUAAACCGGAGGGAGUCGAGAUUGGGCCUUUUGAUGCCUCCUUAUCAUGACCUCAUUGGAUGCGUUUUGAUCCAUCGUGAGCCGGAAGGACUGUGCCUGAAUCAGCUGAGUCUGGGCGUCGAGAGCCGCCCUCUCUGCAGCCAUCCUGAUCCCCUCCGCCGCUAGAUCCUCCUUGGCCUUUGCUAGAUCCAUCUUUAACUGUGCCACCUCCGCGUCAUGCUGAACUUGAUCCGCCGGAGCCACCGUAGCGGUCAACAGGACCGUCAACUUGUCUGUGAGAUCCAUCAGCACCUGAGCUGGUGAGGGCACCGGGCUUCCUGACCCGGAGGCGGGGUUCUGAACAGGUUGCGCGCCGGCCAUGAAGAUGCCAACCCGACUCGGCGGUUCAAAGGGGUCCGGAAUACUGUCGCCGUCGGAACAACCCCUGAGCCUGCCAUCUUGAAGUUGAUACAACGAGUUUGACUCAUCCGUGGACGACUCGCCGUCAGAGCCGGCAGCCGUCUCAUCGCCAGAUCCAGACCCUUCAGAGAGUCCUCCAUGAACACAUCCCACAAAAGCGUGCUUCAAGGCAGGUAGAGCCCGGGUGGGUCGUGCACGCUGAGCCAUCUCGAUGAGAUCGGCGCAGAGAUCCGGCUUAGGGCCCGGCUCACCAAUCUUGCCAAUGAAGACAUGAAUUCCGCCAAAGGGGACCCGGUACCCGCACUCAAUUGAGCCGGCGUCGGGGCCCCAAUUUGCAUCGUCGAUGUAGAGCUUGCCGCGACGACUCUUGGUCAUCCGGCCCACAGCGUAUCCCUUGAGCCCUUCGAAGCUGCCCUUUAAGAACUCAAAUCCACCGUGCGCUGGCCCCAUGGUGGGCGCCAACUAUCAUGGAAUUGGCACGGCAGAUGUCCUUGAGCUAGGACUUAGUCGUGGAGCCAUCGAAACUAGGAAGCUUAAAGGGGUUAAACGGGACAAGGAACACGGGGUUUAUACUUGUUCGGCCCCUUACGGUGAAGGUAAAAGCCUACGUCCAGUUGAGGUGGUAUUGCUUAUGGUUUCAAUGACCAGGGAGCUUAAUUGCUAUGCCUGGCUCUCGACGAGAUCUUACUUGUCCCUAAACCGCCGCCGGGUCGUCCCUUUAUAUAGAGAGGUUGACGCCCAGCGGCCCUCAGAGUCCCGGCCGGCUCAUAAGAGUGUCCGGCUCGGACUCUCAACUAUUCUUGCCUUACACUACAAGUCUUGCUAUACGGCGGUCUAUCACUACGGGCCUUAAGCCAUCUCCGGGUCUUAGGCCCAUCAUUGACCCGCCGUCUUCAAGCUCGGUACUGGGCUUCGCGUGAUGACCAUUAUGAGUAACCCGGCCCCUCCUGGCGGGUGACUCUAAUGGUUAUAUCCUCAACAGUAAGCAUUACAGGAUUUCACUACUUCCAAAUAUAGAGUUCUCCAUAUGCACAUUUACUUCCCUAAUGUAUGGUUAGAUGAAACCAACUGUGUGGUGCAUGUUUCUACAUCAUGAAAAUGAGGAAACUAACAUGGCCAUUGAUACGCACUUAUAUUAGUAGUAGUAUAUAGAUUACUGUAAAAUAAGGAGAAUAUCCAUAUAUUCCUAACCGUUUGAUUAUUCAGGGGUACAAAUUGGCUGUAAUGACAUGAUCACAAUCGCAUGAAUUAACUCAUCCCAAAUAUAGCUGAUUUACGGCGUCUCUAAUACAUUGCCAUAGUUCUACUCAAAUUCUGCUCAACACAGGGAUAUGCCAAUCAUCACAAAAAAGUUCAAACAGUGUCAUGGCGUCAUCAUUAACAUGAGACGGAAACAACUUACACGUGCCGUCCCAGCAAUAGGUGGUGCCAUCUGCUUUGUCGAUCGCGUAGAUGAUGCCAUUGUGUUCAAUAGCAUCACAGAAGUGUGUAUCAGCUUUGACGAUGAUCCACUGUGAGCUGAGUUGUCUCUAGCUAAAGAAGGCACCGCCGUAAAGAUAGGCGAGUCCGCGGUCGAACAAGGCAAUUAGCUUGAAGUCUGCGUAAUUCGCAUGUCGUGUGGGCACUUGGCAGAUUAUAAUCUUCUGCAAAACAAGGUCCGCCCAACUGACGUGGUAAUCUAGAUGACUAGGACCGCGAUGGCAAAACUCUAUAUAAUCCAACGGAGGAAGGAUAAUCUCAUGGGAGGUCUGGAAGUUCACGAGCACCAACUUUUUACCGUCUUCUCUGCAGGCAGCCAUCCAGUGGGAGUUCAUGCCGACCCAGUACAUACCUGCCAAGAAGUUUCGGGCGAUGGUGAUCGGAUCGAAGUCGAGGGAAAUGAUGUACGGCGACCCACUACAUACGUGCAAAGAAGUUUCGGCUAAUGGAGAUCGGAUUGAAGUCGAGGGGCAUCAUGUACGCCUUCGCAUCAUGGUGAGCCAAUAUCGCAAGACCAGAUAGCAGCAAGCAGGGUGUCUUGAAAAGCUUUGGCCUCGCUUCGAUGAUGGUCGUGUGCAUGCCCCUCAAGCAUGCAGCCAGCCGCAGGGCGCUCAACAUAUCCAUACAGGAACAAUAGAGGUCGAGGACGUCACUGGGGAGGUUGCUCCAAUCGCGUCUCAUAUGGAUCUUGCGCGGUUCGCGUUCGGCCAUGGUGGAGUUUGGAAGGUGGGGUUUUGGGGGGCUUGAUUUACGGGGGAGAAGGCUGUCGGUGCUGGAGCGGCUAGCGAGGGAAUAGUGGUAUUGGGGGAGGCGAGCGAGGCGAGGGUAUGCGGGGGCACAGUGAGAUAAUGAAGAGUGACCUCAGGAUCUCCGGCGAGACGGAGAUGGAGAUGGAGUGGUGCUAGGGGAGAGGGAGACAAGGCGAGGCAUGCUAUACAGCGGCGGUGAAAGUGACUGCACAGUGCACAAGGUGAGGCUGACUUUGGUAACCCGGACACGCCGCCUGGACUGGUGUCACCUCGGGCGCAGGGUCUUGUCACUUCACUGUGAGGACCGGAUGAAUAAUAGUAUUUUGACCAUCAAGUGUACCAUAGUUGUACUACUACUACUAGUAGUAGGAGUGGUAGGAACAUGAGUACACUCCCGUGCUAGCAUGCCUCUGGGUUCACUUCAUCCUCCAGCUAUCAUCCAUAUUGCCAGCAGAACCAAAUUCUCGUGCAUGUGGAACCGUGAAGAAGGACUUUUCUUUUUUGAGGAUAACCGCAUAUUCCUUAACCAUAGUAGGAACAUGAGUAGUACUCCCUCCGGUCCUCUUUUGUCUGCGCAUAACUUUUUUCAGUAUUUCUCUAAUUAGUCUGCGUAUAUACCCUUUUGCAUGCGCCCAUUUCCCUCCAUGCCCCGCAUUCACAGCAUUAAUUAGCAUACGCAUGAGCAGCUGCAGCCAGACUCCAGCCAAUAAACUGCAGCAUGCAAGUGGGCCAUUCUGUGCGUGUGGGAGAGAGAAAAGGCAACCGAAGAGCCCGUCCAAUCCAUUGCAUGCAGCACUCAAACCACCGCAGAUCUCCUCAUGCAUGCGCAUAACUUCUCCCAUUUACUUCUCCAUCGGGAACCGAUUUUCCUCGGCUUUUUCACUACUACUCGAUCUUCAUUUGCAUCCAAACCACACUGCAUUCACAUUGUUUUAACCUCUUCACAUCCUCCUGGAGUAAUUCCGAAGCCCCUAUAAAUAGUCAUCUUCUUCAGUUAGACUAGCCAUCUAAUCCUAAUUCUCCAAACCAUAGCCCUCCGGUCCAGCGGUUCCAAAUGGCGAAAGAGAUCGAGAUGCAGGUUUUUAGCAUCCAACAUGUCCUCGUCGUAGGCUCGUUGAGCAUAGUUGCCACAGUCACCGACCACCCAAGGGUUGUUCGGAAGUGGAUCAUUAAUGUAUCCAACUCCCUCCAAAAGGUGGAGAUGAAUGUCAUCGGUCUCGACGCAGAGUACACGGAGCGUGCCACUGGGAAGAUCCAACGCGCCGCUGUCCUUCAGCUGUGCCUCGAAGAUGAUGUUUUGGUGUACCACAUCAUACACGCGCCCUCCAUACCAGGUGAGCUUCACGAUUUCUUGUCUCGGGAGGACAUAUACUUCUGUGGGGCAGCCAUCGCAGGGGACAAACAGAAGUUGGAGCCGUACAACCUUGAUUUGAAAAGCAUCGCUGACCUACGAACCAAAAUAAAAAUUCCUGUAGAAGAUUGUGAUAAACCGACACCAUCCCUAUUCGACGUAGCAAAUUUUGUGCUAGGAACAAAUCUUUAGAAGGGUGACGCGAUGCUGGCAUUAAGUUUGUCUGGAUGGGAGAAUUAUCCCUUGACGUACGAGCGGAUAAAAUAUGCUGCCCUCGAUACCCGUGUGAGUUUCGAGAUAGCUGCAAGGUCUGGAGAGCUUGUUGCGAAGCCGUCUCCCACAGAAAAUGAGAACAAGAAGAAGAAGAAGAAGAUGCUGCACCAGCAGCAGGGCAUUAUGGAUGGAUGAACUAUUUCCUCUCUUGUAAAAAAAAAUUAUUCCCUCUCUAGGUAUAUUGAUAUAGAUGGACUAUUUCGAUGGUGUGCAUGUCUUUGGAACAAGUAGUAGCGUGGGUCCGCUUGACUAUAAGGAACUAUUUAUCCGCCUAGCUUUCUCUACUACUCCUUCCAGUGAUAGGUAUGCAAUGCAUGUGUCCAUAGACAUGACAGCUUGUCCAUGAAAGUUCAACUACGGCGACCAUCACGUUUCAUCCACUGCCACUCGUGAUUCCCACGACGCCGCUCCAACCCACGGCACCACGUCCCCCGACGUGCGCCUCACCCCUCUCGGCCGCACCGCCCAUCUGCCUUUGUGUGCAUGACAUGUGGGCCACCUUAAAUGCGACGAGCAUCAAGUUUCUACCACAGCCGCACGCGAUUCCCACGAUGCCGCACGAACCCAUGACACCACUCGUCCCCCGACCUGCGGCUCACCCCUCUCGACCCCACUGCCCCUCUAAAUUUGAAUUUGAAACUUAUAAAAUGAAAAGAUUCAAAACAAAUAAACUGGGAAAGAGGGAGUAUAUCGUAGGAUGUGUCCCAUACGAAACAAGUCCCCUGGUUUGUCACCGCAAAGAUGCGGUUAGAAAGGAGCACAGCGUCUUCGUACUCGUACGGCAACAAAUCAGCCGCAGACAGCAUGGUCCACCUUUGACCGCCAUGUGCAAGGUUCGUGCUAUCUUAUUCAAUCUCACCGUGGUUCUAUCGUACCAAUUCAUGCGGUGGCCCGUUGCAUGGCUGAUCCCAAUGCUGGACAAAGGUUCUACCGGAAUGGUGUCACCGUUGUAAAUGUUGUGCAAAUUGAUGUUGGUACCCUCCCGUACAUAUGCAAGCCAGUCUCCACUCGCACCGAGCCUAACCUGUGAAACAGUGGGCAGGGGGAGAAUUAGGAAAUGGACACGGAAGUAGUCUUUAGAAUGCAUUUACUACAUGAUCAAACUCAUCUUACCUGCUCAUCGGUGGAAAUCCGAGUGCCCCUCAAUGUCGGUAUCUCAAGGGGCGUCAACUUGCAACUACGGCCACGCCGCGCUGGAGAGACCCCCAAGGAAACAUCCUCGCGCGUUCCACGGAACAUCAAGAUGCAUUUGUAUGAGUAGUUUAUCUUGUGAGAGAAAAGGAUGAACGAGGGAAGGCCUCUAGAGAUAGAGAUAGACACUACUACUAACAAUGUGCUAGCCCGUGCGUUGCAAUGGAUCCAAAGUAGUAGAAUAAUACUUGUUCACGUGCUUGAAAUAUAAACACUCUAGUUUUGAUAUACAUGUGUCAGCAGACAUGACAGCUUGUCCAUGGAAGUUGAACCACGACGACCAUCACGUUUCUUGUUUCUACCACUGCCACACCCACACGUGAUUCCCACGACACCGCUCCAACCCUACCUGUAAGCACGACGUCCCCCGGCAAGGACAUGGAUCCUCUGAUGUGGCUAUCACUGCCUUACCCUGCCUUUCCUUCGCUGACUGGUGGGACCCACACUUGUGGGUCCCACAUGUCAGUGAUAGAAUGGUAGGAUUGUUCACGUCAGGGAAUCCUCAUCCCCCCGACGUGCGCCUCAUCCUUCUCGGCCCCACCGCUCCUCUGCCUUUGUGUGCAUGACAUGCGGGCCAGCUGAACUGCGGCGACCAUCAACUUUCUACCACAGCCACACCCGAUUGGACGCGGUUUGCCUGCUCUGCUGCUGUGCUCCGAUCCGUACUCCCGCACCAUCGAAUUUUCAUCCAGCGGCUGUGACACAUUUCGUCCCGGGCAUCAAUCCUCAGAUGGAGUACUUCUGUACUACAGGUAGUACCCGCCGGUGUGGCCAUCUACGCCUCGUAACGCCCCGACGCCCAGCUGUGGCACCCUCGCCACGGCCACGCCACCACCGGCCAGUUCAUCUCGAAUGAGUGAGUCGCGAACCACACCACCACCAUGAGAAUGACAUGUGGGCCAGCCGCAUUUAAGGUCCACAUGUCAUUGACUCAUAGGUCGGGCACUAAGCCACUGAAGUUCCGUCCCAUGGGCCCGGAGAGGGAAAUGUAACUCCUGCGGCAGGCCUUGUGGUGCUCCCGCAGUACGAGCUCGUGCCAAACCCGGAAUUUGUUUCUUACUAUCUACCAACUACUACUAGUAAGGUACACGUGCAUUGCACGCAUGAGAUUCUGGUGGUUUGAGCAUUAUGCUUCUACAUGUGGAGUCUUCUAGAUUCUACAUGUGGCAAAAUCUGGUGGAAUGUAGAUGAUAUCCAACGGCCAGUAGUGCUAGGAUUUUCCAUCUUUGUACCGUCGGAUUGGCUUCAUCCAACGACCAACUUUCAAAGUUAUGGUUUGGUUUGCAGCCUAAGGUUGCCACGCCUAAGCUUAGGCGUGCCACAAGUGUGUUUGGUUGUGUUCUCGUCUCAGCAUAGUUGUUCCCUCUUCAUGCAUGCUCAACUCAACACCCCUCUUCCUGUAUGCUCUCUUCAUGCAUGCUUCUAGUGUAUUUGUGCUAAUCUAGUGUGGACUCAUGCACCCUCCAUACACUCUACCAAACACCCAAAAGUGGGUCGAGAAGGGAACUCUUGGGAUCAUGCACCCUUCAUACACCCUACCAAACACACUAGGCAUGUGUUUGGUUCAUUGCUACACUUGUGGCUUGCCACACUUUUCUAGCUACAUGGUCCACAUGUCAUAGACUCAACUUCUUGCCAAAUCUUGCCACACUUGUGGUUGCCAUUUUGUUAGCCACAUUUUUUGUGGCAGACACACUUUGCCUAAGCUUAGUUGUGGCAAAGUUAGUCAUGAAUGAAGUUCAACCAUGGAGUCUUCUAGAUUCUACAUGUGGCAGAAUCGGGUGGAAUGUAGAUGAUAUCCAACGGCCAGUAGUGCUCGGAUUUGCCAUGUUUGUACCGUCGGAUUGGCUUCGUCCAACGACCAACUUUCAAAGUUAUUCACACACUAUAUAGGGGGUAUACAUAUAGAUGUGCCGGCCCGUUGCAAUGGAUCCAAAGUAUAUCUAUUUAGUGGAGUGCACUCUAAACACAUUAUCUAUUUAUUUUUCUCUAACCUUUCGUGGCCAUGCAACCAAGCCACAUAAGCUUCAUGGGUGCCCCCACAUCAUCUUAUUCAUACUACGUUGACUGAAAAAAAGAUAAAUCACCCAAAACAAGAUCUUCCCGUUUUUUGUUCCUACGAUGCUGUGCCGUGCACGUACCUACUAGUUGUAUAGUGGUAGUACUAGUUGUGUAGUACAAACUUGGUACUAGUAGGAGUAGAGUAGUACGGAAUGCUCCUACUCUAUCAAAGAGCCCCAUCUGACACCAAAUUUCUUGGCUUCCGUGCUACAGCUAGAUCUUCCCCUCGUUUCUGUUUUCCAACCCGGCGGCGGGCGGGGUGCGGUUUGCCAAUAGUCGGUUUGCUCAACGGCGGUCCCACAUGAAAGUGAAAGUGCUAGGCAACACGCCUUCCCUAAGCUAUGUGUCGUGCCGGACGGGCCGUGGAGUACUCCCGAUUCCCGGGCGUGUGUGGGGGAGUGCGACGCGAACGCGGCAGGCCUUUUCCUUUUACUAGCAAUGUGCCCGUGCGUUGCGACGGAUCCAAAGUAGUAGAAUAGUAGUACUUGUUCACAAACUUGAAAGAAAUCACUCUUGUUUUGAUAUACUCCUAAUAUAUUACUCCCUCUGUUCCUAAAUAUUUGUCUUUUUAGAGAUUUCAAAUGGACUAUCACAUACGGAUUAUAUAGACAUAUUUUGAAGUGUAGAUUCACUCAUUUUGCUCUGCAUGUAGUCACUUAUUGAAUUCUCUAGAAAAACAAAUAUUUAGGAACAGAGGGAGUACUUUUCACUCAAAAUAUAUUUCUCAGGCUGUUUUGAUGAGGUGAGGGAGGGAUGUGGUUGCUUUCAAAAUAAUAAGGGGUUUUCUGCAAAUUGGAGCAGAGAAGUGGGCCAUUGUUGCAAAAAUGCCACAACUUACCUCACAGCCGUUAGAUGCAGAUCUAAUGGUCAGAAACGACGGAUGGCAGACACACCACCAUCACCAACUGAGUCUUUUAUAGGAGUAGGAGUAGAGAAACAUGUAUAAAUUGUAACAUUUGGUUCUACUCCUUGGCACGAUCGAUAGAUAGAAAUAAUGAUUGGAAGGCGGGGCUAUUUCCGCCAGAUAAGCAGGGUACGUAGUAGCUAGGUUUGCGCAUCGUCGGUUUGGUCACACGCGGUCUGACAUGUUCUAGUGUUUCUAGCAAGAUGCCCGCGCGUUGCACGAAGUUGAUGGAAAAGGUAAGCACAACUUAUAAAUUGAUGGAUGGAGUACUAGUUACAGUGCUGCAUAUAAUUAAGCAAAGGGAUCGCACAUGUCGGUAUUGACUGGAACGAGAAUGCAACAACACAAUAAGAAUUAAGGCCACGAUGAUGAUGCGAUCGUAGUGGUGGUUACUGAAGGCAAGAAGAAAGAUGCAUCCAUCAAUGUACGACCUCCUCCUCCUCAACUUAGUGCGCCGGGCCACCGACCGGCGUCUAAGGAGCGGCGGCUUUUGUGGUGAGGUCGAGGUGCUUCUCAGCAAAGGCAUCCAAGGCUUCCAGCCGGUUGAGGAAGGCCAACGUCGUAGCAUCCUCACUGGCCUUGUAGACACCUAUGUACAUGAUUUGCUCAUACACGUGGAUGUGUAGGUCGACAAAUUCUUGCAGGGUGAGGUGCCUCGCGGCGAGCACGACCUCCAGGUGGACAUUCUUCGUGGCAUCGGCGGGCAGUCGCAGGGCCACCAGUGCUUGAAAGAGGUUCCGGCCAUGGACGCCGAUUAGGGUGGCAGGCAAUGAGGAGCCCGGGCGCGCGGGCUGGAGGAGUACGAUGAUGUCGUCCGCGAACUUCUUGAGGACGGUGAACUUGUUGGUGGUGGCAAUGAUCAUCUGGUCCAACUGAGAGUCAUAGUUGGCGUCGACAGCGGCCAUCCACCAGCCGGUCUCCAAUACCGUCUGGAGACGAUCCUCGGCGCCAUGCCGCAGGCCGACGUCGUGGACCAUCUGGCACAACCGCUGGCCGCUCGCGCGCAUCGCCACCAUGGGUCUGUAGUGAGCUCUUUUGCGCUUAGUGUAGGUGCUUAGGCAAAUGCUUAGGUGCGUACGAUGUGGUAGAUGCAUUGGAAUGGAGGGGCGCCUUUAUAUGAGGGCAAACUGCGUUGCAUUCACAUCGUGCAACCUCUUUUCCCGGUCCUCCUCCCAUUACUUCCCUCAUGCAUUAAUUGAAGGAGGAUGCAUUGGCCGUUCAACAUUUCGGGAACCGCUACUCCCUCCCUCGUCUGCAUUAAAGCCGUAUCGGGAACUACGCCGCCCGCUGUCAAAUUGAAUAGUACUGCGCCACCCGCUGCACGCCCGGCUGAACAUGCCUCCAUCAAACAGCUCCGUUAAACCCGCAUGCAAACCGAGAAACCUACUCUGGCCACACGUCCGUUCAUGACCGGGCCGGAAUUAAACGCAACACCGGCCGAGCUCCUCCCGUCCGCCCUCAGUUUAAACGAGGCCAGACGCCGGCCAAGCUCCUCCCGUCCGCCCUCUAUUUACACGAGGCCAAACAAACAGCGGGCAAGAAUCGCACCCCUCUGCCGCUCCCCCAUCUCCUCCUUCACCAUUUUCUCCACUCUUCCGACGGCUUCCGAGGAGCCGUUCUUCGGCAUAUUACCCGGCUGGGUGGCCCGCCGAGCGCUCCGGAUAUGGGCGAGGCCACUCGGUGCUUCACCAACCUCGCUUGCCCGAUGGAGCCAGUUGCCGCCCCAAGCAGGCGCGUGGUUCAGCAACUCACCACUCCAGUUCAGCUUGAUGAGGAGUGGCGAGUUGCUGCACGCCGGCACGGCGGUGAGCACACCGGUACAGGCGUCGUCGCUGCCGCGUCGUACCGCGCCACCAGUGUCUGCGGUGCCGCGCCUCCCGUGUCUGUGGGCGCGCCUCCCGUGCCUGCGGCAGCGCCAUGCAGGCAGAGACAGAAGCCGGGUGCAUGGAGAGCGACGAGUCGGUGGCCAGCUUCUUCGUGUCCGCUGCCAUCAUCGAGGAGAAGUAGAACACGGGAGGCCGCCGCCACUUGGGUCCCAUGAAGGCCACCGCCGAGGCGACGACUGCGCAUUCAGGUGGUUUCUUUGCUUCUUCGUCUCUUCCGAGGACCUUCGUCGACCCCGCAAAGUGUCUGCCCGGCAUGAGGAAGACAAAGGGAUCCGCGGGCGGCCAUUUCGAUUAUGUACUCCCUCUCCAGCUGGCGGGAAAUUUUUGUUCUAAGAAUGGAUAAAUUGUAUGUAUCUAUAACUAAAAUAAGUCUAGAUACAUCCAUUUCUAGGACAAGUAUUUCCAGACGGAGGGAGUAUUAAUUAUACCAAGAGAGCCGGAUUGGCACCGCUUAGUUCAUGUAAAUGUAAUGAAAUCCAUCAUGUUUAUAUGAGGAUCCGGCUUUUUUAUACGAAAUCCUUCAUGCUUAUAUGAAAUCAGUCCGUGUUUGCACGAAUUUCAUCUGGUUGGUUAGAGUUGUGAAAAUGUAUGCCGCUGGCGUUUGAUGUCGUCCUCCGCGGAAGGAAGUGGGAGGAAAUUUGCCUGCUACCGUUGGAGAUGCUCUUAUGCUGGAAAUAAUAGAGUGACAUCCAAUCCAUUUGAGUUAAUUGCGUGUAUGAUUGUCCCUCUAUAAAAAGUUAAUUGCAUGUACAGUGUACACGUGACUUGCAGGGUGGCUCCAGCUUCAUACAGAAAGUUAAAAAGAAACAAGUCCAUCCUUAAUCUUGUAUUCUAAGUACUCUGUGGGUUCCACUGUCAGUACAGUAGCGAAAGAAGUAUAUAUUAAAUAAGUAAUAUAUAAUAUAAAAAUCUAAAGUUAAAAACAGAAUUCGAACUCAUGUCAUCGCGUUGCGAGCAUCCGACGCUAACCAGUCCAGCACAUUUUUGUUGUAGACCAUGCUAGAGAUAUAUCUCCAUGUCUACUGUUAUACUCCAUCCGUUCCUAAAUAUUUGUCCUUUUCAGAUUUCAAAUGGACUACCACAUACAAAUGUGUAUGUAGACAUAUUUUAGAGUGUAGAUUCACUCAUUUUGCUCCAUAUGUAGUCACUUGUUGAAAUCUCUAAAAAGACAAAUAUUUAGGAACGGAGGGAGUAGAAAACAGAGUUGGUGAUGAUGGUGUGCGUGCCGUCCUGCAAUAUACGCCGUCGGAUUUAUAUCUAGCGGAUAGGCAGAAAACUAUGGCAAUUUUGCAAAAAUAUACCCACACCCCUCUCCACGUUCGCAAAUACGGCCUUCCCUCGUUCAUCCUUUUCUCUCACAAGAUAAACUACUCAUACAAAUGCAUCUUGAUGUUCUGUGCAAUGCACGGGCAUCUAGCUAGUUUCUUUUAAAAUAGUUACUGCGAUAAUUGGGUUGAAGUGAUAUAUUUUAUGUCUGCCCCGAAUGAUUUCAGAUCACUAGUAGUAACAAAGAAAAGGUUGCCUUGCUAAUUAACAGAAAACAGGGUGAAAACUAUCACAUGAGGCCGGUAAAAACGAGGCACACUGGGUUCAGCAUCAUCGUCACUACAGCUGUGCGCGCACGAGAAGUCUACAUAUCGAGGGGGCUACUGAGCGAGGCACAGAGACACAAUGUUUGAGAGUGAAACCAAUUGACAGAUUACAAUCAGAUCGAGUUGUCACCCUUCUACUGUCAUUGUNNNNNNNNNNNNNNNNNNNNNNNNNNNNNNNNNNNNNNNNNNNNNNNNNNNNNNNNNNNNNNNNNNNNNNNNNNNNNNNNNNNNNNNNNNNNNNNNNNNNNNNNNNNNNNNNNNNNNNNNNNNNNNNNNNNNNNNNNNNNNNNNNNNNNNNNNNNNNNNNNNNNNNNNNNNNNNNNNNNNNNNNNNNNNNNNNNNNNNNNNNNNNNNNNNNNNNNNNNNNNNNNNNNNNNNNNNNNNNNNNNNNNNNNNNNNNNNNNNNNNNNNNNNNNNNNNNNNNNNNNNNNNNNNNNNNNNNNNNNNNNNNNNNNNNNNNNNNNNNNNNNNNNNNNNNNNNNNNNNNNNNNNNNNNNNNNNNNNNNNNNNNNNNNNNNNNNNNNNNNNNNNNNNNNNNNNNNNGGUGUGGGUGUGUGUGUCGGGGGGGGGGGGGCAGUGACACUUACAUAUCCCUACUCUUAUAAAAAUAGAGUUGGUGAUGAUGGUGUUCCUGCCAUCCUGCAAUAUAGGCCAUCUGAUUUAUAUCUGACGGAUAGGAAGGAAACUGUGGCAAUUUUGCAAAAAGAUACCCACACCCCUCUCCGCAUUUGCAAAUAAGGCAUUCCCUCGUUCAUCCUUUUCUCCCACAAGAUAAACUACUCAUACAAAUGCAUCUUGAUGUUCGGUGCAACGCAUGGGAAUCUUGCUAGUAGGGAGAAGGAGUUUGUGUGACACAUAUCUAGCUAUAUUAAGGGAUAGGUAGAUAGCAUUUGUGCGAGGCAUACUUAAAGCAUCACGAAGAUAAACAAAAUUGUGUGCAUGCAAGUGCCGGAAAAAAUGAAGCGAGAAACAAUGUGUGUGUGUGCGCGCGCGUGUGUGUGUGAGAGAGAGAGGGAGAGAGAGAGAGAGCGAAAUCUCAAAACAAAAGGUGCUCUGCUGGAAUCCCAUUGUAUGUAUUCAUAUGGUUUCGGAACUCGAGUUAACCUUAGGCAUAUGUGUGAGAGACAUUAUUAUACUUUGAGACAUUAGUGGCUGUGGGUGGGCGGAAUUAAAGGGGUGGGCGUGUUCGACAGAGAGAGCAUGUGUGUUUCUGUGUGAGAGACUUGUAGGACGGGGUAGAAAGACAAAUUCUAACCUUGACGGAGGGAGAGAAAUACACGAAGUGCGCGUGUGUGAUUCCGAUGCCCACAUGGAAAUGAGAUAUGUAUGCGUGUGAGAGAGAUUGCACAAUUCAUUCACGUAUCACUAUCUAGCGAUCGUAGACGUGCAUCGCUUGAACAUAAAUCAAUAUCUACUUCAUAUCGUGGCCAAAGGUACAAUAUCGAUUCAACGCUAUAAAGAUUGGACACUCACAUAUCACAUUUUUUCUAUUUAAAUAAACCUUUUCAGUUGUGCAUGCCAAAGUUACAGUGAUGUUUCUUCAAACAACCAAUGUAGCUAUCAUGUACAUGCACCAUUGUUACUCUUGCAUUCAAAAUCAUUAGUCUAGGAUGAUUUAAGGUUCUAUUAUGAAGUAAUAUAUGUAAUAUUCAUAUAUGAACUCAACAGGUACGCAAUUUAUGAAAUGGAGGCUAUGUAAUCAUAUGAGGUAACACUUUUAAGUAGCGGACUACAAUAUCCAUUUAUUUUUGUGCACCUCUACACUAACACGUCAAUGCAUUAUGUUUAAAGUAAAUAACCAAUUGCACUAAAUUAUCUAUUUACACGAGAAAUACAUAGGCUGAGCGUUUGAUCCCUUUUUUUGUGAACGCGCCACUACACCCGUACGAUUGGCCGCGCCCGUGUGAACGUCCAAGUUAUCGGCGCAUCAUCCCGAGUUAUUGUCUUUUUUUCUUGGUUGGACUUCACACUAGUUAUUAACUGUUGACGCGUGCCCCGUGUACACAGUCUCGCAUGACCUUCCCGCUAGCACAGUCCAAAAUUAGUUGAAACUGGAUACGAACGAUCCCGCGGGCGGCAACAUCUCCCGCCUCCUUCUAAAAUUUCCGCCACCUUAGUCUUUAGCAUGCGAAAUUCCCCUUUUGUUCUUGGUGCACGGAGACCAACAGUUACAAUACCGCCCUCAUCUACAUAAUAGGUCGAGGCUGCUUUGGUAACUUCCGGUUGCCCCCACUACACAACACCCCCAUUUCCUCUCCACCUCCCGCAAAAACGACUAACUCCACAGCACCAGAGCAUCUCACAUCACGCCGCCGUACUUCAUCAGCCUUUCUCCCCCCCUCUCGAAACCCUAGACUGCUCAUCCACCGGCGUACCAGAGCCCAUUCAUUGCCAGCGGCGUCCACCUCGCCGAAUCUGCUUCUGCGGCCGCAUCUACCCCUCCCACCUCCCCUAGAAAUAUGUAGACUGCUCACCCACCACUGUACCACAGCCCAUUCAGUGCCGGCCUUGUCCACGGCGCCGGAUCUGCUUCGCCGGUACUCUCAUCAACCGCAGCGCAUCUGCAGCGGCUCAUUCGUACUCCCCACCGGAGAUGCUUCGUCCACACCCCCCCGGAGCCGCCCCACCGACUCCCCCAUCGACGGCCUUUGAUCCUCUUCGCCGACACCUUCCUCAACCCUACCAGAGCCGCUUCACCGACACCAUCGUCAACCCCACCGGAGUAGCUUCGCCUAUACCAUUUUCAACCCUACCAGAGCCGCUUUGCCAACUCAGAAGUCCACGGCCUCAGAUCCGCUUCCUCACACCCUCAUCCAACCUACCGGAGCAGCUUCUGACGCCCCGUCCACGACCACAGAUCUGCAUCAUCGACACCAUCCUUAACCCAACCACCGGAGCAGCUUCACCUACCGGAGCCACUCCACAAACACCCUACUCAACGGUUCUAGAUCCCCUUACCGGACCCCGACAGCCAGCGCAGGGUCAUCACCCUUGACGUUUCUAACCUGAUUCCCACCAUCGGGAAAGAUGCCAAGGACCCGCCACGGCCUAGGUACUUGUCACCUUUAAACCCGUUCAGCAUCACCUGCCCGAUGUACUUCAAAUAUACUAACAGGUCGCUGUUACCUGAUAUGUAGCUGGCAAAAACUACAAGGACGAUGUUUCUUCUAGAUCUAACAACUUGGCCAACCAAGAUCCUGGACCGAGGCAUUGCUAUGAUCUUGUAAGCGUGUCUCUCUCUCUUGUAUUGUUCUGUGCCUGCCAGCGUGCUUUGCUAGGAUUUUCGACCAGUAAUCCCUUUGUGCAGACAAUGAUUUCUACUACUGGCUGCUAAAUUAGAUAUGUAGACGUCAUACAUGAUACUACCUCGUACCUCCGUUCCUAAAUAUAAGUCUUUCUAGAGAUUCCACUAUAGGCUACAUACGGAGCAAAAUGAGUGAAUCUACACUCGAAAAUGCAUCUAUAUACAUCUGUAUGUGGUCCAUACUGGAAUCUCUACAUAGACAUAUAUUUAGGAACAGAGGCAGUACGUUACACAAAAUCGUAGGUGGCAUGUAGGAAUUCUAGUACACUACAUUAGGCUCCCUUAAAGUGCCUGCUAGUCCAGCACACAGAGUCAUGGCUAGUUUAUGCUACGCACACAAUCAUUAAUUGGUGGUUUAAAUAUGCGCAAGGGAUAUGCAAUGUAUUAUCAUAUAGAGAUGUCUGAAAAUUAGUCGUAUCAACUUGCAGACAGGGUUACACAAUGAAAAAGUACAAGAUGUAUGUGGCAAUUUCAUGGAACAUCGCAAAAAAAGGAGAGCCAGCGGUGAGCCUAUACAGUGUGCUAUGGUACGUUACUCCUCCAUUGCAAUCAUCAUGACAUGUUAUUUGUAUGUCAGUUCUAUUGGCCAAGUUUCUUAGGGACAGUUAUUACGAGUUAUCCUAAGAAAAUAAGCACCUGUGAAUAUAAGCUCCAUGUAAUAAGCCAACCAGUUCUUUUCAUUGCGUUUUCAGCUUAUCUUUGGUAUGAUCAGUGAAAAGUCUAGAUUGCAUUAUAUUUUUUUCAUUUUGCUGCCCAUAUGAAAAUUAAUUUGACUUGCAAACAUCACAAAUUGAACCCAGUGCAGUAAUUAAUAUGAUAGUAAAACAUACCAUCACUAUUUGCUCAAAAUGCAAAUACAAAGAUACCAUCUACUUGGCACAAUCUACUUUGGUCAAUGUUUUCCAUAGAGAUCCCAUUGCCUAAUUUAGACGAAAAAUGCAUGACCCAUAUUUAAGUGAAGAACAAUUAUUUAUUGAAAUUCGAUGGUCCAAGUGGCUGGUUAUUAUCAUAUAGCAGCACCAUCUGAAAGCAUCAUAUAGCAGUAGCAGCAGCUCAUAGCAACUCAUCAUACAGCAGCAGCAGUGUGCAAUUCAUCAUAUACCAGCAGCAGCUCAUAGCAAUUCAUCAUAUAGCAGUAGCAGGAGCAGCUCAUAGCAAUUCAUCAUAUAGCAGCAGCAGGAGCAGCUCAUAGCAAUUCAUCAUAUAGCAGCAACAGGAGCAGCUCAUAGCAAUUCAUCAUAUAGCAUCAGCAGGAGCACCUCAUAGUAAUUCAUCAUACAGCAGCAGCAGGAGCAGCUUAUAGCAACUCAUCAUAUAGAAGCAGCAGCAGCUCAUAGCAAUUCAUCAUAUAGCAGCAGCUCAUAGCAAUUCAUCAUAUAGCAGCAGCAGGAGCACCUCAUAGCAAUGCAUCAUAUAGCAGCAGCAGAAGCAGCUCAUAGCAAUUCAUCGUAUAGUGGAUCAGAAUGAAAAUUUGGCAAAAAAUCAGAGGAGAUCCUCACCUUGUUGGAUGAGCUCUUCCUUCAACAGCACCUCAAGGCCACGGCCUGGGAGGUGGGGAGGGGGAAUAAGGUGCCUUCUGCCGCAGUGUGGCAUCAACCGUAGUUGUGCAGCGCCUACUGGAGUAGUGCGUUGGACAAACCACAGUGGAGCAACUGCUGGAGACCAUGAGAAUGAGGGGCGGCACCAGAGGUAGGAGCAGCCAGGGAGAGUUGCCCCUACCCGCCGACCAUGUAGCCUAGAUGGACAAAGCAUCGUCGAGGACCAGGCUAGAUGGGACUAGUGGCGACGGCUUGCUGGAGGAACCCUAUGCUGCAGGUAGGGGAUCGAGGUAGAGGGAAAGGGGAGAGGAGAUGCAAGCGGGCAUGGCAAUGAACGCUUGCGUGUUUGUUUUUACUUGAGGGUGAGGUGUGACGCGGGCGUCACCAGUUGCAUUUUGAGUGUAAUAUAGGCAGACAACAGAGUCAUUUCACUAUUCCCCUUCCCUUCAAUUUUUAGUGAGGUUCUACCUGAAACACCCCCCUCCAAAGAGAAAUUAGUUAAGCCCAAGCCCAUAACUCAAAAAUGACUUCUUUACAUCUUUUAUGGCUUAUUUUGACAAUAAGCCCUGAAAAGGCGGAAUAGAACUAGCCCUUAACCUGCAAUUCAAUUGUGCGUGCAAUGAUGAAUCACUCCUGCCUGCUAUAGUGUACAUUUGGGCAUCAUCAUACAUGGCAUAACCUAAUACAUGUGCAUUCCAUUGUAGAAUCUUGAAUAUGCAAUGUUUAUGUUAGUUCAUAUGUUGCACAUGAUGUUUAAAUGCCCCUUAAAUCUGGUCAGUCAAGUGAUGGUCUUUAAGCCUCCUUCUUUGCUUCUUUUCUUGAUAUGUAAGAUUUGCUCACACAUCUGUUCAAUUGCUUGUUUGCAUCAGCCAACCAUACUAGGACUGUUUGCUUUGAUUACUUGUUGUUCUUGACCUAACACUCUAACAGAGCUUGUCAACGAUUUAAACACUAAGGGCUGCUGUAGUGGGGCCUUUUCUAACUCAUAGGUGACAUAAAGGUUUGGCUGUACACUAAAGUAGGCUCUCCAAGAGUACCUGGAGAUCCAGUUCGAAGGUAUGCCUAGUUUUUACAUAGUACAGACAUAGUAAAUGCUCAUUUCAUUGUGUGCAAGUGCAAGAGAUGCAGCAUGUUUCAUUAUGUGGUGUUGUUUUGUUAUAAUCUCAUCCUUUUGUGUUCACAGACUGGAAAGUAUGCAUAUUUAUCUUCCAAGGAGACGAGUAACUAGUUUGUGUCACCUUGAAGAGGGGGUGCAAUGAAGAUAAUAUUGAGGAUUUCCAAGUACAAGAUGUUAGGAAGGAGCCUUGCAAGAGAAGUAGGACCACCGCUGAGCCUCUUCAACCUGUUAAGGUAAGUCACUGUAUCCAACUCAACAGUUCAAUUCCUUGUUUGUUUCAGGCAUAGUUAAUUUGCUCUUUUCAAUUGCUUUAUUUGUCCUCAGUUAAUGAGAUGCCCAAGGAAUGAUGCCUGAUGUUGGGUACUUGUAUAACUAUUAGUUGACAUAAUUAAAUGCCUUACCAUUUAAUUACUAUGCCGAAGUGUGCCUGAAGGUUUGAAGUCUAUUAACCAACUAUUAUUGCAUGAGGCUCACAAUCUAGUUUAUACUAGGCUAAUGAUUGCAUAGUUUUGCUUGCUGUAGUAUGUUUGUAUGAAACUCUCUGCUGUUCAUUAUGCUCCCUAAGACUUUAAUUGAGCUACAGAAUGGCCAACUGCUUGCUUACUUCUACGCAACGUGCUGUCUAAAUUUGUAACUUGUCUGUGUUUUGGAUUGGGCCCCAACAUCAUGCUCCUCUAGUGAGCUAAGAGAGAUUUCUGUAUGCAGGCUGCACAGACUACCUUUUUAUAAUUUUUAAAAUAUCACCUGCUUAUGCUUCAUGACGUGUAACAUUAUUGUUAGUCCUGUUUUGCCAUGUACAAAAUAGUCUGUCUUGCUCGCUCCACAGUUGUAACUAUAUUUUUGCCCUAGUCAUGUGUACUUACAGAAACAUUUCAGGAUGAAGUGACAUCAACACAAAGAUCUGCGAGCAGUGCGGCAUGGCCAUUACCGAAUGAUUAUGGAUUGGAAUUGGAAUGUGCUGAUGUUCUCGAGCAUCAACUAGAGGUGGCAAGACAACGUGUACAUGAUUCUGAACGUACAAUCAACAAGUUGAGACUGGACAUGCAGGUAUUAGAUGCAGGAGUCAAAAAAAUGAAACAAGACACUGAGGUAACAACGAAGGAAUUGGAGAUUUUGCAGACUAAAAUUUGUGCUAUCUAAAUCCGGCCAAUCCUAUUUUCUGAAGAGAUUAUAGUUCAAAUGGUAAGUUAUGUUGAUGCGCGUCCAUGAUGUAUGAGUUGUAUUUGCCCAGUGUAUGCAAUUUGCUGUUUGUGUAUGCUUUAUUAUCAUUGGUGCCGAACCAUAAUGCCCAGUGGGUAUAAUCAGAUGUAAUUUCUUUAUUGUAUAGUGUAGGAUUAUUCUACGUUUCUAUGCCUUAGUCUCUUUAUUGUAUAGUGUAUGUUUUUUAGAGGUGAUAGUAUAGAGUAGGAUAAUUCUUUGAAUAUGCUAUAUCGUCAAACGGGGGCCAACUCGCCCAAACGUUGUAGUGACCAUGGCCCUCCACAUGCCGUACAAUCCAUGGGCCAUCUACGGGACAGACGAUCCAUGGCCUUCUAUGGCUGUCGGAUUCGUGGGCCUUCUAUCUGCUGUCGGAUCCAUGGGCCUUCUAUGGGCCAUCGGAUCCAUGGGCCUUCUAUGGGCCGUCGGAUCAAUGGGCCUUCUAUGGGCCAUCGGGUCAAUGGGCCCUCUACGUCCCGUAGGAUCCAUGGGCCUUCUACGGGCCGUCUCAUCUAUGGGCCUUGUACGGGCCGUAUAAGGGGCCAUAAACAGGCUAGAGUGGAAAUCGUACGUUUUAUGGGCUGACCAUAACGGGCCGUUAAUAGGCCGUAUUUGAUGAUGCUAUGAAAAUGGCCCAACAGAUUAACGGGCCGUAAACGGACCGACAAUAUCCACGGGCUGAAUUUGGUCCACAAGCAGAAAAGGCCAGUAACGGGCCGUAAGUAACCGAAUGCUAGAAAUGAGCCCAAGAAUAAAUGGGCCCUCAGAAGGCCGAAAGGUAACACGGGCUAGAAACGACCCAGUGGAAUAAUGGGCCGCUAAUGGGUAUAAAGCGAUACACUGUUCAUUACGGGCCGGUUUCACCACGGGCCAUUAAUGGGCCAAGAGUUACAAAGGGGCUCAUAUGGGCCAAAAUACGUCAUGGGCCAUACAUGGGCCGGAAGUUAAAACGGGCUGGAAUUAUAUUGGACGGCCCAGAUGACGCUACUGGGCCUAAUUCGGAUAGGCCGUAAAUGGGCCAUGGGUUAGCGGGCCGUAAAUGGGCUAUAUGCGAACAUGCCGUUAACAGGCUUGCCGUGGGCCGGCCCGCCACCUUUUGACCAAGUCAAACGGGCCGACCUUUUCACAGGAAUGGGCCUCUGUUGGGCCGUGCCACGUGUCGACGUAUCAUAGUCGCUUUGGGUCCAAUGAGUGGAUGACAUAUGUCCCAACGGUGAGCCGACACGUGUUUCCUCUAGCCAAUGAUGAUUUUACACGUGGAAAAUCCCCAUUGGUCGGGGCUGUUAACGUGUUAUCGGAUCCAAAACCGGACCCGAUAGCUUAACGGCGUUCCGUUACGGUGGAUGCCACAUGUCGGUCACCCUUGACGAAAGCACUUCUGUGACGCGCGAUUUAUCGUCAUGGAAGUGGACACUUCCGUGAUGAUAAUUUUGGUAAUGUCAUGGAACACUUCUACGGCAGCACAGGUAUGACUAUCUUUCAUAAAUUUGUCAUGGAUGUACAUGCAUGACAGAAAACGUGACCUACUGUGACAAACACGUAUCAUCACGGAAGUGUAUUUUUUUGUAGUGUAGGCUUUUCCCUAGUAGUGUAUAAAACCCCGAGGAGCCCUCAUGCAUACGAGCGAUCGAACACAGAGGAUCGCUCACUCACACACGCAUAGCAAGCCACACCCAAGGAGAGGGCGUAGCCUAAGCCUCGGCCUUCCUUCCUUCCUCCUCCAUAUAGCUCUAGGAGCAACUCUGUACUGAUACACAUCAACUACACUCGGCAGGACUAGGGGUGUUAUCUCUCCGGAGAGCCCCGAACCUGGGUAAGUCUUGCGUCCCGCGCUCGCUCAUGCCGACCUCGCCUCUGGAGCCCACCAGUGCCCUCGAGCCUCCUCCUAUCUUUAGCCAUCCCUUGGCAUCUGUCGUGCGCCCACCACGAUAGUUAGCGCCCACCGUGGGGCAGCUCGAGCUCCUGGCCGGGAGCAUGCUUCAGACGGGGCUCCUCUCCGACUCCGACGAGCCUGUCAUGUUGGCGGACGACGUCAUCGACGCACUCGCCGCCUCCUUCGCCGCGCUGCGCAUCUCCGAUGCGCCUGCGGCCGACGAGUACCCCAGCGAGGUACUUGACUUUUCCGAAUCCCCCCUCUCCCUCAGCGGCAGCGCUCCCGCCGGGGCAAUGGACCUUUGCGUGGAGGUUUUCAUCACCGACACCGGCACCUCUUCCUCAUCGUGCGCGGAGAGGAAGGCCGCAGCGGAUCGGGCCGGCUCGCCCAACCCACUGCGCCCCAUGAUGCAGAGCCUUCGCGUUCCCAUCAGCACCGACAUCGACGCGUCCAACGUCGCCGAGGCCCGGACUCGGCUCAAGGAGGACAACCAGCGCCUGCUGGACCUGACCGAGACGCUCGCCGCCACGCAGCGUCACGUCGACUCCGUGCAGCUGGAGCGCAACGCCGCCUACGGCUUCACGCCUACCGCGGCCGAGCCAAGCCGGGUCGCGGACGUGCGAGCCCGGGGAGGCGCGAUCGGCCGUGCUUUCGGCGCCAUCCCGCCCGUCUACGAGACUCCCAUGAAGAAAAUGCGCGCCGCGCAGGCGAGGAGCUGAAGGAUCGCCUCAAGCGGGUGAACGACCUCCUCGACGCGGCCAACGCGCAGCAGGACCGCCUCAACCAACUCGCCAAGCCGGCGGGAUCCAGCUCCGCCCGCAUCGGCGGACCCGGCGACCACCAGAACACGGCGUCUUCACCACCCGGCGAGGCGCACUCCGGCCGGACCCGGCGCAACCCUGACCCGGCAACUGCCGGCGGCUUGGGCGAUGAGCCGGUCUUGGAGGACCGAUGUCGGCUCGACCCUCUGCUCCAACCCGGUUGACGUCCGACUACGGUUGACUUGGGCCCCCGCGGCACGGUCACCGACCGGCUGGGCCCGCGCGCCAUCGAUGACACCGACGCCCGCCACCGCCCCGACCGACUCGCCCUUUCCCAGGAGCUGGAGGAGAGCGGCCCUGUCAGGUCAGCGUGCUUCAGACCACGCAUCAGGGAUGAGCCCUUUACUAAAGGGUUCUUGCUCCCCCGCGAUACCCCCAAGUACAACGACACCGUGAAGCUGGAGGACUGGCUCACCGACUACACCACCGCCAUCGGCAUCGCCGGCGGUAACCACCGUCUCGCCGUGCGCUACGCGCCGCUCAUGCUCCAAGGGUCGGCCCGCACUUGGUUGAACAGCCUGCCGGCAGGCAGCAUCAACGAGUGGGUCGACUUCGAGCAGGCCUUUGCAUACAACUUCACCGGCACCUACAAGCGACCCGGCCGCCCCAGCCAGCUCGCCAUGUGCGUGCAGGGGCCGACGGAAACCGGCCGCGAAUACCUCGCACGCCGGACCGAGCUCCAGAACAGUUGCGAGGGCGUCCACGAAGUCCAAGCGAUACGGUACUUCGUCAAUGGGUUCCGGGAUGGCACCCUCCUCAAGCACAAGCUCUUGCUCUCCGAGCCGGCCACCAUGGCCACGCUCAUGGUGACGGUGGACAAGUACGCCAACGCUGACUCCGCCAUGAAGAUCCAGGUGGCACUGGAUGAAGCCGGCGAAGCAAAGCCGGUUCCCCCUCUGAAGCCGGCCGGCAAAGGAAGCCGGCAGCAGCAUAACCAGUAGAACAACAAAUGCAAGGCCGAUCAGCCGGCCCAGCACUACGAAAACCGGCUCGUCGCGGCCGCCGCGCAGGCGCCCGCGACCGACCCGGCCGCCAAGCGCCGGCAGACCGGCAAGACGACGUGGCAACCCGCCAUGAGCUUCGAGGAGAUGCUCGAUGCUCCCUGCAAGUACCACAGCGAUGCAAGGCCGUCCAUGCACACGCUUCGGCAGUGCGCCAUCACCAGGCGCAUCAUGAGGGGCGACAUCCUACCUCCUCCGGCGCCGGCUCCGGGAGCGGGGCAGCCGCCUCCGCCUCUGCCUCCACCACCACCUCCGGCUGGCGGCACGAUGCACGACGACGUCUACCCGUCCCAGAACGUGACCUAUGUCGUCUUCACCAGCCUCGGCGACGACAAACACAGCGAGCGCCUCCUUCGGCAGGAGGUGAACACCGUCGUCCCAGCCAAGCCGGAAUAUAUGCACUGGUCGGAGCGCCCGGUCACCUGGACUCGGGAGGACCACCCGGCCGUCAUGCGGAGCCUGGGUGGUUAUGCUCUCGUCCUCAACCCCACAAUCGUCGCACCUCGGUGCACAUGCAAGUUCUCCCGGGUUCUCAUCGACGGCGGCAGCAGCAUCAACAUCCUCUACCGUGACACCAUGACCAAGCUCGGCCUCGAGGCCAAAGACCUGGAGCCGACCUGGACGAUCUUCCACGGCAUCGUUCCUGGACUCUCAUGCUCUCCAAUCGGCCGGGUCCGGCUCGACGUCCUGUUCAGCGACAACAACCACUUCCGACGCGAGCCAAUCUGGUUCGAGGUGGUGGACCUGUCCAGCGCGUACCACGCGCUGCUGAGCCAGCCCGCGCUCGCCAAGUUUAUGGCGGUCCCCCACUACGCCUACCUAAAGAUGAAGCUGCCGGGUCCGAAGGGCCUCAUCACCAUCACCGGCGACUACCGCAAGUCCCUGGAGUGCACCCGAGACGGCGCCAAAUUGGCCGAGUCGCUGGUCAUAGCCGAGGAGCGGCGCGAGCUCGACCGGAUUGUCGCCCUAGCCAAUGAGACGUCGGCCGUGCUGAUCUCGGCCGACGAGCCGGCGGACGAGGCCUUGUUCAAGCCCUCCAAGGAGACCAAGAAAGUGAAGCUGAACCCGGAAGACCCCAGCUGUAGCAAGUACGUUGUCAUGGGCACCCACCUCGACAGAAAAUAGGAAGGCGAGCUCGUCGACUUCCUCCAUGAGAAUCGGGAUAUUUUUGCAUGGACCCCAAAGGACAUGCCGGGUAUCCCGAGGAAAUAAGCCGAGCACAAACUCCACGUCCGCAAGGAUGCCAAGCCUGUCUGCCAACCCCUACGGCGUUUCUCUGAAGAGAAGAGAAGAACCAUCGGUGAAGAGGUCGCCAAGCUUUUGGCGGCCGGCUUCAUCCUGGAAGUGUUUCACCCCGAGUGGCUGGCCAACCCAGUCCUCGUCCUGAAGAAGAACAAGACCUGGCGCAUGUGUAUCAACUACACCAGCCUGAACAAGGCCUGCCCCAAGGAUCCGUUCGACCUCCUGUAGAUCGACCAAGUCAUCGACUCCACUGCCGGGUGCGAGCUCCUGUCCUUACUAUAUGCUUACUCCGGCUAUCACCAGAUCAAGCUGGACCCGGCCGACGCCCUGAAUACGUCCUUCAUCACGCCCUUUGGGGCGUAUUGCUACAUCACCAUGUUGUUCAGCCUGAAGAACGCCGGUGACACCUUCCAGCGCUGCAUGUAGAAAUGCCUGCUGCCGCAACUCGGCCGCAACAUCCACGUCUAUGUGAACGACAUCGUGGUGAAGACCAAGCAGCACCUCACGCUCCUCGACGACCUGAAGGAAACCUUCGCUAACCUGCGUGAAUACAAGGUCAAGCUCAACCCAAAGAAGUGCGUUUUCGGUGUCCCGGACGGAAAGCUACUCGGCUUCCUCAUCUCGGAGCGCAGCAUUGAGGCAAACCCGGAGAAGAUCAAGGCCAUCGAGCGCAUGCGCAAGCCGGCUCGGCUGCGCGAUGUCCAGAAGUUCACCGGCUGCUUGGCCUUGGUCAGCCGGUUUCUCAGCCGGCUGGGCGAGAGGGCCUUGCCCCUGUAUCAGCUGAUGAAGAAGAUGACACCGUUCGAAUGGAACGACCUGGCGGACAAGGCUUCCCGGGACCUCAAGCGCAUGCUCUCCACCGCACCCGUCCUGGCCGCACUGGCCAAGAAGGAGCCGCUGUUGCUCUACAUCGCCACAACCUCGCGGUCGGUCAGGACGGUGAUGGUGGUUGAGCGACCAGAGAAGGGCAAGAUCCAAGCCGUCCAACGUCCCGACUACUACCUGAGCGAGGUGCUCUCCGCCUCCAAGCAGAACUACCCACAGUACCAGAAGAUGUGUUACGGCGUGUACUUCACCGUCAAGAAAUUGAAGAAGUACUUCCAAGAGCACGUUGUUACCGUGGUCAGCACGGCCCCUCUCGGCGAAAUCAUCGGGUGCCGGGAUGCCUCUGCCCGGGUCGCCAAGUGGGCGCUCGAGCUAGCCGGCCACACCAUCCUCUACGAGCCCGACACUACGAUCAAGUCCCAAGCUUUGGCCCACUUCCUCGUCGACUGGAUUGAGACCCACUACCUGCCGCCGCCGCCGGACUCGACACACUGGCGCAUGCACUUCGACGGCUUGAAGAUGCGUCUCAGCCUAGGGGCCGGCAUUGUGCUGUCCUCCCUGAAGGGCGACCGGCUCAAAUACGCGCUCCAGAUCCACUUCACCGCCUCCAACAACGUCGCCGAGUACGAAGCCCUUGUGCAUGGCCUCUGGCUUGCCAAGGAACUCGGCAUCCGGCACAUCCUGUGCUAUGGCGACUCGGACCUGGUGGUGCAGCAGUGCUCCGGCGAGUGGGACGCCCGCGACACCCACAUGGCGAGCUACCGCUUCCUCAUCCAGAAGCUGUCCGGAUUCUUCGCGGGCUGCGAGUUCCUCCACGUCCCGCGUGUUCGGAAAAUGAGGCAGCCGACAUGCUCGCCAAGAUUGCCUCGUCCCGGCAGUCCAUCCCGUCCAGCGUCUCCCUUGAGCACCUGCACAAGCUGCCUGUCAAGCCGUCUCCGGACUCUGAGUCCAUCUACGUCUCGGACGACCCGGCCGCACCUCAACCCGUCCCGGGGACUGCCAAACCCGGCCCGAGGACUGCUGAACCCGGCCCGGGGACUGCCGAACCUGGUCUGGGGACCGCUUAACCCGGCCCGGGGGCCGCAGCCAUCAAUCUGACCGCUGCUGUUGCCGACCCGGGGGCUGCCGCCCCAGAACCCGCCAUGGUGGUCGUCUUCGCCAUGGUGAUGGCACCAUCAUGGGUCCUGCCCAUCUCAGAGUUUCUGGAGAACGGGGUCCUCCCCAUGGACGAGACCGAAGCCCGGCAAGUGCAGCGCCGGGUGUCCGCCUACAACAUCAUCAACAACGAGCUCAUCAAACGCAGCUCCAUCGGCGUGUUCCAGCGCUGCGUCGAGCAGGACAAGGGCAUUGAGAUCCUCCUCGACAUACACCAAGGCGAGUGCGGGCACCACGCCGCCUCGCGAUACCUGGUGGCCAAGGCCUUCCGCCAUGGUUUCUACUGGCCCACGGUCCUCGAAGACGCCGAGUCACUCAUCCUCAAGUGCGAGGGAUGCCAGCGGUUCAGCAAGCGCAGUCACCAGCCGACGUCAGCACUCCGGACCAUCCCGAUCGCCUGGCCCUUCACGGCCUGGGGACUCGACAUGGUGGGGCCCUUCAAGACCGCUCGAGGCGGCAUGACGCAUUUGCUGGUGGCGGUGGACAAGUUCACCAAAUGGAUCAAAGCAAGGUCAAUCAAGAAACUGGACGGGCCAACGGUCGUCCGAUUCAGCAAGGACAUCGCGGUGCGCUACGGCAUGCCGAACAGCAUCAUCAUGGACAACGACACCAACUUCGCCAAGGGUGCACUCGCGUAGUACUGCUCCGUCUCUGAUACGUCUCCGUCAUAUCUACUUUUCCAAACACUUUUGCCCUUGUUUUGGACUCUAACUUGCAUGAUUUGAAUGGAACUAACCCGGACUGACGCUGUUUUCAGCAGAAUUGCCAUGGUGUUAUUUAUGUGCAGAAACUAAAGUUCCCGGAAUGACCUGAAACUCCACGGAACUUAUUUUUGGAAAAUAUAAAAAAUAUUGGUGAAAGAAUCAAGGCCAGGGGGCCCACCACCUGUCCACGAGGGUGGGAGGCGCGCCUGCCCCCUGGGCGCGCCCCCCUGCCUCGUGGGCCCCCUGGAGCUCCACCGACCUCAACUCCAACUCCAUAUAUUCGUGUUCGGGGAGAAAAAAAAUCAGAGAGAAGGAUUCAUCGCGUUUUACGAUACGGGGCCACCGCCAAGCCCUAAAACCUCUCGGGAGGGCUGAUUUGGAGUCCGUUCGGGGCUCCGGAGAGGGGAAUCCGUCGCCGUCGUCAUCAUCAACCAUCCUCCAUCACCAAUUUCAUGAUGCUCACCGCCGUGCGUGAGUAAUUCCAUCGUAGGCUUGCUGGACGGUGAUGGGUUGGAUGAGAUUUAUCAUGUAAUCGAGUUAGUUUUGUUAGGGUUUGAUCCCUAGUAUCCACUAUGUUCUGAGAUUGAUGUUGCUAUGACUUUGCUAUGCUUAAUGCUUGUCACUAGGGCCCGAGUGCCAUUAUUUCAGAUCUGAACCUAUUAUGUUUUCAUGCUAGUUUAUUUUCCCUUUUCUUGCUUUCUUCUUGUGAGUUCAAUUAACCUUAAGAAAACAAAAAAAAUUAGUGUAGCUUUUAGUUAGUUUUCUUUUCUUGCUGUAGUAGUAAUAAUUAAAAGAAAACCCAAAAAGAUUUCCCGUUCUUCUUUUGUUUGUUGGGAGCUUUCCCGUGUAAAUAGUUUUAUUUCUGUUCUUUUCUUUGGGGGUCGAUAGGAGAAGACCAUGAUUAAAUUGUUGAAGUAGCUCUUAUAUGCAUUAUUGUUGAUUUAACCAAGAGCCCAUAUUGCCUUGUCUUCUCCUGUUUAUUGAAUGCUCGCAGAUUCCAGCUUAGUCCAAUGCACGUGCACUCUUAUUAUUAUUCACAUCGUUCGGUCGUGCAAGUGAAAGGCAAUAAUGACGAUAUAUGAUGGACUGACUGAGAUGAGAGAAGCUGGUAUGAACUCGACCCCUCUUGUUUUUGUAAAUAUGAUUAGUUCAUCGUUCCUGAUUCAGGCUAUUAUGAAUAAACAUGUUUGCAAUGACAAUUAGAGAUUAUAGUUGCUCGUGCCAUUCUUGAUUAGCUAUGAGUUAUAAUGGUUUACCUUGCGUGCCAACAUGCUAUUAAAAUGGUUGUGAUGUGGUAUAGUGGGGUGGUAUCCUCCUUUGAAUGAUUCAAGUGACUUGACUUGGCACAUGUUCACGCAUGUAGUUGAAACAAAAUCAACAUAGCCUUCACGAUAUUUAUGUUCAUGGUGGAUUAUAUCCUACUCAUGCUUCUACUCAAUGUUUAUUAAUUUUAAUGCAUGUUCAUGACUGUUGUCGCUCUCUAGUUGGUCGCUUCCCAGUCUUUUGCUAGCCUUCACUUGUACUAAGCGGGAAUACUGCUUGUGCAUCCAAUCCCUUAAACCCCAAAGUUAUUCCAUAUGAGUCCACUAUACCUUCCUAUAUGCGGUAUCUUCCUGCCGUUCCAAGUAAAUUUGUAUGUGCCAAACUCUAAACCUUCAAAUGAAAUUCUAUUUUGUAUGCUCGAAUAGCUCAUGUAUCAACUAGGGCUGUCCGUGUCUUCCAUGCUAGGCGGGUUAUUCUCAAGAGGAGUGGACUCCGCUCCUCACUCACGAGAAAAUGGCUGGUCACCGGGAUGCCCAGUCCCAUGCUUUAUGCAAACUAAAUCCAAAUAAUUGCAAACAAAACUCCCCCUGGGACUGUUGUUAGUUGGAGGCACUCGUUGUUUCGAACAAGCAAUGGAUUGAUGCUUGUUGGUGGAGGGGGAGUAUAAACUUUACCAUUCUGUUUGGGAACCGCCUAUAAUGUGUGUAGCAUGGAAGAUAUCGCCAUCUCUUGGUUGUUAUGUUGACAAUGAAAGUAUGCUGCUCAAAAUAUUAUUUAUCUCUGCUUUAAAAUCGACCUCUGGCACCUCUACGAAUCCCUGUUUCCCUCUGCGAAGGGCAUAUCUAUUUACUUUUUAUAUGUUGAGUCAUCACCUUCUUAUCAUAAGCACCAGCUGGAGAGCACGGCUGUCAUUUGCAUCCAUUACUAUUAGUUUAUAUUGGGUAUGACUAUGACUGGAUCUCUUUUACCAUGAAUUACAAUGUCUAGUCAGUCCUUGAUCUUUAAAGGUGCUCUGCAUUUAUGUUUUGCGGCCCCAGAAAGGGCUAGCGAGAUACCAUCUUGUUAUAUUAUAUCAUGAUUGUUUUGAGAAAGUGUUGUCAUCCAAGAUUUAUUAUUAUUGCUCGCUAGUUGAUUAUGCCAUUGAUAUGAGUAAACAUGAGACCUAAGAGUUAUUGUGAAUGUGGCUAGUCAUAAUCUUUGCUGAAAACUUGAAUGCUGGCUUUACAUAUUUACAACAACAAGAGCAAACAGAGUUUGUAAAAGUUUUUCUUUAUCACUUUCAGUUUAUCAACUGAAUUGCUUGCGGACAAGCAAAGGUUUAAGCUUGGGGGAGUUGAUACGUCUCCGUCGUAUCUAAUUUUCCAAACACUUUUGCCCUUGUUUUGGACUCUAACUUGCAUGAUUUGAAUGGAACUAACCCGGACUGACGCUGUUUUCAGCAGAAUUGCCAUGGUGUUAUUUAUGUGCAGAAACAAAAGUUCUCGGAAUGACCUGAAACUCCACGGAACUUAUUUUUGGAAAAUAUUAAAAAUAUUGGCGAAAGAAUCAAGGCUAGGGGCCCACCACCUAUCCACAAGGGUGGGGGGCGCGCCUGCCCCCUGGGCAUGCCCCCUACCUCGUGGGCCCCCUGGAGCUCCACCGACCUCAACUCCAACUCCAUAUAUUCGUGUUCGGGGAGAAAAAAAUCAGAGAGAAGGAUUCAUCACGUCAAGCCCUAAAACCUCUCGGGAGGGCUGAUCUGGAGUCCUAAAACCUCUCGGGAGGGCUGGAGUCUGUUCGGGGCUCCGGAGAGGGGAAUCCGUCGCCGUCGUCAUCAUCAACCAUCCUCCAUCACCGAUUUCAUGAUGCUCACCGCCGUGCGUGAGUAAUUCCAUCAUAGGAUUGCUGGACGGUGAUGGGUUGGAUGAGAUUUAUCAUGUAAUCGAGUUAGUUUUGUUAGGGUUUGAUCCCUAGUAUCCAGUAUGUUCUGAGAUUGAUGUUGCUAUGACUUUGCUAUGCUUAAUGCUUGUCACUAGGGCCCGAGUGCCAUGAUUUCAGAUCUGAACCUAUUAUGUUUUCAUGAAUAUAUGUGAGUUCUUGAUCCUAUCUUGCAAGUCUAUAGUCACCUACUAUGUGUUAUGAUCCGGCAACCCCGAAGUGACAAUAAUGUAACACCCCGGAUGUAACUUUCCAUAUUUGUAACUCCAACUCUUGCCAUUUUCGGCCAUGUGUUAUGAUAUUCCCUUCGUGGUCGGGUUUUGUUUUUCGUUUUGCAUUUUGUUCAUGUCAUGCAUAUCAUAUCAUGUCAUCAUGUGCAUUGCAUUUGCAUACGUGUUCGUCUCUUGCAUCCGUGCAUUUUCCCCGUUGUCCGUUUUGCAAUCCGGCACUCCCACCUCCUCCGGCGCACCCCUCUUGUUUUCUUUUCGCGAGCGGGUGUUAAACAUUCUCGGAAUGGACCGAGGUUUGCCAAGUGGCCUUGGCAUACCACCGGUAGACCACCUGUCAAGUUUCGUUCCAUUUGGAGGUCGUUUGACGCUCCAACGGUUAACCGGGUAACCGCAAAGUCCUUUUGUGUGUUGCAGCAAAACCCCCCUCUAAACAACCCAAAACCCCUCCAAGUCACUUCCAUGCUCUAGGUCGUUCGAUCACGAUCGUGUGGGCGAAAACCGCACUCUAUUUGGAGCCUCCUAGCUCCCUCUACCUAUAAAUAUGUGUCUCUCCCGGAUUUCUCACGCAGAUGAAACCCUAGCCCGCUCCCCUUGCGCCGCCGGACACGUCCGGCCCGAGCCGGACGAACNNNNNNNNNNNNNNNNNNNNNNNNNNNNNNNNNNNNNNNNNNNNNNNNNNNNNNNNNNNNNNNNNNNNNNNNNNNNNNNNNNNNNNNNNNNNNNNNNNNNNNNNNNNNNNNNNNNNNNNNNNNNNNNNNNNNNNNNNNNNNNNNNNNNNNNNNNNNNNNNNNNNNNNNNNNNNNNNNNNNNNNNNNNNNNNNCGACCGCCGCCGCUCCUCCCGCGCGCCGCCCGCGCCCGCCGGUCGCCGUCCCCUCGCCGUCCGGGACCGCGCCUCCCCGAGUCCUCCUCUCCUCCGCCGCGCCUCCUCCUGCCGGCGAGCUCGAGCUCCGAGCCGGCCCGAUCCAGAUCCACCGGAGAUGGUUGACUUCUCCCCUCCCCCGAAAUAUUCUAAGUCCCAAAUUUUUGCAAUAUAUGCUCCCGUUCAUCGCAUCAUAACUCUCUGCAUAUAGCUCCGUUUCGUGCGUGUAAUAUAUCGAAAUGUUCGUCUCAAGAUUCUAUUCAUUUUGUUCCAUUAUGCAUGUUCAUUUGAGUCCAUCUUGAUGCCCAAAUCUCUGGUGCAAGAGUACUAGUUGCUGUUAACUGCUGUUACUUAUCAGAACUUGAGGAUUUGUUAUUUUUGUUUCAGUUAAUCUGUGCAUCUUAUAAGUAUGAGCUCUACAUGUGUUUUGAUCUAUGCCAUGCCAUCUUUCAGAGGUAUAUGCCAUGUAUUUUUGCGAUCUCUGUGGUGACUAGCACAAGCAUGCAAACUAGGCUUCGUGAUGUUUCUGAAUUCAGGGACUUGGUAAAUUUACUAAGUAUGUGACUGCUGUUAUUUUGUUGCUGUGUAUCCAUGUGUCUACAGAGAGAUCCAUGCUUAUUUUGGUGAUGUUAAGUAAGGAUGUUUUGUAGAUAUUGUUGUAAUUGUUCCAUCCAUGCCCUUGUUUGCAAUUAUGGAGUGCCAUUGCAUGACUCAAUCUUGCUCUACUUUUGCUAUAAAAUAUUCCUGGCAGAUUGUUUACGUGAUAUUCAAUUUUGCCAAGCUUGUUGUAGUUGAUCCUUUCAUCCUAUGUAUUUGCUCUUGCCUGGGAUAGCUUCAUAAACAUUCCAUCUUGCUGUAGGUAUGCUUGUUUGGUCAUGCAUUGCCUUUUGUUGAGUGAAUCAAGCUCACCAAGAUGCCUUCAUAUUACUGUUUCUGUCAUGCUCUGUUUUCUGCCAAGUCUGAAACCUGUCAACAAAACUUGCUAUGUUUACAUGGUUACCAUCAUAUCUUCUGGUUCCUUUUGGCUUAUGGUCAGUAAGGGACUUCUGUCAUAUGCAUUUAGUAGAUUCAUGCCAUGCCUUGUUUAGCUAUGUUAAGUUCCUGUAGCAUGUUGAUUUCUUGCUCUGAACAUUACUACCUGAUACUGUUUAUGCCAUGUCCAGUAAUUUCACCAAGUCUGUGAACCUGAUAUCUUUUGCACUUUUGCCAUGCUUGUUUGAACCUGUUAUGUUGUGAUCUAGCCGUAGCUCAGUCUUCAUCUUUUGUCAAACAUCUCCUGUAGGUUACUGCCAUAUGAUUUGUUGCUAUGUUGGAGUGCUGUAGCAUAGUUUCUUGAUGUAUUCUAAGUGCUAUCAUGCUGUUAAUCACAGAUUCGUGUCAUUCUUGUUUUGCUUGCCAUUUGCAAACCGUGCAUACGUUUCCGGUGAUCUUUAUAUCGAUUUCGACCGAAACCAUCUCAUCUUUCCAGUGGCAUGCUUCGUUUGCCAAGUUACUGCCUUGUUCAUCAAUUUUCCUCCGGAGCACGCAUACGCAUCGCAUAUCUCGCAUAUCAUACAUGUUUUGCAUCAUGUUGCUUGUGCAUUUCCCAUGAUUGAUUGUGGUUCCGUUGCUUGUGUUCUUGUUUUGGGUAGAGCCGGGAGACGAGUUCGUGAACGAGGAACCUGUUGAGCACGCUUACGAGGAUCAAGCUUUCGACAACUCUGAGAAUCUUGCAGGCAAGAUGACCAUACCCUCGAAAUCACUUCUAUCUUUGCUUGCUAGUUGUUCGCUCUAUUGCUAUGCUGCGCUACCUAUUCACUUGCUCUUCAAGCCUCCCAAAUUGCCAUGAACCUCUAACCUUUGUCACCCUUCCUAGCAAACCGUUGUUUGGCUAUGUUACCGCUUUUGCUUAGCCCCUCUUAUAGCGUUGCUAGCUGCAGGUGAGAUGAAGAUUGCUCCAUGUUGGAUUAUGUUUAUGUUGGGAUAACACAAUAUCUCUUAUAUUAUUAAUGCACCUAUAUAUUUGGUAAAGGGUGGAAGGCUCGGCCUUAUGCCUGGUGUUUUGUUCCACUCUUGCCGCCCUAGUUUCCGUCAUACCGGUGUUAUGUUCCUUGAUUUUGCGUCCCUUACGCGGUUGGGUGAUUUAUGGGACCCCCUUGACAGUUCGUUUUGAAUAAAACUCCUGCAGCAAGGCCCAACCUUGGUUUUACAUUUGCCUCACCUAGCCUUUUUCCCUUGGGAGUCGCGCUCCCGAGGGUCAUCUUAUUUUACCCCCCGGGCCAGUGCUCCUCGGAGUGUUGGUCCAAACUAGAGCACCGUGCGGGACCAUCCCUUGGCAACUUGGGUUACAUCGGUACCUGUACGCUUCGCUUAUCCGGUGUGUCCUGAGAACGAGAUACGUGCGACUCCUAUCGGGAUUGUCGACACAUCGGGCGGCUUUGCUGGACUUGUUUUACCAUGGUCGAAAUGUCUUGUAACCGGGAUUCCGAGACUGAUCGGCUCUUCCCGGGAGAAGGAAUAUCCUUCAUUGACCGUGAGAGCUUAUAAUGGGCUAAGUUGGGACACCCCUGCAGGGUAUUAUCUUUUGAAAGCCGUGCCUGCGGUUAUGUGGCAGAUGGGAAUUUGAUAAUAUCCGGUUGUAGAGAACUUGACACUUGACUUAAUUAAAACGCAUCAACCGCGUGUGUAUCCGUGAUGGUCUCUUCUCGGCGGAGUCCGGGAAGUGAACACGGUUUCUGGGUUAUGUUUGACGUAAGUAGGAUUUCAGGAUCACUUCUUGAUCAUUGCUAGCUUCACGACCGUUCCGUUGCUUCUCUUCUCGCUCUUAUUUGCGUAUGUUAGCCACCAUAUAUGCUUAGUCGCUGCUGCAACCUCACCACCUUACCCUUUCCUACCCAUAAGCUUAAAUAGUCUUGAUCUCGUGGGUGUGAGAUUGCUGAGUCCUCGUGACUCACAGAUACUUCCAAAACAGUUGCGGGUGCCGAUGAGACCAGUGCAGGCGAUGCCACCGAGCUCAAGUGGGAGUUCGAUGAAGACCUUGUUCGUUACUAUGUUUCGUUUCUAGAUGAUCAGUAGUGGAGCCCAGUUGGGACGAUCGGGGAUCUAGCAGUUGGGUUGUCUUCUUUUCUUUUGGUUCCGUAGUUGGACCUAUGUGUGUACUCUGAUUGAUGUAUAAUUAAUUUAUGUAUUGUGUGAAGUGGCGAUUGUAAGCCAACUCUCGUUAUCCCAUUCUUGUUCAUUACAUGGGAUUGUGUUAAGAUGACCCUUCUUGCGACAAAACCACAAUGCGGUUAUGCCUCUAAGUCGUGCCUCGACACGUGGGAGAUAUAGCCGCAUCGUGGGCGUUACAAAUUAUCGGGACCACUCCCGGUGAUGACCGUAGUUUGAGGAGUUCAUGUAUUCACUAUGUGUUAAUGCUUUGGUCCGAUACUCUAUUAAAAGGAGGCCUUAAUAUCCCUUAGUUUCCGCUAGGACCCCGCUGCCACGGGAGGAUAGGACAAAAGAUGUCAUGCAAGUUCUUUUCCAUAAGCACGUAUGACUAUAUUCGGAAUACAUGCCUACAUUACAUUGAUGAAUUGGAGCUAGUUCUGUGUCACCCUAUGUUAUGACUGUUACAUGAUGAACCGCAUCCGGCAUAAUUCUCCAUCACCGAUCCAAUGCCUACGAGCUUUUCACAUAUUGUUCUUCGCUUAUUUACUUUUCCGUUGCUACUGUUACAAUCACUAGAAAACCCAAAAAUACUACUUUUGCUACCGUUACAGUUAUUUCCAUACUACUUUGCUACUAAAUACUUUGUUGCAGAUAUUAAGUUAUCCAGGUGUGGCUGAAUUGACAACUCAGUUGCUAAUACUUGACAAUAUUCUUUGGCUCUCCAUGUGUCGAAUCAAUAAAUUUGGGUUGAAUACUCUACCCUCGAAAACUGUUGCGAUCCCCUAUACUUGUGGGUUAUCAGUCUCCGGCAUCCGCCUUGACCUGGCUUCCGUUGCACACCCGCAGUCCAACGGCCAGGUUGAGCGGGCCAACGGCCUCAUCCUAUCCGGCAUCAAGCUACGGCUCAUCGAGCUGCUCAUCCGUUCACCCGACAGCUGGCUCGAUGAGCUGCCAGCCGUCCUCUGGAGUCUCCGAACGACACCGAACCGGUCGACCGGGUUCACCCCAUACUUCCUCAUCUAUGGAGCGGAAGCCGUCAUCCCGACCGACGUCGAGUUCGACUCGCCGCGCGUCGUGAUGUACACUGAAGCCGAAGCCAAAGAAGCCCGCAAGGACGGCGUCGACCUACUCAAAGAAGCACGUCUCCUAGCGCAUAGCCACUCAACCAUCUACCAGCAAGGCCUGAGGCACUACCACAGCAAGAAGAUCAAGCCCCUCACUUUUCGGGAGGGAGACCUCGUCCUCCAACUCGUCCAAGAGCAGAACGGCCAACACAAGCUGUCCCCCCAUGGGAGGGCCCGUUCAUCGUCAGCAAGGCCUUGCGCGAUCGCAACGCCUACUACCUCAUCGACGCCCGCAAGUCAAACAAGCGCAAGAGAGACACCGCCGACGAAGAAACAACACGGCCGUGGAACGCGGAACUCCUCCGCCCGUUUUACAGUUAGCCGUAUGCACGUAUGUAUCGCUGCCCUUUGUAAUCAUCUGAAAACUAUGGAGUCCACGAACGACGCUCGGGGGCUGCCCUUUACGACCAAGCUAUUGUGUCUCCCGUAUUUAUGCAUUAUUUACCUCUUCAUCAAACCCGGCCACCGGUCCGACUCGCUCGACCCGGGGGCUGGCCAGCUUGGUCACCACCCACCGCCUUACUCAGCGAUUCCUGACGCGCUGGGACUGCCGCGGCCUCCUGCUUUGCCCUAAGCCACAGAACUGGCUUCGGCUGUUGGCCGGCAAGCGCGCAAGUCCAGAGCACCAGCACGCCAUGAACACUAAGUCAAGGACCGCCGGGUCACCCAACCGAGCCACACCACUUUAAGUUGCCGCACGACCGGCUGCUCGCCAACCGGCUUCGCCGGAUUGCCGCUAGCCGGCCCAGUGGGUGUUUCGCUCACGCUCAACGUUUCGAACGCCUAAGUACUGCGCGCUCCUCNNNNNNNNNNNNNNNNNNNNNNNNNNNNNNNNNNNNNNNNNNNNNNNNNNNNNNNNNNNNNNNNNNNNNNNNNNNNNNNNNNNNNNNNNNNNNNNNNNNNNNNNNNNNNNNNNNNNNNNNNNNNNNNNNNNNNNNNNNNNNNNNNNNNNNNNNNNNNNNNNNNNNNNNNNNNNNNNNNNNNNNNNNNNNNNNNNNNNNNNNNNNNNNNNNNNNNNNNNNNNNNNNNNNNNNNNNNNNNNNNNNNNNNUCAACAGAAGAAAAGCAAAGGCGCAGGCACCCGCGAAAUUCAUACAUACCGCCGGGUCGAUCGCCCGGCCCCGUCACUUGUAACACUGCCGCACGACCGGCUGCGCGCCAACCGGCUUCGCCGGAUCGCCGCCAGCCGGCCCAGUGGGUGUUUCGCUCACGCUCAACGUUUCGACGGCUUAAGUACUGCGCGCUCCUCUCAAAGGCUGAACUCCUUGUCACGGACCGGAGCCUCGGCCGUCAGACUCGCGGGGGGGAAGCCCGAGAGGGGAAAAGCGCAAGAAAACGGCUCAAAAGACGAAAAGCAAGAGCGCAAACAUCCACGAAAUUUAUACUUCACCAGUUCAAAUUUAAACAGGCCCAAGGCCAGAAUUCAUCUCACCCGGAUACCCCCAGUGGGUGGGUGGACCUGCUACCUAACCGAAAUUUUUACUAAGUUAAAAACAGGCAGCCUCAUGCAUCUCCCUCGGUGGCCUCCGGGUUCGCUGAGGUGCCGCUGUCCCCCCCCCCCCUUGCUGUCUGCAUGGAGGUAGACGUCCGUCUCCUCGGAGCUGCCCUCCGGGUCGUCUAGGAGCAGGCCGUAGUCGUCGGCAGGCAUGACUCCGUCAUCCUCCGACCGCUCUUGCCGGAACUCGUUGUGGAAGGCGAACCCAGCGAUGUAGCUGGCCCGAGCAGCAAUCCGGCCAGCCUCCGCCUGCAGCUGGCUCUCCGAGCCGGCUCGCUGGCCCAUCAACGUGUCCAGCGACAGGUCCGGAUGCCAAGACAUCGCGAACCUGAGCGCCAUCUUGGUGCCAACACGAGCGGCGGAACCCCGCCAGUCGUGGAGCCGAUCCGGCCCCGCCUCCAACCACCGCGCCAGACGCGUGAAGCUAUUCGGCGUGACGGAACCCGGCCAGAGGGCCGUCGUCAUCGCCGCGCCGGCCUUAGAGAGCCGCCCCAUCUGCUCGCUCAAGACUCGUAGACGAGCCUCGACGGCGGUCACGAUCUCCGGGAAGGUCCAGGCCACCCGCGGGUCAGUCCCGGAGCCGAUGAUCCCCUGCGGGUCGUGCUGAAAGCGGACGGCCUCCUCCGCUAGCUGGCACGUCUCCGGGAAGGCCCUUGUCAAGAAGAAAAGCAAGUCAGAAGAAAGUCACCAAGGACAAGAAGCCGGGGUCCUAGCCCGGCAAAACCCAAGGAAAGAACUUACUGGAGAAGGACUCUUCCAGGUGCUGUGCUUCAAGCAAUGUACCGCGCCGCUCAAGGGCAAGGGUGCGGUCGUGCUCCUGCAAUGACUUCUCCAGCUCGGCGACCUUGGCAAGGGUCGCCUUCAGCUCGGCGUCCUUGGCCUCGGCCGCCUUCUCUGCCUCCUCGCGGCGAUGGGUUUCCCCCUGACGGGUCUCCUCCGCCGCGGCCACCAGCGCCUUCAGGCGCUCCACCUCGGCCUGGAGCUGACCCUUGUCGUUGGCCAGCUUGCCGCGUUGCUGGUCCACCUCGACGAGGGCCCGCUGUGCCUCCACAACCUUGGCGGCUUCCUCCUUCAGGCGUUCCACCUCGGCCUCUAGACGACCCUUGUCGCCUUCCAGCUGCUCCCGUAGCCGGCUGGCUUCAUCGAGUGCCCGCUGGGCCCCCGUUGCCUCCGCCCACGCCCUCGCCACCUCGGCCCCAAGCCGGUCUGCGUCAGCAACGAGCCGGUCGUAGUGGAAGUCGGCUCGCAUCAGCCAGGUCCUCCAGGACAUCACCUUGGCUGCAGAAGAAAGAUUUAGAAACAAAGUACUAUUUUAAGAUUCGGCCCAACUGCUACACAGUUGGCCCGAAUCUUGGGGGCUACACCCAGUGGGUGCGCUAGCGCGCCCCCACUAAAAAAGUGCACGCAAGAAAUGUACCCGCGGCGACGUGGAGCUCCUCCUCCUUGGCAGCGAGCUGCUCCUUGAGCCGCCGGUGCAUCUCCAGGAGCCGGUUGAAGACGCCGACCCAGUAGGAGUGCAGUUGCUGCAAGAAGCAACGAUCAACACAAGACAACGGUUUAAGAUUCGACCAAACUGCUACGCAGUUGGCCCAAAUCUUGGGAGCUACACCUAGUGGGUGCGCUAGCGCGCCCCCACGAAGAAGAAGCAACAGAAAAAUAAAGGCAGAAAGCAAGGAAAACUUAUGAACACGGCGCGCUCCAGCUCCCGUGUCUGCUCCACCUCGGCCUGGGCGCAGGCGCUGGGUCAUGGCGUCCAUCGCCGCGUCCUCCUAGGUCAGAGGCCCGAAGAAGCCCUCGCUUGUCCCGCUCCGCACCGGCUGCGGCCCGAUGGCCCGGCGCUCCCCUGGCCUGGGCACCAGGGCGUGCUAUCCGCUGGCCGCCUCCCUGGCGGCCGGCACCUUCUUUGGCACCAUCACCGGUUCAGUGGCCGGAGUGGCCUGCGGCUCCACCACCAGCGGUGCCUCGCUCAUCAACGCCUGAGGCGCCCCAUCCGGCGUCGUCCGCGACGUCUCCUCGAAGACGGCGUCACCGCCGCCUCCGUCGGCCCCCGUCCGCUCGACCACGUCGGUCCGCGGCGGGGUGUCGUCCCCGAUGACCACGACCUCCCGGUCGAGGUCCAUCACAUCCACACGACCGCCUUGGCCACGCUCCCCCUCCAGCGACGGCACGAAGACCGUCACCGCUGCCACCGUCCCUGCCAGCAUCUCUGGCCACGCCGGCUCCUCGCCGGCUCGCGCCCACGUCGCUGCGGCGUUAACCCAGGCCUGGGUCGACGCCGCCUCCAACUCUGCCUCGGCCCGGUUCCAGUCCCGCCAGGCCAGGGCUUCGGCGUCGGCCGGGUCUAGGCCAAGAUCCAGAUCCACCCGCUCCUCCUCCUCGAACUGGUCGACGGUGCCGGAGCGGCUCCUCCGGAACGCGGCGCCCUCUUUGGACGCGGCGUCCGCCGCCGCCAGCGCCAACGAGAUCGCGACCUGAAACACAAGACAAAAUAAAUACGCAAGAACCAAGCAGAGCCGCUCAGCCACUCGGUUCAGGCAAGAAGAGAACUCACCACGGCACCACCGGAAUGGCAGGCCUCGCCGCCCUCUCCUGCGGAGCGCCACGCCUCCUCUUGGCGGGAGGCUUCGCGCCCCCGGCCGGGUUCGCUGUGCGCUUCACGGCCGGGGCCCGCGGCGCGACGUUGUCCUUCCCGUGCGGUCGGCUCACCGCCGGCGCCCCCCGAGAUGACCCGGCUCCGGCCGCGCCGCCGCCUCCUCCACCUGGCGCCACUACGACAGCAACUCGCAUUAGCACCCCAAGACCGUCCCGCGACCGAUGACCCAAGAAGUGAAGACAAACUUACCCGCUCUGCGCCCUGUGCCCGCGUCGGCGGUCGUCCCCUCCCCUCCGCCGUGGGCCUCAGGCUCCUUCGAGGCAACGCGCACCACCUUCAUCCGUGCCCGGUCGUAAGGAUGCCCGGGCGAAUGAGAAGAUGGGCGGCAACAAAGUACGAAGACCAAGGAUCUCAUCAUCGGUGUCGGGUUCGCAUGGCUGUACGGGGGCUUCCCGAACUCCCAGUCGUCCCGCAGGUUGGCCUUGGAGAUGUUGUUGACCCGGCACGCGACCUGGUCCGCCCCCAGCCGCAGGUUCGCCAUGCGGUUGGGGUCCUGAAGGCCGGUCAUCUGACCGAUGAGGUGGUUGCGCUACUGCAACGGCAGGACUCGAUGGACAAUGAAAGCGGUGAUGAGGUCAGUGCCGGUGAGCCCUUCCCGCUCCUUCAUCACCGACACCCGCUUGCACAGGUUGAGCACCCCCUGUGACGGAUGCUUGGGGUAGUAACCCCAAUUCCGUUUCUCCCUCGGCAGCGAGUUGAUGAAGGGCGGCAAGUUGAUGCGGUCCGCGCCGAGGUUGCGGACGUAGAAGAAGGAAUUCUUCCAUUUCUUGGCAGAAUCCUCCAACGGCAUCUUGGGGCAGUCAGCGCCUGACCGCUUGGAGAUGACGGUGGCCUUGCACUCGGACAUCUCCCUAGCCCUCGGCCCCUGCUGCUUCAAUGAGAAGAAGCGCACCCAGAGGUCGAUCGAAGGCUCAACCCCCAGGUACCCCUCGCAGAGGGUGACGAAGCCCAAAAGCUGCACGAUGGCGCCGGCGCCAAGAUGAUGGGGCUGGAGCCCGAAGAACUCCAGGAAGUUGCAUAAGAAGGUGCUCGCGGGAAGCCCGAACCCGCGCUUGAAGUGCGGGAAGAAGGCCACGUCCUCCGUGCCCUCGGGCCGCGGCUCCCGCUCGCCCUGCGGCAGCCUCCGUCACCCCCGGCAGGCGCCUGGUGGUGCGAAGAUAGGCGAUGUCAUCGAGAGUGACAGUCGAGCCCAUCCACGAGCCCGACGGCAGCGCCAUCGACAAAGGUGCAGAAGAAAGAAGGAAGAAGAUGACGAAGAAGCUCUGCUCGAAGCAACGGGCAUCGCGAUGCGCGGCGGGUGCAAGAAGCAGAGGAAGGAAGAAGAAGGCAGGGGGCGCGAGCGAGAAUGAUUUCUGCUGCCCCCUGCUCGCCCCAAUCUAUAAGCCACAGUUUGAAACAUGGGGGAUUGGGAUCAUUUGCGUUCGCGUUUCCCACUUCCCCGCAAUAACUGCGCACGUACGUGCGCAAUAACUGCCUUGAGAAUGGCAACCGACUUGCGGACGCCGCAAUAAAUCCGUGCACGUGGGCCGAGGGCGCGCGGCCGCGGGCCCCAGCACGUCGCCCUAUCCUGUCGCGCGCGUGGCCUGCCAGGCCCCUCCGGCUUCCGGGCGCCCCAUGGCGCUCGCACGAAGUCCAAAAGAUUGCCUCAAGAUUCGACGGAUUCUUCGGUUUCCCGCCCCUACUGAGGUACCGCGAUCCGGCUUCCGGAAGCCGGCACACAGUGGGUGUUGCUGGACCCGGCGGUCACAAAAUUCGCCUCCUCAAAGGGGGAAACGGCGAAGGCCCUCCCAUCCGAAGACGGCGGACCUUCAAAGCUUCGGGGACUACUGUCGGGGGGAUGAAUCCCGGGAAGGCAACGGAACCCGGAUCCUUUUCAAAAAUGAUGGGGCCAACAUCGCCCCUCAAGCCGGCACGUGCUUGGCUGGGUCGCCCAACCCGGCCAAGCCCCUCGACCCGGCCAAACUCUCCAACCCGGCCAGACUCCUCAACUCGGCCCCAACAACCAGCUCAAGACAGACGAACCCGGCACACCAAGACUUCUCCAACAAGCCAGCUCCACCCUUGGCGCGUUCAUCAACCCGGCCACGGGUCAGCUCCCAUCCCAUCCCAGCCAUAUGAUGGGACGAGUCUCCACCUACCGAUGACCGAGGCAACAGUGCCCCGCCCAUGCCUCUGGCCAGGCGGGGCGUGGCAACAGUGCCCCACCUACCCGCUGACCAGGGCCGGCGUGGCAAUAGUGCAACCAUCGCUACCAAUGACGCUAGCAAGCGGCGACCUGACGGAGCGCCACUGUAGCCGACUCAACCUGGCCACUCCCUGACAAUCGACAAGACGGCCAACAGUGCCCCCGUACCUGGCGGGCCCCGCGUUCGGAGAACCCGGCGAGCCCUGACGGGUUCCAGCGCCGGCUUCCCGGACAAUGACAAUCCGGCCCCACGGCCUUGUAACAUUAUCCUUGUACCCCUGGGGGUUGGCCUAUAAAACCCCUAGGAGCCCUCAUGCAUACGGGCGAUCGAACACAAAGGAUCACUCACUCACACACGCAUAGCAAGCCACACCCAAGGAGAGGGAGCAGCCUAAGCCUCGGCGUGCCUUCCUUGCUCCUCCAUACAGCUCUCAGAGCAACUCUGUACUGAUACACAUCAACUACACUCGGCAGGACUAGGGGUGUUAUCUCUCCGGAGAGCCCCGAACCUGGGUAUGUCUUGCGUCCCGCGCUCGCUCAUGCCGACCUCGCCUCUGGAGCCCACUAGUGCCCUGGAGCCUCCUCCUAUCUUUAGCCAUCCCUUGGAAUCUGCCGUGCGCCCACCAUGACACCAACCUAGACUGUAGUCCUAAAACGCGGACACGGCUAUUCGAAUAUAUAUAACUCUGCAGAGGGUGUACUCUUUACCCGCAAGUAAAGGAUUUCUUUGGUCAAUGCCGAGACGUUGAAUAAUUCCGAUUACGGUCUUUGGGAUGAAAACACACCUGACCCGCACAUACCAGCUUUAAUCCAUCAAGCCAUGGAAUGGAUUGAGCAGAAACGCGCCCAAGGCGUGGUAGAGCCGCGAGGCGCUACUGGGCCAAGCCCAAUCGCUCGACUGCGCGGGAGGGCUGCGACCUCGAAGGCGUGCUCGCUAGAAUAUGCUUUCCUCACGGGAAAGCAACUUCAACGGAACCCGUCUCCACUUAAGACGAGCUGGCGCGACACUGGGUCACUGACAGUGGGCCUGCCUGGCCCACUGGUCAGGUUUGACCAGUCCACGCGCGCGCCAUCUCCUCCGGCCGAACAGAGGCGGCGCUCCGACGAUGCUCGCCGGCGAAUGGCGGCACCCCUCGGGGAUCUGAGCACAUGGGUGUGUUCAGGAGGUCUAGGCGAACCUGUGGGUACCCUCCUUGGUCGCUAGAGUGGAAGGAGUCGCCGACGGUGAGCUCCCCGAUGGAGGGCGGUGUCGGGUGAGACGGGGCUUUCGCCUAUGGUGGUCGCCGAGCUAAAUUGAUGACGGGGAUGGAUCAGUGGGUGCUCAAGGAGGUCGGUGGUGAAGAAAUAUGUGAGGGGGAGGCACUGGCUGCGUCGGAACCGACUGGAACAAGGCGGCGGCCGAAGCUGCCGGAGAUGGGGGANNNNNNNNNNNNNNNNNNNNNNNNNNNNNNNNNNNNNNNNNNNNNNNNNNNNNNNNNNNNNNNNNNNNNNNNNNNNNNNNNNNNNNNNNNNNNNNNNNNNNNNNNNNNNNNNNNNNNNNNNNNNNNNNNNNNNNNNNNNNNNNNNNNNNNNNNNNNNNNNNNNNNNNNNNNNNNNNNNNNNNNNNNNNNNNNNNNNNNNNNNNNNNNNNNNNNNNNNNNNNNNNNNNNNNNNNNNNNNNNNNNNNNNNNNNNNNNNNNNNNNNNNNNNNNNNNNNNNNNNNNNNNNNNNNNNNNNNNNNGAGGAGUGUGGUGAGGAUCAUAGAGAGCCCGGAGUGAGCUUUUAUAUCCCGUCGGGGCCGGUUCCGGCGGUGUCCAGAGGAUAAGCACGACGGCGGCGAUCAUUACAGCGGUAGGCGUGGCCGAUGGAGGUAGGCGAGGGCGAUAGCGGCCUCAAUUACUCCUGGGGGUGCUGGGUGGCUCGGGGUGAGGCACGCGUCGGGGGCGGAGACGUGGCCGUGGGGGACUCAUCGGGCGAUGGUCCUGGUCGUCGUGGACGGCGGUGGACGACGCUAGGGGCCAAGCGGGGGUGUCGGCGAGCUUCUAGGUGGUCGUGCCGAUCUAGAGAAGGAUCAGGAUGAGAGGGGGAGGCAGCAGAGACACGGCAGGAGCUCGGUGCCGACGCGUGCAAAACGCAUGCUCUGGCCGUGCCCGGAGCACGUACACAGAGUGCUCGACAAAAUGCCAGGGCCACCUAAGGGUCUCUGAUGGCAGUGAAAAUUGAUAGGAUUGUGAAACUGGUUAUGAGAGAGCUAAUGGACAUCCUGGUUUGGCCAAAUGACCAAGUGUCCAGUGCAGUUUAGGAAGUGGCAACAUUUCUGUCAUGCACAUGAAGUGUUCGACAGAAUGCUAGAGCAAGCUAGAGGAUACUGUUGAUGAUGAAAUUUGGCAGGAUGAGGUCUCUUUAGAUGAUAGAGAUGGCGGUGGAGUAAUUUUGGCAAGAUGAGAAACUUGCUAGUGCAAGUUUUACCAGAAUUCAGUUCUGGACAGACACUUCAGUGGCAUGUGUGGUGAACUUAAAAGAUGCAAAUAGAGCUGAUCUCCUGGGGUUAAGGUUUUGGUUGGAAGGACUACAAUAUGGCAAAGCUUCGGAAUUAUUGGAGCUAGAAAAAAGAGGGUUGCAGUUGUAACUCAAAAAUGGGACAUAAUUGAAAAGAGGAUGUUUCACUCAAAAUUUUCAAAAGACAUAGUUAGGUUUUUAAUCAAAAGUGAUUUAUAGGCAUCACCUGACCUCUCAUAAUUUUUGUGGGAUUUUAAACAUUUAUUUAAAAUAAUCGUAGUGCAACAGAAGUGUUUCAAGCAUUCAAAAUGCUAGUAAAAGAAUUGUUUGUGGCAUAUUUUAUUAUGAAAAUAUGCCCUACUGUUAUUUGUGAUAUACUCCCUCGGUUCCUAAAUAUUUGUCUUUUUAUAGAUUUCAACAAGUGACUACAUACAGAGCAAAAUGAAUGAAUCUACAUUCUAAAAUAUGUCUAUAUACAUCCGUAUGUGGUAGUCUAUUUGAAAUCUCUAAAAAGACAAAUAUUUAGGAACGAAGGGAGUAAAUGACAAGAUUUAUAAAACAACCACAGACCACAAUAUUUCACAAAAAUAAUCUUCUAUGGAGGGAAGAAUUUUGGAAAACAGAAAAUAGAAAAGGCUGUGAGAUUAAUAAAUGACCUAGUAUAAUUCAAAGUUUUAUUUCUGGCCAAGUUUUACUUAAUAAAAUUUGAUUAAAUUUUUGGGGUGUUAUAGUUAGCUUUAUUAAUACUCAAAUCACUGUUACAUCAUCCGUUAAGAACCCCGAAAAAAUCCGUUAAGAAAUUAACGGUAAAAUCCGGGGGUGACUCAAACCAAAUAGAGGGCUGGUUUUCACACACCCAUUUAGGUAGCACAUGCGCUACUACAUCUGACUCCCUAUUAUAAUAAUCAAUACAAGCCUUCCCGAACUCACAUAACUCGCGACGACAAUCAUCCAAUAUAGGGGCUGCCACCAUAGAAUAACCUCCAUCCUGAUUAAAAGGCUGAACCACUGUGGUAUUGUCCAUUAGAACUAAAAUAAUGUUGCAACCCAUCCGAGUAGCAAACUUCAACCCUUCAUACAAAGUAGUGGCCAUGGCCAAAGUGACGUGAGGAACAUGAGAUAAUUUUUUAGUUGAUGCUGCUAAGUAGGCCCCCGGAUGAUCAUGAAUCACCGGGCCACAAGAUCAUGAAAAAUCUGUAUCUGAAAAGGAAGCAUCGACAUUGACGAUUGUCUGUCCGACUAGGCCUUUCCUCCACUGAUUUGGUGAGGGGUGGAUGAGGCAAACCGGCCGCAUGAACAAAGUUCAGUGACAACGCCUGAAUUGUUGGGGCCGUUCUCAACGAAGAAAGAACAUACUCCGAUCGGACUAUGUAGUGCCCCUGUCACCAUAGAUACCAGCAGGUGCUCGCUACGAUAUCUGAAAAUUGUACCUGUUCCAUUUAUGGACUUUGGACUACUAGGUCACAUAGGAGGUAUUCAAUAAUAGUAGCACCUGAUCUAUCAAUAUUAGUAGACUCAUCGAUAGGCUUCCUAAGAACAAGACCUUCCCAGACCGAUCUUGCCCUCUCACACUUGAAUAAUGCAUGCGCAAUAUCUUUUGCUCCACUUUUACAGAUCAUACAUUGAGAUGUAUUACCAAUAUGGCGAUUUUCUAAAACACAUAAGCAAGGAAUCGCGUUGUGCAAGAAACAUCAUAAGAAAAAUUUCACCUUGCCAGGAAGCCGCACUCUCCAAGCCUUCUACCAAACAGGGUGCGGUGAAGAGCCUUCUCCCGUAGAGUUUUGAUCUUUGUCAAAUAACAAUCUUCCCAUUGCUUGUAAUAAGCCAACCUGACACUAAAAAUACCGUUAUUAGUGAGGUUCCAAGCCAUAUAAUCCUCAGUAUAUUGAUGAUGGAUGAGAAUUUGGAGUAUACAGUCAGCAUCAUCGAGGAGAAGUUGUCUCUAAUUAAAGUCUCAUCCCACUCUCUGUGGCCAAAUCAAUGAGCUCAUUGACCGUCGUCAACACUCUAUUACCUCUGGCGGUGAUGAUCCUCCUUGAAGAGCCAUUUGGUAUCCAACAAUCAUUCCAAAUAUGAAUUUUUGUCCCAUCACCCACUCUCCAUAUACAUCCCUUCUUAUAAGUUUGGACACCAAGCCCAAAUACUUUGCCAAACAUAGGAUGACCCCUUCUUCAAUUCAUAAUUUAAUAUAUCUCAUGAGGGGUAAUACUUAGCUCUCAAUACUCUUGCACAUAAUGAUCCAUGGUUUUCAAUAAGUCUCCAGCAUUGUCUUGCCAACAUAGCUAAACUAAAACCGUGUAUAUCUCAUAAUCCUGUACCGCCUUUCUCCUUAGGCACACACAUUUUCCACCACACAAACCAAUGCAUCUUGUGUUGGUUCUCACCAUCACCCCACCAGUAAUGUGAAACUGUGUCAGUGAUUCCCUUACAUAUUUUUUGGGAGUUUUAACACACUCAUCGCAUACGUCGGGAUAGCCUGAGACACCGCCUUUAUGAGAGCUUCUUUUCCACCAAAGGACAAUGUCCCGUCCUUCCUCCAACAUUCACAAUUUGCAUGAUCUUUCAAUAAGGUUGUUGCCGCGUGUGUGCAGAACACACGCGAGACACUGUGGACUGUGGACGUCCUUUGCUGAAUUGGCGGUAGGGUGCAAGGUGAGGAUCUAUCACCAUAGAAAAUGCCGAAAUGACAUGGUGAUUUACCCAGGUUCAUGUUGCAUGGUUGCGUAAUACCCUACUCCUGCUUUUAUGUGUGGUUUUCUUUAGUUGAGCUACAUGUCCUUCCCGUGAAUGGGGAAGAGUAGUGUGCUCCUACUGGUGUUCUACAAACACUACAAAAAAAGACAACCCAUGACAUUAUGGGCCGAACAAAAAAAUAUGUCAUGCUUAUGACACUUCUACGACGAUAAUUGUGACAAAACCACGUACCAUCAUAGAUGUGGUGGGCUCCGACUUCUAUGACAGAAAAUGGGCUUUUCGUCCUGGGCGGGCCCGGGACGCAGCUGCAUGACAUUCUUUGGGCUGUCCAUGACGGAAAAAAUCGUGGUAGAAGCGAGGGCGAGGAAAAUUUUGGGGAGUUCCCGGUUACGGUGGGUGGUCGGGGCCGAGCGAUGCGCGGAGGUUUUGCGCUUUUCUCUCGUACACGUACGCGCGUGUGUGCGAGGCAUUGGGUGAUACGUCUCGAAUGUAUUUAUAAUUUUUAUUGUUCCAUGCUAUUAUAUUAUCUAUUUUGGAUGUUUUAUAUGCAUUAAUAUGCUAUUUUAUAUGAUUUUUGGGACUAACCUAUUAACCUAGAGCCCAGUGCCAGUUUCUGUUUUUUCCUUGUUUUAGAGUUUCGCAGAAAAGGAAUACCGAACGGAGUCCAAACGGAAUGAAAAUUUCGCGAUGAUUUUUCUUGGACCAGAAGACAUCCAGAGGGCUUGGACUACACGUCAGGAAAGCCACGAGGCGGACACAAGGUCGGAGGGCGCGCCCCCACCCUUGUGGGCCCCUCGUGACUCCACCAACCUAUUUCUUCCGCCUAUAUAUUCUCAAAUACCCCAAAACCUUCCAAGGGAGCCACGAAACCACUUUUCCACCGCCGCAACCUUCUGUACGCGUGAGAUCCCAUCUAGGGGCCUUUUCCAGCGUCCUGUCGGAGGGGGAUUCGAUCACGGAGGGCUUGUACAUCAACACCCACUACAAAAAAAAGACAUCCAUGACAUUUUGGGCCGAACGAAUUUUUUUCCUGUCAUACUUAUGACACUUCUAUGACUAUAAUUGUGACAAAACCCGGUAUCAUCAUAGAUGUGGUGGGCUCCUACUUCUAUGACAAAAAAUCAUGAAAGAAAAUGGGCUUUUCGUCCUGGACGCGCCGGAGACACAGCUGCAUGACAUUCUUUGGGCCGUCCAUGACGGAAAAAACCGUGGUAGAAGCGAGGGCUAGGAAAAUAUCGGGGUGUUCCCGGUUAUGGUGGGUGGUCGGGGCUGAGCGAUGCACGGAGGUUUGCGCGUUUCUCUCGUCCACGCACGCGCGUGGGUGUGAUGCGUUGUGCUCUAACUGAACCCGAGCGAGGCGUUGGGCUCUAACUGAACCCGAGCGAUUGCACUGCAGGCUACGCGUUACUGAACCCGAUCGAUCGAUCGAUGGCUGUUAACUGAACCCGAUCGAUCGAUGGCUGUUAACUGAACCCGAUCGAGCGAUUUCUUCGCUACUGCUGCUAGCUGAAGUCGAUCGAUGCUGCCUCUGGAUGAACAGUGAGUGUUGCUGGGGGGGUUGGAUGAACAGUUCCCAGUGGGGGUGGAUGAACAGGACCCCGUGGUGUUGCCUCUGGAUGAACAGGACCCCUAUCAAUCGAGCCGGUUGGGGCUGGAUGAACAGGACCCCGUGGAGGGCUGGAUGAAUAGGACCACCCCGUGGAGGGCUGGAUGAACAGUAGACGGUGGAGGGCUGGAUGAACAGUAGCCCGUGGAGGGGUGGUUGAACAGGAGCCCGUGGAGAGGGCUGGUUGAACAGUAGCCGGUGGAGUAGCGCGCAGUGGAGGUUGGAUGAACAGGAGGCCGUGGAUGAACAGUCGCAGGUGGAGGCUGGAGGAGGUCGACGGUGGUUGAACAGUAGCCCGUGGCGGCUGGAGGGGUCGACAGUGGAGAUGAACAGUAUCCCGUGGAGUCCCGUUUUGCAGUACGCCACACCCCUCCCGAUGAACAGGACCCCCGUUUCGACCGUAGCGCUCCAACACAAGUCCAUAUCCUCCGUUUUGCGGUACGCCACACCCCUCCUGAUCAACAGGACCCCCGUUUUGACCGUAGGAGGUCCAUUUCCUCCAUUUUGCGGUACGCCAGACCCCUCCCGAUGAAUAGGAUCCUGUUUUGAACGUGGCCGGUUGAACACAAGGCCGUUUCCUCCGUUCUGCGGUACGCCAGGCAUCGUUUCCAUCGGCUGUUCCGUCCAAGCCCUCCCGAUGAUCACGACGACACAUUCCAUUCCGACCCAGCCGGUUGGCUCCCCAUGAACACGACGGCGAUGAUGUUUCUGCAUUCCGACCCAGCCAUGUACACGAGCCCUUGCCGUACGUAUGCGCGAGUAGGCAUUCGAGACCCCGCCCGUAUGUACGUAUGUGGCCAUAUUUUCUUUCUUGCACACUGGCCGCUGUACGUAUGUGUACAUGCUACGUGCGCGCCUCUACAUCGACCAGUAUGUACGUACACAUUCGCGACCAGAAUGACAACGCUAUGUAUGCUUUGACCAGGUGGGUCCUGACUGUCAGGCACUUCCUUGCGUGCGAAGAUGUAGCUGGUGGGUCCCAGCAGUCAGGGGGAAACGUUUUUUUCACGAAAUACGGUGGCCCGUCCGGUGGGUCCCCGCUGUCAGUUGGAGGAAUAAUUAUUUUGCGCGUAAUAAGGAGGCACUUCCUUGCUGUGGCCGUGGACCCAGCUGUCAGCCUCUCCACGUACAGUCCACGUCCGAUGGAAGCUGUUCCUUGACCACGUUGACCACGCCACGCCGAGAGCACCAGGGUUGUGGACAACGGCGAGAGGCCUAGGAAGGGGACGACGUGGAGCCGGGGAAGACGCGACAGUGGAAGCCCGCGCGGAGAGGAGUACGAGGGUUCACUGGUUCGGCUACUGUGUGAGGCUGCCGUCGCCGCAGAAUAAUAGGGGGUGUGGGUGAGUGGAGGGUUGGCCUGGCUAGCGGUGGGAGUAGUAGGCGGUAGUGAGGCCUCCGCGGCAGCACAGCCGGCCACGGGAGGCAGGAGCAGGCGGCACGACCGGCGCUGCUUUGGGAGGCUGGAGCAAGAAGACCAGAGGUUGAAGAAGCACUACGGCCGUUGGAUGGACAUCGUACGGUCACUGGAGCUAGAAUCGUGCAUAUUGACUAAGUUGACAAAGCCCUCCGUCCCUGUCAACUUAGUAGGCCCACAAGUCAGCCUGCCACUAUACUGGGUCCCAGCUAGCAGGGGGAGUAUUCAUUUUUUUGUGCAUAAUAAGGAGGCACUUCCUUGCGUGCGAAGAUAUAGCUGGUGGGUCCGAGCUGUCAGCGGCGGUAACAUUUUUUUCGCGAAAUACAGAGGCCCUUUCGGUGGGUCCCAGAUGUCAGGUGGAGGAUUCAUUAUUUUGCGCGAAAUAAUGAGGCAUUUCCUUGCGUGCGGCUGUGGACCCAGCUGCAGCUUCUCCACGUACAGUCCACUUCAGAUGCAUGUCGGUUGUUGACCACGUUGACCAGGCCGCGCCGAGAGUCACUGCUUGUGCGUCAACCUUUUUUUAGGAAAGCCUCAAAUCUGUGGAAAAUAGCAUACAACCCAUCUGCCAUUAUUUCUAAUAAUUUACAGCCCAUUUGCUAAUUCUUAAGGUUUUUUUGGAGCCCAUAUUCUUUUUGUUAGCAUUACAGCCCAUAGUGUGGCCACAGUUAAAAAAUUAUAUGAAUUUUUGCAUAUUUCAGUGCGGUCCGAACUAUUUUUAAUCCCGAAAUUUUGAGUCACAUUCAAACUGAUUUUAAAAAUAAAUGUAUAUCAAUAUAAAAUCAAACAAAUUGUCCACGCAUAAAAAUCAAUGCAAUUUAAAAUCUCGAAAUGAAAAAAAGAAAUUUGAAACUAAUUGCCGGUUUGAUGUGUUUAAAAAUGUACAGCCCAUUUCUCAUUACUGAUAGGCCAUUUUGUCGGCCAGCCGAAUGAAGCUCUCCUCGCCUUGAAAGAUUUGCAGCCCAACAGGCCUGACAAAGCGACUUACUUGGCAAAUCACAAACAAACUGGGUUGUGGCCGUGGACCCAGCUGUCAGCCUCUCCACGUACGGUACUCUUCCGAUGGAAGUCGGUCGUUGACCACAUUGACCACGCCACGCCAGAGCACCAAGGCGGUGGAUGAUGGCAAGGACUGGGAAAGGGACGACGCGGAGCCGGGGAAGACGCGGUAGUGGAUGCCCAUGCGGAGAGGAGUACGAGGGUUCACUGGUUCGGCUGCGGUGUGAGGCUGCCGUCGCCGCAGGGCCUGGCUAGCGGUGGGAGUAGUAGGGGGUGGUGAGGCUUCAACGGCAGCACAGCCGGCCACUGGAGGCAGGAGCAGGCGGUCUCGCCAGCGCUGGUUUGGGCGGCUGGUGCAAGAAGAGCAGCGAUUGAAGAAGCAGUAGGACCGUUCGAUUCAAAUCCAACGGUUACUGCUGCUAGAAUCGUUUGUUGAUAAGUUGAGAAGCCCUGUGUACGCGUCAACUUAGUAGGCCCACAGGUCAGCCUCCAACCGGUGCGCCCCAGAUGUCAGUGGGAGGAAUCAUUUUUUCGCGUAAUAAGGAGGCAGUUGAUUGCGUGCGGCCAGGCCAGCGGAGGGAGUAGGGUGGGCCGGGGAAGCCUGCGCGGCAUCACAGCGGGCCACAAGAGGAGGGAGCAGGCAGUCCCACCGGCGCUAGUUUAGGCGGCUAGAGAAGGAAGAUCAGAGAUUGAAGAAGCACGUCGGCCGUUGGGUGGACAUCCAACAGUCACUGCUGCUAGAAUCGUGUGUUGACUGACAAAGCCUUGCGUAAACAAGUCAGCCUCGAAAUCGGUGGCGUGUACAACUCAUUUGCUAUUAUUUUUAUAAUUUUUACUCAUUUUUUAAUUCAUAUGGAAUUUAUUGCAGCCCAUUUUCCAUUUUUAGAAUUGCUGCCCAUUUUCUAGUCAGUACAAGGGUUAAAAAAUUAACUGAAUAUGUGGGAAAUUUUGAAAAUUUGCAAAUUUUUGCUAGGGAACAAAAUAUUCUUAAUCCAAAAAUUAGUAGCCAUACUAAAACAAAUUUAAAAAUAAAUUAGUACUAUUUCAUGUUAAAUCCAAUGAAAUACUCCCUCCGUCCCAAAAUUCUUGUCUUAGAUUUGUCUAAAUACGGAUGUAUCAAGUCAGGUUUUGGUAUUAGAUACAUCCGUAUCUAGACUAAUCUAAGACAAGAAUUUUGGGAUGGAGGGAGUAUAAGAUAUCAGUGAAGAACAAAAACAAAAAAAGAAACUAAUAUCUCAUUUUCUAUAAUAUUUUUGGAAUUUUCAACCCCUUUUGAUAUUACUUUUAACAGACACUGACCAUACUCUUUGAACAGGCCGGAAUGCAUCCCUCCUCGUCUUGAAAGAUUUGCAGCCCAGUAAGUCGGAGAAAACAAAUAGGCCUAGCUUGGGUAUUCUUCAAAAAGAAAUACUGGGCUACCUAUUUUCCCAAAGAAAAAACCGCUGGGCUGGUCAUGUUACUAGACGGGCCAUAGAGACCGCACAACCCAGUUUAUAGCCUGCUCCUCCGAAUUACUACUAAAAAAAGUUGUGCAAUUCUUUCGUAAUGGACUAUACGUUGAAAAUGAUGUGGGUCCCAGAUAUCAGCAGGGUGGAUUAGAUUAAAAAACGAAGGGUUCAUCUGAGUAGUAAAAGAGGUGCUUGCUUGUGUUCGGGAGUGGACCUGGUGGGUCCGUACUUUCAUACUCACAACUACAGUCCUCUCCCGAUUCACUAUGUUGACAGGGACCGUUUAAAAAAACUAUGUUGACAGGGCCGGACGGCGGCGCCGUGGCGAGCGCACCAAGGGGGAGGAUAAAGUGCUGUCGCCAAUGUGCUGGGCUGGGUUGGACAUUCUUAUUGAAAAAUAAAAAUGGACAGGAACUAUUUACGACAUUGACUACGAUUUGCAUGGGUCCACUGGUUGCAGGAAGAAAAUGUUGGGAGAAAGAAGACUGGUCGCUAUCUUUGCCUAAGAAUAAUAUCGACUGAAUGUAACGACACUAUCAUAGGAAAUAAUAUCCUCCUGUUAAAUCGUGAAUUUAAAGAACUGGUGCAUGAGCAUUUAGCUUUAUUUAUUUAUUUACUUAUUUAUGUUUAGGGGACCAUGACCAUGUACCCGGGCCGGAUUCAUGUGAGAGCCUCCCUUCCAGUUAAUUAUGGGCUUCUCUAUUGGGCCUUCAUCAGUGGGCUAUAUGUUAUCAACAAGUGGAAAAUGUGUUCCGUACGAAAAAUAGUAUGCGCUACGUACGGUACGGGGCACUAAAGGAUCGAACCGUGCAACGACUUCCAAAACAUUGUGUUUGUCGUUCUAACAACACAUUUAUUCAACCAACAGACGAAAUAUACUACUGAUUGUACAUUGAAAACAGCAGCAACAGCAACCAGGGCUGGGGGUGCAACAGAAGCAGUAAGCAUGCCAGAAGAGUGAAGACGCAGCUCUCUCUUCCAAACCAAACAUCAGCCAUCAUUACAAAAGGGCUACCAAAAAAGAACAAGUGUAUGCAUCAAACUAAAUAAAGAUCCUACUACACCAAGUGUACGCAUCUAACUAACUGGCUCAGUUAGACGUUACUAUUUAUUAACCUAUGGAGAUUGGCUGACGGCUUGAACCAGAUGGGUGCCUGAUGGGGGAAACUCCAGCCAGCAGGUCGAAGUCUGAUACUUGCGACCCUCUGUCACGACCGGUUUUUCAAUAAAAUAAUUAUUGAGAAACCAAUCCCUGUUACGGACCAGCGAGGAAGAAUUCCUUCUCACUGAUAGACAAUACAUUGGUCACAGAAGAAAAAUACCAGGAGUACUAAAUAUAAUACAAAGUUGAGCAGAGACUGCCCAACAAUUUAUUACAUGCACGCCGAUAAAACAAUACGGAGGAUAGGGUGGCAAACUUCUAACUCACGAUAAAAACGGUGGUGGAAAUAUCAUCGCGAAGCGAGUGACAUGAUUCCAGAAUACUACAACUCUUCGAGCGUCGGAGUGAGGCUCGAGAAGACUUAUUGCGGGUGGCGGAAGCGUAAACGAUACAAGUGACCAAAAUCCGGGAUCGCGCAGGACUGACUGGGACUCCUCUAGGCAUCAGACGCGCUAUCAAACUCCUCAUCCAAGAGAUCGCCUUCGUCAACAUCUGGCCAAAUCAACAAGCCAGGUGAGUACUAUGAAAGUACUCGCAAGACAGUUCGGACAUAAGGUAUAACAAAUGCAAACAUGAAGCACAUGAAUAAGUUAACCAGUGCGAUCAGACACAGAGAUAAUAAAUACUGGGUGCCAAGCGAGGGUCUGAAUGACGCCUCGAGCGGAAACUGCAGAAUAGCAAUACUGGUGCCAAACGAGUGUCUGAAAGACUCCUCGAGAGGAAAAUGCGGAAUAAUAAUACAGGUGCCAAACGAGUGUCUGAAAGACUCCUCGAGCGGAAAAUGCAGAAAUAAUAAUACGGGUGCCAAACGAGUGUCUGAAUGACUCCUCGAGCGGAAAAUGCAGAAUAAUAAUGCCACAGUCGGGCGUCGGGGCGACACCACAUAAAGGGCUUAUAUCGAAAGUGAGAAACGAGUACACGCCACAGUCGGACGUCUGCGCGACGUCACAUAAAGGGCUUAUAUCACAACUCAUUAAUACAAUAGCUCGGAGACAUAAAUUAUCACAAGCAUGAGACACAAAAAAAUAAAGUUAGUCCAUCAACUGGAAUAACAAUAAAUCUGAGAUUUUUACCGCUUGAGCUUGUUCACCGGGGGCAAGAUUUUCACACGGAUAGAUUUGGAUGUAAAGUCUACAUUACUGAUCAUGGAUACGAUGAUUUGGAAAGGAUUGACUCUGCAGAGUUUGUACUUAACCACAGCCAACGGAUUUCAGUAGUCACGGGGACUAGUUCCUUCUACGGUGUUCUGGAAGGAACACGUCUAACCAGUACACACCCAAUUUAACCAUCCGAAGCCAGGGAUCACCCUCGGAAACAUUCAGGAAAAACCCUGAGUCGGGGAGGCUACAACCUCGCGUAGCAUGGGAUCAAAUUUCUAUACGCGCGCUAUAAGGGGGUGCCCCCCCCCUCUCGGUCCCAACCGGAAACACCCAUGCCCCCUGACCGAAUGACUGGCUUUAAUCCUGGGCCAAGGUACCAUCAUCCCGGCCUCUCUGUUUGGUGUGUACACGGAAAGAGGUUACCAACUUACUAAACCGUAUCCUGGCAAUGAGACAUGUGGUAGCACGGAAAGGGGAAGGGACGAUAACACGGCUCCAACCAUGUUAACGUCGGGAAAGUCGGAUGACACAAGGCUGGCAUGCUACAACAGUACCACCUUGCUGCCCUUCAUGUCACCACAUGAUUAGGCCACCUCUCAUCAGAGGUCAUCGCAACUUUGGAACAUGCGGGAAAAGAUCGAUAACGUGGCUCCAACCACGUUAACGUCGAAGAAAGUCGGAUGGUGCAAGGCUGGCAUGCUACAACAGUACCACCUUGCUGCCCUUCAUGUCACUACAUGAUUAGGCCACCUCUCAUCAGAGGUCAUCGCAACUUCGGAACAACCGGGUCGUUGCCUUACAAGCAACGAGGUACUUAUCGACACUCACAUGCCACGCACAAACUUUCACAUGAACAUGCAAAACAUCUUCCAUAUCAAAUGUUCAAACAUGCUUGCCUGGUUCGGAGAAGUCGGAGUCUAGCUCGGCGAAGUUCGCGGCUCCGUCCCCUCUCCCGGAACCUACGGCAAUCACGAAACGGGUUACUAACGUGAAAACCAACACAUGCACAGAAACUUUGCCAAAUAUUUUUCAAAUAAAUCCCAUAAAAAACUAGACAAAAUUUGGAGAUUGACAGAAAAAGAAUCACUCAAAAAUACCUUUUCAUUAAAAAGUUAUAAAGGUUUCUGUCCAGGGACCUUUCUGUAAUGAAACAGAAAAGUUCCAGGGUUUUAACUGAGAAAACAGAAAACGCUUCGGCUGGGAAUGCGCAAGCACAAGGGGAAAACGUAUUUAGCCCGAAGGCGCCAACAGAAAACGGUUCGGGGAAAUAAAACAGAGGCUGACACGCGGGGCCCGCAUGUCAGGUUUGAAAGCUCGCCGGCGCCCGAAGACGGCGGUGGACGCCGGCGUCGAACCACGGCGAGUUAGGAGAAACGGAGGGUACCAAGAGCUUCAGUGUCUUCUUCCGCGUCGGUGGGUGGUGGACUCGUCCAACGGGGAGCACCACGUCGACGACGACACUAUCUCCGGCGGACGGCGGUUCGGGUGAGGUUGGGGAACUCCGGUGGAGGGCUGCAAAGUGCGAAUUGAGGCGCGGGUCAGAACGGGUGAUGCAAGGAGAAGCUACUUGCAAGAGAAUGGGGGCUGCGGAGCACACACGGGGGCGAAUCGGGCUGGAUCCCGUGGCGGAUCGCGGCGGCCGGAGUCGAGGAAGGAGACCCCCUCGCGGCUCUUCCAGUGGCUGGGCGUGCUCUAGGGGAAGUGUAGGGCUGGUGGGUGCUCGAGUUGAAGCUUGGGGCCCCUAUUUAUAGGUAGAUCGACGGGGUGGCCGUGAACGGAGAAUCUCCGGCGAGCGAUUAUGGCGGAGCAGUGGAUUGGAAGGUGGUUUGAGCGGUCGGGCAGCAUCAGUGGAGAUUACUGGAGUUGUUCCACUGCUAAACGGAGCUGGCCCUGGCGUAAUGGCAUCUGCCCACGGUGAGGUGACCGCACGGGCUCAACGGCGGCAGAGAGCGCGCUCCGCGCCCUGGGGUUCACGACGAGAGCGCCAGCGCAUUCGGGGGAGUGGACGGCCACGCGGCGGGCUCCGGUGGUUUGGGCGGCGCUGGGUGGAGUCGGCGGCGCCGUGUCUCCCGCUGGCGUCCGCAAAGCCGCCGCCGGCGUCGGUCACGGGGCGGCGCACCUUCUGCUGCUCGUCGCCGACGCCCGCAAGUUGCCAGGCACUCGUGCGGUGCAGGAACGAGAGGGCGAGGACGAGGAGCAAGGCGACGCGAGGGUACUGGCGAGAUCGACGCCCGUUUCUGAAGAAAACGACAGCAGCCACUUAACUGAACUCUGAACUUACUGAAUCUUGACAGUGACCAAGCAUUGCAGGUGUUCGACAGUAGGUUUUGGUAAAGAGAUAAAUUUUUCUGGAGCUGUAACUUGGUGAGAUGAUCACUCAAAGCACCCAGGGGCUGCAUGAAUUUACUUGGAAUUUUUGGAGAAAGUUUUGAAUGAAUUUCACCAAAUUUGGCAAAUCUGGUCCAAACUUGCAGCUGAUGUAGUUUGAAAUUUUUGAACUGGAGACCAGUGGAUCUUCAUGGUUCCAGGUUGAGGGUUCAAAGGACUAGGAGGGGAAAAAGGUUUGGUGGCAAAAAUCAAAACAGAAAAAGGAGUUCCUUUGUAAAUCUCCAAGUGCUAUAAGAGAAGACAGAAAUUUAUUUGAAUAGAAUUUGAAUGGAAAUGAUCACAUGAGGAGGUUCAACUUGCUGGAUUUGAUGCAAAUCAUGAUCCAAAGGUGAGGGAAGGGUUAGGAGAGAGGAUUUGCACUAAUGCCAUGGCAAGAAGGAAUAGUUGAAAGUGGCAAAGGACUUUCCAAAAGCCAUAGUGCAUUCUCAAAAAGGAUUUUCAAAGGUUAUUCUCUCAAAUGAAAAAAAACAUUUUGUCUUGAGCCCAAAUGAAAAGCAAGAACCCCCAAGGUCAAAGGCAGAUCUUGGGUGAAUCCAAAUAAAAUUUUUGCCAUAAAGAAAAAUAUUUGAGAGUGAGAGUUCUCUUGAAGAAUUUUUUUUUUAAAAAUCACUCCCUUCAAGUCAAAUAAAAUCUUUUGAAAAAUCCAAAUAAAAACUUGGGUGUCACAACACCUACCCCCUUAGGAAAAAUCUCGUCCUCGAGAUUUCUGCUGAUCCUCAAAUAGAUAUGGAUACUCUGCUCGGAGGAAAUCUUCCCUUUCCCAUGUGGCUUCAUCCUUGGUGUGGUUGCUCCACUGGACCCUGAAAAACUUUGUCGUUUUCUGACGGGUCCUCCGUUCAGACUCUUCUAAAAUCUUUACUGGCCUUUCUCUGUAGGUGAGAUCUGGUUGCAUAUCAAUGUCCUCAUGAGGUAUAUGUUUCUCCGGGUUACUCACACAUUUCCUCAACUGCGAGACGUGGAAUACGUCAUGGACGUCUGAUAGCUCCUUGGGUAGGUCUAGCUGGUAGGCUACCGUGCCUCUUCGUGCCUUCACACAAAAUGGUCCAAUAAAUCUUGGGGCUAGUUUCCCCUUUAUUUUGAACCGUUGCAGACCCCUCAUAGGAGAUACUCGGAGGUAUACGGAAUCACCAGGUUCAAAGCUGACCUCACGAUGCUUCUGAUCAUAGUAGCUCUUUUGUCGGCUCUGUGCUGUCUUGAGUCUGUCCCUGAUUUGUUUAACUUUUUCCUCGGCCUCCUUAAGCAUAUCUGGGCCGAAGAUACGGCUGUCACCUGUUUCUGACCAAUUCAAUGGGGUACGACACCUCCGUCCGUACAAUGCUUCAAAGGGUGCCAUUUGCAAGCUGGCUUGGUAACUGUUGUUGUACGCAAAUUCGGCAUACGGCAAACUCUCUUCCCAACUGGUUCCAUAGGUGAGCACACAGGCUCUUAGCAUAUCCUCCAGGAUUUGGUUUACACGUUCUGUUUGUCCAUCUGUUUGAGGGUGGUAUGCUGUACUGAAAGCUAGUUGCGUGCCCAGAGCUUGUUGUAGGUGAUCCCAAAAUUUGGAGACGAAUUGGGUGCCUCGGUCUGAUAUUAUAGUCUUCGGGACUCCAUGCAAGCAAACUAUACGAGAUAGAUAGAGCUUUGCCAGUCUUUGAGUGGAGUAGGUAGUCUUCACGGGAAUGAAAUGAGCAACCUUGGUUAGUCGGUCUGUGAUGACCCAUAUGGCAUCAUUUCCGCGUUGUGAUCGGGGUAAUCCGACAAUGAAGUCCAUUCCUAUUUCAUCCCAUUUCCACUCCGGUAUUUGGUUUGGCUGGAGUAGCCCUGCUGGCUUUUGAUGCUCGGCCUUGAUACGCUAGCAUGAAUCGCAACAAGCAACAAAUGUGGCUAUAUCUCUUUUCAUACCGUGCCACCAAAAUCUUUCCUGGAUGUCCUUGUACAUUUUGGUUCCUCCAGGAUGGAUCGAAUAUGGAGCGGUGUGGCUUUCCGUCAAGAUCUGUUGCUUGAGUUCCUCAAUGUUAGGUACGCAAAGUCUGUUUCGGUACCACAAUGUUCCUUCACUGUCUGUGACGAACUCUGAAGUCUUACUAGUAUUCAUUUUCUUCUUUAUGCCUUCGAUGCUGGGAUGUCCCUGUUGGGCCUUCUUAAUUCGUUCCAUCAAGGUGCGUUGUAUCUCCAGGUUUGAUACGGUGCCCUCGGGGACUAACAUUAUGUUGAGCCUAGCGAACUCUCGCUGAAACUCAGGCCUCAAGUUUUGCUGACCGUCACUGUCUGGGCUGGGGUUUCGACUAAGGGCAUCGGCCACUACAUUUGCUUUUCCUGGGUGGUAGUGGAUGCCGACGUCGUAGUCUUUGACCAGUUCCAACCAGCGUCGUUGGCGUAAAUUCAGCUCUGGCUGUGUGAAGAUAUAUUUGAGGCUCUUAUGGUCCGUAUAUAUUUCACAACGAUUUCCCAACAGAAAGUGCCUCCACUCCUUGAGUGCAUGUAGGACCGCUGCUAGCUCCAAGUCAUGUGUUGGGUAAUUUUCCUCAUGCUUUCGCAGUUGCCUGGAGGCAUAUGCAACAACUUUGCCAUCCUGCAUUAGUACACAUCCGAGACCUUUUCGGGACGCGUCACAAUAUACUUCAAAACUCUUGUGUAUGUCUGGCACAGUUAAGACUGGUGCGGUUGUCAGUUUUUUCUUGAGUUCUUGGAAGCUCUGCUCACAUGCUUCCGUCCAUACGAAUCUCUUGUCCUUCUUGAGCAGUUGGGUCAUAGGUUUUGCCACAGUGGAGAAUCCUUCAAUAAAUCUCCUGUAAUAUCCGGCCAUUCCUAGGAAACUCCGCACAUCUGUGACGUUGGCGGGCGGUUUCCAGUCCAGUAUGGCCUUGACCUUUUCUGGGUCUACGGCUACGCCUUCUUGGUUCAGUAUAUGGCCUAAGAAACCAACUUGUCUUAGCCAAAAUUCGCAUUUGCUAAACUUGGCGUACAACUGAUGCUUCCUCAAUUCUCCCAAAACCACUCUGAGGUGCUCAGCAUGCUCUUCGGGUGUCCUUGAGUAAACCAGAAUAUCAUCAAUGAAUACCACCACAAAUUUGUCCAUGAAUUUCAUGAACACUUUGUUCAUGAGGUGGACGAAAAAUGCGGGGGUGUUUGUUAGACCAAAAGGCAUCACUGUGAACUCGUAUAAUCCAUAUCUGGAAGUGAAUGCUGUCUUGGGGAUAUCCUCUGUUCGUACCUUCAGUUGAUGGUAUCCUGAUCUCAAAUCAAUCUUUGAAAAUACUUUAGCUUGUGCGAGCUGGUCAAACAAAUCAUUUAUCCGUGGCAUCGGGUAUUUGUUUUUGAUGGUGACCAUAUUGAGGGCUCGAUAGUCUAUGCAUAGUCUCAGUGUCCCAUCCUUCUUCUUGGCGAACAAUACGGGCGAACCCCAUGGUGAGGAGCUGGCUCGUAUAAACCCCUUGUCCAGUAAUUCCUUUAUCUGCUUCUUCAACUCCACCAAUUCUGAGGGUGCCAUUCUAUACGGCUUCUUAUAAAAGGGAGCGGUGCCAGGUGCUAAUUCAAUGCUGAAUUCGAUCUCUCGGUCUGGUGGCAUACCUGGUAGUUCUUCCGGGAACACAUCAGGGAACUCGCAUACCACUGACACUUUUCUUAAUUCUGCGAUGUCCAUCUUGUUCAGUUUUGGUUUCUGUGAUCGUGGCCUUUCUUGAGCGGAAACUCUUAUUGUCUUGCCGUGAUGGUGAGUGAGAAUCACUGUCCGAUUGAAACAGUCGAUGAAUCCUUUGUUGGUGGUUAACCAGUCCAUUCCUAAAAUGACAUCCAGUCCUUUACUUUCCAACACGAUGAGAUUUGCGUGGAAUGGUAGUCCUUCGAACUCAAUGACCACUCCUUGGCAGUAACCCUGAGCAAUUUGCUUGUUUCCGGGGGACUUGAUGAUCAUAGAUUUUUCCAAGGGGAGUAUCGGAAAACCGUGUUGUGAAACAAAACUCUUCGAAACAACCGAAUGGGAAGCUCCAGAAUCAAACAAAACCAUGGCAGGUACUGUGUUGACAGGGAACGUACCGAGCACGAUGUCUGGGGCAUUCUGCGCUUCUUCCCUGGUCACAUGGUUCAGGUGACCCUUCCUGUGGUUGUUGUUGGGAUUGAAGUUGUUGCGCUUGGGAGCUGGAUUGUUUUCACCAUUGUUCGGCUUGGGUGCCGAGUCUCUUGGUUUCGGGCACUGUUUAGCAUAAUGCCCUUGCUGACCGCAAGCAUAGCAGGUGACCCCUGGACGGUAUGUGAACUCCUUGUCUCUGGCAUGAAAUUGUCCAACGGGUCUUGGCUCAGUAGUCGUGGAUCUCCUCGUGUCUGUCCUUGGGACCUCAGUCUUGCCUCGGUUGCUGCGGGUAAGAGUCGUCUUGUCCCUCUUCCGCUUGCGGAUAUCUUCCAGACUACGGCGCUCAUUCUCCAGGGUGAUGGCCUUGUCCACCAGCGUCUUAAAAUCCGGAAAGGUGUGUACAAUCAGCUGGCAUCUUAGUGCUGGUGCCAGGCCGUCCAGGAAUUUUUCCAUCUUCUUGUUUUCUGUCAUGUGCUCGUCGUAGGCAUAACGAGACAGUUGGGUAAACUGGCCGUUGUAUUCUGUGACGAACAUGCCUCUUUGCUUCAGGUCAUUAAACUCUCUCUUCUUGAUCUUUAGGAUGCUCCUGGGAAUGUGUGCCCCACGGAAGCCUUCCUUGAAUUCUUCCCAGGUGAUGUUGUGUUCCCUGGGGUGCAUGUGUAGGAAGUUUUCCCACCAUGCUGCGGCUGCUCCAGUAAGGUAGUGUGGCGCAUAAAGCACCUUCUCAUGAUCUAAGCAUUGAGCGAUAAUCAGUUUCCUUUCAAUCUCGCGAAGCCAAUCAUCAGCUUCCAGUGGCCUAUCGGUGUGAGCAAAAGUUGAGGGGCGAGUCUUCUGUAACUCAGAUAACUUGGAAUGUGGUUGAUAGGGUUCACGGUGGUUUCCCAUAUUGAUGACAUGGUUCAUCAUCUCCUGGUGCUGUUGCUGGCUUUGCUCGAAGAGACGGCAUACUUGAGAUAGUGCCGCUUCGCUGUCCUGUUGGCUGGACUGACCCUGAGUGAAAUUGUUGCUGGUCUGUGUUCCAUAAACCUCUUCUGCAUUUUUCCAGUCUGGGGUAUCAUUUGCAAAACCCUUGAGAAAAACUGUGUAGCGCAGGAAAACUCUUGCAAAGGCAACACAAAUGAUUUUUCAUGGAGGAGAAGUGCUUAACAUAAAACUUUCAUGCGAAAAGCAAACACACGAUACAACACUCAGGAUGCGCGUACACAAUCCUGACAUGCUAUUAAAACUAGCGUACUACUCCGGAAGGCAGCAAACACACCAAUACAAACUAGCGUACAGAUAAAACAGCACAUCAUACAAGCAGACAUAACACGCGGCUACUCGGUGCUCUCAGUCGGAGAUGGUGAAGAUCUCCUUCCCCUUGCCGAUGGCAAGGCUCAGCGGUCCAGGAGAGUCAACCUCCUCCUCUCUAGCUGGUUCCUGGCGUGCGACGCUGCGCUGCGGUGAUGGUGCGGGGGCGAUUGGUGGUAGAGCGCGUGCGGCAGGCGGUGCGGCUCUGACUGGAGUGGGAGCGAUGACUCGGUCGAACUCCUCAGUGGUAGGCAGACGGCGAGCAGUGGCCAAAACGGCCGGUGCAUACGAGGCUGAAGACGAGACGAAUGUCAGAGGCGGCGCCGUGUGGAGAAGCUCCUUCCUGCUGGCAGGACCGCCCCGGACUAAGUCCAUGCGGGCAGCCACAAGAUCAUCUACGAGGUUGUCGAAAGAUUCCUCCAGAGCCUUGAGAUACUCCACAACCAUCUCGAUGGCUUCGUCUCUUUCUCCCCGAUGGCAGGAAAACGCAUAGUGGCUGGUGUAUGGCACAUGGCAUGGGAGGUAGCGGUAGCGACGAGUCUUCAUCGUAGGAAGGAUGUCCCGAAGGCGAGCUAUCGCCUCACGGGCAGCCAUCUGCAUGGCAUGCCUCUCCGUAGGCAUGGCCCUUCCCACAAAACGGAAGUGGCGUGCAGCUGAACGUCCUCCCUUGAACUGCACCACAGCCUGGUGCAUAGACACGUCGUCACUGAGCUUGUGCUGAUAGAGGGUGAACUCCGGGCGAGCUGCUGGCCCGAUCGCGAGCUUGGUGAUGGAGACGAGGAGCUUGACAAACCCCUCGGGCACGUUGGUGAACACUCGAUUCUCACAGCCGCUGCCAGCCAUCUACAAAAGUAGGCAAAAAUUCUGAGUAGUCAUGUCAUAAAUUUUAUGAUGACCAACAGAAGAUAGCUACAAUUGCAAAAUGCUGAAGAAGCACUAAAGACGCUAAUAACCGAUUAGCGAUCGCACCUAGUGGCUUCCUAUAGUCAGCCUGGCUCUGAUACCAAGCUUGUCACGCCCGGUUUUUCAAUAAAAUAAUUAUUGAGAAACCAAUCCCUGUUACGGACCAGCGAGGAAGAAUUCCUUCUCACUGAUAGACAAUACAUUGGUCACAGAAGAAAAAUACCAGGAGUACUAAAUAUAAUACAAAGUUGAGCAGAGACUGCCCAACAAUUUAUUACAUGCACGCCGAUAAAACAAUACGGCGGAUAGGGUGGCAAACUUCUAACUCACGAUAAAAACGGUGGUGGAAAUAUCAUCGCGAAGCGAGUGACAUGAUUCCAGAAUACUACAACUCUUCGAGCGUCGGAGUGAGGCUCGAGAAGACUUAUUGCGGGUGGCGGAAGCGUAAACGAUACAAGUGACCAAAAUCCGGGAUCUCGCAGGACUGACUGGGACUCCUCUAGGCAUCGGACGUGCUAUCAAACUCCUCAUCCAAGAGAUCGCCUUCGUCAACAUCUGGCCAAAUCAACAAGCCAGGUGAGUACUAUGAAAGUACUCGCAAGACAGUUCGGACAUAAGGUAUAACAAAUGCAAACAUGAAGCACAUGAAUAAGUUAACCAGUGCAAUCAGACACAGAGAUAAUAAAUACUGGGUGCCAAGCGAGGGUCUGAAUGACGCCUCGAGCGGAAACUGCAGAAUAGCAAUACUGGUGCCAAACGAGUGUCUGAAAGACUCCUCGAGAGGAAAAUGCGGAAUAAUAAUACAGGUGCCAAACGAGUGUCUGAAAGACUCCUCGAGCGGAAAUGCAGAAAUAAUAAUACGGGUGCCAAAUGAGUGUCUGAAUGACUCCUCGAGCGGAAAAUGCAGAAUAAUAAUGCCACAGUCGGGCGUCGGGGCGACACCACAUAAAGGGCUUAUAUCGAAAGUGAGAAACGAGUACACGCCACAGUCGGACGUCUGCGCGACGUCACAUAAAGGGCUUAUAUCACAACUCAUUAAUACAAUAGCUCGGAGACAUAAAUUAUCACAAGCAUGAGACACACAAAAAUAAAGUUAGUCCAUCAACUGGAAUAACAAUAAAUCUGAGAUUUUUACCGCUUGAGCUUGUUCACCGGGGGCAAGAUUUUCACACGGAUAGAUUUGGAUGUAAAGUCUACAUUACUGAUCAUGGAUACGAUGAUUUGGAAAGGAUUGACUCUGCAGAGUUUGUACUUAACCACAGCCAACGGAUUUCAGUAGUCACGGGGACGAGUUCCGUCUACGGUGUUCUGGAAGGAACACGUCUAACCAGUACACACCCAAUUUAACCAUCCGAAGCCAGGGAUCACCCUCGGCAAAGUUCAGGAAAAACCCUGAGUCGGGGAGGCUACAACCUCGCGUAGCAUGGGAUCAAAUUUCUAUACGCGCGCUAUAAGGGGGUGCCCCCCCUCUCGGUCCCAACCGGAAACACCCAUGCCCCCUGACCGAAUGACUGGCUUUAAUCCUGGGCCAAGGUACCAUCAUCCCGGCCUCUCUGUUUGGUGUGUACACGGAAAGAGGUUACCAACUUACUAAACCGUAUCCUGGCAAUGAGACAUGUGGUAGCACGGAAAGGGGAAGGGACGAUAACACGGCUCCAACCAUGUUAACGUCGGGAAAGUCGGAUGACACAAGGCUGGCAUGCUACAACAGUACCACCUUGCUGCCCUUCAUGUCACCACAUGAUUAGGCCACCUCUCAUCAGAGGUCAUCGCAACUUUGGAACAUGCGGGAAAAGAUCGAUAACGUGGCUCCAACCACGUUAACAUCGAAGAAAGUCGGAUGGCGCAAGGCUGGCAUGCUACAACAGUACCACCUUGCUGCCCUUCAUGUCACUACAUGAUUAGGCCACCUCUCAUCAGAGGUCAUCGCAACUUCGGAACAACCGGGUCGUUGCCUUACAAGCAACGAGGUACUUAUCGACACUCACAUGCCACGCACAAAGUUUCACAUGAACAUGCAAAACAUCUGCCGUAUCAAAUGGUCAAACAUGCUUGCCUGGUUCGGAGAAGUCGGAGUCUAGCUCGGCGAAGUUCGCGGCUCCGUCCCCUCUCCCGGAACCUACGGCAAUCACGAAACGGGGUACUAACGUGAAAACCAACACAUGCACAGAAACUUUGCCAAAUAUUUUUCAAAUAAAUCCCAUAAAAAACUAGACAAAAUUUGGAGAUUGACAGAAAAAGAAUCACUCAAAAAUACCUUUUCAUUAAAACGUUAUAAAGGUUUCUGUCCAGGGACAUUUCUGUAAUGAAACAGAAAAGUUCCAGGGUUUUAACUGAGAAAACAGAAAACGCUUCGGCUGGAAUGCGCAAGCGCAAGGGGAAAACGUAUUUUGCCCGAAGGCGCCAACAGAAAACGGUUCGGGGAAAUAAAACAGAGGCUGACACGCGGGGCCCGCAUGUCAGGUUUGAAAGCUCGCCGGCGCCCGAAGACGGCGGUGGACGCCGGCGUCGAACCACGGCGAGUUAGGAGAAACGGAGGGUACCAAGAGCUUCAGUGUCUUCUUCCGCGUCGGUGGGUGGUGGACUCGUCCAACGGGGAGCACCACGUCGACGACGACACUAUCUCCGGUGGACGGCGGUUCGGGUGAGGUUGGGGAACUCCGGUGGAGGGCUGCAAAGUGCGAAUUGAGGCGCGGGUCAGAACGGGUGAUGCAAGGAGAAGCUACUGGCAAGAGAAUGGGGGCUGCGGAGCACACACGGGGGCGAAUCGGGCUGGAUCCCGUGGCGGAUCGUGGCGGCCGGAGUCGAGGAAGGAGACCCCCUCGCGGCUCUUCCAGUGGCUGGGCGUGCUCUAGGGGAAGUGUAGGGCUGGUGGGUGCUCGAGUUGAAGCUCGGGCCCCUAUUUAUAGGCAGAUCGACGGGGUGGCCGUGAACGGAGAAUCUCCGGCGAGCGAUUACGGCGGAGCAGUGGAUUGGAAGGUGGUUUGAGAGGUCGGGCAGCAUCAGUGGAGAUUACUGGAGUUGUUCCACUGCUAAACGGAGCUGGCCCUGGCGUAAUGGUGUCUGCCCACGGUGAGGUGACCGCACGGGCUCAACGGCGGCAGAGAGCGCGCUCCGCGCCCUGGGGUUCACGACGAGAGCGGCAGCGCAUUCGGGGGAGUGGACGGCCACGCGGCGGGCUCCGGUGGUUUGGGCGGCGCUGGGUGGAGUCGGCGGCGCCGUGUCUCCCGCUGGUGUCCGCAAAGCCGCCGCCGGCGUCGGUCACGGGGCGGCGCACCUUCUGCUGCUCGUCGCCGACGCCCGCAAGUUGCCAGGCACUCGUGCGGUGCAGGAACGAGAGGGCGAGGACGAGGAGCAAGGCGACGCGAGGGUACUGGCGAGAUCGACGCCCGUUUCUGAAGAAAACGACAGCAGCCACUUGACUGAACUCUGAACUUACUGAAUCUUGACAGUGACCAAGCAUUGCAGGUGUUCGACAGUAGGUUUUGGUAAAGAGAUAAAUUUUUCUGGAGCUGUAACUUGGUGAGAUGAUCACUCAAAGCACCCAGGGGCUGCAUGAAUUUACUUGGAAUUUUUGGAGAAAGUUUUGAAUGAAUUUCACCAAAUUUGGCAAAUCUGGUCCAAACUUGCAGCUGAUGUAGUUUGAAAUUUUUGAACUGGAGACCAGUGGAUCUUCAUGGUUCCAGGUUGAGGGUUCAAAGGACUAGGAGGGGAAAAAGGUUUGGUGGCAAAAAUCAAAACAGAAAAAGGAGUUCCUUUGUAAAUCUCCAAGUGCUAUAAGAGAAGACAGAAAUUUAUUUGAAUAGAAUUUGAAUGGAAAUGAUCACAUGAGGAGGUUCAACUUGCUGGAUUUGAUGCAAAUCAUGAUCCAAAGGUGAGGGAAGGGUUAGGAGAGAGGAUUUGCACUAAUGCCAUGGCAAGAAGGAAUAGUUGAAAGUGGCAAAGGACUUUCCAAAAGCCAUAGUGCAUUCUCAAAAAGGAUUUUCAAAGCUUAUUCUCUCAAAUGAAAAAAAACAUUUUGUCUUGAGCCCAAAUGAAAAGCAAGAACCCCCAAGGUUAAAGGCAGAUCUUGGGUGAAUCCAAAUAAAAUUUUUGCCAUAAAGAAAAAUAUUUGAGAGUGAGAGUUCUCUUGAAGAAUUUUUUUUUAAAUCACUCCCUUCAAGUCAAAUAAAAUCUUUUGAAAAAUCCAAAUAAAAACUUGGGUGUCACACCCUCUCUCCUACUUUGGGCUGCAGAGCGUGGCGGCACAUAUCAGGGUAUGGUGCAUGCAGAGACGCAUGGUACGCUAUGUACACACAGUUUUGCCUGAUGAACGAAACCGCGCUGCCAUCAUGAUCCUUGCCGUCGGUUAUCUCCUGGUUAAUCGGAUAAUUCAGUCCAACAAACAGAGAGCGUGUACCAAGGCUACUUACCAACCUCCAGUCAAAAAUUCCUGAAGGCCCAGAGAAGUUGGGAUCCUGCUCAAAGACCUUGAAGUGAUUGUGAUUGUAUUCCGCGAAACAACACGUCUGGUACGUGCGAACGAUCAUCAAUCGUUCGCCGUCGUCUGAUCGAGCCAGGAAGCACCUGCAACUGCCAUGCCGCUUUUCUUUGAAAGGUUCUGGGAUUAGGAAGGGUACGAACAUGAGGCGACUUACAACAUCAUAUCAAGUUGGAGACAAAUAACCCUCAAAAAAAGUUGGAGUCAAAUAAAAAAGGGCUCUUGAUUGUAUGACAUGGCUAGCCAAGAUGGAUUUAAUCCCGAUAUUCACUUUAUCAAAAGGCUCUAAUGGGUUGGUUCUGAAUCUUGCAAGCUGGGAAUCAAUGAGAUGUGUAGGCAUCUUUGUUGUACUUAUUAUUUGAAUCUUAUUUGUUGGUUCUGAAUCUUGCAAGCUGGGAAUCAAUGAGAUGUGUAGGCAUCUUUGUUGUACUUAUUAUUUGGAUCUUAUUUGUUGGUUCUGAAUCUUGCAAGCUGGGAAUCAAUGGGAUGUGUAGGCAUCUUUGUUGUACUUAUUAUUUGGAUCUUAUUUGUUGGUUCUGAAUCUUGCAAGCUCGGAAACAUGGCAUGAUGAUGCAGAGGACAACAACCAUAACAAACAGUUCAAACUUGGUAGUAUUAUCUUUGUGAAAGUGCGACAAAUGUGCUGAUCGUGUGCGUCCUGAGAAUAAUAAUUCUAAUUGUUGUGCAUGUUGAUCCCGUGGCACUGAUAGAAUGAGCCAAUGCAUUGCUUGUUUUAAGUAUAAAUUUCUAUUAAAGCUAAUUAAAUUUAAGUAAAGUGACCACUAACUCCUGUUAUUACAGGACCAAUACAGACCCGCUCAUGAACCGACGUGUGGCCGGAGUAGGUUUCUUAAUGGAGGCGUUUGAAUGCGCUGAGGGUGCAUCUUCUGCCGGGUGUGCAGAACUGCUGCCGCCGCCUACACACUCGUUCACUUGAAGAGACUCCAAUGGCGAUCCGAGGGGUGAGCCUGCUGGAUAUGGACUUCAGCAAGGAGUUCCCCUUUGAGUUCGCCAUUCAGUCCUAUGGCUGCACCAAGUUGAAUGUGAUGUACACCAACGAUCCAGACUCGGUGAAGCUCUGCCUCGCCGAGUUCAAGCAGUACCUACAGGACGAGAAAGCACAAGGUUGCAGGACUAGACCUUGUGCCCAUCCAUUCUUCUCCUGACAGGGACCAGCAGAUAGCCGUUGCCUAGGAAUGUGUGCGGGACGAGGUUCUCAUCUACCACUUCUGUAGGGCCAUCAGAGGUUCUGGAGCAUUCGCCUGUUUCAUCGGCAGCGCUGACUGCACCUUCGCUACGGUGGAGAGAAGGAAGAACGCGAUGAUUCGGCCAUCUGGUGCAACAAGCUUGUCGACAUCCAGAAGCAAUACAAGAUCAUCAGCAACGAGCAGGAGAAGGACUCCGUGGUUGACCUCGCCGAGACCAUCAUCGACCCCUGAUACGCCAACAUGAAAGAAGACAACGAUAACAAAGACCUGAACACGUGGGAGGUACCUCUGAAUCUAGCCUACAUAACCUACACGGCCAAGGAUGCAUACGCAUGCUACGACAUGUACAGGUAGAUCUUGGACAUGAGGGCGUGUCUGCAUCCCGUAACCGACGAGUACACGGACAGCCGCAGCGUCAUGAUCAAGCAUGCCAGGAAGGUCUAGAUGUUGUACUUUAUCUGUUUAUAAGCGCCUUUAUCAUCUGAGUGUUUCAUGCAUUAUCCUAAGUGUUGUAAUUAUCUGUUUUGUCCGAAAUUUUUCUUUUAAGAACCCAUUAACCUGUUUGGUUUUUUUAGUGGCUAUUUGCUUAUGUAUGUAACUAGUUCACUUGUCCGUUAAAAAAAACUAGUUCACUCGGCUGCCGUGCUUUGAAUCUCCUUCCUCCCAACAUAUUCCCCUCCUCAGGUGGACCCAGCAGGUCUCGUACACAGACAUAUGGGACCAACCACCUAUCCAUUUGUAUUUCUUUAUUUUGUUCAAUCUUUCGUCCUCUUCCUAUACAGCUCAGUUCUAUUUUUCCUUUUCAUUAAUCCUAUAUCUGAAUUUUCUCCCACUUUCUUUUUCGAUGUAAACUGAGUUUUCUCCCAGUACUUUUCCCUAGAACCAACAACUGUCCCACGUCUAGCCUAAAAAAUAAUAAUACCCCACGUACUAUUAACUCAUCAAAUUUAAAUGAUAUUUUAUUUUGUAAGUUGAAAGUUUUUACAAAAUAAUAAUAAUUCUUAUUUAUAUGUAACUUGGCAAGUUAACCCCUAGUGAUUGCGUACAUAAGCUUGCAAAGAUUUUACUGACCAAUGCAGUAAUAGACGUGCAAUCAUGUGUUUAUGUUUUUAUAACAUUUCUCCGUCUAGCCCAACAUGAUAUUUUCACCCAGCCCAGCAAGUCCGCGGAUUUCGAGAAAAAUGCAAAUGGGCUUUAAAUUCUAGCAUACAUAUAAACGGGCUGCAUAGAUGCUACAUCAUUGUUUCACCCAGCCCACCAAAUGGACUAAAAAACAAAUGGACUGGCUGACAUGUGGGCCAGUAGGUCGAAGCCUAAGAAGGCGUUGGAUUUACAUCCAACGGCCGGCAUUCUUCUUCAAUCUCUCGUCUUCUUUCCCCAGCGCUGCCAGGACCGCCUGCUCCAGCCUUCGGCGUCCAGCGGCAUUGUUUUGCACUCCUCAGCGAAACGCUACCCCACCGACGGCCAGGCCAUCCCUCCACUCCGCACCUCCUGUUAUUCUCUGCCGAGUGUAGGCCCACCCCGCACCCGAACCAGUCAAGUUUCCCACUCCUCUCCGUCUGCGACUCCACUGCCGCGUCUUCCCCAUCUCCGGGUCGUUCCAGUCUGGGGCCUCGCCGUCGUCCACCGCCUCGGUGCGCUCGGCGCGGCGUGGUCAACAUAGGAGAGUCAUCGGAAGAGGACUGUACGUGAAGAGCCUGACGGCUGGGACCCACGAGGUCGAUGGUCGCAUGCAAGGAAAGUUCCUCCUUAUUACGCACUGUACGUGGACUGUACGUGGGAAGGGCUUCUGUAUUUCACGAAAAAAUGUUCCCCCCGCUGACAGGUCGGACCCACCACCUAUAUCUUCGCACGCAAGGAAGUGCCUCCUUAUUACGCACAAAAAAUGAAUACCCCCUGCUAGCUGGGACCCACCAUAGUGGGUGGCUGACUUGUGGGCCUACUAAGUUGACGGGGACAGAGGGCUUUGUCAACUUAGUCAAUAUGAUCAAUUCUAGCUCCAGUGACCGUACGAUGUCCAUCCAACGGCCAUAGUGCUUCUUCAACCUCUAGUCUUCUUGCUCCAGCCGCCCAAAGCACAAAGCAGCGCUGGUCGGGCCGCAGCGGCCUCACCACCCCCUACUACUCCCACCGCUCGCCAGGGCAUCCCUCUACUCACCCACACCCCCUAUUAUUCUGCGGCUACGGCAGCCUCACGCUGUAGCCGAACCAGUGAACCCUCGUACUCCUCUCCGCGUGGGCAUCCACUGUCGCGUCUUCCCCGGCUCUUCGUCAUCCCCUUCCUAGGCCUCGCCGUCGUCCACCGCCUUGGUGCUCUCGGCGCGGCGUGGUCAAUGUGGUCAACGACCGACUUCCAUCGGAAGAGUACUGUACGUGGAGAGGCUGACAGCUGGGUCCAUGGCCGCAGCUGGGUCCACGACCACAGCCCAGUUUUUUGUGAUUUGUCAAGUAAUUCGCUUUGUCAAGCCUGUUUGGCUGCAAAUCUUUCAAGACGAGGAGAGCUUCAUUCGGCUGGCCGAGAAAAUGGCCUAUCAGUAAUGACAAAUGGGUUGUACAUUUUUAAAACACAUCAAAUCGGCAAUUAGUUUCAAAUUUCUUUUUUUCAUUUCGAGAUUUUAAAUUGCAUUGAUUUUUAUGCGUGGACAAUUUGUUGGAUUUUAUAUUGAUAUACAUUUAUUUUUAAAAUCAGUUUGAAUGUGACUCGAAAUUUCGGGAUUAAAAACAGUUCGGACCGCACCGAAAUAUGCAAAAUUUUGUAUAAUUUUUUAACCGUGGCCACAAUAUGGGCUGUAAUGCUAACAAAAAGAAUAUGGGCUCCAAAAAAACCUUAAGAAUUAGCAAAUGGGCUGUGAAUUAUUAGAAAUAAUGGCAGAUGGGCUGUAUGCUAUUUUCCACAGAUUUGAGGCUUUCCUAAAAAAAGGUUGACGCACAAGCAAUGACUAUUGGAUUUCCAUCCAACGGUCGUCGUGCUUCUUCAAUCUCUGCUGUUCCUGCUCCAGCCGCUCAAACAAGCGCCGGCGGGACUGCCUGCUCCCUCCUCCCCGCGGCCGGCUGUGCUGCCACGCAGGCCUCACCGCCCCACCGUACUCCCAUCGCUGGCCUAGCUACACCUCUACUCACCCACACCUGUUGUUAUUCUCCGGCGAUGGCAGACGAACCAGUAAACCCUUGUACAGUCGUACUUCCCUCCGCGUGGGAAACAACUGCCGAGUCUUCCCUGCCUUCGGGUCAUUCCCAUCCUAGGCCUCGCCGUCGUCCACCGCCCUGGUGCUCUCGGCGCGGCCUGGUCAACGUGGUCAACGACCGACAUGCAUCUGAAGUGGACUAUACCUGGAGAGGCUGACAGCUGGGUCCACGGCCGCACGCAAGGAAAUGCCUCCUUAUUACGCGCAAAAUAAUGAUUCCUCCACCUGACAUCUGGGACCCACCGAAAGGGCCUCUGUAUUUCGCGAAAAAAAAGUACCGCCGCUGACAGCUUGGACCCACCAGCUAUAUCUUCGCACGCAAGGAAGUGCCUCCUUAUUACAAAAAAAAUGAAUACUCCCCCUGCUAGCUGGGACCCAGUAUAGUGGCAGGCUGACUUGUGGGCCUACUAAGUUGACGGGGACGGAGGGCUUUGUCAACUUAGUCAAUAUGCAUGAUUCUAGCUCCAGUGACCGUACGAUGUCCGUCCAACGGCCAUAGUGCUUCUUCAACCUCUGGUGUUCUUGCUCCAGCCGCCCAAACCAGCGCCGGUCGUGCCUCGUGCUCCUGCCUCCCGUGGCCGGCUGCGAUGCGGUGGAGGCCUCACCACCCCUUACUACUCCUACCGUUGGCCAGGCCAUCCCUCUACUCACCCACAGCCCCUGUUAUUCUGCGGCGACGGCAGCCUCACACCGCAGCGAACCAGUGAACCCUCAUACUCCUCUACGCGUGGGCAUCCACUGCCGCGUCUUCCCCGGCUCUGCGUCGUCCCCUUCCUAGGCCUCGCCGUUGUCCACCGCCCUGGUGCUCUCGACGCGGCGUGGUCAACGUGGUCAAGGAACGGCUUCCAUCGGACGUGGACUGUACGUGGAGAGGCUGACAGCUGGGUCCACGGCCGCAGCAAGGAAGUGCCUCCUUAUUACGCGCAAAAUAAUUAUUCCUCCACCUGACAGCGGGGACCCACCGGACGGGCCACCGUAUUUCACGAGAAAAAACGUUUCCCCCUGACUGCUGGGACCCACCAGCUACAUCUUCGCACGCAAGGAAGUGCGUCCGGGCAUAAAAAAUGAUUCGCCCCCCUGACUGCUGGGACCCACCAGCUACAUCUUCGCAGGCAAGGAAGUGCCUAACAGUCGGGACCCACCUGGUCGAAGUGUAUGUAGCGUUGUCAUUCUGGUCGCGAACAUGUACGUACAUACUGGUCGUUGUAGAGGCGCGCACGUAGCAUGUACACGUACGUACAGCGGCCAGGGUGCAAGAAAGAAAAUACGGCCACGUACGUACAUACGGGCAGGGUCUCGAACGCCUACUCGCGCAUAUGUACGGCCAGGUCUCGUGUACAUGGCUGGGUCAAAACGGAGAAACUGCGACGUCGUCGUGUUCAUGAGGAGCCAACCGGCUGGGUCGGAACGGAAUGCGUCAUCGUGUUCAUCCGGAGGGCUUGGACGGAACAGCCGAUGGAAACGAGGCUUGGCGUACCGCGGAACAGAGGAAAUGGCCUUGUGUUCGACCGGCCAUGUUCGAAAUGGGAUCCUGUUCAUCGGGAGGGGCUGGAGUACCGCAAAACGGAGGAAACGGACCUCCUACGGUCGAAACGGGGGUCCUGUUGAUCGGGAGGGGUGUGGCGUACCGCAAAACAGAGGAAACGGACUUGUGUUGGAGCGCUACGGUCGAAAUGGGGGUCCUGUUCAUCGGGAGGGGUGUGGCGUACCGCAAAACGGGACUCCACGGGAUACUGUUCAUCUCCACCGUCGACCCCCUCCAGCCUCCACGGGCUACUGUUCAUCCACCGUCGACCUCCUCCAGCCUCCACCUGCGACUGUUCAUCCACGGGCUCCUGUUCAUCCAGCCUCCACCGCGCGCUACUCCACCGGCUACUGUUCAACCAGCCCUCUCCACGGGCUCCUGUUCAACCACCCCUCCACCAGCUAUUGUUCAACCAGCACUCUCCACGGGCUCCUGUUCAACCACCCCUCCAUCCGGCUACUGUUCAGUCACAAUGAAUAUAAGAAUGCGCACAUCAGAAGAAUAUUGUGGAACAGUUCAAUGGGUAACAAACUUGGCAUCAAGGGAUUGAGGUCCAUUGUGGAUGCAAUGAAACCCACAUGCUCCCGACCUAUAGAUUCGUAUUCGGAAUAUGAUCCUAAUGACUAUUCUAAGCUCAAGGAGUCAAAGGCAGAUGGCCUAUCCUGUUCACCCAAUAAGGUGCCUGUUCUAAUUUGGCAAGGUUUUAUUGGUUGCACAUAUCUUGCAUAAGGUGUCUUGCAUUUCUUUUGCUUCGUUGCACCGCCAUCUGCUUAGUUUACUCAUGAUAUAUGUGAAGAUGCCAUGCCCAUCCAUUAUCAACACCUAUUCCAUUUGUCGUCAUACCAUGUUUUUUCAUUCAAAUGUUGUUCUUGUGUUUCAGACAUCCAAAAGGAAGAGGGUGAUUGCAGAACCUGAAGGAGUACAAGCAAAGUCCUUGAAAAAGGUGGUGCUACCAGAGAAAUCACCUAGCACCCGACGUAUAUUGGCGAUAGAACCAGUACCGCAAAACCUAGGAUGUCGCAACCAUGCUGGUCGAUGCUUUGCUCUUCUGAGUACAUAUUGUCCUAUCGCUGUCCUUACAUUCAUACCUGGUGGAUUAUGUGACAUCAUUGUGCAAUAUAGCUUUCUUAUCCACUGUUCACUCCAAAUUAUCAGAUCUAUAUUAAUGCUUAAAUUAAUGUAGAAGAAACCAAUGCCUAUGAAGAAAGUUAGUUCUGCAUUGUUCUUGUAAGUAUCUGUUGUCCUUCAUCACUGUACUUAUAUUUGUCAGCUAGUUCUUCAUGUACACUUUGCAGCUUAUUUUACCUUGUCCUCCAUUUUUCUACACAUCAAAUCUACAUUUACUCUUGCCAAAAUAUUGAAUAAAACCAAUGUUACUGAAGAAGUUUAGCUCCGCAUUGCUCGUCAGUGCCUUCUGCCUAUAUGCUGUAUUUACAUUUGUACUCUGCAUCUUAAGUUAAAUAAUCGCCAUUUGUUCCUAUAUUUUCACAUCUAUAUUACUCUUAACAAAAUGUAGAAUAAAGGCAAUACUCUUGAAGAAGAGUGUGCGGUAAAGUUCUUGAAUUGCCCCCCCCCCCAUCAAUAUGGACAAGGCCUUUAUAGAGCAUGUCUUCACUACUAAUGUAAGUUUGUCCUCCUCGAGCCUUCAAACAAUGUUGUGUAUAUUUGGAUAGCUAUGACUGAAAAUGCUGUUUAUUUUUAUCGUCUGCAUCAAAUUUCUUGUUCAAAGUUUAUAAAGUAGAAGUACAUAAACAUAAGUUUGUCCUUCUCAAUUUCAGUCUUUUAGUUGUACAAUCUAGUUCCUUAUUCGUACCAUGUAAAUUAAACUAAACAUAGAAAGUUAUCUUCUUUAGCACUAUGUGUAUGCUUGUGUUCUUGAUCUAUAAUCGAGUGGUGUGGUGAGACUACCAACAACAGCACAAUGUCAUAUCCUGCUAUGUCUCAACUAUGAACAAUGCCUUAUUAUAUUAAUGUUAUUUAAAUCGUGUCUCUUUAUUUACCAAUCUGAAAUGGUAUAAAUUGACAGUACACUCACCAUUCAUGCUUAUACGUUGUUUAGAACUACAUCUAUGCUUGUGUUCUUGAUCUGUAAUCCAGUGGUCUGGUGAAUCUGGCCGCUCCUACACAAUGCCAUUUCCUGCCGUCUUAACUAUGAACAAUACCUAUUAUGUUAAUGUUAUUUUAAAUAGUGUCUCUUUAUUUCUGACAAAGAAAUGAGAUGAAUUGACAGCGCUGAUGCUUAUACGUGCAAAACCUGUUAUCUACCUACUUGUUUCUCUUUCAGGGUGACAACACUGCUGCUAGGAAGAACUGCCACAAUGAUAGUGAGACGACCCCAUUGUUUGUCCCUCUAAAACAUAUUCCACAGGAGAAGGCAACACAUAUUGAGGGUAGGGAUACAACCACGAAGUCACAUCUUGAUGUAGUGUCAAAACUUACUCAGUGCAAGCUCGAUGAAGUAGUCGCCUGAAUCUAUUUGACUUCUUCAGUCUGAAAUUCAUGAGAAAUACAUAAUUCCGCUCAAAUACGAUUGGAACUCCAAUCUGUAUGCAAGAUUAACCUUAAGUACAUGACGUUUAUUGAUGCUGUGCAGCUUAAGUUGGUGGAUAUGAGCACCAAAGAAGCGCAGUCUCAUCAGGUUGCUAAGCUGCUUGCGCUGUAGCACCUGGGCCGAGCUAACCUUUCUUGAACUGUGUUGAAGUGAUGUCGGUUUUGUCUAUUAUUUUGUCCGCCUGUUAACUUCCACUGGUGGCGACCUGCCCAGUUUAUGUAAUCUGCUGUCUGGUUGCCCUUUAUUAUCAUUUGCGGUGAACUUUGAUGCUGAGGGGAUGUAAUAUGCUGUAAUUUCUUUGUUGUAUAGUCUAGGUUUAUUCUUGGUCGGUAUGCUGUAAUUUAGGACGGAAGGUUCAGUGGAUCUCAGUGUUGUCGGUCUUCAGGCCGGCCCGUUACUCAUAUGGACCAAAACGUGGGCCUAUAAUCAUCUUGGGCCAUUAGCGGGUCUAAACCUAUAGUAGUUUCCUUCCUUUAACAGGCCGAGUAAAGUUCUGGCCAGCUGGGCCAGAGAAUACCAUGGGCUUUUAACAGGCUAAAACCUAGAUUGGGCUGGCGUUGAGCCGAAAAUUUCACAGGCCAAAACUUCCUAAGGCCCAUGUUGGGCCCAAAUAGGAUGAGCAGUUAACAGGCCAAAAUAUAUCUCGGUCUUGUUUGGCCAAAUAAAAUUAUCAGCUUUAAGCAGGCCGGUAUCCACGCGGGCCAUAGACCCAAAAGUGUCACGGGCCAUUAUCAGAUGGGCUGUAAGCAGGCCGGAUUCAACGCGGGCUGUAAUUAGGCCCAACUGUUUCACAGGCCAUUAACAGGCCGAUAGGCCAGUUGGGCUGAAAUUUGUCCACGAAGACUACGGGCCGUUAAGAGGCCUAAAGUUUCUUCGGACAAGAAAUAGCCCAGUUUCUGCAUGGGCCGUUAAAUGGCCUAAAGUUAAACCAGGCCGACAACGUCCCAGAUACACCACGGGCCUCUAACAGGCGAAACUAUUAUCGGGCCGAACUGGUAAACGGGCAUUUAACAGGCUGAAAUAAAACAUGUCUUAGAAUGGGCCCAAAAGAACAGUGGCCUGUUAACGGGCAUGAUCCGAUAUGUGCCAUAAUUUGGCCCAAAACACAGCAGGCUGUGAACGGGCCUGAUCUGGUAUGGGCUUCAAUUUGACCCAAAACAUGGUAGGUUGUUAACGGGCCACGCACUAUUGUCUGAAAAAACAUGGUGGGCCUUUAGCUGGGCCGGCCUUUUCAUCGGACUGGGCCUCGGUUGGGUCGUGCCACAUGUCGACGUAUCAUAGUCACCUCCUGUCCCAACGGUGAGCCAACACGUGUUUCCUCAGGCCAAUGAGAAUUUUACAUGUGGAAAAUCCCCAUUGGUCUGGGCUGUUAACGGGUUAUCGGAUCCAAAACCGGACCCGAUAGCUUAACGGCGACCCGUUCCAGUCGAUGCCACAUGUCGGGCACCCUUGACGAAAGCACUUCUAUGAUGCACGAUUUAUCGUCAUGGAAGUGGACACUUCCGUGAUGAUAAUUUUGGUAAUGUCAUGGAACACUUCUACGAUAGCACAGGUAUGACUAUCUUGAUUCUGUCAUAAAAUUGUCAUGGAUGUACAUGCAUGACAGAAAACGUGACCUACUGUGACAAACACGUAUCAUCAUGGAAGUGUAUUUUUUUUGUAGUGUAUGCCAUGACUUGUUAGAAUAGCUCUCUAUGCUUCACUUAAAUUUUUAUGAGCUAUGGAAUUGCUCAAGUGCUUCACUUAUAUCUUUUUGAGCACGGUGUGCUUUGUUAUUUUUGAAGAAAUGCUCUCUUGCUUCACUUAGAUUUGUUUGAGAGUUAGUAAAUUUUUUGAAGAAAUUCUCUCUUGCUUCACUUAAAUUAAUUUGAGAGAAAGAAAUAUUAUGCUCAUGAUCUUCACCUAUAUCUGUUUGAGCUUAUCAAAAGCAACAUGAAAAUUAGUUCCAAAGUGAUAGAAAUCCAAGAAGGAUAUAAUAAAAAAAUCAUGAAGAUCAUUAGACAAAAUAAACUUGAUUCCUUGUAAUAGUCUUGAGAUAUGAUGAUGUGAUAUGUGAGUCAUGUUGAUGAGUAAUUGUGCUUUAGUAAGAAUAUUGGUGUUAAAGUUUGUGAUUCCCUAUGCAAGCACGAAAGUCAAUAGUCAUGCAAUGAAAUUACAUCUUACUUGUGGUGCAUUAUUCGGUGUUAAUUAUGUUUAAUGCUCGCUUAUGAGAUUAUUCGUUUCUUGGUUGGUUGCUUCUCAAUCUUUUGCUAGCCUUCAUUUUGCACUAAGUAUGAUCACUACUUGUGCAUCCAAAAUCCUUUAAACCAGUCUUGCCACAUGAGUCCACUAUACCUACCUAUAUGCGGUGUUCUUUUUCCGUUCUAAGCAAAUUUGUAUGUCCCAUCUCUAAUUUUCAAAAUAAAUUUCUCUUUUGUGUGCUCGUACCGCUCGUGAGGCGGUGAGGGGUGGCAAAUAUUUUCCAUGCUAGAUGUGUUAUUCUCACGACGAAUGUUUAUUCACUUGUCAUUGCACGAUAGUAAGGCAAAGGUAUUAGGGAUGCCCAGUCCCGAAAUGAAAAAUGAAUUUACUUUAUGUUGUCAAAUAAUAAAUUCCUUGGAAAGUGUUGGUAUGGAAGGCAACCGUGGAUUCGGCUAGCCAUGGAAAGUGAAAGUAUGGUGGAAAAAGGAAUAAACUUUAUUUUCUGUUUGGGAACCGCCUAUGAUAUAUCUAGCAUGGAAAGUGUUGGGAGCUCUAAGUCGUUUUCAUUGGUGGGAAAAGCAUGCCUCUCAAAAUGUUUUUAUCUCUGUAGGAUCAAAAGUAUGUCUAGAGGGGGGUGAUUAGACUACUUGACCAAAUAAAAAUCUAGCCUUUUCCCAAUUUUAGUUCUUGGCUGAUUUUAGCAACUUAGCACAAGUCAAGCAAUCAACCUACACAUGCAAUUCGAAGAGUAUAGCAGCGGAAUGUAAAACAAUUGCAUAUGAAGGUAAAGGGAGGAGUUUGAGGGAGCAAACGCAAUGUUGACACGGAGAUUUUUUAUCCGUGGUUCCGAUAGGUGGUGCUAUCGUACAUCCACGUUGAUGGAGACUUCAACCCACGAAGGGUAACGGUUGUGCGAGUCCACGGAGGGCUCCACCCACGAAGGGUCCACGAAGAAGCAACCUUGUCUAUCCCACCAUGGCCGUCGCCCACGAAGGACUUGCCUCACUAGGGUAGAUCUUCACGAAGUAGGCGAUCUCCUUGCCCUUACAAACUCCUUGGUUCAACUCCACAAUCUUGAUGGAGGCUACCAAGUGACACCUAGCCAAUCUAGGAGACACCACUCUCCAAGAAGUAACAAAUGGUGUGUUGAUGAUGAACUCCUUGAUCUUGUGCUUCAAAUGAUAGUCUCCCCAACACUCAACUCUCUCUCAUAGGAUUGGAUUUGGAAGAAAGAGGAUUUGAGUGAAAAGCAACUUGGGGAAGGCUAGAGAUCAAGAUUUAUGUGGUUGGAAUGGAAUAUCUUGACCUCAACACAAGUGUAGGUGGUUCUCUCUCAGAAAAUAUGUAUUGGAAGUGUAGGCAUGUUUUGAUGGCUCUCUCCACGAAUGAAGAGUGGGUGGAGGGGUAUAUAUAGCCUCCACACAAAAUCUAACCGUUACACACAAUUCACCAAACUCGGUGGGACCGAUUCAGAGAACUCGGUCAGACCGAUUUGGUUCAUAAUGUGACCGUUAGGCAUUUCGGUGGGACCGACAUGUCAACUCGGUGGGACCGAUAUCAUUAGGGUUAGGGCAUAACAUAAUCUCGGUGAGACCGAUUACACAAACUCGGUGAGACCGAUUUUGGUAAUAGACAAAUAGAGAGUUGGCCAGGCAAACUCGGUGGGACCGAUUCGCUCAUCUCGGUUGGACCGAAACGUUAUGAAAGGGAAACAGAGAUCUUGCAUUGCAAUCUCGGUGGGACCGAUCGCUCAUCUCGGUUUGACCGAAACGUUACGAAGGGAAACAGAGAGAUUACAAUCCCAUCUCGGUGAGACCGAGAUCCCUAUCGGUGAGACCGAAAAGACUAGGGUUUCUGGCAAUGGCUAUGUCAACUGAACUCGGUGGCUCCGGAUAGAAAGAAUCGGUGGGGCCAAGUUGGACUUAUGGUUUGGGACAUAUGUUUAUAUGAGAAAGUAGUGGAGGGUUUUGGAGCAUAUCACUAAGCAUUUUGAGCAAGAACCUCAUUAAGCAACACCUCAUCCCUUCUUAAUAGUAUUGGCUUUUCCUAUAGACUCAAUGUGAUCUUGGAUCACUAAAAUAGAAAAUGUAGAGUCUUGUGCUUUGAGCUUGAGCCAAUCUUUUGUCCUUAGCAUUUUGAAGGGUCUACUUUCUAAUCCAUGCCAUGCCAAUCAUUGAGCUUUCCUGAAAUAUUUAUCUUGGAAUAGCAUUAGCUCAGUGAACUAUAUGUUGUUAGGAAUUACCAAAACCACCCAGGGAUAGUUGCACUUUCAAUCUCCCCCUUUUUGGUAAUUGAUGACAACAUAUAGAUCAAAGCUUCGACAAAUGAUAAGUAAGAUUGAAAAACAUCGUCACUUUGAGAGGUAUGUGAUAAGCAAGAGCUCCCCCUAAAUUUGUGCAUUAUUUAAAAUUUGCUUUUGAAUGCAAAUGCACAAUCGAUUAGGAUCAUGGGUUAUUCUUCCAUGUCACAUACAUCUUGGUGGAGCGCUCAAAAUGAUAGAAGUUAAAGCAUGCACUCAUCACCAAAACAAGUGAAUGAUCGUCUAGGAUAUAAGAGAUAAUAUCAUCUAACAAGCAUUAAGGGUAGCAUAUGAUCAAACAAGUAUCUCACAAGUAGCUCACACAAGCACACAAUAAAGUUUCAAACCAAACCAAAAAUAAGUGCAAAGAGAGAUAAAAACCAACACACUCUCUCUCUCUCGAAGCCUAUGAUCUAUACAUUUUUCUCCCCCUUUGGCAACAAGUUACCAAAAAGUUCAAAAAAGCAUAGUGCUAAAUGUCUCUCAGGCUUGAUCUUCGGGAGGUGGUGUUGAGAGAACUCCAAGAACGAAGGCUUCAGAUGAAGUAGGUGGAGCUGGUGGAGUAGCUGCUGGAGGUGGAACUGGAGCUGUAGCUGAUGGUGCUGAUGUUGUAGCUCUAGUGUCUGUCACUGGCACUGCAGCAGAUCUCUGUCCUCUGGGCACUCUGGCAAAAGCAUCUGUGGUAGACUUGCCCUUCUUCUCCUCUGCUUCCUCCUGAAGUUGCUCAACUGCAGUUUGGAUCUCUGUUACCUUGACAUCAAGGUCAUAGAAUUUCUGCUCAAUGAUCCUCUCCAUACUCUCCUGGUUCUUGGUCAGGGUGGCCAAGCCCUUCUCAAUCCUCAGGAUGGAUUGGAUUAGAUAUCCAAGCUGGUCUUGCUUGCUCUUCAAGAAUACCUGAGAUGUCUCUUCCACUGUUGGCAUCUUUGCAGCCUUCUCAGCUUUAGCCUUCUCUCUCUUCUCAUGUGCUUGAGCUGAAGAUGGUUCAUUCUCAUUCAUCACUACAGUGUUAUCUUCAAAUUCAGGAUAGAUGGGCAGGUGCUCCUUGUCCAAAAGAUAUGUGAGGGAGACCUGGCUUAGGGGGUCCUCGGACGGCCGGACUAUAUAGUUUAGCCGGACUGUUGGACUAUGAAGAUACAAGAUUGAAGACUUCGUCCCGUGUCCGGAUGGGACUCUCCUUGGCGUGGAAGGCAAGCUUGGCAAUACGGAUAUGUAGAUCUCCUCCCUUGUAACCGAAUCUGUGUAACCCUAGCCCCCUCCGGUGUCUCUAUAAAUCGGAGGGUUUAGUCCGUAGGACAAGAACAAUCAUACCAUAGGCUAGCUUCUAGGGUUUUAGCCUCUACGAUCUCGUGGUAGAUCAACUCUUGUAAUACUCAUAUCAUCAAGAUCAAUCAAGCAGGAAGUAGGGUAUUACCUCCAUCGAGAGGGCCCGAACCUCGAUAAACAUCAUGUCCCCCGCCUCCUAUUACCAUCCGCCUUAGACGCACAGUUCGGGACCCCCUACCCGAGAUCCGCCAGUUUUGACACCGACAUUGGUGCUUUCAUUUAGAGUUCCACCGUGCCGUCACCGUAAGGCUUGAUGGCUCCUUCGAUCAUUGGCAACGAUGCGAUCCAGGGUGAGGUUUUCCUCCCCGGACAGAUCUUCGUGUUUCGCGGCUUCGUACUGCGGGCUAACUCGCUUGGCCAUCUGGAGCAGAUCGAUAGCUACGCCCCUGGCCAUCAGGUCAGGUUUGGAAACUUGAACUAUAUUGCCGACAUCCGCGGAGACUUGAUCUUCGACGGAUUUGAGCCCAUGUCAGGUGCGCCGCACAAUCCCGACGAGCAUGAUUUAGCUCUGCCGUCGGACCGUGUUCGGGAGAUCACACCUGCAACUACUCCGGCCCUCAAUCCAGAACAAAUUGCGCCAUCCGAGGAUGGGUGGAUAGACCCCGCCAUGGAGGCCGCACUCUCAGUGGCGAUAGAGCCGAAUACUGACUUCACCCCUUACGAGAGCCGUGUUGCCGAACCAUUGGAUUCGUCCCCGGCCACGGGCUCUGAGCCGCUUGCGUCCGUGCCUAUCGAAUCCGAUUGGGCACCGAUCAUGGAGUUUACCUCCGCGGAUAUCUUUCAGCACUCGCCUUUUGGCGACAUACUAAACUCGUUGAAGUCUCUCUCCCUGUCGGGAGACCCUUGGCCGAACUAUGUCCGGCUAGAAUGGGAUGUGGACGACGAAGAAAUUCGCGGCCCACCCACCACCCACUUAGUAGCCACUGUCGACGAUUUAACCGACAUGCUCGACUUCGGCUCCGAAGACAUCGACGAUAUGGAUGACGAUGCAGGAGACGAACAAGAACCACCGCUCAUAGGGCGCUGGACGGCCACCUCAUCGUGUGACAUAUACAUGGUGGACACCCCUAAAGAAGGGGAUGGCGACAAGACAAUGGAGGAUAAUCCCUCCAAGAAGCAACCCAAGCACCGACGUCAGCGGCACCGCUCUAAGUCUCACCAUAGCAAAAGCAGCGAUACUGGCACAAGAGACAAUAACGCUCCGGAUAGUGCCGAAGACGACGACAAUCCCCUCCAGCCAGACCUCGAGCGGGAGGAUGAACAAGCUAGCCCUCCGGAACAGGCAGCAAACGGAGAAUCAGAGGAUGACAAUUACAUGCCUCUCUCCGAAGACGAAGUGAGCCUCGGCGACGAAGAAUUUGUCGUGCCUGAGGAUCCCGUCGAGCAGGAACGCUUCAAGCGUCGGCUUAUAGCCACAGCAAACAGCCUAAAGAAAAAGCAACAACAGCUUUGAGCUGAUCAAGAUCUGCUAGCGGAUAGAUGGACCGAAGUCCUGGCAGCCGAGGAAUACGAACUCGAGCGCCCAACCAAGAGUUAUCCAAAGCGCAGGUUGCUACCUCAACUCGAGGAGGAAGCAGUGAAACCUACAUCACCAGCGUAUGAUGUGGCUAAUCGGCCACCUCGUGGCCGAGACAGAGAGGCAUUUCAGCCCGAAGUCCAGCCCGCGCCCCCCCGCCAAUCAAACAAAAAUACCAAGGCCUGGGGCAACACGCAGGACCUGCGAGACGUAUUGGAAAGCAAGGCAAAACAUGCAAGAUCGAUCUACGGAUCACGGGGUCGCGCCCCAACGUGAGACGAUGAUUGUCACGCCGGAUAUACCAAAAGAAAAUCCGGUCGGGCCGAAUACAGCAGACAAGACUCGUAUGAACUGCGUCGUGAUAUAGCCUAGCACAGAGGCGCCACACACCCCCUAUGCUUCACUGAUGAAGUAAUGGAUCACGAAUUCCCAGAGGGUUUUAAACCCGUAAAUAUUGAAUCAUAUGACGGUACAACAGAUCCCGCGGUAUGUAUUGAGGAUUUCCUCCUCCACAUCCACAUGGCUCGCGGUGAUGAUCUACAUGCCAUCAAGUACCUCCCACUAAAACUCAAAGGACCAGCCCAGCAUUGGCUGAAUAGCUUGCCAGCAGACUCCGUUGGCAGUUGGGAGGAUUUGGAAGAUGCAUUCCUUGACAACUUCCAGGGCACUUAUGUGCGACCACCGGAUGCUGAUGACUUGAGCCAUAUAACUCAGCAGCCAGGGGAAUCGGCCAGGCAAUUCUGGACCCGGUUCUUAACUAAGAAAAACCAAAUUGUCGACUGUCCGGAUGCAGAGGCCUUAGCGGCAUUCAAGCAUAACAUCCGUGAUGAGUGGCUCGCCCGGCACCUCGGCCAGGAGAAGCCGAAGUCUAUGGCAGCCCUCACGACACUCAUGACCCGCUUUUGCGUGGGCGAGGAUAGCUGGCUGGCUCGCAGCAACAACACAUCAAGGAAUCCGGGCACUUCAGAUACCAAAGAUAAUAACGGCAGACCAUGUCGUAACAGACAUAAGCGCCGCAACAACGGUGAUAACACCGAAGAUACGGCAGUCAAUGCCGGAUUUAGUGGCUCUAAACCCGGUCAACGGAAAAAAGCCAUUCAAAAGAAGUACUCCGGGCCCGUCCAGUUUGGACCGCAUACUCGAUCGCUCGUGUCAAAUCCACGGCACCCCCGAUAAGCCAGCCAAUCACACCAACAGAGAAUGCUGGGUGUUCAAGCAGGCCGACAAGUUGAAUGCCGAAAACAAGGACAAGGGGCUGCAUAGCGAUGACGAGGAGGAGCCCCGGCCGCCAAACACAGGAGGACAGAAGAGGUUCCCUCUACAAGUGAAAACGGUGAACAUGAUAUACGCAACCCACAUUCCCAAGAGGGAAAGGAAACGUGCACUAAGGGACAUCCAUGCGAUGGAGCCAGUCGCCACAAAGUUCAACCCAUGGUCCUCUUGUCCGAUCACCUUCGAUCGAAGGGACCACCCCACUAGUAUUCGUCAUGGCGGAUCUGCCGCAUUGGUCCUUGACCCCAUCAUCGACGGAUUUCACCUCACCCGAGUCCUUAUGGACGGCGACAGCAACCUGAACCUGCUCUAUCAAGAUACAGUGCGCAAAAUGGGUAUAGACCCCUCGAGGAUCAAACCCACUAAACCCACCUUUAAAGGUGUCAUCCCAGGUGUAGAGGCCCAUUGCACGGGAUCAAUCACACUAGAAGUAGUCUUCGGAUCUCCGGACAACUUCCGAAGCGAGGAGUUAAUCUUUGAUAUCAUCCCAGGUGUAGAGGCCCAUUGCACAGCUGAGGCACAAAGCAGCCUUCCAAGGCAAACCGCCAAUUCAGCGAUAAAACCGCCGGACACCUUCAAGCGAGUCCGGAGCAACCUGCAACAGGACCGCCUGGCACGUUCAGAGCUUGCCUAGCAAUUCGGCCCCCGUCCUAGUCUCAGUCAAGCGACGGAAUAUGUGCCGCGUGUACAUAAUUACGCACUAAAAAUACCAUGGGCAUAGGCGGGGGCACGACCAGGGCACGUCCCACAAUGCGGCUCAACCACCCCAGGGGUUGUAUACCUUUAUCAUUUCUUCUCUUUCAGGACAUUACUCUCUGGAAGCCCUUUCCAGCAGUCCGAUUGCUGGACACAUUAUGGGAAGGAACACCCAAGGAGGCAAGAAGCUAAGAUGUACAAGGGAAUCCUCAGGUGGUCUCUGAUAACAAUCGAAGUACCCAUUUUUAAUACCCAUACGCAGCUUACCCAUGGACAGGACAUGUCAAAUAGUCCUAUUUUUUGCUUAUUGCACUACUUGUAUCAGUACGCUUCAACGUAUUAUUUAAAUAACAAUGCAUAGCAUUAGUCUAUUAUUGCAUUACCCUUCCUUUUUCUUGUCUAUUUUAUUUACGACAACUUGCACCUGUACAUUCUGGUACGACCAGUACGCCAGGGGCUUCAGUAUACCCCAUAAUACGGCGUAAGAAGUCCGAACACUUUCGACAGUGCGGCACCCCGAACUUAUAGCAUUAUAUGCAUCAGCUCCGAAUCAUGUCUUGGGUCAAUAGUUGGGUUUGCCCGGCUCCCAUGUUUUGGUACCUUACGUUCCGCAAUAUCGGCUAAGGUAGCGCUGGGAGAACUACUGCGAUUGUGUCCCGGUUCUUCCGGACAAGCACCUCAGUAGAGAAAGCCGAAAACUGACUGUCAUGAUAAGGCGAGAGCUGGUCGCUGUUCGAGAGGUCUCAAGUCCUUAAAGACUUUUUCCGCUUCGGGCGAGGAGUCGGCCUUGCCCGACUUAGGCGUAUAUAGCGCACCAAAUUCGGCCUUCCGAAUACUAGGGGCUUCGCCAAAAUUUAAAAUUGUAGACUUCUAUGGCUAAGUGAGAGUGAUAAAGCCUUAUAGUCCGAUUGCCUGGUUCGUUGUGCUGAACACCUCCCUCGAAGGACCCAAAAUUGGGAUAAAGAGUGCUCAGGUUUAUCCCGAACACCUCAGUACUAGUUACAUGGGGGCAGAAGGCGACGAAUGGCCAAUUCUCAGAUUUUAUAAACGGCCGCACAAAAGGUAAUAUUUUAAAUUAACAAGCGUUGCAUAGCGCAAAUGAACUCGUUUCACAUUACCGGAUCACAUGAGUACGUUCAUUCAAAUAUUACAUGUUUAGCACAUUCCUCCGCCACAAGGCGGGAACUCUUCAGGACACUGUCAUUUCGGGGUGGCGAUGCUCCUUGCCUUCCGGCGACCCCUCCUUCACCAGCUUUACAGCGUCCAGCUUCGCCCAGUGCACCUUCGCCCGGGCAAAGGCCCUGCAUGCACCCUCGAUGCAGACGGACCGCUUUAUGACUUCAAGCCAUGGGCAGGCAUUCACAAGCCGCCUCACCAGACCGAAGUAGCUGUCAGGCAGGGGAUCGCCAGGCCACAUCCGGACUAUAAGACCCUUCAUGGCCUGUUCGGCCGCCUUGUGGAGCUCGACCAGUUGCUUCAGCUGGUCGCUCAAGGGCAUUGGGUGUUCGGUCCCAGUAUACUGAGACCAGAACAACUUCUCCGUCGAGCUUCGCUCCUCAGCCCGGUAAAACUCCGCGGCAUCCAACACACUGCGGGGAAGAUCUGCGAAUACUCCUGGAGAGCUCCGAACUCGGGUAAGUAAAAGGAAAGUUUCCUUCACAUGCUUGCUUUGCAUAAUGAAUUCUUUACCCGCUGCUAUCUUCUUAACCGCCUCGAUCUCCUGGAGGGCCUUGUGGGCUUCCGCCUUGGCGUUUUGUGCGCUUUCGAGGGCCUUCGCAAGCUCGGACUCUCGUGUCUUAGAGUCAAGCUCCAAGGACUCGUGUUUUCUGGCGAGAGCCUCGAGCUCUUGCUGUACCUCGCCUACCCGAGCUUCUUGCUUUUCUUGCUCGAUGCGCUCCUUGGCCGCUUUGUCUUCGGCCUCGGACAGCGCCUUCUUCAGGGUCGCCACUUCGGUCGUGGCCUCUGGCAAAUUCAUGAUGAUCCUAUUAUUUUACAACUAAAUUUCUUUUUAAUAUAUAGACAUGGUAUCGCUUACCUUUGUUCUCUUCGAACUGCCUCUUGGUAAGGCCGAGCUCUUCCUUGGACCGCUCAAGGUCCUGCUUCAGUGCAGCGACCUCCGCAGUACGUGUGGCAGCGGCCCGCAGUGAAGCCUGCAUAUGCACAUAGACAUAUUCUGAUUAGACUCCUGAGUCAUUAUUUGAUCCUCUAUUCGGCCUUUCUUCACGAACGCCAAACAGAGCAUCAGGGGCUACUGUCUAUCCAGUAAUAUUUUCCUAUAAUUUAGUUACUUACCUGAAAACCUGUUAGGAGGCUGGCACAAGCUUCAGUUAGUCUGCUUUUGGUGGACUGAACCUUCUCGAUAACCGUACUCAUGAUAGUGCGGUGCUCUUCAUCGAUUGAAGCACCGCGAAGCGCUUCCAGCAAGUUGUCCGGUGUCUCUGGAUGGACAGAGGCCACCGGCACGGGCGGCUUGCCCCUCUUAACGGGGGGUCGCCUGACAGAGUCCGGAACCACUGGAGGUUCCAGCGCAGUGUUCGGCUGGAGGCCGAAUUCGGAGCCCAUGGGAGUCUUUCUCCCUUUGCGCCCAGGGUCCGGAAUGUCGCCUCGCGGCGCCUCCAGGACUACCUCCCCUCGGCUCGGUGCCCUUUGAGACAACACCUCGGCGUUGUCCGUAGGGAGAGGGGUGGAGGUGGUCGGAAGUGAAUCGCUAUUCAUAUCCGACGGGUCCAAAGAACCAUCUGACGAAGAUACGUCGAUAUGGGCUCGGGAGGACUGCAUAAUCAUGUUCGGCGUGAUGAGAAGCAGUACAAUAAAACAUACCAUGAAUUGCUAUGGUAUCCGGAUACUUACGACUUCGCUAGGGGCUUGUCCCUGGGCAACCACUCGUCGUCGCUGUAAGAGGCCGUCGUGGAGCAGUCCGGAAGGAGGGUCCUUCCCUUCUUGGACCCUUCGGCCUCCCCGGUUGGGGCGGCUUUCCUUUUCUUGUCUCCCCCGGCUGGGGGGGGAGAACUUUCCUCUUCCUCCUCCUCGUUUUCAUGGGAGGAGUGCGCCUCAGAGUUUUCGGACGAUGAGUCCGAUAUAACCUUGCGCCAGAGACCCUUUCGGGUCCCCGUGGCCUUCUUCUUGGCCUUCUUCACCGGCACCUUGUAAGGCGCCGGAAUUAGCAUCUCCGUUAGGAGAGCAUCUGCAGGAUCUUCAGGCAGGGGGGCUGGGCAAUCGAUCUGCUCCGCUAUCUCUACCCAGUCCUGUUAGAUGGCACGGAGGCUUAGACCCCGCACAUGAUUAAACUGGGGAAAAUAAACAUCCUGUGAGAUAUAAAAAAGUUACCGGAUUGGCAUGGCGCUUUGCGCUGAGUCCGCGGUCCUCGGUAAGGGGAGGAGGUACCUCGUCACCCUUGAAAAGCACCUUCCAGACAUCCUUGUGCGUCGUGUCGAAGAGCUCUCGCAGCGUCUGGUGCUUGGCCGGGUCAAACUCCCACAAACUGAAUGCCCGUCGUUGACACCGGAGGAUCCGGCGGAAGAGCAUGACCUGGACCACGUUGACAAGCUUGAUUUUCUUGCUCAUCAUGUUUCUGAUGCAUUUCUGGAGUCCAGUCAGCUCCACCAAUGAACCCCAGGACAGGCCCUUCUCUUUCCAGGAGGUGAGCCACGUGGGGAUUCCGGAUUGGAAUUCGGGGGCCGCCACCCAGUUGGUGUUGCGCGGCUCGGUGAUGUAGAACCACCCCGAUUGCCACCCCUUUAUGGUCUCCACAUAGGAGCCUUUGCGCCAGGUGACAUUAGGCAUUUUGCCCACCAUGGCGCCUCCACACUCCGCUUGCUGGCCGACCACCACCUUCGGUUUAACAUUGAAGGUCUUCAGCCACAGGCCGAAGUGGGGCCUGAUGCGGAGGAAGGCCUCGCACACGACGAUAAACGCCGAGAUGUUGAGGAUGAAAUUGGGGGCCAGAUCGUGAAAAUCCAGCCCGUAGUAGAACAUGAGCCCGCGGACAAAUGGGUGGAAGGAAAAUCCCAGUCCGCGGACAAAGUGGGUAAGGAAAACCACACUCUCAUGGGGUUCGGGAGUAGGGAUGAUCUGCCCCGCAUCUGGCAGCCGGUGUGCGAUGUCCGCGGACAAAUAUCCGGCUCCCCGUAGCUUUGUGAUGUUCUCCUCCGUGACGGAGGAGACCAUCCACUUGCCUCCCACUCCAGACAUGCUUGGAGUGGCUUGAGGGGAAAAACGCGAACUUGGGUGCUGGAGCUCGAGUGCGCAAGAAUGGAUGAGCAAGGACGAAGAAGGCGUGGGUAAAAAGAGGAAUCCUUGUCCCUUUAUAGGGGCGGAGGAAACUAUAUGCCUCCCCACCUGCCCAGUAAAACUCGCUUAUUCCCCAAGCGCCGUAAUUGAUGGCGCGGUUGGAUUACCCACAUCCGUAUUGAUGAGAAUCCCGUGAUAAGGGGACACGAUCUCUGCUUCGACAAGACGUGCCAAGAAAACCGCCUCGCAAUACGUGCAGUAGCUGCUUGAGAAAAACGGUUCGAAUAAUGACCGGGCCAUGGUAUGAUGUCAUGCUACCAAACGUGUUAGUAGAUUAGAUUUGUGGAAAUAUUAUUCUCUCUACGGUGGUAUGUGGAACUUGUUCAAGAUCUUCUAUGGAGUAUUCGGAGGAAGAACCCGCCUUGCAAUUCUGAAGACAAAUCUGCGUGCCGCACUCAUCGUCAUUGAAGCCUGGUCCAGGGGCUACUGAGGGAGUCCUGGAUUAGGGGGUCCUCGGAUGGCCGGACUAUAUACUUUAGUCGGGCUGUUGGACUAUGAAAAUACAAGAUUGAAGACUUCGUCCCGUGUCCGGAUGGGACUCUCCUUAGCGUGGAAGGCAAGCUUGGCAAUACGGAUAUGUAGAUCUCCUCCCUUGUAACCGACUCUGUGUAACCCUAGCCCCCUCCGGUGUCUAUAUAAACCGGAGGGUUUAGUCCAUAGGACAAGAACAAUCAUACCAUAGGCUAGCUUCUAGGGUUUUAGCCUCUACGAUCUCGUGGUAGAUCAACUCUUGUAAUACUCGUAUCAUCAAGAUCAAUCAAGCAGGAAGUAGGGUAUUACCUCCAUCGAGAGGGCCCGAACCUGGAUAAACAUCGUGUCCCCCGCCUCCUGUUACCAUCCGCCUUAGACGCAUAGUUCGGGACCCCCUACCCGAGAUCCACCGGUUUUGACACCGACAAUAUGUGCCUGUGCCCAUCUUUGAGUUGAUGAGCUCCUGAAUGUGCGGGGCAUACCCACAACUUCUCUUCUGGUCAGCAGCAGUCCUCUUGAUUGUCUCAACAAUCAGGCUCAUAACUUUGAACUUCUGUGGGACAUCAAAUAUAUGCAGCAAGUUGAUGGCAUGUCCUCUGAUCAUCUUGUGAUCACCUGACUUGGGUAGCAGUGUGUGCCUUAAGAUCCAGUUUAUGGUUGGCAGACCAGACAACAAGUAAUGGACAGAUCCAAACCUAUGUGUAUCCAAGGCAGCAUCUGGGAUCUCUUUGUACAUGUUGGCCAUAGUGUUGUGGUCUUUCUUCUUCUCUGCAUAAAUAUCCAAGUCAUCCUCAUGUUCCUUAGGAGCAUUUAUAAGCUUGGCCCAUUCCUCAACUGUAGACUGGUACCUAGUACCCUCAGACAUCCAUACUAUCCUUCCAUCUAGAUAGAAGUGUGAAGUGGAGUAAAACUGCAUGAUGAGCUCAUCAUUCCACUUGGUGAGCUUCUAGGCAAAAAAAGUGUCCACUCCACAUGCCUUGAAGCUAUCAAGCACACCAGGGAAGUGAUCCUCAUUUUCCUUGAUGAAUUCCCAGUCAACCCAUCUCAUAUCACACACAAUGGGCUUCUUGUCAAGCAGAAUAGUCUCAGAAGUCCUGCUGUUCCUUAGUGUGAAAUCUGUAGUCCACAGCAGGCCUUCUCCUGAUAGCAUAUGGAUCAGACUGUCUCCAUAGUCUCAAUCAUGCAUCCUUCCUGAUCUUCAUGUUCUCUGCAAUUGGGUGUGCAUCAGUGUGGUCAGGGAUCUUGGGUUUCAGCUUCCUCAAUACAACAGAAUCAUCUUCUUCUUCUUCAGCAGCUUGAGGCAUUGGGGCCUUGUUCUUCUCUUCUGCAGGGAUGUUCCUAGUGCUUCUCUUGGUUUUUGGCUUUGGAGCUGGAGCAGCAGCCUUGGGAGCAGCUUUGGGCUUAGAUGGAGCAGCCCCUGAUUUGAUUGCAUCUCCCAUGAGCUUCUGAGCUUUGGGUGCUAGUGCAGCAUCCUCUUCCUCUUCUUCUUCAGAAGGUUCUUGCAUCAUGGAGGGCUUUCCAAUGACUCUGGCCAUGGUUUUCUUAACCCUCUCCUUUCUCUUCUUCCCUUUUUCAGCUUCUUCAGCAGCUGAUUUUGAAGCUUCAGUAGUUGAUGAUCUGACUUUUGACAUGGGCUGUCUUCUUGCUGGCAUCUUUGUUUUCAUUCCUGGCUUAGUUGCAGCAGCUGAGCCAUAUUCUUUCUUAAGCACCUUCUUCUUUGAAGUGGCUUCAUCAUCAACAGCCACAUAAUCUUCAUCCUCAGAGUCAGAAGUUCUCUUCUUCCUUAUCCUGGUAGCAACCUUUGGCAGAUUGCUUGGAGUGCUCCUGCUGCCUUCAUCAUAGCUACUAGAGGGAUCUGAGCCCUCACUCAUCUGCACCUGUUGCUCAGACCUGUUCUGACUAUCACUCUGGUCAGACAUCUCUGCAAAUACUCUGAUAGCAGACCCUGUGAAUAGGUUAUAGAUGAGGUAGAGUAGAUGAGCAUCACAAAGUACAGGAGUUUUGCAAAAAGGAUGACUUAAAAACUUAGUUUUAGUUCUUCACAGAAAGCAUUUCGGAGCUACCGAUUUGUAAACUCGGUGAUACCGAAGCAGCUUUUGGAACCUAUACUAGUGAACUCGGUUAGACCGAGUCACAGUUCGGUGGUACCGAGACUGCUACGGUUUCACAGAGAAUCAAACUCGGUCACACCGAUUUGCAAUUUUCGGUCAGACCGAAAACGCAUGUGCUCUGGCCUAAGCCAAAAUCGGUGAGACCGAUUUCUACAAAUCGGUCGGUCUGAGAUGAAUUCGGCGGAGACCUAACCCUAAAUUUUCAAAUCAAAACUAAUCUACGGGAUGUUUUCGCUGGACAGGAUGAUCUCAAUCGUGGCAAGAAUCAUGGCAAAGCAAUGUGCUAAGAAUCGGAGAUAAGGAUUAGCACAAAGUUCAAGUCCGUACCCUAGUUCGGCGACGAACCUGCUACGGCGGCAAUGGCGGUGAAGAUUGCCGUUGACGGCGGCGGAGACCAGUGGCGGGAGGUCGCUAGCGACAAGAGGACGAUCCGGACACCCAAGGAGGCAGAGCAGGUUACGCGCGGGCUAGGAGGUUCGGAAAAAUUUCCAAAAUUUGGCCCGUCGGUAUAUAUAACCUGACCCUGUCGGUGUGACUGAGUGGAACGUCUCGGUGGCACCGAGAUGCAAAACUGCAAGCAGUUACUGCAACUCAGUGUGACCGAAAGGUUCUAAUCGGUUGCACCGAGAUUGAAAACCCUAGAUCAACUUAGUGACUCGAUAGGACCAAAGGGGAUGAAUCGGUCAGACCGAGAUGCACAAAGAGGUUUUGGAGAUUUAAGUCUAUGACGAAUCGGGAACUCUGAGUGCUCCUCACACAGAGUGGUUCGAAUCUGACUUGAUCAAACUUUGUGAUGUAGCAUGAAUAGAGUUUGAGACGAGAAAAGCAUAGAUAGCUAGAGGGAGUUCUUAGGCAUUCUUGUCCAUCCAUUUGGCAAAAGAUAAAGAGCCAAACAAUCAAAACAACAAAUGGAUGUCCUCGAAUGAGUAAAAUAUGCAUUCAACAUGCUCACACAAUAAAAUGGCAAAUGAAAUAUGUGACAAAGCAUGCGCAAACACUCUAGCAUCUAUCAAGCAAUUAGGCGAUGACUAGGUCAUCUAUAUAUGAGUAUAUUUACUUAGGAGUCAAAUGAGAACAUUUGAUCAUAGGUCAUACUUAUCGUUUAAGCACAAGUGGGGUUACCACUUUUACAUAAAGCAUUGUUGUGUUCACACCAUUAGAGUUGCUUUAGCUCAAUUUAUUAGAGUAAAGCUCCCCCUAGAUGUGAUAUCCCCCCCUAAGAGGGAUGAACUAACCUUGGGUUUUGUCGAUGAUGACUUCAUGUAGGUGUUGAAGAUGUAGAUGCUCAAUGUUGAUGUAGAUCAUUCGGAGCAAUCCUUUGGAGUGAGUUGAACUUUCAAUACCUGCACGGGUUAGUCCCACAAGGAACAAACAAGAAUAUCCAUAGACAUAGAGUGAUGCAUACACAAGAUGAUGUCCAUGAAAGCAUUAGGUUUCCUUGUCCCUUGUCUCACCAACAAGAGGGUUUGUGACUCCUUGAACUAGUGCAAGAUACGGAAGUUGUUUGCACUUGUCCUCGCCAAAAUGAUAAGAGUGAAGUAUGUUGGCGGAGUCACCCUCAAGAACUCUCUAGUCCUUCUUCUUCUGGAUCCACACCAUCUUGAUGGGAAUCCUUGGAGUUGUAGUUGUACUUGAUGAAGUAGAACUUGAUGUAGUCUUGGGAACCCACUUGACCAAGGCCUUAGGUGCUUCUUCAAAUGCAUCAAUUUCCUCUUGAAGCUUGUCCUUGCCUUUUUGCUUGUGGUCUUGUGCUGGAAGAUCAUCUUGAGCUUGUGUCCCUUUGAAAGAAGUAGGAUCAUACUUCUCGUGUUGAGGAACAAACUUUGUCUUGGGGUAUUGAUCUUCUUCCCACUCAACUCCAUUGGCAUUGAACUUUCGUUCAAAACCAACACCUUGAUUCUUCCGGUGUCUUCCUUGCUUGCGCACAAUUUCCUCAAAUUUCUUACUUCCGGCAAGGCUCUUGUAAACACCUUUCUCUAUAAUUCCCUUCAAUAAGCUAUUUUCUUGCUCAAGUGUAACUUGGCUAACAACAUUGGAUUUAGCAUGAUUGUUGUUACUACUAGAUGAAGCAUCUUUCUUGUUCUUGUUGCUAGAUUUAACUUGUGGCAUGUAAGUAGACAAGAGUAAACGCUUGGCAAUGUAAGAAGAACUUUUCUUGCGAAGAUCAUCAUUGAGUGCCUUUAAAAACUCAUGCUCUUGCUCAAGGUUGAGCUUUUCAAAGCGUAGCUUAUCAUGAGUCUUUAAAAGUUCUCGAUGAUUUUCCAAGGUAGUUUCAUGAGCUAACUUAAGAGUGUUUAGUUCUUUAGUUAGUUGCUCAAUCUCCUUCUUAUCAUCGUCAUUCGUUUUAUCUUGAUUAGCAUGAUCAAUUGACGUUUCAUCAUAGUCUUCAUCACUAGAGCUGUCAACAAGGAAAUCAUCAUCACCUAGCAAAUCAUCUUCAUCACUAUUGAAAUCAACAUACUCGGGAUGUGUUACCUUUGGACCUUUGGCCAUGAAGCAUCUUCCAAUUCCUUCAUUUGGUGAGUCAAAUAUGUCAUAGGAGUUGGUUGACACAAGUGUUAGACCGGCAACACCUUCAUCUUGAGUAUAUUCGGAGUCGGAGUGAUAACUUCUUUCGGAGUGAUGGUUGGAGUCGGAGCCGGAUACCCAUUCACCAACAUGAGCUUGAUGUCUUCUUUUUGUGUAGCUCCUUGAUGACUUUUCCUUCCUUUCUGAAUCCUUGCUUCUCCGAGAGGGUCUACUCCUCCUUUCUCUUGGUGGUGAUUCUUCUCUUCUACUUCUUCUUUUGGGAGAAUCUUCCCUUCUUUUGUAGGGGGUCGUACACUCAUUGGAGUAGUGUCCGGGUCUUCCACAAUUGUAGCAAUUUCGCUCACGACUAGAAGAUCUUUUGUCAUUGUAGGACCUUGACUUGGAACUUCUUUCUUUGCUUCUACUCUUGUAGAACUUGUUGAAGUUCUUUACCAUUAGGCUCAAUUCUUCAUUUAAGGUCUGUUUCUCACUUGAUGAUGUGGGAGCAUCACACGAGGCUUUGUAAGCACCACUAGACUUGUUGUGAAGCUCUUCCUUAUCCUUGAGUGACAUCUCAUGAGCAACAAUUCUUCCAAUGACUUCCGUUCGCUUGAGAUCUUUGUAAUUGGGCAUCAUUUGGAUCAAUGUGCACACGGUAUCAUAUUUUCCAUCCAAGGCUCUUAGGAUCUUCUUGAUGAUGAAUUUGUUGGUCAUCUCUUCACUUCCUAAGCCGGCAAUCUCAUUUGUGAUGAGAGCAAGCCUAGAGUACAUUUCAGCGGCACCUUCACCAUCCUUCAUUUUGAACUUGUCAAGUUGACUUUGAAGCACAUCCAAUUUGGAUUCCUUGACGGAGUCGGUACCUUCGUGCAUAUCAAUCAAUGUAUCCCAAAUUUCCUUUGCAUUCUCAAGAUGGCUGAUUUUUUUGAAUUCUUCGGGGCCCAAUCCGUUGAAGAGAAUAUCACAAGCUUGAGCAUUGUAUUGUAGCAUCUUCAACUCUUCUGCGGUAGCUUCACGGUUAGGUUCUUUCCCAUCAAAUAAUUCACCUUGCAAGCCAAUACACACAAUAGCCCAAACGGCAGGGUUAUGUCAAAGAAUAUGCAUUUUCAUCUUAUGCUUCCAACUAGCAAAAUUUGUACCAUCAAAGUAAGGACCUCUAUGGUGGUAAUUUCCCUCGCUAGACGCCAUACUCUCCUAGGUUGUGAAACCAAGGCUAUGACCACCAAAAGCUAUGGAAAUCAAAGCAAAUGGAGACCAAUGCUCUGAUACCACUUGUAGGAUCGAAAGUAUGUCUAGAGGGGGGUGAUUAGACUACUUGACCAAAUAAAAAUCUAGCCUUUUCCCAAUUUUAGUUCUUGGCUGAUUUUAGCAACUUAGCACAAGUCAAGCAAUCAACCUACACAUGCAAUUCUAAGAGUAUAGCAGCGGAAUGUAAAACAAUUGCAUAUGAAGGUAAAGGGAAGAGUUUGAGGGAGCAAACGCAAUGUUGACACGGAGAUUUUUUAUCCGUGGUUCCGAUAGGUGGUGCUAUCGUACAUCCACGUUGAUGGAGACUUCAACCCACGAAGGGUAACGGUUGCGCGAGUCCACGGAGGGCUCCACCCACGAAGGGUCCACGAAGAAGCAACCUUGUCUAUCCCACCAUGGUCGUCGCCCACGAAGGACUUGCCUCACUAGGGUAGAUCUUCACGAAGUAGGCGAUCUCCUUGCCCUUACAAACUCCUUGGUUCAACUCCACAAUCUUGACGGAGGCUACCAAGUGACACCUAGCCAAUCUAGGAGACACCACUCUCCAAGAAGUAACAAAUGGUGUGUUGAUGAUGAACUCCUUGCUCUUGUGCUUCAAAUGAUAGUCUCCCCAACACUGAACUCUCUCUCAUAGGAUUGGAUUUGGAAGAAAGAAGAUUUGAGUGAAAAGCAACUUGGGGAAGGCUAGAGAUCAAGAUUUAUGUGGUUGGAAUGGAAUAUCUUGACCUCAACACAAGUGUAGGUGGUUCUCUCUCAGAAAAUAUGUAUUGGAAGUGUAGGCAUGUUCUGAUGGCUCUCUCCACGAAUGAAGAGUGGGUGGAGGGGUAUAUAUAGCCUCCACACAAAAUCUAACCGUUACACAUAAAUCACCAAACUCGGUGAGACCGAUUCAAAGAACUCGGUCAGACCGAUUUGGUUCAUAAUGUGACCGUUAGGCAUUUCGGUGGGACCGACAUGUCAACUCGAUGGGACCGAUAUCAUUAGUGUUAGGGCAUAACAUAAUCUCGGUGAGACCAAUUACACAAACUCGUUGAGACCGAUUUUGGUAAUAGACAAACAGAGAGUUGGUCAGGCAAACUCGGUGGUACCGCGCUCAUCUCGGUUGGACCAAAACGUUACGAAAGGGAAACAGAGAGCUUGCAUUGCAAUCUCAGUGGGACCGAUUGCUCAUUUCGGUUUGACCGAAACGUUACGAAGGGAAACAGAGAGAUUACAAUCCCAUCUCGGUUAGACCGAGAUCCCUAUCGGGAGACCGAAAAGACUAGGGUUUCUGGCAGUGGCUAUGUCAACUGAACUCGGUGCCUCCGGAUAGAAAGAAUCGGUGGGGCCGAGUUGGACUUAUGGUUUGGGACAUAUGUUGAUAUGAGAAAGUAGUGGAGGGUUUUGGAGCAUAUCACUAAGCAUUUUGAGCAAGAACCUCAUUAAGCAACACCUCAUCCCUUCUUAAUAGUAUUGGCUUUUCCUAUAGACUCAAUGUGAUCUUGGAUCAUUAAAAUAGAAAAUGUAGAGUCUUGUGCUUUGAGCUUGAGCCAAUCUUUUGUCCUUAGCAUUUUGAAGGGUCCACUUUCUAAUCCAUGCCAUGCCAAUCAUUGAGCUUUCCUGGAAUAUUUAUCUUGGAAUAGCAUUAGCUCAAUGAGCUAUAUGUUGUUAGGAAUUACCAAAACCACCCAGGGAUAGUUGCACUUUCAAUCUCUCAAAUUUUUCUUUGAGCUCUGGCACCUCUACAAAUCCCUACUUCCCUCUGCGUAGGGCCUUUCUUUUACUUUAUGCAAUUUUUAUUUUCAAUUUGAGUCUCCAUCUUCUCUUAUAUAGCACCAACUAGGAGGCACUAUGGUCGUACUUGAGCAUUCGGUGUAGCUAAUAUGGGAGUGUGUUUCAUGAAUGGAUCGAUGAUUGAGCAUGAUGGGCUAGGGAUAACUUAUUUUAGCAUUGAUAUUUUGAAAGACAUGGUUGCUUGUUGAUAUGCUUGAGUAUUUAAGUCUCAUGUCAAAACUAGACUAUUGCUUUGAACCAUAUAAAAGUCCAAAUGUCCAUGCUAUAAAGAAAAGAAUAUGAUAUGACAUGUUAGGCAGCAUUCCACAUCAAAAAUUCCGUUUUUAUCAUUUACCUACUCGAGGACGAGCAUGAAUUAAGCUUGGGGAUGCUGAUACGUCUCCAACGUAUCUAUAAUUUUUUAUUGUUCCAUGCUGUUAUAUUAUCAUUCUUGGAUGUUUUACAAUCAUUUUAUAGUCAUUUUAUAUCAUUUUUUGGUACUAACCUAUUGACCUAGUGCCAAGUGCUAGUUGUUGUUUUCUGCAUGUUUUUUACAUCACAGGAAAUCAAUACCAACGGAGUCCAAACGCAGUGAAACUUUUUGUGGAUUUUUUGGACCAGAAGACAUCCAGUGGGCCGGAGAAGCACGUGGGGGGUUCUCCGAGGGGAGCACAACCCACCAUGGCGCCCCUAGGGACCCAGGCGCGCCCAGGUGGGUUGUGCCCCCCUCGGGUGCCCCCUGAACCGCCUCUUUGCUCUAUAAAUACCCCAAUAUUCCAGAAACCCUAGGGGAGUCGACGAAAAUCAAUUCCAGCCGCCGCAGAGUACAGAACCACCAGAUCCAAUCUAGACACCAUCACGGAGGGGUGCAUCAUGUCCAUUGGUGCCUCUCCGGUGAUGCGUGAGUAGUUCUUUGUAGACCUACGGGUCCGUAGUUAGUAGCUAGAUGGCUUCCUCUCUCUCGUUAGAUUCUCAAUAUAAUGGUCUCUUGGAGAUCCAUAUGAUGUAACUCUUUUUGCGGUGUGUUUGUUGGGAUCCGAUGAACUUUGAGUUUAUGAUUAGAUCUAUCUUUUUAUCCAUGAAAGUUAUUUGAGUCUUCUUUGAUCUCUUAUAUACAUGAUUGCUUAUAGCCUCAUAUUUCUUCUCCGAUAUUUGGGUUUUGUUUGGCCAACUUGAUCUAUUUAUCUUGCAAUGGCAAGAGGUGCUUUGUAGUGGGUUCGAUCUUACGGUGCUUGAUCCCAGUGACAGAAGGGGAACCGACACGUAUGUAUCGUUGCUACUAAGGAUAAAAUGAUGGGGUAUAUUUCUACAUAAAUAGAUCUUGUCUACAUCAUGUCAUCGUUCUUAUUGCAUUACUCCAUUUUUCCAUGAACUUAAUACACUAGAUGCAUGUUGGAUAGCGGUUGAUGUGUGGAGUAAUAGUAGUAGAUGCAGGCAGGAGUCGGUCUACUAAUCUUGGACGUGAUGCCUAUAUAAUGAUCAUUGCUUGGAUAUCGUCAUGAUUAUUUGAAGUUCUAUCAAUUUCCCAACAGUAAUUUGUUCACCCACCGUUUGCUAUUUUCUCGAGAGAAGCCACUAGUGAAAUCUACGGCCCCCGAGUCUCUUCUUUAUUAUAUUUGCCUUUGUGAUCUAUUUUCUUUUGCUUUUAUUUUCAGAUCUAUUAAACCAAAAAUACAAAAAUACCUUGCUGCACUUUAUUUUAUUUGGUGUUCGAUCUAUCAAUGUUUACAACUCUCUCACGUCCGUUUGCCUAUCUUUGGCGCCGUUGCUCGAAAGGGAUUGACAACCCCUUUAACACGUCGGGUUGCGAGUAUUUGUUAUUUGUGUGCAAGUGUCAUUGACGUAGUGUUGCAUGAUUCUCCUACUGGUUCGAUAAGCUUGGUCUCAUCACUGAGGGAAAUACCUACCGUUGUUGUGCUGCAUCAUCAAUUCCUCUUUGGGGAAAUACCGACGUAGUUCAAGCCAACAUCAAGGACACACCAAAGCUUCCAGGGUUUCCUGUCCAGACACGGAGUCACCUUAUAGCUCGGCCUUGCAGUAGUCGUACAGCAUCCCACCUGUCUGGCCCAUAAGAGAAAGGCCGGCUGCCCGAGGACCCCCUAGUCCAGGACUCCCUCAGGCGCCGCACCGAAGCCAGAGGAGGUGGCUUUCCCGGCCUUCUUCCUCUUCUCCGCCUUGGCCGUGGAAUCUCUCGCAAAAAACAUCGCUGCGGGUGCUCUGAACGCUCGAGCCUGGAGAGGAAUGGAGAGGCCGAGGCAGAUAGAAGGGGAUAUAGGGUCCCGACCUCAGCCCCUAAACCUUUUAUAUCACGGAGCAAAUCAUAUGCCAGAUCUUGUCCAUAGAUCCCCGGAUCGACAGCGCGCGGCAAGGCAUCGCGCAGAACAGACGCUGCACGUGGCAGAUUUUGUGCACGAAAAUCAAGGAGCCGUGCCCCCACUUUCCCCACUAAUGCACGUCGUUACCACUUCUGCGCGCGCACACACAAAUUCAAAUCCCAAGAUUUUCGGGCGAAUCAAUCCGAUUGAUUACCCCCGGUUCCUUUCCUAAACGAUGCAUGUCAGUCCAACUGACCACCCUCCAAGGGGAUUCGUGCACUCGGCCAUGCUAAACACCUGAUUGAAGUAAACUUUAGGAUUGCUAUAAGACGAGCUCGACGCCCCUCCGCGGGUUGACUUGGCCCUUCAACAGGCUCCAAGGCGCAUGACUCGUAAACCUGGACUCGUAGAAGGCCAGCGCUGGCGUUCCCCUGGGAUAAGGAGUGGCAUCUCUCCAGAGAAUCAGGCCUCGCGCCAGCGUCGCCGCUCGAGUUGUUAUGGCAUGCUCUCACUCGGGCCUCAAGUCUAUCUCCCCCGGGAGACAAAUGAAUGCCACCAGGUUUUUCUCGGCGAUCGACAACACCCGGUUAUCUGGGAAAACUUGUAGUCCAGAAUCCAUUGUGUUUUCAUCCAAGGAGCAGCGAACCACGACUCGAAAACAUAUUCCGAGUGCCCUAGAAGCACUCAGACUUAAACAAAGGAUCGGUUCGUUUACCCUAUGAAACCUGAACCGACUCGGGGGCUAAUGAUGAGGUCACCUAUUACAGGUAGGGUCAAGGACCCAUCAUAUGGGACCCACAUGGGGCCCAUCACCACCAUUGGUAGGUCCUAGGACCAUGCCGGCAUUCAGAUGCACAUAUCAGGGAGUCCACUCGGACAGCUCGACAGCACUCGGACAACCACCCGUCACUCGGCUGGACAACCACCACUCAGACUAAAGAGGUGAAGGGACGGCGUGGGAGCUGCAACGGUCGAGGAAUCCUAAGUCGCCCUUGAAGCAGAGUCAAGACUACUGUUACCUAUAACUGAUGUAGUAGAAGCUCAUAAUACCUGUAACUGAUGCAUUCAAUGUCACUUAAUUCCCCGGCGACUGAUGUCUACUAUGCAACUUUAUUCUUGUAGACUCGUGUUGGGCCUCCAAGCACAGAGUUUUGUAGGACAGUAGCAAUUUUCCCUCAAGUGGAUGACCUAAGGUUUAUCAAUCCGUGGGAGGCGUAGGAUGAAGAUGGUCUCGCUCAAGCGACCCUGCAACCAAAUACAAGAAAUCUCUUGUGUCCCCAACACACCCAAUACAAUGGCAAAUUGUAUAGGUGCACUAGUUCGGCGAAGAGAUGGUGAUAAAAGUGUAAUAUGGAUGGUAGAAAUAUAUUUUUACAAUCUGAAUAAAUAAAAACAGCAAGGUAGCAAAUAGUAAACGGGCACAAAAAUGGUAUUGCAAUGCUUAGAAACAAGGCCUAGGGUCCAUACUUUUGCUAGUGCAAUCUCUCAACAAUGCUAAUAUAAUUGGAUCAUAUAACCAUCCCUCAAAGUGCGAUGAAGAAUCAUUCCAAAGUUCCUAUCUAGCGGAGAACAUAAGAAUAAAUUUUUUGUAGGGUACGGAACCACCUCAAAGCUAUUCUUUCCGUUCGAUCUAUUCAAGAGUUCGUACUAACAUAACACAAAGCUAUUCUUUCCAUUCGAUCUAUCCUAGAGUUCGUACUAAUAUAACACCAAAGCAAAUUCAGAUUCAUAAUACUCAAUCCAACAUAAAGAACCUCAAAGAGUGCCCCAAGAUUUCUACCGGAGAAACAAAGACAAGAACGUGCAUCAACCCCUAUGUGUAGAUUACCCCAAUGUCACCUCGGGAAUCCGCGAGUUGAGUGCCAAAACAUAUAUCAAGUGAAUCAAUAUGAUACCCCAUUGUCACCACGAGUAUUCAUAUGCAAGACAUAUAUCAAGUGCUCUCAAAUCCAUAAAAGUAUUCAAUCCGAUAACAACGAAAUCUCAAAGGGAAAAACUCAAUUCAUCACAACAAGAUAGAGAGGGGAAAACACCAUAUGAUCCAACUACAUUAACAAAGCCCACGAUACAUCAAGAUCAUGCCAUAUCAAGAACACGAGAGAGAGAGAGAGAGAGAGAGAGAUUAAACACAUAGCUACUGGUACAAACCCUCAGCCCCGAGGGUGGACUACUCCCUCCUCAUCAUGGUGGCCGCCGGGAUGAUGAAGAUGGCCACCGGUGAUGAUCCCCCCUCCGGCAGGGAGCCGGAAUAGGGUCUAGAUUGGUUUCUCGUGGCUAUAGAGCCUUGCAGCGGUGGAACUUCUCAUCUAGGAUUACCCGAAGGGUUUUGGAAUAUUUGGGAAUUUAUAGGGCGAAGAGGGGGUAUGGGAGGCCACUGAGGUGGGCACAACCCACCCGGGCGCGCCUGGGCCCCCANNNNNNNNNNNNNNNNNNNNNNNNNNNNNNNNNNNNNNNNNNNNNNNNNNNNNNNNNNNNNNNNNNNNNNNNNNNNNNNNNNNNNNNNNNNNNNNNNNNNNNNNNNNNNNNNNNNNNNNNNNNNNNNNNNNNNNNNNNNNNNNNNNNNNNNNNNNNNNNNNNNNNNNNNNNNNNNNNNNNNNNNNNNNNNNNNNNNNNNNNNNNNNNNNNNNNNNNNNNNNCCAUAAAAAUCCACAAAAAGUUUUGCGGUGUUUGGACUCCGUUUGAUAUUGAUUUCCUGCGAUGUAGAAACAAGCAAAAAACAGCAACUAGCACUAGGCACUGGGUCAAUAGGUUAGUCCCAAAAAAUGAUAUAAAGUUGCUAUAAAAUGAUUGUAAAACAUCCAAGAAUGAUAAAAUAACAGCAUGAAUACUUCAUAAAUUAUAGAUACGUUGGAGACGUAUCAGCGACGUGGAGGACAUGGGGCUGCGGUGUACUCUAUAUAAGUUGCCGCCCACCUCCUUAGUGGGGGUCAAGAAAUAUUUGUAACCAUACCCAUCAAAUCAAAACCAAGCCUCAGGGCACGAGACGUAGGGAUGUUUCCUCCUCCAAGAGGGGCUUGAACUCGUUAAACACCGAGUGUUACACCUGCGCCAUAGCUAGGUUCUGCCCCUUAUUCGUACCCCUAGAACUCAUUGUCAGGAUCGUAACCCCGACACCCCCCCCCCCCCGGGUACGCCCGCCGAGCUUGUCGCCAGCUCGUGGCCCUUCUGACCUCCUCCCGAAGCUUCCAGGGUGUCUUGUGGUCCAAUAAAAAUCAUCGUCCAAGAAAAAUCAUCAAAAAGUUUCUUUCCAUUUGGACUCCGUUUGCUAUUGAUUUUCUGUAAAGACAAAAACAAGGAAAAAACAGCAACUAGCACUGGGCACUAGGAUAAUAGGUUAGUCCCAAAAAUGAUAAAAUAGCAUAAUAAUGCAUAUCAAACAUCCAAGAUUGAUAAUAUAAUAGCAUGUAACAAUCAAAAAUUAUAGAUACGUUGGAGACAUUGAAGAAUCCCCCAGCUUAAUUCCUGCUCGUCCUCGAGUAGGUAAAUGAUAAAAACAAAAAAAUUGAUGUGGAAUGCUACCUAACAUGUUUAUCAUGUAAUCUUUUUUUAUGUGGUAUGAAUAUUCAGAUCCAUAUAAGAAUCAAAACAAAAGUUUAAUAUUGACAUAAAAAUAAUAAUACUUCAAGCAUACUAAAAAGCAAUCAUGUCUUUUCGAAAUAUCAUGGCCAAAGAAAGUUAUCCCUACAAAAUCAUAUAGUCUCGUAAUGCUCCAUCUUCUUAACACAAAGUAUUUAUCAUGCACAACCCUGAUGACAAGCCAAGCAAUUGGUUCAUACUUUUAACACGCUUCAACUUUUUCAACUCUCACGCAAUACAUGAGUGUGAGCCAUGGAUAUAGCACUAUGGGGGGAAUAGAGUAUGAUGUUGGAGGUUGUGUGGAGAAGACAAAAAAGAAGAAAGUCUCACAUUGACAAGGCUAAUCAACGGGCUAUGGAGAUGCCCAUCAAUUGAUAUCAAUGCAAGGAGUAGGGAUUGCCAUGCAAUGGAUGCACUAGAGCUAUAAGUGUAUGAAAGCUCAAAAGAAAACUAAGUGAGUGUGCAUCCAACUUGCUUGCUCAUGAAGACCUCGGGCAUUUGAGGAAGCCCAUCAUUGGAAUAUACAAGCCAAAUUCUAUAAUGAAAAAUUCCCAAUAGUAAUAUAUGGAAGUGACAAAAUAGGAGACUCUCUAUCAUGAAGAACAUGGUGCUACUUUGAAGCACAACCACAGAAAAAGAUAGUAACAUUGUCCCUUCUCUCUUUUUCUCUCAUUUUUUCGUUCUUUUUCUGUUUUUUUAUUUUGUUGGGCACUUUGGCCUCUUUUUUUCUUGGGCUCGUUUGGCCUCUUUUUCAUUUUUUAUAUUCCUCACAUAGGACAAUGCUCUAAUAAUGAGUAUGAUCAUCACACUUCUAUUUACUUACAACUCAAGAAUCACAAAUCAAUACUAGAACAAAAAUAUGACUCUAUAUGAAUGCCUCCCGCGGUGUACCGGGAUGUGCAAUGAUCUAGCGUGACAUAUAUAAAAAAUAUGAACGGUGGCGGAGCCACAAAUACUAUGCAAACUAUAUGAUCAUGCAAAGCAAUAUGACAAUGAUGAUAUGUGUCAUAAUAAAAUGGAACGGUGGAAGUUGCAUGGCAAUAUAUCUCAGAAUGGCUAUGGAAAUGCCAUAAUAGGUAGGUAUGGUGGCUGUUUUGAGUCAGAUAUAAGGAGGCUUAUGUGUGAUAGAGUGUAUCAUAUCACGGGGUUUGGAUGUACCGACGAAGUUUGCACCACAACUCGAGGUGAGGGGCAAUGCACGGUACCGAAGAGGCUAGCAAAAUGCAGAAAGGUAAGAGUGCGUAUAAUCCAUGGACUCAACAUUAGUCAUAAAGAACUAACAUACUUAUUGCAAAAGUUUAUUAGCCCUCGAAGCAAAGUGCUACUAUGCAUGCUCCUAGGGGGAUAGAUUGGUAGGAAAAGACCAUCGCUCGUCCCUGAUUGCCACUCAUAAGGAAGACAAUCAAUAAUAAACCAUGCUCCAAUUUCAUAGCAUAACGAGAGACCAUACGUGCAUGCUACGGGAAUCACAAACCUUAACACAAAAUAUUCUUACUAAACCACAAUUACUCACUAGCAUGACUCUAAUAUCACCAUCUUUAUAUCUCAAAACAAAUGCAAUGAAUCAAACUUCUCAUAUAUUCAACGAUCUUGAUGAAAGUUUUUAUUAUAUCCCUCUUGAAUACCCAUCAUAUUAGGACUAAAUUCAUAACCCAAGCAAAUUGCCAUACUAUUUAUAAGACUCUCAAAAUAAUAUAAAUGAGGCACGAGAGUUCAUCAUUUCUUUAAAAUAUAACCACCGCCGUGCUCUAAAAGAUAUAAGUGAAGCACUAGAGCAACUACCUAGCUCAAAAGAUAUAUGUGAAGCUCAAAGAGUAUUCUAAUAAAUUCAGGAAUAAUGUGUGUCCCUCUCAAAAAGGUGUGUCCAGCAAGGAUUAUUGUGGAAAACUAAAAGGCAAAUAAAUCAAAGACUCAUAUAAUACACGACGCUCCAAGCAAAAUUCAUAUCAUGUGGUGAAUAAAAAUAUAGCCCCAAGUAAUUUACCGAUGGAUUGUAGACAAAAGAGGGGAUGCCAUCCGGGGCAUCCCCAAGCUUAGACGCUUGGUUGUCCUUGAAUAUUACCUUGGGGUGCCUUGGGCACCCCCAAGCUUAGGCUCUUGCCACUCCUUAUUCCUUAGCCCAUCAAAACUUCACUCAAAACUUGAAAACUUCACAACACAAAACUCAACAGAAAACUCAUGAGAUCCAUUAGGAUAAUAAAACAAAUCACCACUUUUGAUACUGUUGUAAACUCAUUCAAAUUUCAUAUUAGCAUUAUAUCUACUGUAUUCUAACUUCACCAUGGUUCGUGCCCCCCGAUAUUACCCAUAGAUUCAUCAAAACAAGAGAACAACUCAAUGAAAACAGAAUCGGUCAAAAACAGAAUAGUCUAUAAUAACCUAAAUAUUGCUCACUACUGUAACUCUAAAAAUUCUGAAAAAUUAGGACAACGUGGGCAAUUUGUGUAUCAAUCUUGUGUAAAACAUUCAAAGUAAAAACACGUUUUUGUGAAUUUACAAAAUUCCAGAACUGGACGCAGAAGUUUCUCUUUUUCACAGAAUCAAAUCAACUAACUUCCAAAUCAUCCCAAAGGUCUUACUUGGCACAAACACUAAUUAAAAUACUAAAACACAAUCAUAACAGUAGCAUAAUUGCAUAAACUCAUAAAACAGAAAAGAGAGAUAUUGGGUUGUCUCCCAACAAGCGCUUUUCUUUAAAGCCCUUUUAGCUAGGCAUUGAUAAUUUUAAUGAUGCUCACAUGAAAGAUAAGAAUUGAAGCACAAAGAGAGCAUCAUAUAGCAUGUUAAAAUUAGAUUUAGUUCUAACAUACUUCCUAUGCAUAGGCAUUUUAUAAGAAAAUGAAUUAUCAAAACAAGCAAAAACUAGCAUAAGCAAGGAAGAAGAAUAAACAUUGACAAUCUCAACAUGAAGAGAGGUAAUUUAGUAACAUGAAAAUUUCUACAACCAUAUUUCCCUCUCUCAUAAUAAUUACAUGUGGGAUCAUAUUCAAAUUCAACAAUAUAGCUAUCACAUAACAUAUUCUCUACAUGAUCCACAUGCAUGCAAAGUUGACACUCUUCCACUAUAGUGGGAUUAUCGUCAGAUAAAGUCAUGACCUCUCCAAGCCCACUUUUAUCAAAAAAUUCAUAAGAUUGAUCAUUCUCCAAAGUAGUAGGAUCAUUAUUACCUAGAGUUGACACUCUUCCGAACCCACUUACACUAUUAUCGCAAACAUAUUCAUCAUGAGGCUUAAAUAAAUUUUCAAGAUCAUAAGUAGAAUCACCCCAAUCAUGAUCAUUGCAAUAAGUAGUGGACAUAUCAAAAUUAGCAUCCCCAAGAUUGGGGUUUUGCAUAUUAUUAGCACAAUUGACAUUAAUAGAAUUUGUAAUAACACCAUUGCAAUCAUGCUUUUCAUUCAAGGACUAUCGUUAAUCACUUCAUAAAUUUCCUCUUUUAGCACUUCAUCACAAUUUUCAAAUUCACGAAUUUCAAGCAAAACUUCAUAAAGAUAAUCUAGUGCACUCAACUCACUAGCAAUUGGUUCAUCAUAGUUGGAUCUCUUAAAAAUAUUAGCAAGUGGAUGAGGAUCCAUAAAUUUUUUGCUUCUGAUUUGGAAUAAACAUACAAUUAUGCCAAGCGAACAAGCAAACAAACCAAGUAAGACAUAAAGGCAAAUGGAAAGAAGGCAAAUAAAAAGGCAAAUAUUUUUGUAUUCUCUGAAAAAUGUUUUAGAAGUGGGUGACAGGAAAACGAGAGGCAAAUGGAUAAUAAUGUAAAUGCAAGAGAUGAGAGUUUAUGAUAGGUACUUGGUAGGCUUGAUGUAGAUCCUCCCCGGCAACGGCGCCAGAAGUUCUUCCUGCUACUUCUUGAGCUUGCGUUGGUUUUUCCCUUGAAGAGGAAAGGGUGAUGCAGCAAAGUACAGAUAAGUAUUUCCCUCAGUUAAGAACCAAUGUAUCAAUCAAGUAGGAGGAACACAAGUCUCCAAUGAUAGCACCUACACAAACAAACAAAUACUUGCACCCAACGCGAUAAAGGGGUUGUCAAUCCCUUCAUGGUUACGCAAGGAUGAGAUCUGAUAGUGAUAGAUAUAAAAGAUAGGUAAAAGUGCAAAAUAAAAUAAAAGUAAAUAAAUUGCAGCAAGGUAUUUUUGGGUUUUUGACUUUGUAGAUCUGAAAAUAAUAUGAUAAAAGAUAAACCCCGGGCCAUAGUUUUCACUAGAGGCUGCUCUCUUGAAAGAAAGCAUACGGUGGGUAAACAAAUUACUGUUGAGCAAUUGAUAGAAAAGGGGAUAAUUAUGAAGAUAUCUAAGGCAAUGAUCAUAUAUAUAGGCAUCACGUCCGAGACAAGUAGACCGACUCAUGUCUGCAUCUACUACUAUUACUCCACACAUCGACCGUUAUCUAGCAUGCAUCUAGUGUAUUAAGUUAACAAGAACGGAGUCACUACAAAAAAAGACACAUCCAUGAUAUUUUGGGCCGAAUGAACUUUUUUUCUGUCAUGCUUAUGACACUUCUAUGACGAUAAUUGUGACAAAACCCGGUAUCAUCAUAGAUGUGGUGGGCUCCUACUUCUAUGACAAAAAAUCAUGACAGAAAAUGGGCUUUUCGUCCUGGGCGGGCCGGACAUGCAGCUGCAUGACAUUCUUUGGGCCAUCCAUGACGGAAAAAAACCAUGGUAGAAGCGAGGGCGAGGAAAAUAUCGGGGAGUUCCCGGUUACGGUGGGUGGUUGGGGGUCGAGCGAUGCGCGUUUCUCUCGUACACAUACGAGCGUGGGUGCGAGGCGUUUGGCUCUAACUGAACCCGAGCGAGGCGUUCGCCUACUGAACCCGAGCGAUUGCACUAUAGGCUACGCGUUAUUGAACCCGAGCAAUCAAUCGAUGGCUGUUAACUGAACCCGAUCGAGCGAUUCCUUCACUACUGCUGCUAACUGAAGUCGAUCGAACCCUGCUGCCUCCUUCCCUUGAUGAACAGUGAGUGUUGUUGGGGGGUUGGAUGAACAGUUCCCGGUGUGGGGUUGGAUGAACAGGACCCCGUGGUGUUGCCGCUGGAUGAACAGGACCCCGAUCGAUCGAGCCGGUUAGGCGUGGAUGAACAGGACCCCGUGGAGGGCUGGAUGAACAGGACCCCGUGGAGGGAUGGUUGAACAGUAGCCGGUGGAGGGCUGGUUGAACAGUAGCAGGUGGAGGGCUAGAUGAACAGUAGCCCGUGGAGGGGUGGUUGAACAGGACCCCGUGGAGAGGGCUGGUUGAAUAGUAGCUGGUGGAGGAGCGGUGGAGGCUGGAUGAAUAGGAGCCCGUGGAUGAACAGUCGCAGGUGGAGGCUGGAGGAGGUCGACGGUGGAUGAACAGUAGCCCAUGGAGGCAGUUGACGGUGGAGAUGAAUAGUAUCCCGUGGAGUCCCGUUUUGCGGUACGCCACACCCCUCCCGAUGAACAGGACCCCGUUUCGACCGUAGGAGGCCCAAGAGAAGUCCGUUUCCUCCAUUUUGCGGUACGCCAGACCCCUCCCGAUGAACAGGAUCCCGUUUUGACCGUGGCCGGUCGAACACAAGGCCAUUUCCUCCGUUCUGCGGUACGCCAGGCUUCGUUUCAAUCGGCUGUUCCGUCCAAGCCGGUUGGCUCCCGAUGAACACGACGUAUUCCGUUGCCUACCGAUGAACACGACGCAUUCCGUUGCCACCCGAUGAACACGAAGACGACGUAGUUUCUCCAUUCCGACCCAGCCAUGUGUGCGAGCCCUGGCCGUACAUAUGCACGAGUAGGCGUUUGAGACCCCGCCCGUAUGUACGUACGUGGCCGUAUUUUUUGGCGUGGGGUUGUAUGUACGUGUACACAGUUUAGACGGGGCAACCUGAACUGCUACGUGGGGGGCUCUACUAUGACAUGUGCCGCUACUUACUCGGCCAUGGUUCAUCGUUACAGAGCGACCGAUCGACCAGUAUGUACGUACACAUUCCGGCAAGACAGAAAACGGUACGUACGCUUCGACCGCGUGGGUCCCAGCUCUCAGGGAGGAUAAGGACGCACUUCCUUGCGUGCGAAGAUAUAGCUGCUAGGUCCCAGCUGUCAGGGGGUUUUUUUCCGUAAUAAGGACGCACUUCCUUGCGUGCGAAGAUGUAGCUGGUGGGUCCCAGCAGUCAGGGGGAGAAAAUAUUAUUUUUCAGGGUAAAAAGGAUGCAGUUGCAUGCAUGCAUCCAUGGGCGUGGUGUGUCCCCACUGUUAGCCUCUCACGUACAGUCAUCUUCCGAUGACUCUUGUUUGUUGACCAUGUUGACCACACCGUGCCGGGCGCACCAAGGCCGGUGGACGACGGCGAGGCCCUAGACUGGAACGACCCAGAGAUGGGGAAGACGCGGCAGUGGAGUCGCAGAUGCAGAGGAGUGGGAAACUUGACUGGUUCGGGUGCGCGGCAGCACUGCCGCCCAAGGGCGAUAGGAGCAAGAACAGAGGUUGAAGAAGGAGCACGGCUAUUGGAUUAACAUCCAACGGUCAGCUGCUAGAAUCAUUUGUUGAUUAAGUAGACAAAGCCCUGCGUACAAGUCCGCUUAGUAGGCCCACAAGUCAGACACCAAAUCUGACGAGUCCCAGCUGUCAACGGGAGGAAUGGUUUUUUUUUUUUGCAUAACAAGGAGGCACUUCCUUCCGUGCGAAGAUACAGCCGGUGGGUCCCAGCUGUCAGGGGGAGGAAACAUUUUUUUCAGCUUAAUAAGGAGGAACUUUCCUUGCAUGAGACCAUGGACCUCGUGGGUCCCAGCCGUCAGGCUCUCCACGUACAGUCCUCUUCCGAUGACUCUUGUUUGUUGACCACGCCGCGCCGAGCGCAGCGAGGUGGUGGACAACAGCGAGGCCCCGUACGGGAACGACCCGGAGAUAGGAAGACGCGGAAGUGGAGUCGCAGAUUGAGAGGAGUAGAAGGGUUAUAACUAGUUCUGGUGCCGCGUGGGGCUGCAGUCGGUGGAGAAUAACAGGAGGUGUGGAGGGGCGGAGGGAUAGCCCGGCCGGCGGUGGGGUAGCGCUUCGCAACAAUGCGUGCUAAGCAAAGCCGCUAGCCGCCGGAGGCCAGACCAGGCGGUCCCGGCGAUGCUGGAGGAAGAAGACGAGAGAUUGAUGGUGCAUGCCGGCCGUUGGAUAUAAAUCCAAUGGAUGUGGAUGUCAUAAUCAUUUUUUGACCAAGUUGACAACGCCCUGCGUAGGCUUCGACCUAUUGGCCCACAUGUCAGCAUGCAAAAAUGUGGCAUAUAUUUAACCCAUGUUUUCUAGAAUGUACAAUCCAUUUGCUGGGCUGGGUGAACAAAUAAUUUCGCGUCAAUGCGGUCCAUUUAAUAUUUUCUAAGAAAUCCCAGCCCAUUUGCACUUUCUUGAAAUACAUGAAUUAGCUGGGCUCAUUCUAUAUGUAAUGUUAGGUUAGAAGGUGCAAUUAAUAUCAAAAAAUAAACAGAAGCGGCACAUUUUUUAUAUAUAAUAUUAACAAAUUAGCGAGUUAUUGCUCAAAAUAAAAAUGAGCGCGUUAUUAUUACAUUGGUCCUUAAAAAUCUUCGCAAGCUUUUGUACGCAAUCACCAGGAUUUUCCUUGCCUGUGAGUCAAAAACAACCAGGAUUUAUCUUGCCAACAUCUGUUAAACAUUUACUUUUAUAAGUUAAUAACAUGUGGGAUGUUUUUAUAAUGUAUAUAUAAGUCUCUAUAAAAUAUACGAUAAUCGUAAUAGUAUAAAUAUAUAUAAUGUGGUUAGAAGGCAAAACAUAAAUUGGACACAGCAUUAUUAUUCUUAUAUAUAAAUAAAUAGAACAAAGAUUUGUGUUUUAUUGAUAAAAAACAUUGGGCUGCCAAUCUUUAAGAAAAAGUAAAACCUACGCUGGGAGGCCUAUAGGCCGGUAUGGACCUCAAAAAAUAAGUUGAAACCACUGUCUCCGUAUGUCGUGGGCUACGCAUGUUAAAAAACAAAACCUAGGCCUAGCUGAUACUUGUUCGCCCUCUACAAAAAAAUGAUACCAGCUAGAUCCCCGAGCGAACUGGAUUAAAGAGGGGGCCGGCGGCGCGACUAAAGAAGCACAUCAGACGCGAUUGUUUUUCUUCGGUGGAUGGCUCUCGAUGGCUUUUUUUACUUGCCUCUUCACCAUACAACUUGUAUUUUUAGCCUCCCAGUCCGUGGUGGACCAGCAACCCAUUUGCUGGGCGGGCCAACCUACAGAAACCAGCACUCAAUUUUUCAUCAAGCCCCAAAAACAGUGCAGUACUAUGUUUGUUUUGAGGCCGAAAACAUUACGGCAGGAGUUGAGCGGGGGAGGGGGGAAGAUAGAGCAAAAAGAUUAAAAAGAGCUGAUGCGCCGUUGCUACCCUAACAAAGCAGGUGCAAUUCUUCUCGGGAAGAAGGUGUGCCGUUGACACCCACACGUCACAAAUCCCAUAGUAGACAUACUAACAAGUUCACACACAAGUACAACAGAAAAGGUAAACAUUCAUAUCAAACUCAGGUUCACAGGACACGUUCAUAUUCAUAGCCAACAUUCACAAUCAACAACUCAAAAGAUUCAUAUAUACACAAGUUCAGCAUGUCUAUGCAUCCAAAUGAUUAAUAAAUCACACGACAAUAUUCAUAGAUAAUUCACAAAAAGAUUCAGAUAUACACAUGUUCAGUAUGUUUAUGCAUCCAAAUGAUUAAGAUCAUAGCCAAUAUCAUCCAUGGACGAACUUUAAUUACCUAGGGUACAGACUGGUAAAUGGUGUUCAGUCGGAGGUACUUCUUGCUAAAAUUAAUGCUUGUACGAGUAAACUUUUGAGUACAUAAGAGGCAGCACAGACAAUCUGAACUUUGCUUGUAGGUUUAUCCUCAAAUAGUGGCCUUGUGCCGAGGGAGGUUUGAGCAACUUGCCCACUACUUUCAUCCAACUAGUUUACUAGCUCAUCUUGGUCCUGUAGCUCGCCAAAAUUCUACAUUGCAGACAAGAAAGGAGGCGGUUGAGAAAAUGAACCACCCAAAUUUGUUGUGCAAUUCAACUGAAAUGGAGCAUCCCUGGCGUGCACCCUGAUUAAGUGUCAGAUGAAUAUACGCGUCAACCAACUUGUUUGGAAUCUUUAGACUCCAUGCCAUACAGUUCGCUACCAUAUGUGCCGAUAACCAAAAGGCACAAGUUGGGACCAAAGACUGGACUGCGUUUUUCUGGGCUAUGCGCCAAGCAAUAUUUGUGGCGGGUUAAUGCCGGUUGAUACUCGAAUGAAUAUAGGCACUUCUUCUUGUGAACAUCGAUGCUUGUCUGAGUGAACUUUGGAGUACAUAGCAGCAGCAUAAGUAUCUGUCCAUCUGAUCUUUUUGUGCAGUUCUACUGAAAUCGCCCAAUGUAAUGAUUUGCCUGCGAGUUCAGGCUCCAAGUUACUCCUUUAUGAAAUCGGCAAACAGUAGCACAAUACCAAAUUACCAAUACAUAUGACAAGCACAAUAAUCAGGAUAAAGACUAGUACCAACCUGUGUGAGGUAGCAUAUCAAUUACUAUUUCCUUUGACUGGAAGCCGAGAUAAAUGAAGCGACUGACAGUAAAGGAAGGAAGGAAGCCGAGAUAAGCGACUGACAGGAAAGGAAGGAAGCUGUCGAGGCAAUGAAGCGCCCAAAGUUUUUGUGCAGUUCCACCAAAAUCGAGCAUCCCUGUUGGCACAUAUAUUGAGAGAGUGAGAUUACUGUAAUAGUGGGACUAGUUGAUGAAACAUACACUAACAAAUAGAAGCACCCUCAUUAUCUUAAUGGGUAAAGUUAGCAACAUAGUAGUCUUGCUUGAAGAGAGGUAUUAGUUUAUUUAAUCAGUGCCAAUUAGCUCAACACUCAAAGCAUUGCCAUGUAUCAUAGGUUGCAAAACUUUAACGUGCAAGGAUAAAGGAGUUUCUCAUGACUAUUGCACAAUACAAAUAGAGAUGAUAGCAAACUAAUAUGGAUGAAGGCCUUAGGCCGGUACCAACCUGAGCAAAAAAACUUAUUCAUGUAGUCCCAGAAGAUAUGAUAAAGCACUCACUGGAAUCACUCGAUAGUAUAUAUUUUUGUGCACUUCAAAUGUAUGGUUGAAAUCACUCUUGUUUACCAGUGCUGAGAUUAUAUCGAAAGAUUAUCAAGAACUUUCAGCAGAGUUAAAGCACUGGCUGGGAUACAGUUCAUUGUAUUGUCUUGUGUAGUUCCACUAAAAUGUAUGAUUGGCACAACAUGAUCCCUGUUUGCACAAGUAGGAACAAGGUGAAACCUUCAUUAGCUUAGUGAGAAAGGAUAGAAAGACAUUAGCAUAUUACUCUAAUAGUAGCAUCAAAUUCAUGAUAGACAAUACGCAAAACAUUGCCUCAUUGAACCAAUGGCAAUAAAUUGACAUGCAAAACAAUAGCACUAUUAUUUCAUGACACUACGCAGAUUCCCUCCCUGCUCCACCACAUGAUUCACCUCCACAGACACACAUACACACGUACAUGAUUCAGCAUAGGGUGCUACUAAAGAUUUGUUUAACUCUGACAGGAAAAUUAGGUAGCAAUAAAUUAGUGGUGCUUAAGUACUCCUAAUUAAUUAAGUGACCUUGCAGGAGAGACAACAGAAGUGGAAGGGCUCCCUGGAGGAUCGUCUCACAUGUAAGGUAGACAUUGCUGGAGCCCUUGAAUGGCCUCGACUGAGCCCUCGGGCUUCAGCAAGAUCACCUUGGCACUGUUGAUCGUGUAGAGCUGGGUCACAUAUGCAUCCAGAAUCCAGUUAAUUAGUAUGAUGUGUCGUCAACCCAAGUACUACUCUGCUGCAUUUCUCCAUCUAUCUCUACUCUACUCUACUUUACUUCUCUUAUAAAAAAAUAGAGUUGGUGAUGAUGGUGUGCCUGCCAUCCUACAAUAUAUGCCGUCUGAUUUAUAUCUGACGGAUAGGAAGGAAACUAUGGCAAUUUUGCAAAAAGGUACCCACAGCCCUCUCCACAUUUGCAAAUAAGGCCUUCCCUCGUUCAUCCUUUUCUCUCACAAGAUAAACUACUCAUACAAAUGCAUCUUGAUGUUAUGUGCAACGCACGGGCAUCUUGCUAGUCUUCCAAGUAAAUUAACACUAGUAGCAACACAGAAAUACAAUACCACUAGCAAAAUGUCAGGAUAACAUAGGACGGUACCAUCGUGUGAUCUCCAUUUCCUCUUUAUUCUUCUUCUUCCUCCUCUUCAUGCUCUGUUUCUCUUUCUCCUCAACAGUUGGUGAAACCAAGUACAUGAUUGGCCUUCUAUUUCAAAUUGGUUUUGUCAGUGAGGGAGUACAAGUGUACUAGUAAACAAUAGCAUUAUUUUCUCAUGGCAGUCGCAAAAUAGAGAUGAACACAUGCAUUAAAUAUCAUUCUUACCUAAAGGAAAGUUAUGGUGCCAAUAUGGAUGAUGAGGAUUGGAACACAGAUCUCCCUUUGUGCAGUUCCACCGAAAUGAACCAACUGUUCCAUUCUGACAUUCCAGUUAAACAGCACAAAAGUCACUUCUUUUAAGAAGUGUUUUGUGCAGUGCACCAAAAGGUCACAACAGCAACCAGGUGAAAUGGAUAUCCCUGUUUGCACAAAAAACUACAGAGGAAACAGUCAGAGUCUCAAACAAUUACAGGCAAAAACAUUUGGGUAAACUUGUCAUCGCUUAUAACAGUGGCAUGGCUUCAUUUUACCAGGGGCAUUAGAUUAAGAAUAGCUAAAUAUUUGGUAUAAGGGAAUGGGACAGUGGGCGCACCAGCAGCCCAGCACCAUGUACCUAAACUGGGGCAUAAACUGGUGAUUCAGAGUUUGUUGCCCCGAGAAACAAACAUCCAAGAAACAUAUCUGGGUUGGUCCCAUUUUUGUUCACUCUAGCCACCUACUCCUAUGUGUGGAUAGCAAAUCUAGUCCUGUUCAUACCACUGUGUACAGCAUUUCCCCUAUAUUUCCCUUUUCGACCAAGAGACCGGUUGGAUGACUAGUCUGUACUACUUUCACCCCCUUUCCUUCAUGUUUGUACCAAGUCCGAUGUACAUACUAAAUUCCCCCACCCCCACUUUAUUUCUUGUUUGAACCAAGUACAAGAUUUGACUCCAUGAAGUAGCUUUACCUCUAACAAUAGAGAAAAAAAUAGGUGACGUUGGACCAUCCGAUCGAGAGGGGCUGAGAGGUAGAAAAUGAUGCACAUGCAGCGACGUAGCAAGCUGGGGAAGUAGAGCUAGGGCGGUUUCGAAGGAAGAUAUACCUGAAGGUCAUCGGGAUGUGGAUAGGUGGGUGGCAGGAGGCCGGAUCCGCCCACACUAGGGCAACGACGAAGGGAUCGGAGGACCUCCCGCAUCGGCGCUCGGCUAGAGAUAACGGUGCGGCCGACAGUGGGUCUCCUCCCUCGCUGUCGACGACGGCCUAAAUGCUGCCCCUCCUCCCCUUCACCGGCGGAGGGGGAUACGUCCGAAUCUGUAACCAACGGUGAGGAUAGAAAGACAAUGUUACCACCGCUAUCUUGUUUAGAUCUGGAGAGGAUGAGAGUGUGUGAAUAGAGCAACCCUAGCAAGCAAGCGCGGAUGCUCCGGGCUAUAUAUGCACGUAGUGGGGUAGUUUUCCUUUUUCACUCCAUCAAAACAAUCGUUUAAAAUUGUGUGCGUGCCAGGUCACCGUUUUUUCUUGAGUUGUUGAUUGUUUUUUGAGAUAGCUACCCGCUUAUUCCAAGUGGUGUUACGGUGUGCCAGCUCGCACUUUGUAUCGUUCAAGUCUGGUACAAGACCCUCCAUUAAAUGAACAACCACCGCCUCAUAAAAUUUGGGAACAAGCCCACGGCUAAAAUUAUCAAAAACGUGGGCUGCCCCAACAUGCAUUAUUAUUUAUAUUUUCUAUGUCGGAGUAUCCUCAAAACAAAAUGUGAGAGUACAAUAUUUAUUGGGCCCCUUUGUAAUUGGUGCUAAAUUUUGACCAAAGAUUUAACUGACAAAAUGUUAGUGCAUAUUAACAAAAAUUAUAUCGUUUGAAUCGUAUUUCAACAUAUUUUUCAAUGAUGUAAUUUUUUGUGAUAUGCAUGAACAUUUGGUUAGUUAAAUUUAUAGUCAAAAUUUGGCAAGGUGCAUUAAAUCAACACAUGCAAGUAUCAAAAGGAAAGUAACGCCAUGCAUGCAUGCGUUGUAAUUAAUGCAUCGGUAAACGCAAAUUAUUGAAAUAUAUCGAGUGCAGUGCUUUGAUGUGUCGCGUCAACUCAUACAACAACGAGAAGUUUGAUUACUACAACGCCCUCUGCCUCGCGGACUGAGCUCCGGUGCCUUAACUGCACCUGCCUUUGGCUGUAUGACAAGUGGACCACCCACCUGUUGGGCCCACCUGUGAUACACGCAAAGGCAAGAGCAGUAAGUCAAUGAAGCUGUGUCCCUCCCUCGCCCAUGAGCAUGGUGGCUGGCAGGACUAGGAGAAGCUUUUGCUACACGCUCUCCCUCCCGCACGCGGUGGACAUGCAGCUGUUCAUUCGGUGUCAGAUGACCAGAAGUAUAAUGUAGUACUCCUCCACUGCAGUAGCACUCCAUCAUUGUUCGACUUCCCGAAGAGGCGAAGAGCCAAGCGCAGCCCGGACGCUCAUGUGGCAGUUUCAUGUGUAGAGUAGUCUAGGAUAGCGUGUACCAUGCCUGUAAGCUUAAAAUUGUUGGGGUCGGCUCCAUGCUAUGAGGCCGUCUCGAAGCAUUUUUUGGUUGAUUAAAAUAAUCUUUUGGACCUACCUGUCAUCCUAGUGAUUGUAGUUUGCACGCUCAUCUGGUCAAGACAGGAAUAUAUAUUUUAAUUUGUAGUGGGGUAAAUGUUAGAGGUUGCAGCAAACAUAUUGUACAUUGCGGGUCUUUCAGCCAAGUUUAGAGGCAAGCAUGUGGGGCCAGUGCUAUGAUGUGUCGCGUCAACUUGUACAACGAGGAGAAGCAUGAUUUUACUACUACACGCCUUCUCCCUCGCCCAUGCGCGCGGUGGCUCGCAGACGAGGAUGGGCUUUAAAUUAUACUACAACAAGCUAUCCCUCCCGCACACGGUGGACGGACAUGCGUCAGGGGAUUCGAUACUGUAGAAGUAGUAGUAACAUCAUUGUUCAUCUUCUCGAAGAGGCGAAGAGCCAAGCGAAACCCGAACGUGGUAGUUGCGAACGCUUGCCUGGCAGUCUUUGUGUACGGGUGGGGCGUGGUGCGGAGCCUUGGAGUACGCAUAUAGCCAGGCUCUUGCAUGAGAAAAAAUUGCUAUUUGAGCCCACUAUUUUAGUACACUACUUGCUAGUAUAGCCCUGUAAACUGGAAAGGAGUAUUUGCCUUUCUAGAGAUCUCAAUAAGUGACUAGACUACACCCUAAACGAGUAGUACAUAUGGAGCAAAAUGAGUGAAUCUACACCGUAAAUAAAUACGUAGUUCUCUCGUUUUCCUCUCCGCCUUGGUCGCGGUGCACAAUAUUGAGUACUCCUAUAUGACUAGUCGCUCUAUCUACAUGCGCGACAUCAAAGCAUCCGGGCCUGCGUGCCAUCCACCAAAUCACAGCGAGGUGCUACAGUCGAGACUCACCAGUCACCCCGGUGUGGCCGUCAUGACCCGUCAUAUCACAAAACCCACACCUUUACCAGCAGUGGUAAAGUGGCCUCAAAGUUGGACUGGAUGAAGCAACCAUCAUUUCCCUGUAACGCUCGUUGAAGCCCUUUCUCCCCUUUCUUGAAGAAAACCUCACUCCAGGCUACUCACUUCUGCCAUUUUUCUUCUGUACCGACAAAGGAAAGGUGGGCGAAUCAGUGAUGCUACUAUAUUUUCAUUCCAAGAAUCUUCUUUUCGGGAAGCACCGACCGAUUCUCAUAGCCUAUUCUUUUCCCGUUUUCAUUGCGAUUGUGCUUUCCUUUCGAUUGCUUUUUGUUUGUCAGUUCAUUCCUGAUGGAUCCUGGAGCACUAGGCAAAGAUUUGCCGGCAGACAACCCACUGGAGACAGCGAUCUCCAGGAAGCGAGCACCAACCAACGAGUUGACCAUGUUGGUGGGCCAACCCAUGGAGACGAAGAACUCCAAGAAACAAGCACUGGACAAAGAGUUUAUGACAUUGGCCGAUGAACUCCUCAAAGAAAGCUGGAAGAACAGCAAGGGCCCCACCGUGCCUACCCCAGAAACUCUAAUGGCCACCUAUGCGAGGCUCAAGGCCGAGUUUGAGGAGAUAGUCUCCGUUGAGAAGCAGUAUUCCCCUGGCAAGGUGAUGGCCCCAUCGAGGACGAGGAGAUGGCCUCCGGAGGGAUGGGAUCCCCCGGUGAGCUACACAAGGUAAAAAAAUAAUGGCUUACCAUAGUUGUGGUUUUUGAUUAUUUGCAAUGUGCUUGCUAAUAUGUUAGGGUUGUGCAGGUGCCGGUGGACGUCCUUGAUGAUUCCGAUGUCGUGGCCCGUCCUGUGGACAACGCCCCAGAGAUCGUUUUCGAUGUCGCGGUCCGUUCUGUUGACAUCGCCCCAAAGAAUGAUUCCGAUGCCGCUUUCCAUCCUAUGGACAUUGCCCAGAGAUCAAUUCCGAUGUCACAGUCCGUCCUGUGUACAUCGCCCCAGAGAUCGAUUCCCAUGCCGUUGUCUGUGUUGUGUUCAUUGCCCGAGAGAUCGAUGACAAGAAAUAGUUGGUCAUGCUAAUCCUUCAAGGUAGUUUGCAUUGUGUUUAAUUACCAAAACAAUGUGUGUUAUCAAACCAUCUUAGGGCUAGUGCAUUGUCUUGUGUGGGCGGUACUUGCUACUUUUGUUUGAUAGUGAAUCAUGUGAACCCUCUCCGAGUUAUGGAAACAGAUGUAUCCUCACCAGCUUUUGAUGUAAUAUAUGGCAUGCUUAGAUGUAAGUUUGAACUGUUUAUCAUAUCAGCAGGGCUUGUUUGAUGAUUCUUGGUGUUAGUAGGCUAGCUACUGUGCGAGCUAUAGUACUUGCAAAACACUCACCGAAGAGAAAUGUUGGGGCUGAUGAGCUCCUGGUAUGCUUAUACUGAUCCCUCGUCGAUCGGCCAAUAGCCCAAGCUCCUAAAAUUGUAGGCUUAGCGAUCGAUCAGACAAUAGUCGACACGGAUACAUUCAGGCCUCAUUUGGUUCAUAAGGUAGGAAAAUCGUAGCAAAAGUACAGAGACGUACAACACAAAAUCAUAGCAGUAUAGAGACGUACUCCCUCCGUUCCAAAAUAGAUGACUCAACUUUGUACUACUAACUUUGAAAUGGAGGGAGUACAAAUCCUAGGCGGGCUAGUUUGGCCUAGUGGAUUUCAGUGAUAUGACGUGGUACAGUGUCGUCCAGUCUUCGCGUGUGGUAGCAGUAUUGUGGGUAAAGUAAGUUUUCUUGAAGAAGCGGAAUUCAACGAAGUCAUGAUGGUUCCUUUGUCCGACCAACUUACAGUGGGAAAGGUUGGGCCUGCGCUACGACUGGGGUGGACCAGGAUAAUUUUGUGCAUGGUAGGUGGACCAGGAUGGUCGACGUCCCACAUGUCGGCGAAUGAAAGUAUUCUUUCCGAUAUAGAGGACGAGCAACGAGUAUUCAUUGUUUAUUUUUUAUGAAAGCUAUUGUCUCCAUUGUUACGUCGGAGGAGUGUGAAACACGGCAGCCCAGUGAACUUGGCAUGUGCACCACUCCCUCCUUCCUCAUGUAAUACUACCAUAGUGUUGACUAUAAGGUUGGCUAUAAGGUUACAACUUUUCUCACUUUCUCUCUAUCUAUUUCCUCUCAAAUGUUUUUUACCUUUCUUUUUUUUAGACACAAUUGUUUUUUAUGCCUCUUUUUUUAGAAUUAGUUUUUUUAUACCUAGGAGCACGUGUAGAGACGGGCUCUUGCAGAGCCCACUCCUUGAGUUUGUCAAUGCCUCUCUCUCCUCCACAUAAGCGGGCUUAUAGCCUAGUAUUUUACUGGUACUACUUGCUAUGAAUGCGAGCAGCUGGCGUCUGAGGGGGGAGCGCGCGCGGGGAGGUGGGGGGUUCUGGUGGGCCAAGGUGGUCAGAAGCGGGCUUGGAAGCGGUCCGGACUCCCGCAUGGCCCACCUCACAUUAUCACCAUAUAUUUCUUGGAGUCCGUGCAUGGCAGGCGGGCGAUCUCUUCUCCCUCCCCCGUCUCUCUCUUCUCAGCCGACUCCCGCCGAGCGAUUAGAUUUCGGCUAUCGAUGGUUUAUUCAAUUGCUGUCCCACAUGUCAGUGAAAAUGCAAGACAACGUGUGUCCCCUCUGGUGAGCGGCGUGCGAGCCGGACUGUCAAGGGUGCGAUGCGAACGCGACGCGUAUGAGUCGUAAGUGUGCCGCCUUUUCCUUUUGAACUUGCAAAGCAUAACAUUUUCGUGCGAUCGAUCGAUAGAAAUCCAGAACAAAAUGACGAGGGCAUUGCUUUCCCGCGCGUUAGGCGGGCUAGUUUGUGAUAUGACGUGCUACAGUGCCGUCCACUUGCUCUUUUUAUGUAAGCAAGAGUCUACACUCUUAAGUGGGAGGAGUGCGAAACACGGCGGAUCUGAUUUUGAUCGAGGGAUAACUGUUCCCUGCGAAAUAAUGGAGCGCUGUUAGCGAUUAUAGCAUGAUAGUUAGGGCAUCUCCAGCGCUGGCUCACAAAUUUACACCGGCAUCUGUCCGAGGACACUGAUGGAUGUCAUCCAAUGCUGCCCGCAUACCUUUCGACAACAGUAUGAACUAACCGGACGAAAUUCGUGCAAACAAAGCAAAUUUCAAAUUACAUUUCGAAAACUUAUCCUAUAAACUGGACGAAAUUCAUUACAUAUUUUGCACAAACCGUACUAAAACCUACUGUAAACCUAAUCUAAACGAUCGCCGGCGCCCGACCACCAUGUACGGCCAUGAACCCGAGAAAGCCGGCCAUUGCCUUUGCCUCCUCCUCAUCUGCCUCGAUAACCUCAUCCUCUGGAGCACAAGGUUCUGAAGAUUUCCGCCUCCACGUCGCCGUCAAGAGGCUAAUCGGCCGCCGAUGUUUAUCCCACCAAGCUUGGCGUCGACUGAGUGGAGGAGCGAUGGCCUUCCUGGGACCAGAGCGGCGGCGACCUACCAUGUACUACUCUUCCUCGCUACCGGCUGCGCCCGCGCACGCGCGCCGGCUUCGUGGUCGUGGCGGCAGAGGGCGGCCGGGGGGGAGCCGGCGAUCUCCUUCAUCUGCUCCUACGACAGUACGUCCAAGAGAGCUUUGGAGCGCGCCCGGAGCGGAGCCGCCGAUGUCCUUCGUCUGCUCCUGCGACAGUACAUCCAAGAGAGCUUUGGAGCGCCAGGAGGCCAUGGUUGGAGUGGUGCCGACAGAAGGAAGGGACCGGAGGAGAAUAGGUGUGGGUCUUUGGCUAUGGCUGGGAGCUGGGGCUCAAGUUAAUAUAGCGGGCGAAUGGCAAUGAACCGCGGUAGACGGAUGGACGACUGGCGCUGGAGUAGGUUCGCCAGCAGCCGCGUGUCAUUAAUGUGGGCGGUGAAUGGAAGUAUGGUCGCGGUGUCGUUAAAGCAGAGUAGUCACUUGCACCGGGAUGCCGCGCGGGUGGCGCUCUCUCGGCCGUCGCGCUGCUGCAAUGUCGGCGCCAGUGAGCAGUCGCGUCGGGCGUGAAUACGGAUGCUGCUUCAGUGACUUAACUGCAUGUGCGUUGGGUCACUGACAUGUGGGCCCGACGGGCAUCUGGCCCGCAUGUCAGUGACACACCAACUGCACCUGCAGUUAAGUCUGGUGAAUGCGGCAUUGACAUUCUGGAGAGACGGUGACCAUUUCAGGAGGGAAGCGCGUGCUAGCGAUGGAAGGGGUUUCGGUAGACCAGGGCGGUCAGACGCCGGCGUGGUGGUAAAAUGUGAACUCAUGGAUGACGAGCCUUUGAAGCGUAUGCGGCACGUAUUGACAACCAGGCAUCCAUGCAACCGCUCUUGCCGCCACCUAGCCUUCGAAGACCACCAUUAGACACCACACAACCAUGCAUAACUUACGAAUAAUGGACAAAUCGAUCAGACACACACUCGUGUGCAGUGGCACUAUGAUCGGUCGCUCACGAUAGUACAUACUACGUACCAUAGUACCCUCUCUAGCUAGGCUGUUUUAUAGAUUGUCGUUGUGAUGGACGAUAUACAUGAGCAAGGCGCUGAGUCACGAGUAUGACCGUUGGUGUUGAGCCAGGUGAAUACAUGCUCGGUGUUCACGGAGGCCUCCAGCGAACGUCUAAACAGUAAUGUCAGGCACUGCCGGGGCGCGCAGGCGACGGGAUCGCUGUCGGUGUCGAAACCGGCAGAUCUCGGGUAGGGGGUCCCAAACUGUGCGUCUAGGAUCGAUGGUAACAGGAGACGGGGGACACGAUGUUUACCCAGGUUCGGGCCCUCUCUAUGGAGGUAAUACCCUACUUCUUGCUUGAUUGAUCUUGAUGAAUAUGAGUGUUACACGAGUUGAUCUACCAUGAGAUCGUAAUGGCUAAACCCUAGAAGUCUAGCCUAUGUGAAUAUGGUAGUGAAUAUAUGCCUUCCGGACUAACCCCUCCGGUUUAUAUAGAUACCGGGGGGAUCUAGGGUUUACAUGGAGUUGGUUACAUAAGAAGGAAUCUUCAUAGUUGGUCGCCAAGCUUGCCCUCCACGCCAAGGAAAGUCCAAUCCGGACACGGGUAUAGUCUUCGGCCUUCGUAUCUUCAAAGCCCAUCAGUCCGGCCCAAUGAACAACAGGCCGGACGCCCGAGGACCCCUUAGUCCAGGACUCCCUCAGUAGCCCCUGAACCUGGCUUCAAUGACGAGGAGUCCGGCGCGCAGAUUGUCUUCGGCAUUGCAAGGCGGGUUCCCCUUUUUCCGAACUCCAAGAUAGUCUUCGGACGUGAUAAUCGUAUCCGGACCUGUUAUACACCAUACAUAGCUGCAGAGAGAACAUAAUAUUUGCACAAAUCUAAUCUGUUGACAGCUUCUUUUCAACACGACAUCGCGUCUGUCCGGUCAUAAUUUCGAACCGUUUUUCCUCUGCCAUCCCACGUCUCGAGACACGGUUGCUAUUGGCACGUCUUGUCGAAACAGAGAUUGUGUCCCCUUAUCGUGGGAUUCUCAUCAAUGCGGGCAUGGGUAACUCAACCGUGCCGUUUAUACAGCCCUUGGGAACAGGAGAAUCCUAAGGCGAGUGAGGAGGCGUUUAAUAUUUGUUGCCUUUAUAAGGAGAUAAGUGUUGGGAUUCGUAGCAUAAUUUUAAAAUUUUCCUACGCUCACCAAGAUGCAUCUAUGGAGUCUACUAGCAACUAGGGGAAGGAGUGGAUCUACAUACCCUUGUAGAUUGCGAGCGGAAGCGUUCCAAUGAACGUGGAUGACGGAGUCGUACUCGCCGUGAUCCAAAUCACCGAUGACCGAGUGCCGAACGUACGGCACCUCCGCGUUCAACACACGUACGAUGCAGCGAUGUCUCCUCCUUCUUGAUCCAGCAAGGGGGAAGGAGAGGUUGAUGGAGAUCCAACAGUACGACGGCGUGGUGGUGGAUGUAGCGGGUCUCCGGCAGGGCUUCGCCGAGCUUCUGCGAGAGAGAGAGAGAGAGAGAGAGAGAGAGAGAGNNNNNNNNNNNNNNNNNNNNNNNNNNNNNNNNNNNNNNNNNNNNNNNNNNNNNNNNNNNNNNNNNNNNNNNNNNNNNNNNNNNNNNNNNNNNNNNNNNNNNNNNNNNNNNNNNNNNNNNNNNNNNNNNNNNNNNNNNNNNNNNNNNNNNNNNNNNNNNNNNNNNNNNNNNNNNNNNNNNNNNNNNNNNNNNNNNNNNNNNNNNNNNNNNNNNNNNNNNNNNNNNNNNNNNNNNNNNNNNNNNNNNNNNNNNNNNNNNNNNNNNNNNNNNNNNNNNNNNNNNNNNNNNNNNNNNNNNNNNNNNNNNNNNNNNNNNNNNNNNNNNNNNNNNNNNNNNCCCUUUAUAUAGGCCCCUGGGGGGUGCGCCAGCCCCAAGAGAUGGGAUCUCAAGGGGGGCGGCGGCCAAGUGGGGGGGAAGGGGUGCCUUGCCCCCCAAGGCAAGGGGGAAGCUCCCCCCCUAGGGUUUCCAACCCUAGGCGCAUGGGGGGAGGCCCAAGGGGGGCGCCCCAGCCCACUAGGGGCUGGUUCCCUUCCACUUUCAUCCCAUGGGGCCCUCCGGGACAGGUGGCCCCACCCGGUGGACCCCCGGGACCCUUCCGGUGGUCCCGGUACAAUACCCGUAACCCCCGAAACUUUCCCGGUGGCCGAAACUUGACUUCCUAUAUAUAAUUCUUCACCUCCGGACCAUUCCGGAACCUCUCGUGACGUCCGGGAUCUCAUCCGGUACUCCGAACAACUUUUGGGUUUCCGCAUACAUAUAUCUCUACAACCCUAGCGUCACCGGACCUUAAGUGUGUAGACCCUACGGGUUCGGGAGACAUGCAGACAUGACCGAGACGCCUCUCCGGUCAAUAACCAACAGCGGGAUCUGGAUACCCAUGUUGGCUCCCACAUGCUCCACGAUGAUCUCAUCGGAUGAACCACGGUGUCGAGGAUUCAAUCAAUCCGUAUGCAAUUCCCUUUGUCAAUCGGUAUGUUACUUGCCCGAGAUUCGAUCGUCGGUAUCCCAAUACCUUGUUCAAUCUCGUUACCGGCAAGUCUCUUUACUCGUACCGCAAUGCAUGAUCCCGUGACUAACGCCUUAGUCACAUUGAGCUCAUUAUGAUGAUGCAUUACCGAGUGGGCCCAGAGAUACCUCUCCGUCACACGGAGUGACAAAUCCCAGUCUCGAUCCGUGCCAACCCAACAGACACUUUCGGAGAUACCCGUAAUGCACCUUUAUAGUCACCCAGUUACGUUGUGACGUUUGGCACACCCAAAGCACUCCUACGGUAUCCGGGCGAUCUCAUGGUCUAAGGAAAAGAUACUUGACGUUGGAAAAGCUCUAGCAAACGAAACUACACGAUCUUUUAUGCUAUGCUUAAGUUGGGUCUUGUCCAUCAUAUCAUUCUCCUAAUGAUGUGAUCCCGUUAUCAAUGACAUCCAAUGUCCAUAGUCAGGAAACCAUGACUAUCUGUUGAUCAACGAGCUAGUCAACUAGAGGCUUACUAGGGACAGUUGUGGUCUAUGUAUUCACACAUGUAUUACGAUUUCCGGACAAUACAAUUAUAGCAUGAAUAAUAGACAACUAUCAUGAACAAAGAAAUAUAAUAAUAACCUUUUAUUAUUGCCUCUAGGGCAUAUUUCCAACAGUCUCCCACUUGCACUAGAAUGAAUAAUCUAGUUACAUUGUGAUGAAUCGAACACCCAUUGCGUCCUUGUUGGGUGGUUGGUGCGACAUAUACCAAGGGAUGGCUUAUCAUUGUGGGAGCCAAUAAAACAUCGCCGGUGCCUGGAAACGGGAUGAGGCGAAGACAUGCACGCCGGCGAAUCUUACCCAGGUUCGGGGCUCUCCGAGGAGAUAACACCCCUAGUCCUGCUCUGCGGGGUCUCCGCAUGAUCACUAGAUCGAUAAAGGGUAGCUACAAUCGCUCCUAGAGCUGUUGGGAUCAAGGGAGAAGAAGAACAAGGCUAGCUCUUGCUUCUCUCUAUCUAUGUGUGUGCGUGUGCUAUGCUUGAAGGCCAAACAUGCAGAAGUGCGAACCAGAAGCGAACCCUUUGCAUGGGUGCUCCGGGGGGUUUAUAUAGGCCUACCCCCAGGGGGUACAAUGGUAAUCCGACUGGGAGCGGGUCCCAGCCGUCAGUGUCUAUGCUUGCCGGCUUCUCCACCGGCUGCUGGGUCCCGCCGGCGGCCGGCUACUUGGUCGACAGGCCGGCCCCACCGCCUAGGGCUUUGUCGGCGGCUGCUUACUGUAGCCGCGCCUCUGAUGAUGAGGGCUUUGUCGAGGUGAGCGUGGCUACAGUGGGCCGCCUCGGAGGCUAUCACUGUAGCCUCACCUCGUCUUGUCUCCUUAAUGGGGCUCCUGCUUCGAGGAAGGGCAUAGCCGGCUUCUGGAGGCCGGCUAUGCUCCCGGCCGACUAGGAAAAUCCGGGCCGCCUUCACGCCUCUCUCUGGCUGAAGGGGCCCGCAGUCCUUGGGUCGUACAGGAAUGGGUCGUGGAUGACGUCGAGGCUAACGUGGCUACAGUGCUGGGCCGCACGGGAGACCUCCCUCCCGUACGGCCUCCUGUAGCCAUGCCCGCCUCGGGCUUCGGGGGUCGUGGGCCGCACUGUGGCCAUGCCCCGUCAGGUCGUCGUUAUGUAGGAGUGGUUGUGGUCGUGGCCGGUUUCUAGGAGUCGGCGUCCUUCUUGGCCGGCUCCUUGGAGUCGGCGAGGCUGGGUCGCCUUCCGGGAGUCGGCUUUAGUGGUGACCGGCCGGGGAAGGCGGCCCAAAUGCUUGGAGUGCUUGAAGGCCCAAAGGCCUGAUAAAUUUUCUGAAGAGCCAGGGGUAGUCGGUUAGGCUACCCGUGGCCACUUACUCCGACAGUAGUCCCCGAAGCUGAUCGGCCUUCGAGGUGGAGUAGGGUUUUAGAAGCUCGAACAGCUUCCUAUCAUGACAAGCCGGCAGCUGGGAGCUGGCCUUGGUCAGGCACGCCGCCUGAGCCGAAAUCUUCUGGAGUCGGAGGGCGGGAACCCACUGGUACGUGCGCCGGGCCGCGGGCCGGCCACGGGCCGACGGCGCGCCACGUAGCCGGAAAGCCUGCCAGCCCACGCGCGUGACGGGAUGUUGCCGCAGCGAGGGGGCCCGCCACGUCCGUGCCCCGGCCCAGGCGCGGAUCUUUUGUAUCCCGAAACUGCCCGCACGUUCCGUGCGGCAGUUUCGGCUCGCACUUAUGCGUAAUAAACGCGAGGCGUGGGGGGAGUGGGCGCAGUUAAUCCCAUGUCUCCCCCCACGUCCGGGGUCUUCAGCCGCGUGAGGCUAUAAGUAGGGGGAGGCGGAGGGCGGCAGACCCUCGCACGCUCCUCCUACUCCCUUUGUCUUCUCGUCUUGCUCGUUCUUGCGACAGCGCCUCGCCGCCGCGCUCUUCCCCCGCACGCUCCUCCGCCGCCGUGCUAGCUUCCGCUAUGCCUCCUCACGUCGAGCAGCUUGGCGGGGAUUGGGAUGGCUCCAUCGUCCACAACGACCACAUCGACUUCCUCCGCGACACCCGGCGCCUGCCCAGCACGGACAAAGUGGAGGUCCGCCUUGCGCCGGAGAAGGAGGUCAGGCCGGCGCCGCGGGAUGGCGAGCGGGUGAUCUUCCGCUCGCACUUCCUGCGUGGCUUCGGACUGCCAGUGAGCGCCUUCUUCCGCUCCUGGCUGGACUUCUAUCAGCUCCAGCCGCACCACCUCACCCCCAACGCGGUGGUGCUGCUGUCGGCCUUCGUCACCCUGUGCGAGGGCCAUCUCGGCGUCCUCCCCACCCUCGAGCUCUGGGGGGAGUUCUUCCAGUCGAAGCUGGGUACGCGCGUGCGGGGCGUGCCGGCUCAGACCGGCGCCUUCAUCGCGUCACGGAGAUCAGGCGCCGACAACCCCUUCCCCAUCAUCACGCUGAUCCAAUCGGUGAAGAAGUGGCAGAAGUCAUACUUCUACGUGCGGAACAUGGUGAACUACCUCGUCAACUGCCAGCUUCCCGACGACUGGCAAUUCGGCAAGGAGCCAUACAACCGCGCCAAUCCUCCACCUACGGUACGCUCCCCUUCUCUUUUUCUCUUUUUCUCUCUCAGCUCUGUCGCCGAGUUCCUCUGGGCCGACUCUAACUCAGUCGGCUCACUCUUUUGACAGAAUCCUCUGCUUCGGCCGGCCGGCGGAGCGGACGUGGAACGCCGCUUCGUCCCCGACCGGACCGAGCACGACCAGGAGGACCCCGAUCUGGGGGCGGUCCAUAUGGAGGACGCCGCCAAGCCGGCUGGUGGCCAAGCCGGCGGCGAAGCAGGCGGCGCCGGGUUCUCCGCGACCUUCGACGACUGGCCGGACGAGGACGAAGCCGAAGCCGUCCCGCCCCGCUAGCCGGCCUUCGGACGCGGCGCGGGCUCCUCCGGCGCGCAGCCUGCUCGAGGUAGAGGCCAGAAACGUCGCGCCACCCAGGGCAUGUUCGGCAGCCGGACGAAGAAGCCGAGGGGUGGAGCGGCAGCCACUAGGCGGGAAGAAGCGGCCGCGAAGGCGGCUCGUUUCCGCAAAGUGGUGAAGCAGCCGCAGGCUGUGUCAGCGUAAGCUUUCUCUCUUUCUGUGUAUUCUCCUUCUUUCUUUUCUUGGGUGGUUUUCUGAACCUUUGUCUUCUUUUCCUUGAUCAGAGCUCCACUGUCACUCGAGCGGGCGGCUGCCUGCUCCGUUGUCGAGUCGCCAGGGGGCUCUGGGAGCACCACCCGCCGCGUAGAUCCCCGUGCCGCCCUCCUGGAGGCGACGGAAAGGAACGCGCGGGAGGUGCGGGAGGAGCAGGAAGCGCGGGAGGCGGUGGCACGGAGGGCAGCCGCCGCCCAGGCAGCUCGGGAGGAGGAGGCGGCGAAGGCGCUCGCCGAGGCUGCAGCCAAGGCCCAGGAAGAGGCUGAGGCCGAAGCGGUGGCAGGGGAGGCCUUGAUGGUCACCCCCCUGCGCGCCAUGGCGCCCGGGGACGCGGAUCCCUCGCCAGGGGGAGCCAGCGGUUCCCAGCCGGGUCUGGGCAGGAGCGGCGACGACGUUAUCCUCUUGAGGGAGGCGCCGGGGCCGACUCCUCCGACUAGGGCGGCCCAAGGCGGCCAGACUGAGCCUGCGCCCGCACAGUCGGCGGAAGGCGAGCCGGUCGCGGGAGCUGAGGUGGCGGUCCGGGUUCCGCCAAGCCGGCGCGCAGGGAAGGCCGCGUCGGAGCCGCAGAAGGCGGCGUCGGAGCCACGGCCGGCCGUGGGCUCCAGCUCGUCGGCCCGAGACGCGGAGGCGGCCAGCGCUACCUCCGGGUGGACGCCAGGCGGAGGGACAGCCGUGGUGAACAUCGCUGCACAAGACGUCCGGACCCGGCUCCAGGGCCAAGCCGCGGCGCUGAGGCAGUUCACCGACGAAUUCCUCGCGACGCGGGCAGCCAUCCGGGUUAGUAUUCUCAUUUUGUUCUUGAUUUUUCUCGUGGGGGCGCGUCAGCGCACCCACUGGGUGUAGUCCCCGAGUUCCGAGUCGGCUGCUGAGCAGGCGGCUUGGAACUUCUUGGAGAUUUUGUUUUUGCUGCUUUGUUCUUACUUCGGUCUUCUGUCCAUCUUGCAGGACUACCACAACCUCCGAGCAGCCGCCUUCAACUCCCAGGCUCGGGAGCUGACGCAGAAGACCGCCGAUCUCACUGAAAGCCGAGGUAUGUGACUUGAUCUCUAUCUCAUGUGGGGGCGCGUCAGCGCACCCACUGGGUGUAGUCCCCGAGAUUCGGGCCGACUGCUGAGCAGUCGGCUCGGAUCUUCCUUGAUGGUUUCUCAUUGUUCUUCUUCUCUAUCUCUGCAGCGGCCAACGCCAGUCUGAGGGCACAGCUGGGGGAGUCCCAGACUGCUCUUCGUGCCAAGGACGCGGAGCUCGCCGCCUUGGUGCAGGAGCGCGACCGCCUGGUCAAGAAGCUGGCCGACCAGGAGGAAGGCCACAAGGCUGCGCUAAAGGCUGUGCAGGAUCGUGAAGCCACCCUCCAGGCCGAGUUCGAGACGGAGGCGGCCGGCUGGGACGAGGCCAGGCAGACUCUGGUCUCCGGCUAUGGCCAGAUUGAGGACCUGGUUGACGGUAAGUCGUCUACUCCUUCAUCCUUUCUUGCCAACAGCCACUUCGGCUCGUUUUCCUGAUUUGGGGUUCUUCUUUUCUUUUCUUCUUUGCGCAGAGUACUUCCCCGGCUAUUCCACUGCCGCCAACCAGGCCAUCGAAGCUCGUCGCCAGGCGAAGAGGCAAGCCGGCUUCGAGAUCUCGCCGACCGCCGGCCGCUCGUUGGAGGAGCAGCUCCUGGCGAUCCAGGCUCGCAUCCAGCCGGCUCACAGGCUGCUCCGCCGGCUUCAGAGUGCCGGGUCACAGGUCCUGGCCGCCCUCUGGCCCGGCCAAGUGAUCCCGCGCACUCCCAGUCGGACCGCCGACUGGCUGGAGGUGGCCGUCGGCCGCUUCGAGGCUUGGAAGGCGUCAGCGGCUCGCUCCGGAGCCGGGCGGGCGCUGGAGUUCGUCAAGGCCUGGUACCCAGGCCUGAAUUUGGACCAGCUGGCCACCUGGCGGCAGCAAGCUGACACGGAGCUGGAGCCGGCGCGGCCGGCCAUCAUUCGGCGGGCUUCGGCGAUCGCCGACUACACCGACACCAACGUCUUCGCCCCCGAGGUGGACGACAAUGGAGUCGCCCAGCCGGAAGAUUGGUUCGGGCUGGACCCGGCGUGCGGCGAGGACUCGGCGGAGGAGAUCGACUCCAGCAACGAGGGCGAAGAGGAGGAGGAGGAGGGUGAAGACGUCGAGCCGGCUGGCGGAGUAGCCGGCCAGCCUGACCGUGCCUCCAGCACUACGUCGCGUGCGAGCGUGUCUCCUGCCGCAGGAGGUGGUCAAGCCGGGACUAGCUAGGCGGCCACUCCUUCAGCCGGCGAGCUACCUUCACCGACCCACUCGGCCUCCAAGUCGCACCUUAGUCUUCUUUCCUUUAUUUCCCUGUCUUGUUACUUUGAACAAUAUUUGGUUAAGUCUGCACAAUUCCACCCACUGGGUGUAUUCAAACUUAAGUCUGUUGCCAGCCUGUGGGCGGCUUUAUGUAUAUAAGUUAUGCAAUCGGUCUUUCCUUGUACUUUCGCUUUUUGUCCUUUUGCAUUUUUCCUUUGCCGCCCUCCUUUAGAUGCCGCCUCCCUAGUCAAACAGCUGCUCUGCAAACUGUAGCCGGGGAGUGCCUGGCCGAUUGGGGAGGGGGAAGUACUUUUAGCUCUGUCGGACUUAAGCUAAGUUUUUUAGAAAGCCGGCUAGCCGGCUGCUGUGACAGCCGGUAGGCAUAUACGGAGGCCGUCUUUUUGCUAUAUAGAUUAGUUGUUCCUUAGCCGUUUUUCGUGUGGGCGUCCUGUCUGUCUUCUCUCUUGCUAGUCGGACAGUCAGUUCUUUGAGCUGCGACUUUCAACAAGAGAGGACUUGGGAGCCGGCGCACUACUUUGCUGACUUCGGGAAGAACUUAGAAUAUAGCUCAAGGCGGCCAGUCCCCGGGCCGACUAGUCGGACCCGGUGCCGGACAAGAAUUCGAAAAUGUAAUAAUACAUUCAUGGAUAUGACACUCGUCAUUCAUAGAUAAAUAAAAGGCAGUCCCCGAGUACUGUUCGGGGGGGCUGUUGGUUUGUAACGUAAUACAAAAAGGGGGUAGCGUGAUACAUACUGCUUUUCAGCUGUAAAAUCGUCUUAGGAGGUUUGCGUUCCAUGGUCGCUCCGACUCCUUGCCGGAGUCGUCUCUCUUGCGUGCUCUUGGCUUUUGCGCGUCGAUCAAGUAGUAGGAGUCGUUGCUGAGUGCCUUGCUGACGACGAAGGGGCCUUCCCAAGGGGCCGAGAGCUUGUGCUGGCCGGCUAUUCGCUGGAUCAGCCGGAGCACAAGGUCGCCCUCUUGGAAGGAUCUUGGCUUGACCUUGCGGUUGUAGUAGCGGCGCAGGCCUUGCUGGUAGAUGGCGGACCGGCUGAGGGCUAACAGCCGGCCUUCUUCCAGUAGGUCGACGUCGUCUUCUCUUGCUUCUUUGGCUUCCUCCUCCGUGUACAUGGUGAUCCAAGGCAAGUCGAACUCGAUGUCUGUUGGGAUGACAGCCUCGGAACCGUACACAAGGAAGAAUGGAGUGAAGCCGGUUGACUUGUUGGGUGUAGUGCGCAGACUCCAGAGGACAGCCGGCAGCUCUUCGAGCCAGCAACCGGCCGAUCGCUCCAGUGGUACAACCAGUCGGGGCUUGAUGCCGGAGAGGAUAAGUCCAUUUGCUCGCUCGACCUGGCCGUUUGACUGUGGGUGGGCGACGGACGCUAAGUCCAGGCGGAUGCCCUGUGUCGCGCAGAAACGCGCCAGUGCGCCUUUGGCGAAGUUCGUGCUGUUGUCGGUGAUGAUGCUGUGCGGCAUGCCGUACCGAGUAGUGAUGUCGGUGAUGAACGUCACGGCAGUCGGCCCGUUCAGCUUCUUGAUGGGCUUGGCUUCGAUCCACUUUGUGAACUUGUCCACAGCAACGAGUAGGUGCGUCAUGCCACCGCGGGCUGUCUUGAAAGGGCCCACCAUGUCCAAUCCCCAGACGGCAAAAGGCCAGGUGAGGGGGAUGUUCUUGAGGGCAGAAGCCGGCAGGUGUUGUUUGGAACUGAAGACUUGACACCCUCUGCAGCUCCUCACUAUUUCUUUAGCAUCCUCCAAGGCAGUCGGCCAGAAGAACCCAUGGUGGAAAGCCUUGGCCACGAGGGAUCUUGAGGCGGCGUGGUGGCCGCAUUCGCCUUGGUGGAUGUCUUUGAGGAUUGCCACUCCUUUUUCUGGCUCGACGCAAUGCUGGAAGACUCCAGUGACGCUGCGCUUCACAAGCUCCCUAUUGAUUAUUGUGUAUGCUGCGGCUCGUCGUUGCACUAGUCUUGCUGCGAUCUCAUCAGUCGGCAGUGGUUGACUAGGAACUUGAGGAUGGGCUGGGCCCAUGAGGGAGCUGUGACUUCUUCUGCUGUUAAUGUGGCCACCAUGACUCGGGUGGGUGGGUUGGGUGUUGUAUUGGAGUCGACCGCCGCUUCUUGUGUCGUUGCAGUCCCCGGGCCGGGUUCUGAAGUCCCUGGGCCGGGUGCGACUACGUCAGUCCCCGGGGCAGUCGUCGAAGUCCCCGUGCCGCCUGCCGAAUUUCUUGAGCCGGAUCCGGCUGUUUCUGGCGCAGGCGGUAUGAAGGUGGAGUCCGACUCUGGAGACGACUUGAUGGACGGCUUGAGGAGGCGCUGGAGGGAGACGCCAGUCGGUAUGGCUUGUCGGGUGGAGCCGAUCCAUGCUAGGGCAUCUGCUUGGUCGUUGUCGGCCCUUGGCACAUGAAGGAACUCGCACCCUUCGAAGUAUCCGCUCAUCUGCUGGACGAGGAAGCGGUAGCUCGCCAUGUUCGCGUCCUUGGCGUCCCAGUCGCCAGAUGAUUGCUGGACCACUAAGUCGGAGUCGCCGUAGCACAGGAUCCGGCGUAUGCCGAGUUCUUUGGCUAGCCGGAGCCCAUGUACGAGCGCCUCAUACUCGGCCACGUUGUUGGAGGCGGCGAAGUGGAUCUGCAACGUGUACUUGAGCUUGUCGCCUUUGGGAGAGGUGAGGACGAUGCCGGCUCCCAAGCUGGUGCGCAUCUUGGACCUGUCAAAGUGCAUCCGCCAAUGGGUAGAGUCGGGAGCCGGCGGUAAGUACUGGGUCUCGGCCCAGUCGACGAGGAAGUCGGCCAAUGCUUGCGACUUGAUGGCGGUGCGGGGUUGAUAGAAAAUCGUGUAGGGCGCCAAGGCAAUGGCCCAUUAGGCCACCCGGCCGGAUGCAUCCCGGCUGCCUAUGAUCUCGGCGAGCGGGGCAGUGCACACGACCGUGAUGGGGUGCUCUUGGAAGUAGGGCUUCAAUUUCUUGGCAGCGAAGUACACCCCAUAGCACAUCUUUUGGUAGUGCGGGUAGUUUUGCUUUGAGCUGGACAGUACUUCGCUGAGAUAGUAGACCGACCUCUGGACCAGCUGAGCUCGGCCUUCCUCCGGGCGCUGGACCACAACAACAGUGCUGAUGACUCGGCUUGUCGCGGCGAUGUAGAGGAGCAUGGGCUCCUUCUCAGUCGGCGCAGCCAGGACAGGCGGAGUAGUCAACAUUUUCUUCAACUCAUGGAAGGCUUGGUCGGCUUGAUCAUUCCACUCAAAGUGAGUGGACUUCUUCAUGAGUCGGUACAGGGGGAGAGCCUUCUCUCCUAGUCGGCUGAUAAAACGGUUCAGGGAGGCUAAGCAGCCAGUGAACUUCUGCACAUCUCGCAGUUUGGUGGGAAUCUCCAUCCUCUCGAUGGCUUUGAUCUUGACAGGGUUGCACUCAAUGCCGCGUUCGGAGACCAGGAAGCCUAGCAGCUGGCCGGCUGGCACUCCGAACACGCACUUCUCGGGGUUGAGCUUGAUCUGGAAUCGGCGCAAGUUGGCAAAUGUUUCCUUCAGGUCUUCCAGCAAGGUACCACGCUUCUCUGUCUUCACCACAAUGUCGUCUACGUAGACGUGGGCAUUUCUGCCGAGUUGUUUCAAGAGACAUUUCUGCAUGCAACGCUGAAAAGUGGCACCGGCGUUUCUCAAGCCGAAUGUCAUUGUCAGGUAGCAGAAAGCUCCAAAGGGUGUGAUGAAGGCAGUCUUCAGGGGGUCGGCCGGGUCCAACUUGAUCUGAUGAUACCCUGAGUAUGCAUCCAAGAAACUUAACAGCUCGCAUCCGGCUGUGGAGUCUAUCACUUGGUCAAUCCGUGGCAAAGCAAACGGAUCCUUUGGGCAGGCCUUGUUCAGACUUGUGUAUUCUAUACACAUGCGCCACUUGUUAUUCUUCUUCAAAACCAGAACUGGAUUGGCAAGCCAUUCUGGAAAGAACACUUCCAUGAUGAAGCCGGCUGCAAGGAGCCGGGCUAUCUCUUCUCCCACGAUUCUUCGCUUCUCUUCUGAUAGUCGGCGGAGGGGUUGCUUGACCGGCUUCGCAUCAGCUCGGACAUGUAAUUUGUGCUCGGCGAAAUCCUUCGGGACACCCGGCAUGUCCUUUGGGGACCAUGCAAAGAUGUCUCGAUUCUCACGGAGGAAGUCGGCGAGCUCGCCUUCCUAUUUACUGUCCAAGUUCGCCCCAAUCACGGCGAACCUCUCCGGGUGCUCCGGGUCUAGAGGUAUCUUCUUCGUCUCUUUUGCAGGCUGGAAGGAGCCCUGCGCAUCACAGUCCUUGGGGUUGGGGGACAAGGCCGGCUGCUUGCCGGCCAUGGCCACAACCCGUUCCAACAUCUUCUUCUCUUCUGCCACCACGAGGGACUCGGCCAGCCGGCUGCUGGCCAUGGCACACUCGAUGGACUUCUUGUAGUCGCCGGCUAUCGUGAUGAUCCCUUUCGAGCUCGGCAUCUUCAUCUUCAGGUAGGCAUAGUGGGGCACAGCCAUGAACUUGGCCAAAGCAGGUCGGCCAAGCAGUGCAUGAUAGGGGCUCUCCAAAUCCACCACCUCGAACCAUAUUGCUUCCCGGCGAAAAUGAUCUUUGUCUCCGAAGAGAACAUCCAUCUUGAUCUUGCCGAUUGGAGAGCAAGAUAGGCCGGGUACGAUACCAUGGAAGACUGUGCGGCUCGGCAUGAGCUGCUUUGCUUUGAUGUUCAGCUUGUCCAUGGUAUCGCGGUACAGUAUGUUGAUACUGCUUCCGCCGUCUAUCAGGACGCGAGAAAAUCUGGCAGCUCGCCUCUCCGUCGCAAGGGUGAUGUCCAAGACCAUAGCAUAGGAGCCAGGCGAAGGCAUCACCUCUGGGUGGUCGGCCUGGCUCCAGCUGAUGGGCUUUUCCGACCAGUGCAUGAACUCGGCGGUGCUAGAGGCGACUGCGUUUACUUCUUGGUGCUGCCGGCGUCGGCUGCGCUUGUCGUCGACUUGACUUGUGAAGACGACGUAGGCGUCGUGCGCUUCGGGGAACUCGUCUUGGAUGGCGCCGACUGCCGGCCGGGCCGCCGGCUGCGGGGGAGCUGGAGGCGGCGGGCCGGGAGGCGGAGGCGGCACCAUCCCUUCGCCCUUGGUGGUGCGGGUGAGACAGUGGCAUUUCCGUGUUGUAUGGUUGGACGGCUUCGCGCCGCUGUGGAACUUGCAGGGAGCAUCGAGUGCUUGUUUGUAGGAGAAGGACGGCUGCCAAGGCGGCCGGCCUCCCUUCUUCUUGGGAGCACGCCGCUCUUCGGGCUGCUCGUCUUCAAUGGUGGCCACCUGCCGACUGGAGGAAGUCGGCAUGGGGCCCUUGCGCUUGUGGUCGUUCUGGUAGGGGCGCCGGUUGGGGUUGCCAGCCGGCUGCUUGGGAGCCGGGGCAACCACUUUCCCCGAGGCGUCCACUCGGAGCUCGGUCUUCAUGGAGGAAUCGGCAGUAGCGUAUUUGUCGGCGAUGACGAGUAGCUCGUCGAGGGUAGCCGGCUCGUCGCAGAGGAGUCGGUGCUUGAGGAGGGUGCCCUCUCGGCACCCGGCAGUGAAGUACUCGAUGGCCUGGACCUCGUGCACUCCCUCGCAGGAGUUGCGGAGCUCGGCCCAUCGCGUGAGGUAGUCGCGGGUCGACUCGUUGGGCCCCUGGACGCAGAGGGAGAGCUGGCGAGGCUUGGGAGGCCGCUUGUAGGUGCUGGUGAAGUUGCGGACGAAAACUUCGGUGAAGUCCAGCCAACUGUUGAUGCUGUAGGGCUUGAGGCUAUUGAGCCAUGUGCGCGCCGUGCCCUGCAGCAUCAGGGGGACGUACUUCACGGCAACGCGCCGGUUGCCGUUGGUGAUGCUGACGGCUGUGGAGUAGUCGAUGAGCCAAUCUUCCGGCUUCACCGAGCCGUUGUACUUGGGCGUGUCUCUGGGGAGCGAGAACCCUUUGGGAAAGGGCUCGUCGCAGAUGCGGGGGCCGAAGCAUGGCGGGCCGACAUCGUCUUCUUCUUCUAACACCAAGGAUCGAGCUAGGCGAUCGAUCCUGUGGCGGGCGUCGUUCUCGCCGACUCCUUCUCGGCGGCCGAGUCGGUCGCCAAGAGUCGGAUGCGUGACAGGCGGUGGAGUGAGGCGUCUUUCUCUUCGAGGCGGGGGAGGAGGCAGGUUUCCUUGGUGUUCAACCGCCCGAGGGCGACCAUCCGCGUCGCGCUCGAUAGUGACGCGAGUCCGGCUGCGGCUGGCAGCCGGCUCCUUGUCUUUCUUCUGACGCACACCGCUCGCAGUCGGCGAGCGGGACGUCGCGGCGUGCUCCCGGCGCGGGGGAUGGCUAUCAGCUCGGGCGCCGGCUUCGUGUCGUUCUGCAUCCGCGUCGAUCAGCUGCUGGAUCCGUCUCGUCAUGUAGGGGAGCUCAUCGACUCCCAUCCCACUGAGCUCCUCUGCAGCCGCCUGAGCGGCUCGCAGAUUCUCGAGCGGGGUGGCGUAGACGGGGCGAUCUGCGCCCAGCAUGCUGGCAACGGCUGCGCCGCGCUUCUGGACGAAGCCGGCUCGGCUCGGGCCGCUAGGCGGCGGCGUCCCGAAGGCGGCGCGGUCAACUUCGCGCUGGUGGGCCUCGGUGAGACGUCUCAUCGAGGCUAUCUUCUUGCCCUCCGCGAUGAGGGCACGGCGGCGUGCCUCCAGGGUCUCGGCGUCGGCGUCGGCCGGGAUGGGGACGGAGAGGUCGUGCAUCGCCGCUCGCUGAGCGUCGCGGGCGUUCUCGCCCGAGUCGGAGACGUGGCUGAUGACCAUCACUUCGGUGACAGCGCUGUUGCCGCUGUCAGCUCGAGGGAGUGGGUCGUCGAAGACCACCACGUUGGAGGGGUAAGCGUCGAGCGACGCGGUGUUGGAGUCGAUGAGCAUCGGGUCGGUGGAGCCGACAGACUCCAUGUCCGCGGCAGGCUCGCUGGAGACGUGAAGUUGGUCGAGGAGGCUGACAAGGCGGCUCUCGGGGUAGUCGGUGCCUGCGUCGGACGCAGGCUCGUCGGAGAUGCGAGUCUCGCCGAGCAGAUCGGCGAGGCGGCUCGCUGCGCAGGCGUCCUCGACGCCUUGCAGCGCGUCGGGGCAAGCGCCAUCGGGCGCAGCAGGCUGGCUGCGCUCGCGGGGAAGGAAGAGGGUUCCCGUCCAGAACAGGUCUCCGGACGACGGUGCACCUGGCCCCACGGUGGGCGCCAAAUGUCGGGUGGUUGGUGCGACAUAUGCCAAGGGAUGGCUUAUCAUUGUGGGAGCCAAUAAAACGUCGUCGGUGCCUGGAAACAGGAUGAGGCGAAGACAUGCACGCCGGCGAAUCUUACCCAGGUUCGGGGCUCUCCGAGGAGAUAACACCCCUAGUCCUGCUCUGCGGGGUCUCCGCAUGAUCACUAGAUCGAUAAAGGGUAGCUACAAUCGCUCCUAGAGCUGUUGGGAUCAAGGGAGAAGAAGAACAAGGCUAGCUCUUGCUUCUCUCUAUCUAUGUUUGUGCGUGUGCUAUGCUUGAAGGCCAAACAUGCAGAAGUGCGAACCAGAAGCGAACCCUUUGCAUGGGUGCUCCGGGGGGUUUAUAUAGGCCUACCCCCCGGGGGUACAAUGGUAAUCCGACUGGGAGCGGGUCCCAGCCGUCAGUGUCUAUGCUUGCCGGCUUCUCCGCCGGCUGCUGGGUCCCGCCGGCUGCUGGGUCCCGCCGGCGGCCGGCUACUUGGUCGACAGGCCGGCCCCACCGCCUAGGGCUUUGUCGGCGGCUGCUUACUGUAGCCGCGCCUCUGAUGAUGAGGGCUUUGUCGAGGUGAGCGUGGCUACAGUGGGCCGCCUCGGAGGCUAUCACUGUAGCCUCACCUCGUCUUGUCUCCUUAAUGGGGCUCCUGCUUCGAGGAAGGGCAUAGCCGGCUUCUGGAGGCCGGCUAUGCUCCCGGCCGACUAGGAAAAGCCAGGCCGCCUUCACGCCUCUCUCUGGCUGAAGGGGCCCGCAGUCCUUGGGUCAUACAGGAAUGGGUCGUGGAUGACGUCGAGGCUAACGUGGCUACAGUGCCGGGCCGCACGGGAGACCUCCCUCCCGUACGGCCUCCUGUAGCCAUGCCCGCCUCGGGCUUCGGGGGUCGUGGGCUGCACUGUGGCCAUGCCCCGUCAGGUCGUCGUUAUGUAGGAGUGGUUGUCGUGGCCGGUUUCUAGGAGUCGGCGUCCUUCUUGGCCGGCUCCUUGGAGUCGGCGAGGCUGGGUCGCCUUCCGGGAGUCGGCUUUAGUGGUGAUCGGCCGGGGAAGGCGUCCCAAAUGCUUGGAGUGCUUGAAGGCCCAAAGGCCUGAUAAAUUUUCUGAAGAGCCAGGGGUAGUCGGUUAGGCUACCCGUGGCCACUUACUCCGACAGUCCUGGUGUUGAUCAUGUUUUGCCCUAGGGAGAGGUUUAGUCAACGGAUCUGCUACAUUCAGGUCCGUGUGUACUUUACAAAUUUCUAUGUCUCCAUUUUGAACACUUUCACGAAUGGAGUUGAAGCGACGCUUGAUAUGCCUGGUCUUCCUGUGAAACCUGGGCUCCUUCGCAAGGGCAAUAGCUCCAGUGUUGUCACAGAAGAGAGUCAUUGGACCCGACGCAUUGGGAAUCACCCCUAGGUCGGUAAUGAACUCCUUCAUCCAGACUGCUUCCUGUGCUGCCUCCGAGGCUGCCAUGUAUUCCGCUUCACAUGUAGAUCCCGCCAUGACGCUUUGCUUGCAACUACACCAGCUUACUGCUCCUCCAUUCAAAAUAUACACGUAUCCGGUCUGUGACUUCGAGUCAUCCAGAUCUGUGUCGAAGCUAGCGUCGACGUAACCCUUUACGACGAGCUCUUCGUCACCUCCAUAAACGAGAAACAUAUCCUUAGUCCUCUUCAGGUACUUCAGGAUAUUCUUGACCGUUGUCCAGUGUUCCUUGCCGGGAUUACUUUGGUACCUUCCUACCAAACUUACGGCAAGGUUUACAUCAGGUCUGGUACACAGCAUGGCAUACAUAAUAGACCCUAUGGCCGAGGCAUAGGGGAUGACACUCAUCUCUUCUAUAUCUUCUGCCGUGGUCGGGCAUUGAGCCGUGCUCAAUUGCACACCUUGCAAUACAGGCAAGAACCCCUUCUUGGACUGAUCCAUACUGAACUUCUUCAAUAUCUUGUCAAGGUAUGUACUCUGUGAAAGACCAAUGAGGCGCCUUGAUCUAUCUCUAUAGAUCUUGAUGCCUAAUAUAUAAGCAGCUUCUCCAAGGUCCUUCAUUGAAAAACACUUAUUCAAAUAGGCCUUUAUACUUUCCAAGAAUUCUAUAUCAUUUCCCAUCAAUAGUAUGUCAUCCACAUAUAAUAUGAGAAAUGCUACGGAGCUCCCACUCACUUUCUUGUAAACACAGGCUUCUCCAUAAGUCUGUGUAAACCCAAACGCUUUGAUCAUCUCAUCAAAGCGAAUGUUCCAACUCCGAGAUGCUUGCACCAGCCCAUAGAUUGAGCGCUGGAGCUUGCAUACUUUGUUAGCAUUCUUAGGAUCGACAAAACCUUCCGGCUGCAUCAUAUACAACUCUUCCUUAAGGAAGCCGUUAAGGAAUGCCGUUUUGACGUCCAUCUGCCAUAUCUCAUAAUCAUAGUAUGCGGCAAUUGCUAACAUGAUUCGGACGGACUUCAGCUUCGCUAUGGGUGAGAAAGUCUCAUCGUAGUCAACCCCUUGAACUUGUCGAUAACCCUUAGCGACAAGUCGAGCUUUGUAGAUGGUCGAAUUACCAUCUGCGUCCGUCUUCUUCUUAAAGAUCCAUUUGUUUUCUAUGGCUCGCCGCUCAUCGGGCAAGUCAGUCAAAGUCCAUACUUUGUUUUCAUACAUGGAUUCUAUCUCGGAUUUCAUGGCUUCUAGCCAUUUGUCGGAAUCCGGGCCCGCCAUCGCUUCUUCAUAGUUCGAAGGUUCACCGUUGUCUAACAACAUGAUUUCUAGGACAGGGUUGCCGUACCACUCUGGUGCGGAACGUGUCCUUAUGGACCUACGAAGUUCAGUGACUUGAUCUGUAGCUUCAUGAUCAUCAUCAUUAACUUCCUCUCCAGUCGGUGUAGGCACCAUAGGAACAUUUUCCCGCGCUGCGCUACUUUCCGGCUCGGAAGGGGUGACUAUCACCUCAUCAAGUUCCACUUUCCUCCUACUCAAUUCUUUCGAGAGAAACUCCUUCUCCAGAAAGGACCCGUUCCUGGCAACGAAGAUUUUGCCUUCGGAUCUGAGGUAGAAGGUAUACCCAAUAGUUUCCUUAGGGUAUCCUAUGAAGACGCAUUUUUCCGACUUGGGUUCGAGCUUUUUAGGUUGAAGUUUCUUGACAUAAGCAUCGCAUCCCCAAACUUUUAGAAACGACAGCUUAGGUUUCUUCCCAAACCAUAAUUCAUACGGUGUCGUCUCAACGGAUUUCGACGGAGCCCUAUUUAAAGUGAAUGCGGCAGUCUCUAAAGCAUAACCCCAAAAUGAGAGCGGUAAAUCGGUAAGAGACAUCAUAGAUCGCACCAUAUCCAAUAGAGUGCGAUUACGACGUUCGGACACACCAUUUCUCUGAGGUGUUCCAGGCGGCGUGAGUUGUGAAACUAUUCCACAUUUCCUUAAGUGUGCACCAAACUCGUGACUUAAAUAUUCUCCACCACGAUCUGAUCGUAGGAAUUUUAUUCUCCUGUCACGUUGAUUCUCAACCUCACUCUGAAAUUCUUUGAACUUUUCAAAGGUUUCAGACUUGUGUUUCAUUAGGUAGACAUAUCCAUAUCUACUUAAAUCAUCAGUGAGAGUGAGAACAUAACGAUAUCCUCCACAAGCCUCAACACUCAUUGGACCACACACAUCGGUAUGUAUGAUUUCCAAUAAGUUGGUUGCUCGCUACAUUGUUCCGGAGAACGGAGUCUUGGUCAUCUUACCCAUGAGGCAUGGUUCACACGUGUCAAAUGAUUCGUAAUCAAGAGACUCCAAAAGUCCAUCUGCAUGGAGCUUCUUCAUGCGCUUGACACCAAUGUGACCAAGGCGGCAGUGCCACAAGUAUGUGGGACUAUCGUUAUCAACUUUACAUCUUUUGGUAUUCACACUAUGAACAUGUGUAACAUCACGUUCGAGAUUCAUCAAAAAUAAACCAUUGACCAGCGGGGCAUGACCAUUAAACAUAUCUCUCAAAUAAAUAGAACAACCAUUAUUCUCGGAUUUAAAUGAGUAGCCAUCUCGAAUUAAACGAGAUCCAGAUACAAUGUUCAUGCUCAAAGCUGGCACUAAAUAACAAUUAUUGAGGUUUAAAACUAAUCCCGUGGGUAGAUGCAGAGGCAGCGUGCCGACGGCGAUCACAUCGACCUUGGAACCAUUCCCGACGUGCAUCGUCACCUCGUCCUUUGCCAGUCUCCGUUUAUUUCGUAGUUCCUGUUUUGAGUUACAAAUAUGAGCAACCGCACCGGUAUCAAAUACCCAGGAGCUACUACGAGUACUGGUAAGGUACACAUCAAUUACUUGUAUAUCACAUAUACCUUGGGUGUUGCCGGCCUUCUUCUUGUCCGCUAAAUAUUUGGGGCAGUUCCGCUUCCAGUGACCACUUCCCUUGCAAUAAAAGCACUCAGUCCCGGGCUUGGGUCCAUUCUUUGACUUCUUCCCAGUAACUGGUUUACCGGGCGCGGCAACUCCCUUGCCGUCCUUCUUGAAGUUCUUCUUACCCUUGCCCUUCUUGAACUUGGUGGUUUUAUUCACCAUCAACACUUGAUGUUCUUUUCUGAUCUCCCCUUCCGCUGAUUUCAGCAUUGAAUAUACCUCGGAAAUGGUCUUUUCCAUCCCCUGCAUAUUGUAGUUCAUCACAAAGCUCUUGUAGCUUGGUGGAAGCGACUGGAGGAUUCUGUCAAUGACUGCGUCAUCCGGGAGAUUAACUCCCAGCUGAGACAAGCGGUUGUGCAACCCAGACAUUCUGAGUAUGUGCUCACUAACAGAACUGUUCUCCUCCAUUUUACAGCUGAAGAAUUUGUCGGAGACAUCAUAUCUCUCGACCCGGACAUGAGCUUGAAAAACAAGUUUCAGCUCCUCGAACAUCUCAUAUGCUCCAUGUUUCUCAAAACGCUUUUGGAGACCCGGUUCUAAGCUGUAAAGCAUGCCGCACUGAACAAGGGAGUAAUCAUCAGCACGUGAUUGCCAAGCGUUCAUAACGUCUUGGUUCUGUGGGAUUGGUGCAUCACCUAGCGGUGCUUCUAAGACAUAAUCUUUCUUGGCUACUAUGAGGAUGACCCUCAAGUUCCGGACCCAGUCCGUAUAGUUGCUGCCAUCAUCUUUCAGCUUGGUUUUCUCUAGGAACGCGUUGAAAUUGAGGACAACGUUGGCCAUUUGAUCUACAAGACAUAGUGUAAAGAUUUUAGACUAAGUUCAUGAUAAUUGAGUUCAUCUAAUCAAAUUAUUUAAUGAACUCCCACUCAGAUAGACAUCCCUCUAGUCAUCUAAGUGAAACAUGAUCCGAGUUCAACUAGGCCGUGUCCGAUCAUCACGUGAGACGGGCUAGUCAAGAUCGGUGAACAUCUCCAUGUUGAUCGUAUCUUCUAUACGACUCAUGCUCGACCUUUCGGUCCUCCGUGUUCCGAGGCCAUGUCUGUACAUGCUAGGCUCGUCAAGUCAACCUAAGUGUAUUGCGUGUGUUCCGAGGCCAUGUCUGUACAUGCUAGGCUCGUCAACACCCGUUGUAUUCGAACGUAAGAAUCUAUCACACCCGAUCAUCACGUGGUGCUUCGAAACGACGAACCUUCGCAACGGUGCACAGUUAGGGUGAACACUUUCUUGAAAUUAUUAUAAGGGAUCAUCCUACUUGCUACCGUCGUUCUAAGCAAAUAAGAUGCAAAAACAUGAUAAACAUCACAUGCAAUCAAAUAGUGACAUGAUAUGGCCAAUAUCAUUAUGCUCCUUUGAUCUCCAUCUUCGGGGCACCAUGAUCAUCUUCGUCACCGGCAUGACACCAUGAUCUCCAUCAUCAUGAUCUCCAUCAUUGUGUCUUCAUGAAGUCGUCACGCCAACGAUUACUUCUACUUCUAUGGCUAACGCGUUUAGCAAUAAAGUAAAGUAAUUUACAUGGCGUUAUUCAAUGACACGCAGGUCAUACAAAAUAAUAAAGACAACUCCUAUGGCUCCCGCCGAUUGUCAUACUCAUCGACAUGCAAGUCGUGAUUCCUAUUACAAGAAUAUGAUCAAUCUCAUACAUCACAUAUAUCAUUCAUCGCAUCUUCUGGCCAUAUCACAUCACAUAGCUCUUGCUGCAAAAACAAGUUAGACAUCCUCUAAUUGUUGUUGCAAGUUUUUUACGUGGUUUGUAGGUUUCUAGCAAGAACGUUUCUUACCUACGUAUGACCACAACGUGAUUUGCCAAUUUCUAUUUACCCUUCAUAAGGACCCUUUUCAUCGAAUCCGUUCCGACUAAAGUAGGAGAGACAGACACCCGCUAGCCACCUUAUGCAACUUGUGCAUGUCAGUCGGUGGAACCUGUCUCACGUAAGUGUACGUGUAAGGUCGGUCCGGGCCGCUUCAUCCUACAAUGCCGCCGAAACAAGAAAAGACUAGUCGCGGCAAGAAGAAUUGGCAAACUCAACGCCCACAACUGCUUUGUGUUCUACUCGUGCAUAGUAACUACGCAUAAGCCUGGCUCAUGAUGCCACUGUUGGGAUUCGUAGCAUAAUUUUAAAAUUUUCCUACGCUCACCAAGAUGCAUCUAUGGAGUCUACUAGCAACGAGGGGAAGGAGUGGAUCUACACACCCUUGUAGAUCGCCAGCAGAAGCGUUCCAAUGAACGUGGAUGACGGAGUCGUACUCGCCGUGAUCCAAAUCACCGAUGACCGAGUGCCGAAUGUACGGCACCUCCGCGUUCAACACACGUACGGUGCAGCGAUGUCUCCUCCUUCUUGAUCCAGCAAGGGGGAAGGAGAGGUUGAUGGAGAUCCAACAGCACGACGGCGUGGUGGUGGAUGUAGCGGGUCUCCGGCAGGGCUUCGCCGAGCUUCUGCGAGAGAGAGAGAGAGGUGUUGCAGGGGAGGAGGGAGGCGCCAAAGGCUGUUGUGUGCUGCCCUCCCUCCCCCCCCCCUUUAUAUAGGCCCCUGGGGGGGUACGCCAGCCCCAAGAGAUGGGAUCUCAAGGGGGGUGGUGGCCAAGUGGGGGGGAAGGGGUGCCUUGCCCCCCAAGGCAAGGGGGAAGCUCCCCCCCCUAGGGUUUCCAACCCUAGGCGCAUGGGGGGAGGCCCAAGGGGGGCGCCCCAGCGCACUAGGGGCUGGUUCCCUUCCACUUUCAGCCCACGGGGCCCUCCGGGACAGGUGGCCCCACCCGGUGGACCCCCGGGACCCUUCCGGUGGUCCCGGUACAAUACCGGUAACCCCCGAAACUUUCCCGGUGGCCGAAACUUGACUUCCUAUAUAUAAUUCUUCACCUCCGGACCAUUCCGGAACCUCUCGUGACGUCCGGGAUCUCAUCCGGGACUCCGAACAACUUUCGGGUUUCCGCAUACAUAUAUCUCUACAACCCUAGCGUCACCGGACCUUAAGUGUGUAGACCCUACGGGUUCGGGAGACAUGCAGACAUGACCGAGACACCUCUCCGGUCAAUAACCAACAGCGGGAUCUGGAUACCCAUGUUGGCUCCCACAUGCUCCACGAUGAUCUCAUCGGAUGAACCAUGGUGUCGAGGAUUCAAUCAAUCCGUAUGCAAUUCCCUUUGUCAAUCGGUAUGUUACUUGCCCGAGAUUCGAUCGUCGGUAUCCCAAUACCUUGUUCAAUCUCGUUACCGGCAAGUCUCUUUACUCGUACCGCAAUGCAUGAUCCCGUGACUAACGCCUUAGUCACAUUGAGCUCAUUAUGAUGAUGCAUUACCGAGUGGGCCCAGAGAUACCUCUCCGUCACACGGAGUGACAAAUCCCAGUCUCGAUUCGUGCCAACCCAACAGACACUUUCGAAGAUACCCGUAAUGCACCUUUAUAGUCACCCAGUUACGUUGUGACGUUUGGCACACCCAAAGCACUCCUACGGUAUCCGGGAGUUGCACGAUCUCAUGGUCUAAGGAAAAGAUACUUGACAUUGGAAAAGCUCUAGCAAACGAAACUACACGAUCUUUUAUGCUAUGCUUAAGUUGGGUCUUGUCCAUCAUAUCAUUCUCCUAAUGAUGUGAUCCCCUUAUCAAUGACAUCCAAUGUCCAUAGUCAGGAAACCAUGACUAUCUGUUGAUCAACGAGCUAGUCAACUAGAGGCUUACUAGGGACAGGUUGUGGUCUAUGUAUUCACACAUGUAUUACGAUUUCCGGACAAUACAAUUAUAGCAUGAAUAAUAGACAAUUAUCAUGAACAAAGAAAUAUAAUAAUAACCUUUUAUUAUUGCCUCUAGGGCAUAUUUCCAACAAUAAGGAUUCCCCCUUCCUCUUCUCACGCUCUUUCUCCGUCUCCGCCUCUCCGAUCUCAAGCUCGAGCGCCCAAGUUCUCAUCUCCUUUCCACUCAAGCAACCAUGUCCGGAUCCGGUGGUCAGGGCAAGUGGAUGGUCUCCUCCGUCAAGGAGGAGGACAUUACUGAGCUCCGGGCAGCCGGAUAUUUGGCGAAGGAGAUCGCCCACCGCCUGCCGGCCGAGGUACAAAUUGUCCCCAUGCCGAAGCCCACUGAGAGGGUAGUAUUCAUCCCCCAUUUCUUCCGCGGGCUAGGGUUUCCACUCCACCCUUUUGUCUGCAGGCUAAUGUAUUAUUACGGAAUAGAUUUCCAUGAUCUGUCCCCGAAUUCCUUCCUCAACAUCUCGGCGUUUAUCAUCGUGUGCGAGGCCUUCCUCUGCAUCCAUCCCCACUUCAGGCUGUGGCUCAAAGUCUUCAAGGUGAAGCCAAAGGUGGUGGAUGGCCAGCACGCGGAGUGUGGAGGAGCCAUGGUGAGCAAGCUAUCCAACGUCUCCUGGCCCAAAGGCACUUUUGUGGAGACAGUAAAGGAAUGGCAGAAGCAGUGGUUCUACAUCACAGAACCUCGCGGCACCACCUGGGCCGCGGCUGCCAGAUUCUGCUCCGGUGCUCCCAUGCGACUCACCUCCUGGGUCGAGAAGAGUCCGGACUGGAGUUCACCUGACGAGCUGAUAGCGUUGCAGACGCGCGUUCAAAGCAUGGUGACCAAGAACUUCAAGCUCGUUGACGUCAUCUAGGUGAUGCUGGUCCGCCGGAUUCUUCCGUGCCAGCGCCGGAGCCGCCCUUUGUGGGAGUUCAAUUCGAAGAAGCACUAGACCUUGAAAAGGCUCUUCGAGACUUCUCACGAAGGGGCCUGGAAGUUGCUCUUUAAGGGCAACGAGAAGCCACCGGCCACGGACUCAGACCGUGGUCACGAUUGUAAACACCCCGCCAGCGAGGUAUGUUUUCUCUGACGUAUCCCCGACUUAAAUGUUUCGAGGAUGAUUCUAAGUUUUUAUUAUUUCUCUUUCAGGACUGGAUGGAGAGGGCGAGGCGGAUCCGGUGUCCGGCCCCGCUGCCUGAAGAACCUGUCAUCUCGCGCCUGGCGAAUAUGCUGGUGCCGGUGCCAUAUAAGGCGCCGGAGAAGAAGGCCAAGAAGAAGGCCAAGGGGGCCAAGAGUGGCCCCCGUCGCAAGGGCAGUCCGGACGUGACGUCCGAAGACGACGAAGCUCAUUCCUCUGUACCUGAGGACAAUGACGAGGAAGAGGAGGAGGAGGAGGAGAACAACCCUCCCCCCGAGGAGAAGAAGAAGAAGAGGGCGGCUUCGGCGCAUCUGGAGGCGGAGACGCCCAAGAAGGGGAAAGGCGUCCCAGCGGUCAACACCUCAUGGGAUGUCGACAGUAGUCCGGAACAACGCCCCCGUACUAAGCCCCAGGCCGCAUCGUAAGUGACGUGGCUUGCUCGCGCGCACAUCCGGCCCUUUUUCUCCAUUUAUCUUUGACAUAGUUUAACUGUACUAUUGCAGUCCGGCCCGUGACCUUAUCCAGCAAUCCUCAUCUGAAGGCUCGUUGGCUCCGUCGGAGAUGGCGAGCAUGUCGCCACCGCCCGCUUACUCCCCUGGGGCUAGGGAUGACGCCGAAGUGCUGUCCCGAAAGACCGCUCUGAACUAGGGAGGAGCCCAGGACGUUGUCCGGGAGGCGCCACAAGGCGGGACCUCCACUGCCGGACACAUGAGGGAGCCAAUCCCCAUGGAGACUGGCGAAGAAGGCCGUAUCCAGUUCGGCUCUCAGCCGAAUACGAUUCUAGAGACCCAUAUGGCUCCGGAGUCGGGCGAGCAGCCCCCUUUGAAGGAGAGGGGUGCGCCGCCUCCACCGGUGGCUCCUGUCCAUCCAGGAGCGUCGGAUGACCUAACGGGGGCGCUACGAAGCGCCUCCGUCGUGGACGAGCAUCGUGUCCUUAUGGGUGCGGUGAUCGAGAAGGUUCAGUCCACCAAGAGCGGACUGAAUGAAGCCUGUAGUAGCCUGUUAACAGGUUUCGAGGUAAGAAAGAGAGAAAAACCCGAAUAGUCCGUAGCCCCUAAGACGUUGUCCGGUGUUCAGCGAGAAGAACCGGACAGGGGAUCAAUCCUUAAUUAUAAGAGGCUGACUGAAUAUAUAUCGAUAAGCAGGCGUCCCUAUUGGUCGCGACCUCGCAUGCUACCGAGGUCUCCGAACUGAGGCGGAGGCUGGAGCGGACCGAGAACGAGCUCGGCGAGGUUAAGGUUCGGCUCCAGGAUCAGCAAGGUGAGUAACGACUUGUUGUAUGUUCGGGAAAGGAUAAGCGCUGUAUAUUGACAAUGGUAUUGUGAUACAUGAAGAAGCCGCGACCGAGGUCGAGGCCCUGAGGAAGGCCCUAGGCGAGGCCGAGGAGCAGGCUGUCCAGCAGCAAGAUGCCCGUAAGAAGCUAGAGGCCCGGGUCAAAGAAGUCCAGCAGGAGCUCCAGGAUGCGGUUAACAAAUGUGAGACCUUGGAGAAUGAUGCAUCGGCUCAAGGGGCCGAGCUCACCAAGGCUCGUCAGAGCACGGAGACCGCUCGGAAUGAGGCCCAGGCCGCCCUCCAGGAGAUCCAGGAGGCCAAGAAGAUCACAGCGGGUAAGGCUUUUAAUAUGCAAAGCAAGUACGCGGAGAAGCAGUACCUUUUACUAACCCGGGUUCGGAGUUCCCCAGGGGCUUUUGCUGAUCUACCACACAGUGUAUCGGACGCCGUGGAGUUCUAUCGAGCCGAAGGAGGGGGUUCCACAGAGAAGCUCUUCUGGUCGUAAUAUGCGGUGCCAGAGCCUCCCAUGUCCUUCACCGAUCAGCUGAAACAGCUGGUGGAGCUGCACAAGGUGGCCGAAUUAGCCAUGAAGAAUUUGACAAUCCGGCUAUGGCCAGCCGAAGCUAUGCCUGGCAGCUACUUCAGACUCGUGAGGCGGAUGGUAAACGCAUGUCCUCGGCUGGACGUCAUCAAGCGCUCCGCCUGUAUUGAAGGUGCCCGUAUGGCCUUCGCUUGCUGCAAGAUGUGGUGGGCGAAGAUGAACGCUGUUGAAGUUGCCAGCGGGCUGCCGGAGGGCAAGGAGCACCGCACACCCGAGCAAUAUUUCGCGGAUGUCGUAGAGGGGUCUCGACUUGUGGCGGCGCAAUGUUCGUAGGACAUUGUAUUUAAAUAAAUGUAUUCGUGUUGCCCUUUGCCUUGUAUUAUAGGAACAAAGCCGGUUUUUGUAAAAUAAUUUUAUUAUGCUUUGAAUUGUUUCCUCCUGUGUAGCCGUGUUAUUUGUAAUCUGAGGGUUGGCUAGCCGUCGGCUUCUGCCCUCGCGUAGGUAGUACGGAGGUGUUCGGAAUGGAUUCUAAACAAUCUUGAUCCAAUUAUAUGGUCCCUUGGAGGAUUUGUUUAGCGCAACGAACAAGGCAAUCGGACUGUACGGCUUAAACGCCCUCACUUAGCCAUAGGAGUUUUAUAAUUAAGCAAGUGCGCAGCCCCUGGUCCAAGCUAGGGUGCUGUCGGCGUCUAAUCGGGAAGUGUCGAUCCUUCGCAUGAUGCGGAAAAAAUCUCCAAUGAUUUUGUAACCCUCGAAUAGCUGACCGGCUCUCGCCGUAUCAUGACAGACAAUUUUCGGCUUUCUCUACUGAGGUGCUCAUAUGGUCAAGGCCAGGGCACAAUCGCAGUAGUUCUCCCUUUACUAACCUAGCCGAUAGAGCGGAACGUAGGGUAGCAAGCAUAGGAGCCCGGCAACCCAACUAUUGACCAAAGACAUGAUUCGGAGCCAAUGCAUAUAAUGCUAAAUUCGGGGUGCCGAACUUAUAUAUAAGAAGUGUUCGGACUUUGCUGCCGUAUUGUGGGGCGACAAGUAGCCCCUGGCGAAUAUGAAACGUAAAAGAGUGUCGAUGCAGCAAAUAAGCAAAUCGAAAUAAAAUGAAGUAAGAAGCGAAAACCAUAGAAACUGGGCCACGAACCAUUUUUAUUAUAACUGGAUGGAUACGUCAAGGUGUAUCUUGUAUAGAUGGUGCGAUAAGUAUCCGGGCCUACACACCUGUGCUGCUUGCCUCCGUUGUAUGCCAAUCCUUCUAAAGGACUCGCGAUCAGGCCCGUGGAAAAAGGAACCUGAAACAAGAAAAAAAAAGUAAAAGUGCGUGUGUUCGGGAUCUGUCUGGCCGAACUGUAGACCCCGGGUUAUCUUGUGCCUCCGUCGAUGUCCAUGGAAUUUUGAGUGCGUAAUUGUGUACGCGUGGUACGAAUGCCACUACCUCAUUGGGACUGGGACGGAGGCCGAAUUGCUAGUCGAGCACUUGACGAGCCGCACCGUCCUGUUGCAGUGAAGUCCGGAACCUCUUAAUGAUGUCCGAGGGCUCGACAGCCGUACUAUGGUGCUUCUUGAGAAGGCCGCUCUGUACUUCUGCUGCUAGGGCGGCGGUGUGCUCCUCUGUUCGGAGGGAGCGUUCCGUAUUGCCAUUGACUGUUCUGACGCCGAGUGGACCGGGCAUCUUGAGCUUGAGAUAAGCAUAGUGUGGCACUGCACUGAAUCUAGCAAACACGGUUCGUCCGAGCAGUGCGUGAUAGCCGCUGCAGAAGGGGGCGAUAUCGAAGAUUAACUCUUCGCUUCGGAAGUUUUCCGGAGAACUAAAGAGUACCUCUAGCGUGAUUGAGCCCGUACAGCGGGCCUCUACGCCUGGUAUGACUCCUUUAAAGGUAGUCUUUGUUGGUUUGAUUCGCGAGGGGUUAAUGCCCAUCUUCCGCACUGUGUCCUGAUAAAGCAGGUUGAGGCUGCUACCGCCAUCCAUCAGGACUCGUGUUAGGUGAAACCCGUCAAUAAUUGGGUCGAGGACUAGUGCGGCCGAACCGCCAUGGCGGAUACUAGUUGGGUGAUCCCGACGAUCGAAGGUGAUCGGGGAUGAUGACCACGGAUUGAAUUUUGGGCGACUGGCUCUACCGCGUAGACGUCCCUAAGUGCUCGCUUACGCUCCCUUUUGGGGAUGUGCGUAGCGUAUAUCAUGUUCACCGUUUUGACUUGAGGGGGAAAUUUCUUCUGCCCCCCAGUGUUCGGCUGCCAGGGCUCUUCGUCCUCGUCCUCACUUUGUGAUCCCUUUUCUUUUUUCGGCAUUUAACUUGUCGGCCUGCUUGAAGACCCAACAAUCCCUGUUGGUAUGAUUAGCUUGCUUAUCCGGGGUGCCAUGAAUUUGGCACGGACGGUCGAGUAUGCGGUCCAGGCUGGAAGGUCCUUCGCUGUUUCUUUUGUAGGGCUUCUUCCGUUGGCCGAACUUGGAGCUACUGAAUCCGGCGUUGACUGCGGUGUCAUCGGUGUUGUCGCCAUUGCUUCGGCAUUUGUGUCUAUUGCGCCGGAGCUUUCCAGUGCUGUUCUUGGCCUCAGUGGGGCUUGCCUCGCUGGCUGUGUUUUUACUACGAGCCAGCCAGCUGUCCUCACCCGCACAAAAGCAGGUCAUGAGUGUCGUGAGGGCUGCCAUAGACUUCGGCUUUUCUUGGCCGAGGUGGCGUGCUAGCCAUUCGUCACGGAUGCUGUGUCUGAAGGCUGCUAGGGCCUCGGCAUCCGGACAGUCAACGAUCUGGUUCUUUUUGGUUAGGAACCUAGUCCAGAAUUUUCUGGCUGAUUCUCCAGGUUGUUGAACUAUAUCGCUUAAGUCAUCAGCGUCUGGUGGCCGGACAUAAGUUCCUUGGAAGUUAUCAAGGAAAGCCUCUUCCAAGUCUUCCCAGCUGCUGAUGGAAUUCUCAGGCAGGCUAUUUAACCAGUGCCGAGCUGGCCCUUUGAGCUUUAAUGGGAGGUAUUUGAUGGCGUGGAGGUCAUCUCCUCGAGCCAUAUGGAUAUGGAGAAUGAAAUCCUCGAUCCAUACUGCGGGAUCGAUUGUGCCAUCGUAUGAUUCAAUGUUGACAGGCUUGAACCCCUCGGGGAAUUCGUGAUCCAGUACUUCAUCUGUGAAGCAGAGAGGGUGUGCGGUGCCGCUAUAUCGGGCUGCGUCGUGGCGUAGCUCUGAUGGAGUCCGUCUGCGGUAUUCAGCCCGGGCGUGGUUAGGUUUAUCACGUCCGAAUAGGUAGCCCUCGUCGUGCCUCGAGGCACGUCCUCGCGAUCCGUAGAUCGAUCUUGUAUGUCCUGCUCUACUGUCCAGGGUCUGCCGGAGGUCGUACGUGUGACCCCGAACUCUUCCGUUUCUGUUUUUACGGGGCGGUGGGGCAGGCUGCUGUUCGGCCUGAGUUGCCGCUUUAUCCCGGCCGCGGGGUGGCCGGUCGGCUGCCCUGUCUCGACCACGUGGUGGUCAUUCUGCACUAUGCGAGGGAGAUGUGUGCUCCGGUGCUUCCUCAUCGAAUUGAGGUAGUAGUCUGCGUUUCAGGUAGCUCUUGGCUGGGCGCCUGAGGCCGUAUUCUUCGGCUGUCAGGACAUUAGUCCAUCUAUCGACGAGCAGAUCUUGUUCAGCUUGGAGCUGAUGUUGUUUCUUUUUCAGACUCCUUGCAAUGGCUAUGAGCUGAAGCUUAAAGCGCUCCUGCUCCAGAGGAUCCUCCGGCACGAUGAAGUCUUCGUUGCCGAGGCUUGUCUCCUCCCCGGAGGGUGGACGGUAACUAUCGUGCUCCGAGUCAUCUUCUAUGGCCUGUUCAUCAGGGUUAUCUUGCCUGUUUGCCGUGUUCCUCCUGAUCGGAUGCAGCUCCGACAGGGUCUUCAUUGUUUUCGGCAUCGCCUGGAGUACUAUUUUCUCCGGUGCCGGUGUUGCCGUCCCUUGAGCGACGAGGCUUAGGGCGGCGUUUGGGGCGUCGGCGCUUCGACUGUAUCUUAGAGAUUUUAUUCGCAUCUGGCUCUUCUUUGUCGUCGCCAGAUCCUUUGGGUGUAUCAACCAUGUACACGUCAUACGAAGAGGUAGCCGUCCAGCGUCCGGUGAAUGGCGGGUCUUGGCCUUGCUCCUUAUCGGCAUCAUCGUCCAUACCGUCGAUGUCUUCGGAGCCAUAGUCAAGCACGUCGGUUAAGUCAUCGACGGUGGCUAUGAAGUGGGUGGCGGGUGGGGAGCAAAAUUCUUCGUCAUCCGUCUCUAGCUCGAACCGGACGUAAUUCGGCUAUGAGUCCUUCUCCAAGGAAAAAUUCUUUAAAGAUUUUAGCACGUCACCCAAAGGCGAGUGCUGGAAAACGUCAGCGGCGCUGAACUCGGAGAUCGAUAACCGAUCUAGCUCGGUGUCCGCGGGCAUACACAGUCCGGAACUUAUAGCCGGAGACAAGUCCGAAGUUCCGUUGAAGCGAAUAUUGCAGGGCGUUGAGUCCGUGUGCGGCUCUAACGCCGCGGAUUCUGCGGCCUCGGAUGGCACGAUCUGCUUUGGCCCUAAGGCCGUUGCAGCAGCCGGAACCAUCUCUUGGGUGUGAUCCGAUGACAGAUUUAAGUCACGUUCAUCGGGGUGAGGGGGAGCGAUCGCCGCGGGCUCAAAUCCCUUGAAGAUCAAGUCUCCACGGAUAUCCGCGAUGUAGUUCAAGCUUCCGAAUCUGACCUGAUGGCCAGGGCGUAGCUGUCGAUCUGCUCUAGAUGGCCAAGCGAGUUGGCCCGCAGUACGAAGCCGCCGAAUGCGAAGGUCUAUCCAGGGAGGAAGGUUUCUCCCUGGACAACGUCAUUACUGACGAUCAAAGGGGCCAUCGAGCCCUUUGCCGACGGCACAGUGGAACUCUCAAUGAAAGCACCAAUGUCGGUGUCAAAACCGGCGGAUCUCGGGUAGGGGGUCCCGAACUGUGCGUCUAGGACCGAUGAUAACAGGAGACGGGGGACACGAUGUUUACCCAGGUUCGGGCCCUCUCUAUGGAGGUAAUACCCUACUUCCUGCUUGAUUGAUCUUGAUGAAUAUGAGUGUUACAAGAGUUGAUCUACCACGAGAUCGUAAUGGCUAAACCCUAGAAGUCUAGCCUAUGUGAAUAUGGUAAUGAAUAUAUGCCUUCCGGACUAACCCCUCCGGUUUAUAUAGAUACCGGGGGGAUCUAGGGUUUACAUGGAGUCGGUUAAAUAAGAAGGAAUCUUCAUAGUUGGUCGCCAAGCUUGCCCUCGACGCCAAGGAAAUUCCAAUCCGGACACGGGUAUAGUCUUCGGCCUUCGUAUCUUCACAGCCCAUCAGUCCGGCCCAAUGAACAACAGGCCGGACGCCCGAGGACGCCUUAGUCCAGGACUCCCUCACUCGCCGUUUGUGUUGCGCCAUGAGCAGGACUUUGAUUGAGAGGGCGACGUGCAUGCAUUAGCAUGGUUUGCCAGCGUGAGCGUGAGUGUCUGCACGCGUACAUGCUACUUGCCUCUAUGGACGGUGUGCGCUAAUGUGUGCAUCACGUAUAAUAUAAAAAAUGGUUUGUGCAUUUAACGCAAAGUAUUUCAUUUUCAUUUGGCUGACGAGUGUGCGUUGCAGCGAUGAGUCUGUGGUUUGAUUCCUCACAUACGCACAAUUUUGGUUUUCAUUUCUUUCUCCACUGAUAGGUAGGCCCGCAUAGAUAGAUAGAUAAAGACCACGAGCUGAUGAGGCGCAUGCGGACUGUUUGACUGGUCGACCAGAUAAAUACGGAGCUAUACGCUGAGCCAGUGACCGUAUAAUCACCAUAUCUCCUAUACAAUGAUCAAAGUGAGCUAUCAAGACAAGUUCGAUGACCGCCAAUGCAUUUUACUCGGUAAUAAAUGACCAGGAUUGAAGGGGAAUCCAAAUUUCCUUCGUCUUCUGUCCUUGAGCUCUUGACAAACCAAUGCACUAUACGGUUGUCCGGCCACUCCACCCCAGAGCUGUCAUGAAGCGUCGUUCAUGCCACCGCGCCACACACUAACCGGUAAGGAAGCGAUGGCAUCCCGCCGCGCCGAGUUCCUCGCCGCCCACGACUGCACACAAAAUGGUAGGGAAGUGAUGGCAUCCCGCCGUGCCGAGUUCAUCGCCGCUCGCGACCUCACACCUACGUGGGCGGAAAUUGAAGCUGCCAAGGCCGAAUGGGCGGUAGAGCAAGAGGCGGCCAAAGCCGCACAGAGGGAGCGGAAAAGUCAGAAAGCACUCAAGAAAAGAGAGGCCCGCCACCGCAAGAAAGAAGAGGACGCACGCGCUGCUGCGGAGAGGUCGGCGGAGAUCCAAGCACGGUGGGGUGUCGCCGAAAAAGCCGGGAAGGAGAACGACGGCGUCUGGCCAGCAUGUGAGAAGUAGUAGUACUAGUAGUUAGUGUGUGUGUCUGUGUCACCCAUACAAUUGUUUAAUUAAUUACGAGCAUGUACCAGUACUAGUUACUGCUGUAGUUUUUAGAGCAAAUUACCAGUACAUUAGCCUAGACUCAAUGGAAAAAUUCCUAUCCUAUGCAUCAAAUGGCAUCUGUUUCUCUAUAGGAAUUGAGAUGCAUGUCAUCUCACUUCCUAUGAUUUUCAUAUUCCUAUAAAAUUCCUAUCCUAUGAACCAAAAGAGGCCUCUGCUGGAGUAACUAAUGUAGCUAGCAGUACUGCUGGUACAGUAGUUUUCGUCAAGCAGCGGAAUUCAACGAAGUCAUGAUGGUUCCUUCGUCCGAGCAACUACACUGUGGGAAAUCUUGGGCAUGUGAUUUGACGGCUCAUUAGUCAUUAUUACUGUGGCGCGACGACCGGGGUGACUCUCCCUUGGAGUUCUGCGUGCAUGGCAAGUGGACCAGGAUGGUCGACGUCCCACAUGUUGGCGCACGGAAGUAUUCUUUCCGAUAUCGAGGAGCAAGGAAGCGCGCGCCAGCAAGGGAGGGGGGUUGGGUCAGCCAGGGCGGUCAGAUGCGGGCGUGGUGGUGGUAUUGGUUUUGAACCGUUUCAGGUGUAGUACUGGUAGUUUGUAAAACUAUUCAAUUAUUGCACUCAGUUUCCUAAGAAAUUGUGGUAAAAAAUGUUACUCCACAGCCCGCUUCCCUUCUCCUUCCUCUUCCACCGCCCGGGCACGUCCGCGGGAAGCGAUCGGUCAACCCUUAUAUAGGAGUGCUAGCACAAAAAGAUGCAUGCAUGACCACUAAAAUUUCCAGAUUAAAGCGCCGCUCCGGCGGGAGUACGGCGUAUGCCGUUACCUUCGGCCGGGCCAUGGCUACCAGGCGACAGCGAGCAGAGAAGAGGCGGCGGGAGGGGAAUGAAUACAGCUACUGUUUGGGUUCGCCGUCCGGCUUAAAUAAAUGCGCACCAUCACGUGUACCCGCAGGUGCACAAAUUGUAACAUACGUGUCUGCAUAAGUGGGUGUCACGUAACUGGUGUGUGUGUGAGAUUCUGAGAGACAGAGUGCGUGUGUGCGACUCUACUCUUCGGACAUGUACUCAACCUUUUGCAUCGGGAUAUAAGUAUAAUGGUAUUACACUUUAGCUAGUGAUUUACGUGGCCAUGUUAACGUGGUUAUGUAAAAAAAUGUCACUUCCUGCUCGUGAUUUGCAUUAUAUAAUUACUAGCAAGAUGCUCGUGCAUUGCACGGAACAUCAAUAUGCAUUUUUUUACAAAACACCUGUUGUGAUUGACCCAUGCAGGAGUAAUCCCAUGUGUAAAAACUAAUGAUAUCUCGAGAAUUUUAUCGGAAAACUGGUAUCUCGAGAAUUUCAUCGAAAAAAUGAAAGAUGAGAGAUAAGGUGAGGAGGAGUGGAGCAUGGUGGUGACUGGUGGUCGGACUGGGCGGAGGCAUGGGGAUGGACGACGCCGACAGGCAACAACGGCCACCAUGCUAGAUUGUUCCAGAGACUUCCUUUUUUAAUUGCUCAGCAAUGAGGUUGUGGGAGAUAAGGAUGAAUGAGGCAAGGCCUUGUCUGUAAAUGUGGAGAGAGGUGAGGGUAUCUUUUGUAAAAUUGUCAUAGUUUUCUUUCUAUCCGUCAGAUAGAGAUCGGACGGUCUAUAUUACAAGAUGGCAGGCACACCAUCAUCACCAACUCAGUUUUUUAUAAGAGUAGAGAUGAUAAGUUUGCUAACUACUAAAGUAAAGUGGAAUUUGUCCAUGUUAUACAAGUAAAUUAAGGUGAUUGUUUAUCAUACGGGUAAGGUUGGACGAAGGGUGGUAGGAACAAAUGCUCCGCCUAGAGCAUGUGUGUGUGAGAUGGAGUCUUAGUGUGUGUGGGUGUGGGUGGGUGGGUGGGUGGGUGCGUGCAUGUGUGUGUGACGUGGGGUCCUCGGUGGCGGAUGUAAUUUAAGUGUGUGUGGCUUCAUCAUAGAGAGGUGAUCUAUAUGGCAGAGGCCACCAACGAGGGGGUGCGAGAGACAAAAGGCCCGUAGAGAGGGAAGAGAAGGCGUGUGCGCGUGAGAGGAGUCGACAUCAAGAGAACGUGCUUGUUCGUGAGACACCGAGGAAGACUACUAUAUAUCGAUGGUGCAUGUAGGCGGGAAUUAAAUGAAGGGAUGGUCUUAUUGGUUUCGGCGAUAUAGGGGAAGAGUGAGAGAGGGGGUAGCUAUAAGGAGAUUGUUAAGUGUGAGUGUGUGUUUUACCCAUCCAGGCGGAAGUUAUGUGCACACAAGAAGAGAACGAUUCGAUGUGGCGUUAGGGCUGAGGGUAAUUAACUAAGUAUGGAGACAUAGGAGACCUUGAACGUGCAUGUGUGAGAGGUAUACAUGUAUACGUGGGAUGUGUGUGUGUGCGCGCGCGCAUGAUCAAGAUAAAAGAAAGAAGACAUAAGUCAUAAGAUCAACAACAUGGGAGAGACGGAUCGGUAUGACAAUAUGCAUGCAUGUGAGAGUGCAAGGAAGAAGGCCCGAUAAUUGAGCAUGUGUUUUUGUAUUUAAGAGAUAGUGGCGUGGGUUGGAGCAUGCAUCUGUGGCGAGCAGAGGGAGCGAGACACAACUAUUGUGCAAAAGAGAUCAACCUAUAGAUGCAUGUAUGGAGAGACAUAUAUAGUGUGGGUGAUAGAAAGCAAGAGUGUGUGCGAGAAAGAAAUGUUGACGGAGAAACUACAGAUAGAUACAGAGAUAGAGAUGGUAGCUAGAGGGACAUCGGCUAGUUUGAGUGUUGGAGAUGACCGCCGGGUGGUUCAGAGGGUGAAGUUAUGUGUGUGUGAGAGAAAGAUAAAAAGAGGGAACAUGACUGCAUGUAGAGAGAAACAUAUAUAGUGUGCGUGAUAGGAAGCAAGAGUGAGGGCAAGAAAGAAGGUUGAUGGAGAAACAGAUAAAUAGAAAGAUAAAGAUGCUAGCUAGUGUGCGUUAGAGAUAGGAGUCAAGUGGAUCAGAAGGCUGAGUUAUGUGUGUGGGUGUGAGAGAGAGAGUGUGUGCAUGUGAGUCACAUACAAACAAAUAUCAGAGAGAAAUGAGAUCCCGAGAGACGGAGUUUUGUGUCUGCGAGAGAAAGAUAUUUCACAACGAGAGUGAUAGCUAGAGAGACAUAUGAGGGAACGCAAGAUAUCUCUAGGGAGAGAGUGUGUGUGUGAGCGACAUACAAGAGAAUGGUGGAGAGAUAUGAGACCCUGGGAGACAGAGUUUGUGUUUGUGUGUGAGAAAGAGAUAUUUAAGAGGAAGAGUCGUAGCUUCUCAUACCUAAGGAGCGAAAUACAUCUCUGUGUGAGAGGGCGUGUGCGAGUGGCACACAGGGGAACACUACUAGGAAAAAGGCUACUAGCAGCGCGGGUAAUAUGGCUACUAGCAGCGUGGGUACCCGCGCUACUAGUAUCGCGCUACAGCUAAUAGUUAGGAGUAGCGUGACACCCGCGCUACUGCUAUUACAGAACCGCGCUACUACUAACGAAGUAGCACUAGUAGAAAAACGACUUUUAGUACCGGUUCGUAAGGACCUUUAGUACCAGUUCUGGAACCGGUACUAAAGAGUGGGGACUAAAGGUCCCCCCCCCCCUUUAGUCCCGGUUUAACACGAACCGGGACCAAAGGCCCACCACGUGGCACGAGGCGCGCCGUGGUCUGGGGGGCCUUUAGUCCCGGUUGGUAAGGAUUUUUUUAAUUUUUAUUUUUGAAAUAAAGCAAAAACAGCCAGCCUACUGGGCCGGCACGGCCUGCAUACGACUAGAAACCCAAUCUCUAGUUGGGCCAGGAUGCAGGCCCGUACGGCCCAGUAGGCCCCACAGGGCAGAAGACUUGCAAUAGACCCACAAAGGCCUGCUUAGAGAGGAGCUCGACACGGUAGCCGCGGCGAGGCUUAUAAACCGGUGCGAGCUCCUCUCAACUAGCGAGGUGGGAGUAAACAUUGUGCACUGCGGGUGGCAUCGCACCACCUUUAGUACCGGUUGGGUUGGUGGCUCCAACCGGUACUAAAGACCCCCCCCCCCCUCCUUUAGUACCGGUUGGAGCCACCAACCAGUACUAAAGGCCACCACCUCUUUAGUACCGGUUCAUGGCACGAACCGGUACUAAAGAUUUCCCACGAACCGGUACUAAUGAGUGCCGCCCGCCUGGCCGUUGGAACCGGCAUUAAUGGUCACAUUAGUGCCGGUUCAAUACCAAACCGGGACUAAUGAGUUUCACAUUAGACCCUUUUUCUACUAGUGUAGUAGUAGCGUGCUUAUAAUACCAGCGCUACUAGUAUCCUGAAUACUAGUAGCGCGCAGUUUUUUCCCAACGCUACUAGUAACAAAUCAAGAAUAAAAAAAUAAAAAUUAGACGCAAUAUUCAUGAAUGGAGAUCAGAGACACGUCCAGUGCAAAAUAAAUUAAGGUCACAGAACCAUCUUAACACUUGCAGUGUUCAUGGAUGCAGCAUUGAACAUCUCAACUCGAAGAGAUCACGAGGACGCACACAACCAUCAUCAAAAGGUUGGUACCUUCCCUAUUGUUUCACCACCAACCUAACCAGACCACUUCUCUAGAUGUAUCUACAAAGCGUCGAGGUCCUCCACCUUGAGGAACUCCGGGCGGUGGCGUCGUCCUCCACCUCUGUGACCUUCGUAUGGUGGCGUCGAGGUCCUCCACCCCGGGGACCUCCGGCAUCGCAAUCACCUGGACAAUCAUCAGUAUGACACGGUCGCGAGGCUUCACGGUGAAGUCUGCCCCCGAGUAGUUGAAGAGCACGAUGCCCAUCAGGCCGCAGUAGUCUGCGUCGAUCACCCCUGCACCCAGUCGAGAAAGUGAAAACUUGUUAGUUCGCAUCCUCGUGUAGAUCCAGUAGGGUAUUUUCUUCAAUUAUAUGUCUCUUUUAGUCUAUUAUGAAUCUUCAAAAUGGAAAAACACCUACUAAAUGCAUACCCUAGUUGUACGUGUUCAUGCUAUCUUCUUGUUUUGGUGCAUUCAAGAAAUACUAGUGUAUUUGAGCUAUAUAUUCUUGAAAUAUUUGACAGUUAACAUUCUGUUCAAAAUUUAUUAUUGCAUGGAUAGGGAAAUCGCCAACAAAGGACUUCAGAAAAUUGAUUCCCACUGCUCUUCAAAACAGGGAAUAGGCAAAGUCUUUUUUGAAUUUUGAUAUUCCAUGCCAACUUCAAGUAUAUAUGCUACCAUGUAAUCUUUGAACGUGGAUCAAAAUGAGAUUUCAGGCUUUGUGGGCCUUACCAUGAUCAGUACUAAAUUCUCUAGGCUGCUCAACCUUUCCCUGUAGGGAGCAUUUCUUUCACCAGGUAUCGCAUUGUUAAGUUUGGGAAGAAACCUGCAUCCCUUCAGAUAGUCAUCCAUAUCCUGAAGAAAAAACAGUAUACAUUUUCAGUGACUCACAAUAUAUCAUCGAAUACUGCUCAAGUCUACUUCUAAGAAUAAUUGUUUAAGAUCAGCCAAUGUUUUCUUACGAUCUUCCACUCUGUGAAGUAGAAGUAAAAACUGAAAGCUAAACACACAUUAAGAUUACCUACAUAAAAUUCUUCAGAUAGCGAAUGAGCGAUAGAAAAAAAAUAUAUACUUCAGAUAGCAAGGAGCAGGCCAACAGGCAACAACAUAAGUUUUUUAGCAGCGGCGACAGGUAACUACCGAGACAUUGCAGGUGAAGAUAUGAAUUUUGGGUACCCUUCGUCCCCCACGAGCAGACUUCGUUGACAGUGGUGCAGGGUACAGUGUUGCGCAGGCGACGCGGAGAGAGGCCUGCCUGGCCGGGGCCUAGCCGAGCUUGGCGCUGAGGACGUUGCCCACGGACACCUCCUGCACCAGCGCCGGGUCGACGUUGACUCUCCGGAGAGCACCAUUUUAAAUCGGGCGGCAGAGCAUCACUGACUGGGUGCUCGGAUCCAACUACCAUCUACUUUGACCAUCCGAACCACAUGUGACAACAAGACUCAUCCGAUCUCUUGUCCUCUACCCAAUGUCAUGAGAUAUUGAGAUCCAAUGUUAUUAGUCCAGGUCUGCUACCAUCUACUUAUACUAAUCAAAAGGCAAACCAAUCCACUUACGCCCAGUCUAUCAGGACUAAACUUGUACUCCUAACAGUGGGGCUGUAAAAUUUCCACACGCGUUCAUCUGGGCCUUAUCCUACGCCAUCUCCAAAGAUUUAAAAAUGCAAAAGUUUUCAAUUGACACGACACUUGCCAUUAUAUAUUGUAAAAAAAGUUUAUGUCAUCCGUGCAAAAAACUAAUGCUGAAGUUCUUUCUACUGCCUUUUUCUGAAUUAUUAGUUGCUGAUGCCAAUAAAAACAAGUGCAGUUCAUCUAGCAGCAUACUACCAAAUAUACGCAGCUCAGAAGUUGAAGAUACAAUAAAUAGAUACGGCUAAAAGCAUGAGACCUGCUACUUUGGAAGAUAGUAACUUACAGUAUCCUGGAGAAGGCCUCCCUGUUCUCGUUGAGCUUCCACUGAUCCUCUGCGUCGGAGGCGUAGUAGUCGUACACCAUCUUCAGGAGCUUCUCCCUGGCAAGUUUCCAGUACUCGGACACGUUCGUGAUCAUCUCCAUUCCCCUGCUCAAAUUAUUCAUCAUCAAUUCCCAGUUAAUCUAUUUGCCAAGCAGCAAAAUAGAUCAUCUGCUUUUUCUCUGAAGAGUGAAGACGCUUGAACCUGAACUGUACAUCCUCCGGAUAGCUUGACAGGGAAUAUGAGAAAUCAAGAAGGAUGGCAAGAUAUGGAACAAAUCUGGAGGCUGAUCUAUCCAUGGAGGAGUUGAUUAACUGAAGAAUCGAUCCUGGAUUCCUGAUUCGGUAUCAUAUAUAUCACUCCAUCAGUAGUUCGAGAUGUUGCUUUCGAAUCAGCGGUACUGAAAAAACGAAAUAGAAAGAUUGAGCCGAGGCGAUUUGACGAGUCUUGUUGUCUCAUGACAUUGAGCCGAGGCGGUUUGAGUGGUUGCUUAACUAGUAGCAAGGAUUGGAGUAAGAAAGCAGAGAAAUUUCGUUACCCUGGAUGGCGACGGAGCCGAGCUUGGUGGCGGGGAGGGACGAGAGGCAGCCAAGCAAGGCGUCGAUGGGCGUGCUGGCGACGCCGACGGUGCACACGUCCAUGGGAUCCAGGCCGCCGUCGGGGGCGCAAGUGCUCGGGGACGGCGCCAUGGCGUGGUGGUGGACUGGCUUGGCUGUUGGAUCUUACCCCUCUGUGUGCUAGGGCUCACCGGCGGCGGGUGGAUUGGGUUUGGCCGGAGAGAGCGAGAGGGAGAGAGAGAGAGGGGGUGUAGCGACCCGACCUCAAACGGUAAAGUCUUUGUGCUUCUGUGUCAUCCCUGGAUCGGUAAUGCUGACACACAGUGCUCGAAGGAUUUAUAACAGAGUAGCAAUCACAAACUUAUUACAUCGAAUGUCUCCAAAAAGAACUUAUUACAAUAAAUAUGGCAUAAGGCCAUCUAAUACGAUAACAGCGGAAGACUUGGAAGAUAAAGUGAGUCCAUCAACUCCAACAGCAUAGCUGAGCUGCACGGCAACGACCUAACGAACCUUACUCCUCGUCUGAAAAGUCUGCAACAUAAUACGUUGCAGCCCGAGAACGGGUCAGCACAUGGAAUAUGCUGGCAAUAUAACACAGUAGAGCAAGAACAGAAUAAUGCUACCACUACAUGCAUAUUUGGCUGGUGGAAAGGCUCUAUGGUUAUAGUUUUGCGAAAAGCCAAUUUUUUCCUACAACAAUGGAAUAAGUUUUAUUUAACUAUCAUGGUAGUUGAAACAUCAUUGAGAAGGUUCCUCCAACUCAAUCCCAAUUAAAGUAAUUAUCAACCCAACAUAUUAAAUUAGAGUGAUGAGAUACUUAGGAUAAUCCAAGUACUAGAUACUCAAGAUGUCCAUAACCGGGGACACGGCUAACCAUGAUUAGAUUGUACACUCUGCAGAGGUUUGCGCACUUUUCCCCACAAGAUUCGAUCUCCUCCGUUGGAUUUCUCGCACUACAUGGUGUUUGAGAAACGGAUGACCGAGACACAGUCUUUCAGAAGCAUUAACUCUAACCCCGGGUAGACAGUACCAACCUACAUCCCUCUACAUCUGCUAGCCUACCACUGGAAGAGGUCAGGCAACUUACUCAACUAUGCUAGAGCCCACAAUAGCUUGUGGCUGCACACGGAAGUUUCUAGCAUGAAUAAUCUUAUGAUCCCUUUGAGCCUGGGUGGCGAGCCGUAGGAUGAUCACACGGGUCCUCCGGGAUAUCCUAGGACAACACUGGAUUCUCCAGGUGCCCGUAACCAAUCCACCCAGAUGUGUAUUAAAGUACCCACCUUAAGUUGAACCAUUAAGUAAACAAUCUCACAUCUGUCAUGGAUUCACUCACCCAAACCACGUCUACGAGCAUAGCAUAGCAAUAUAAGCAAUACGUUGAAGUAACUCCCAAGGGUUUGAUAAUAACAGGGCAAUAGGUUCUACCUCAUCAACUACUUCCCAAUACCCACAAGUUAAUCACAUCCUAAUCAUGCAGUGUUUGAGGAUUGGAGCUAAUGCAUAAAAACUGGGUAUGAAAAGAGUAUGAUCAAUGUGUUACUUGCCUUGCUGACGAUACGCAAAACCUAGAGACUCGUAGUAGCACGCUUCGCACUCCGGGAAUUCUAUCGCAAAAAAACAAUAGCAUGCAUAAGCAAUCAAUCAUGGAUGCACGGGUAAAACUCAAAUAAGAAGAACUAACCAGAAAAUCCAACUUAAGAACUCCGGUUUGCAAAAAGAAUCAAAUCAAACGGAGCAACAAAACUCAAACUGCGAAAGAAACAAGAUUCGAUUACUAAUCUGGACUAAAGUCAAAUUUUACAGUACCAAAAUCUUGUUCAAGUUGGUUAAACAGAAAUAGGGUUUCGAGACGAAGAUCUAGGCGCUUGAAUCGCCUGAUUCCGAUAAACGAGCGAAAAGAUAAACUAAAACGAAAAUCGGAUCAGAAAUCGCGAUCGAAAAUAAUCGCGAAAAAACUGAGAAAAAGAAAAACUGACGAACAGGCUAACGAACGAACGUUCGUUGUCUGUAACUAAUGAGCGAAAACGGUUCGUUAAAACGAACGUACGGACGAACGUCCGCUAAAUAAUCUAAACCGAGAAAACCAACGAACCGAUAAAAAAAGCAACUAGGGUUUUUAAAAAAACCGAUGGUUUUACCUAAACCGAAAGAAAAACAGCGGCUCCGGCGGCUUCCGCGGCGGCGCGGCGAGGCGGGGGCAGCGCGGGGUGAGGCGCGGCAGGCGGCGGCGGCUGCUGCUGCUGCUUGCGGUGGCGGUGGUGGCGAUUUGGGGGCGGGGGCGGCGGCUUUUAAAGGGGAGAGGGAGGGUGGCUUGCGGGAGGGGGCGGGAGGAGUCCCGGGCGGCGACGGCGACGGCUGCCGAGUCCUGGCCGGACUCGGGCACGGCGGAGGCGGUGGCGCGGCACGGGCCGGCGGCCUGGCUCGGCUGGGUCUUGGCCCAGUCGGGCGCGGAAGAAGUUUUUUUAAAAAAAAUGGAUUCCGCCGAAAAUAAAUCCUAGAAAAAUAAAUAAAAAUCUAAAAAUGCCAAAACAAAUUUUCACCGUCUAAAUAAAAUAUUUAGAACAAGAUGAACGUUUUCUUGGCCCUAAAAUGCAAUUUUGAAAACAUGCAAUUUUUCUAAUGCAAAUAAAAUAGCACUAAAAGCCGAAUAAAAUCAAAUAUUUGAUUUUAAUAUUUUUCCUCCAAUAUUUCAUUUAUUUUGGAGAAGUCAUAUUAUCUCCUCUCAUAUAUUUUAAUAUGAAAUAUUUUCGGAGAGAAAAAUAAUUAAAACAAAUAAUCCUCGUUUCAGUAUUUGAUAAAAUUCAAAUAUGGAAACAGUGAAAUCCCCAACUCUCUCCCAGGGUCCUUGAGUUGCGUAGAAUUUCGAGGAUCGCGAAACGAAAUGCAACAAAAAUAUGAUAUGCAUGAAUGAUCUAUGUAUAACAUUCCAAAUUGAAAAUUUGGGAUGUUACAAACCUACCCCCCUUAAGAUGAAUCUCGCCCUCGAGAUUCGGGUUGGCUAGGAAAUAGGUGUGGGUGGUCUUUACAAAGAUCAUCCUCUCGUUCCCAGGUGGCUUCAUCCUCGGUAUGGUGGCUCCACUGAAUUUUGCAAAACUUGAUAACCUUGUUGCGGGUGACUCGGCUGGCAAAUUCAAGAAUCCUGACUAGCUUCUCCUCAUAGGUCAGAUCACUGUCCAACUGAAUUGCUUCUAGAGGCACUGUAUCUCUCAGUGGAAUAUCGGCCAUCUCCGCAUGACACUUCUUCAACUGUGAAACAUGAAACACAUCAUGAACUCCCGACAGUCCUUCAGGUAACUCCAACUUGUAGGCAACCUCUCCCAUACGUUCCAAAACACGAUACGAUCCUACAAAUCUCGGGGCUAACUUUCCCUUAACUCCAAAACGUUUCACUCCUCGCAGAGGUGACACUCAUAGAUAUGCUCUGUCUCCAAUUUCAUAGGUUACUUCCUUGCGUUUCGAAUCUGCAUAACUCUUCUGCCUGGACUGGGCUUCCUUCAGUCUAUCUCGAAUCAAUUUAACCUUCUCUUCAGACUCCUUAAUCAAAUCUGGUCCAAACAACUGUCGGUCUCCAACUUCAUCCCACAUCAACGGUGUUCUGCACCUUCGCCCAUACAGGGCUUCGAACGGUGCCAUCUUCAAACUGGCUUGAUAGCUAUUGUUGUAUGAGAACUCCGCGUAGGGUAAAUUGUCAUCCCAAGUAGAUCCAUAAUCUAGUGCACAAGCCCUCAACAUAUCCUCCAGAAUCUGGUUGACUCUCUCGGUCUGUCCAUCUAUCUGCGGAUGAAAAGCUGUACUGAACUCCAGCCUGGUUCCCAAAGUCUGGUGCAACUGAUGCCAAAACUUUGAGGUAAACUGUGUUCCUCUAUCUGAGACGAUGGUCCUUGGAACUCCAUGCAGACAUACGAUCCUGGUCAUGUAUAUCUUGGCCAACUUCGCACUUAUAUAGGUGGUUUUCACUGGAAUAAAGUGAGCCACUUUGGUCAAGCGAUCAACUACUACCCAUAUAGAAUCAUAUCCUGAUUUGGUCCUGGGCAAUCCGGUGAUGAAAUCCAUGCCAAGCUUAUCCCACUUCCAUUCGGGUAUCGGCAUAGGCUGUAGCAAUCCUGCUGGCUUUUGAUGUUCUGCCUUCACUCUCUGACAUACAUCACAUACGGCUACAUACUCGGCAAUAUCCUUCUUCAUACCAGUCCAUCAAAAAUGUUCCUUCAAAUCCAAAUACAUCUUGGUGUUUCCGGGGUGUAUCGAGUAUGGUGAGUCAUGGGCCUCCUGAAAUAUUAACUUCCUGAUCUCUGUGUUAUUGGGCACAUAAACACGGUCCUCAAACCAUAAGGUGUCGUGCUCAUCCUCACGAAAACCUUUGGCCUUUCCUUUGCUCAUUCUCUCUUUUAUCUCGGCAAUUUCUUUGUCAUCCUUCUGAGCUUCUCGAAUCUUUGCUAACAAUGUAGACUGAACUUCCAUUGUUGCAACAAAACCUCUAGGAAUAAUCUCCAAUCGAAGUUCCCUGAGAUCCCCUGCUAACUCCUUUGGCAAUCCUGUGCUUACGAGGGUGUUAGCAUAACUCUUCCGGCUCAAAGCGUCUGCUACGACAUUGGCCUUGCCUGGAUGAUAGUGAAGCUUCAUGUCAUAAUCCUUUAUAAGCUCCAACCAUCUCCUCUGCCUAAGGUUCAGCUCCUUCUGUGUGAAAAUGUACUUCAAACUCUUAUGAUCCGUGUACACAUCACAACGGUUUCCAAUAAGGUAAUGUCUCCAAGUCUUGAGCGCAUGCACUACAGCUGCUAACUCCAAAUCAUGUGUGGCAUAAGUCAAUUCGUGCGGUUUUAGUUGUCGUGAGGCAUACGAAACAACUCUUCCGUCCUGCAUAAGCACACUUCCAAGUCCUAAGCGAGAGGCGUCGCAAUACACUUGGAAAUCCUUGCGUAUAUCCGGCAGAAUCAGCACUGGGGCUGUAGUCAGACGUUUCUUUAACUCCUGAAAACUCGCCUCACAUUCUUCCGUCCAUAUAAAUUUGGUAUCCUUCUUCAAUAACUCUGUCAUUGGCUUCGCAAUCUUGGAAAAAUUCUCAAUGAAUCUCGGAUAGUAUCCUGCGAGUCCAAGAAAACUGCGGAUCUCGCUAACUGAAGCGGGUGCCAACCAUUCAGUGACUGACUGAACCUUGGUGGGGUCUACUGGUAUACCUUCUCCUGAUAUAACAUGUCCAAGGAAUCCAACUUCCUUCAACCAAAACUCACAUUUGCUGAACUUGGCGUACAACUGAUGUUCCCUGAGUUUCUCGAGAACUAAUCGUAAAUGCUCAUUGUGCUCCUCUUCAUUCUUCGAGUAUACCAUUAUAUCAUCAAUGAACACCACAACAAACUUAUCCAAAUAUUCCAUGAACACCUUGUUCAUCAUGCUCAUGAAAUAGGCAGGGGCGUUAGUCAGUCCAAAUGACAUGACCGUAUACUCAUACAACCCGUACCUUGUGGUAAAUGCGGUCUUUGGUAUAUCCUUCUCUCGAAUUUUCAGCUGGUGAUAUCCUGAUUGUAGAUCGAUCUUUGAAAACACUUUAGCUCCUUGCAGCUGGUCAAACAAAUCAUUGAUCAUCGGCAAUGGGUAUUUGUUCUUGAUCGUCACCUCAUUCAAUGCCCGAUAAUCAACAACCAUCCUCAAUGAUCCAUCCUUCUUCUCAACCAAAAGCACUGGGGCUCCCCACGGUGAUGAACUUCGUCGAAUGUAACCUUUCUCCAAUAACUCCUUGAUCUGCUCUUAAUCUCUUCCAGAUCAUUUGUGGGCAUCCAGUAGGGUCUCUUUGAUAUAGGCCCGGUGCCUGGCAACAGUUCUAUCAAAAACUCGAUGUCCUGAUCUGGCGGCAUGCCUCGUAAUUCUUCUGGAAAUACAUCUGGGUAAUCCUUUACGACAGGCACUUCCUCCUGAACAACUCCUGAGAGGGAAUUUACUUGGGUUCUCCUUGUCAUAUGCCUGGAUACAUACUUGAUCCUCUUUCCCUCCGGGGUGGUGAGAUAAAUCGACUUACUAGCACAGUCAAUGCUUCCUCCAUACUUUGACAUCCAGUCCAUGCCUAAUAUCACAUUCAAUCCUUGUGACUCCAAAAUUAUUAGGUCGGACGGGAAAACAUGGCUACCAAUGGUUAAGGGUAUCCGGUCGCACCAUCGGCUAGCCAUAUACUCUGCUCCAGGUGAACUUACUAACAGAGGGGUCCUAAGGGCUUGGGUUGGUAGUUUAAACUUAUCCACAAAUCCCCUUGAUAUGUAUGAAUGCGAUGCACCAGUAUCAAAAAGAACAAGGGCGGUAAAAGACUUAAUCAAAAACUUACCGAUAACCGCGUCUGGCUGCUCUUCAACCUCCUCCAUGUUAACGUGGUUCACUUGUCCUUUGUUGAAUGGUUUGGGCUUCUUCCCAGCGCUCCCAUUACCGUUUCCAUUCUUCGCUUCAGGGCACUCCGUGGCAUAGUUUCCAGUCUUCCUGCACUUGAAGCAAGUAAUGUGACUUAGGUCUCUCUUGGUGGGUGUGCAUGGAUUGGAGCGGUUCUGAUUGUUGCUUGUUCCGUUCCCAGUCCCAUUCUUGGAACCAUUGUGGUUAUGCGAACUUCCUCCAUUGUGAUUAUGACCUCCAUGGUUAUGAACAAGUCCUCCUGAGUUCGGGGUUAGACGAGGCUUCUGCUGAGCUCCUGAGUUGUAUCUUCCUUGCCCAUACUUCCUCUUACGGCUCUCAAUCUGUUGCUGCUUCCCUUCAAUCAUAAGAGCCUUAUCUACCAACUCCUGGUAGUUGUUGAAUGUUGCCACCAUCAACUGCAUGCUCAUCUCAUUGUUCAGACCUUCCAAUAAACUUCUCCUGCUUCGCGGCAUCUGUGGCCACAUCAUCAGGGGCAUAGUGAGAUAACUUGCUAAACUCAUCCACGUACUGAGCCACAGUACGGUUCCCCUGGCGUAAGUUGCGAAAUUCACGCUUCUUCAUAUUCAUAGCUCCAGUUGAGACAUGGGCUGUGCGGAAAGCUUGCUGAAACUGAUCCCAAGUGACGUUGGCUAUGGGGAAAGUGGUCGUAUAAUUCUCCCACCAUGAGGCUGCUGGUCCAUCCAAUUGAUGUGCGGCAAAGUGCACCUUCUCAGCAUCUGUGCAACCUGCGGUGGUCAGCUCCCUUCCAAUACGGCAUAGCCAAUCAUCAGCAACUAUAGGCUCGGUGCUACUGGAAAACACUGGCGGCUGCAACCUUAAAAAGCGAGCUAAGUUGUCAACUGGAGGCGGGUUGUUGUUGUUGUUGCCUUGGUUCUGGACUAACAAUUGCAUCAAGGCAUUCUGCUGCUGGAUCAACUGAGUGAGCUCCAGCGGGAAGGCAAAUCUGGUGUCACGUCUCGGAGUCAUCUGAUGGGUUUAGAGGGGAGAGAUUGGAAUAGAAAAGGGGUCUAGUGAGAAGGCACUACCCAUAUGCACAUGAGACAAACACAAUCAUAUCACUCAAUCAAUCAAGCAAGGGCAUACAAACGGUCUAGAACUAUCGUUAAGAGUGCUCAACUACUACUAUAUACAUGGGGGAAUACUACUAAUCAUUUGGUGGUCAUCUAGAAAUUUUGAUCGGUGGAAGACUCCAUGAUGUCUGCUCCAGCUUCGUCUUCAAAGUCAUCUUCACUGGAGUCGGAGUCGGUGUCGUCGAUGAUGAUGUAGUUCUCCGGGCAAGUGGAAUCGUCGUCCUCUCCUCCUGACGCGGGGUCUCCCAUGAAUACUCCGAUCUUCUUUAUCAGGUCGUCAUUCUUCUCCAAUAGUGUUGCAAUUUCCUCCUCAUAUCCAUCGCGUGUAGACUUAAGUUCUUCUUCCAGCUCGAUGAUCCUUGUCUUCGCCUUCUUCAAAUCUAUCAUGCCUGCGCACAUCUGAUUCUCCUGGAGUCGAAUGUGCUGGUUUAACUCCUGGAUGAAAGCUGCAAUGGAUCUGUCCUUCCUGGUGCUGAUCAUCUCCCAUUGCUCAUCUCGGCGUCCACAUAUUUGGUAGAUAGUGUCCUUGAGAUCCUUGUUGUAGACUUCUCCAAUGCGUCCCAUGGCAAUGUGGGCUGCCAUGCUCUUGCCUAGACUCCAGGUUGGUGCUUCAAAGGAAAACUCUAUGGGCUCAGUGACUGGUGUGAACGUCCUUCCUGGAACUUGAACUCGAAUCAUCCAGCGCUCCUCUUCUGGUAAAGUGGCGUUGUAGGUCCCGGUGAAGCUUGGUAUUCUGAUGUUCAGAUACCUAGUGACUUCCUUCAAGUGUCGUCCAAAGGGUGUGUCUUCAUCCGGUUGUGCAGAUUUGUUCCUCAAAUCCGCCAUCCUAAAGAGUAGAAAAUGGAGAGGAGUCAGAAAUGAGUAGAGAAGAGUGACCUAUGGCUUAUCUUAGUGGUCGUGUCCUACACUCAGCAUGUGCUCUGAUACCAUCUUGUAGCGACCCGACCUCAAACGGUCAAGUCUCUGUGCUUCUGUGUCAUCCCUGGAUCGGUAAUGCUGACACACACAGUGCUCAAAGGAUUUAUAACAGAGUAGCAAUCACACACUUAUUACAUCGAAUGUCUCCAAAGAGAACUUAUUACAAUAAAUAUGGCAUAAGGCCAUCUAAUACGAUAACAGCGGAAGACUUGGAAGAUAAAGUGAGUCCAUCAACUCCAACAGCAUAGCUGAGCUGCAUGGCAACGACCUAAUGAACCUUACUCCUCGUCUGAAAAGUCUGCAACAUAAUACGUUGCAGCCCGAGAACGGGUCAGCACAUGGAAUAUGCUGGCAAUAUAACACAGUAGAGCAAGAACAGAAUAAUGCUACCACUACAUGCAUAUUUGGCUGGUGGAAAGGCUCUAUGGUUAUAGUUUUGCGAAAAGCCAAUUUGUUCCUACAACAAUGGAAUAAGUUUUAUUUAACUAUCAUGGUAGUUGAAACAUCAUUGAGAAGGUUCCUCCAACUCAAUCCCAAUUAAAUUAAUUAUCAACCCAACAUAUUAAAUUAGAGUGAUGAGAUACUUAGGAUAAUCCAAGUACUAGAUACUCAAGAUGUCCAUAACCGGGGACACGGCUAACCAUGAUUAGAUUGUACACUCUGCAGAGGUUUGCGCACUUUUCCCAACAAGAAUCGAUCUCCUCCGUUGGAUUUCUCGCACUACAUGGUGUUUGAGAAAUGGAUGACCGAGACACAGUCUUUCAGAAGCAUUAACUCUAACCCCGGGUAGACAGUACCAACCUACAUCCCUCUACAUCUGCUAGCCUACCAAUGGAAGAGGUCAUGCAACUUACUCAACUAUGCUAGAGCCCACAAUAGCUUGUGGCUGCACACGGAAGUUUCUAGCAUGAAUAAUCUUAUGAUCCCUUUGAGCCUGGGUGGCGAGCCGUAGGAUGAUCACACGGGUCCUCCGGGAUAUCCUAGGACAACACUGGAUUCUCCAGGUGCCCGUAACCAAUCCACCCAGAUGUGUAUUAAAGUACCCACCUUGAGUUGAACCAUUAAGUAAACAAUCUCACAUCUGUCAUGGAUUCACUCACCCAAACCACGUCUACGAGCAUAGCAUAGCAAUAUAAGCAAUACGUUGAAGUAACUCCCAAGGGUUUGAUAAUAACAGGGCAAUAGGUUCUACCUCAUCAACUACUUCCCAAUACCCACAAGUUAAUCACAUCCUAAUCAUGCAGUGUUUGAGGAUUGGAGCUAAUGCAUAAAAACUGGGUAUGAAAAGAGUAUGAUCAAUGUGUUACUUGCCUUGCUGACGAUCCGCAAAACCUAGAGACUCGUAGUAGCACGCUUCGCACUCCGGGAAUUCUAUCGCAAACAAACAAUAGCAUACAUAAGCAAUCAAUCAUGGACGCACGGGUAAAACUCAAAUAAGAAGAACUAACCAGAAAGUUCAACUUAAGAACUCCGGUUUGCAAAAAGAAUCAAAUCAAACGGAGCAACGAAAUCUGCGAAAGAAACAAGAUUCGAUUAUUAAUCUGGACUAAAGUCAAAUUUUACAGUACCAAAAUCUUGUUCAAGUUGGUUAAACAGAAAGAGGGUUUCGAGACGAAGAUCUAGGCGCUUGAUUCGCCUGAUUCCGAUAAAUGAGCGAAAAGAUAAACUAAAACGAAAAUCGGAUCAGAAAUCGCGAUCGAAAAUAAUCGCGAAAAACCCGAGAAAAAGAAAAAUUGACAAAUAGGCUAACGAACGAACGUUCGUUGUCUGUAACUAACGAGCGAAAACCGUUAAAUAAUCUAAACCGAGAAAACCAACGAACCGAUAAAAAACGCAACUAGGGUUUUUAAAAACCGACGGUUUUUACCUAAACCGAAAAAAAACGGCGACUCAGGAUCGGAUCGGCUCCGGCGGCGGCGCGGCGAGGCGGGGGCAGCGCGGGGUGGUGCGGCGCGGCGGCGGCUGCUGCUGCUGCUUGCGGCGGCGGUGGUGGCGAUUUGGGGGCGGGGGCGGCGGCUUAUAAAGGGGAGAGGGAGGGUGGCUUGCGGGAGGGGGCGGGAGGAGUCCCGGGCGGCGACGGCGGUGGCUGCCGAGUCCUGGCCGGACUCGGGCACGGCGAAGGCGGUGGUGCGGUGCGGGCCGGCGGCCUGGCCCGGCUGGGCCUUGGCCCAGUCGGGCGCGGAAGAAGUUUAAAAAAACGAAUUUCGCCGAAAAUAAAUCCUAGAAAAAUAAAUAAAAAUCUAAAAAUGCCAAAACAAAUUUUCACUGUCUAAAUAAAAUAUUUAGAACAAGAUGAACAUUUUCUUGGCCCUAAAAUGCAAUUUUGAAAACAUGCACUUUUUCUAAUGCAAAUAAAAUAGCAAUAAAAUCCGAAUAAAAUCAAAUAUUUGAUUUUAAUAUUUUUCCUCCAAUAUUUCAUUUAUUUUGGAGAAGUCAUAUUAUCUCCUCUCAUAUAUUUUAAUAUAAAAUAUUUUCGGAGAGAAAAAUAAUUAAAAUAAAUAAUCCUCGUUUCAGUAUUUGAUAAAAUUCAAAUAUGGAAACAGUGAAAUCCCCAACUCUCUCCGAGGGUCCUUGAGUUGCGUAGAAUUUCGAGGAUCGCAAAAUAAAAUGCAACAAAAAUAUGAUAUGCAUGAAUGAUCUAUGUAUAACAUUCCAAAUUGGAAAUUUGGGAUGUUACAGAGGGACGAUAGCGAUCAGAGAAGAACGACCACCGCAGGGGUGGACGGCAGAUGAGAGGAGAGGAGGGUGGAAGGGAGGCCGGCGGUGGAAGGGAUCUCGAUCUGAUCUGAAUCGAGGGUGGGCGAUGUGGGAGUGGAUCAGGGGUGGGAGGUGUGGGAUCUGAGUGACACACUUAACGGUAGCGUGAGUAUCUCAAAAGCGCUGCAACUAUCGACUUAGUAGUAGCGCACGUUUUGCAACCAGCAUUAUUAAUAUGGUCUGUCCACGGAUCACGGUUAAGAAUAUUUACUAGUAGCAUGUUUUUAGACCACGCGCUACUAGUAAUAUUUAGUACUAGCGCGGGUAAAUGUAGCUCGCUACUAGUAAGUAGCAGUAGCAUGGGUCAAUAUAGCGCGCUACUAGUAAGCGUCUGCCUAUAAGUUUUUCCCUAGUAGUGGAAUAGUAUAGAGAAAUGAGAUCCCGGGAGACGAAGUUUGUGUUUGUGUGAGAGAAAGAGAUUUCACAUGGAGAAUCAUAGUUAGAGACACAUAGCAGGGAGCGAGAUAUACUUAGAGAGAGAUAGAGUGAUGAAGGUCGAGGGAGAUAGUACCGUCAGUGUGUUACGUAGAUAAAAGAUCAUUGUCAACAUACAGGUAGCACGAGAGAUACCCGAGAGACGAUGAACGCGUAUAGGUCUAGAGAGAUACUCCUAUAUAAGAAUGAGUGAUAGCUAUAUGAGACGAAUAUCUGGAUUAAAGGGGAUUCAAAUAUUUAAACUGGAGAUCACGACAUCGAUAAUAUCAUAACGCAAAUUAGUGUAUCAAACAUGCAUAUUCAUUUGAAUUUGGGGACACGUGUAAUGUUAUAUAGUUUAUCAAUAUUAGUGAUCCAUAGAUUCUUUAAUUAGAGACAAUGCAUGGUUUAUAUGCAAUUAAUGUCUAAACGGGAUUAGACUAUAUGUUGCGUGUGUGAAACACAUUAUAUAUGUUUGAGAAGUAAAAAAACCCGCAUGAAACACACAUUAAUAGGAGACGGUUAACGAGGAAUGCAUACGUUGGAUUUCAACAUAAAGUGGUUUCAAAUAUUUGAAAAUCCAAAUUAAGAUGGAUACAGCCUUAUGAAUCUGAGAUCAUGCCAUUUGUAAACCAUAUUUAUGUAUAAAGGGUGUUGUGCUUUUGAAAGUAUAUAUAAAACUGAUGUAUAUAGAAUUUUAUUCCAAUCGAAAAUGGAUCCUGCCCGAACAAAAAUAGAAUACAAACUAGAUUCGGAUUGAGUUGGCACGGUAAACGUGCACUCUUGCUUUGCAAAAAUUUGAACGAAGCGGGGAAAGUCGCAGUAACUGCCCGAAACCAAAAUCUGUGAGAUGGAAAUUACUGCCUAUCCCUGACACGCAAAGCCUAUCGGCUCGAUUUCUAUAGGUUUCGAUAGGGGUAGGUUUGUAAUUUCACUCAAACGUGACAUAACCACCUAUCACCCGGAUUCAUACACGGUGGGCGCCAAAACACAGUGUCUCCUCGGCCGAAAUUGAAUCCCUCCCUGAUUCAUACACGGUGGGCGCCAAAAACAAACUCUCGUCGGCAAAUAUUCAGUGUAUGCGAGAUUACCGUCCUAUCCCCAACCGACUAAUAUUGUUGUGAUGUAGGAAAUUUUAAACGGGGGCUAAGUUUGUAAAUUUCCAACAGGGAGCCUAUUUUUUGUGUAGUUGUGCCAGAUUAUAUUAAUCUACUCACCAUAUUACAACAUACAUGGGCUAUCUCAUCAGAAUCCAGUGAUAGCACACAAGGGUUUACAGGGAGCCUCUAUUAUAUUACAAUAUCCUCUGCAUUACAAAGAUAAUCUCACUACUAUUUGUGUUUUCAUGCUUUACAGAUAUUGUACGCAAUCACAACGAAUAUAAGAAUACGCACAUCAGAAGAAUAUUGCGGAACAGUUCAAUGGGUAACAAACUUGGCAUCAAGGGAUUGAGGUCCAUUGUGGAUGCAAUGAAACCCACAUGCUCCCGACCUAUAGAUUCAUAUUCAGAAUAUGAUCCUAAUGACUAUUCUGAGCUCAAGGAGUCAAAGGCAGAUGGCCUAUCCAAUUCUCCCAAUAAGGUGCCUGUUCUAAUUUGGCAAGGUUUUAUUGGUUGCACAUAUCUUGCAUAAGGUGUCUUGCAUUUCUUUUGCUUCGUUGCACCGCCAUCUGCUUAGUUUACUCAUGAUAUAUGUGAAGAUGCCAUGCCCAUCCAUUAUCAACACCUAUUCCAUUUGUCGUCAUACCGUGUUUUUCCAUUCAAAUGUUGUUCUUGUGUUUCAGACAUCCAAAAGGAAGAGGGUGGUUGCAGAACCUGAAGGAGUAUAAGCAAAGUCCUUGAAAAAGGUGGUGCUACCGAAGAAAUCACAUAGCACCCGACAUAUAUUGGUGAUAGAACCAGCGCCGCAAAACCUAGGAUAUCGCAACUAUGCUGGUCGCUGCUUUGCUCUUAUGAGUACCUAUUGUCCUAUCGCUGUCCUUACAUUCAUACCUGGUGGAUUAUGUGACAUCAUUGUGCAUUAUAGCUUGCUUAUUCACUGUUUGCUCCAAAUUAUCAGAUCUAUAUUAAUGCUUAAAUUAAUGUACAAUAAACCCAAUGCCUAUGAAGAAAUUUAGUUCUGCAUUGUUCUUGUAAGUAUCUGUUGUCCUUCAUCACUGUACUUAUAUUUGUCAGCUAGUUCUUCAUGUACACUUUGCAGCUUAUUUUCCCUUGUCCUCCAUUUUUCUACACAUCAAAUCUACAUUUACUCUUGACAAAAUAUUGAAUAAAACCAAUGUUACUGAAGAAGUUUAGCUCCGCAUUGCUCGUCAGUGCCUUCUGCCUAUAUGCUGUAUUUACAUUUGUACUCUGCAUCUUAAGUUAAAUAAUCGCCAUUUGUUCCUAUAUUUUCACAUCUAUAUUACUCUUAACAAAAUGUAGAAUAAAGGCAAUACUCUUGAAGAAGAGUGUGCGGUAAACUUCUUGAAUUCCCCCCCCCCAUCAAUAUGGGCAAGGCCUUUAUAGAGCAUGUCUUCACUACUAAUGUAAGUUUGUCCUCCUCGAGCCUUCAAACUUUGUUGUGUAUAUUUGGAUAGCUAUGAGUGCAAAUGUUGUUUAUUUUUGUCGUCUGCAUCAAAUUGUUGUUCAAAGUUUAUAAAGUAGAAAUACAUAAACAUAAGUUUGUCCUUCUCAAUUUCAGUAUUUAGUUGUACAAUCUAGUUCCUUAUUCAUACCAUGUAAAUUAAACUAAACAUAGCAAGUUAUCUUCUUUAGCACUAUGUGUAUGCUUGUGUUCUUGAUCUGUAAUCCAGUGGUGUGGUGAGACUACCAACAACAGCACAAUGUCAUAUCCUGCUAUGUCUCAACUAUGAAUAAUGCCUUAUUAUAUUAAUGUUAUUUAAAUCGUGUCUCUUUAUUUACCAAUCUGAAAUGGUAUAAAUUGACAGUACACUCACCAUUCAUGCUUAUACGUUGUUUAGAACUACAUCUAUGCUUGUGUUCUUGAUCUGUAAUCCAGUGGUCUGGUGAAGCUGGCCGCUCCUGCACAAUGCCAUUUCCUGCCGUCUUAACUAUGAACAAUGCCUAUUAUGUUAAUGUUAUUUUAAAUAGUGUCUCUUUAUUUCUGACAAAGAAAUUAGAUGAAUUGACAGCACUAAUGCUUAUACGUGCAAAACUUGUUAUCUACCUACUUGUUUCUCUUUCAGGGUGACAACAUUGCUGCUAGGAAGAACUGCCACAAUGAUAGUGAGACGAACCCAUUGCUUGUCCCUCUAACACAUAUUCCAGAGGAGAAGGCAACACAUAUUGAGGGUAGGGAUACAACCACGAAGUCACAUCUUGAUGUAGUGUCAAACUUACUCGAUGACACAAGCUCAAUGAAGUCGCCGCCUGAAUCUGUUCGACUUCUUCAGUCUGAAAUUCAAGCAGAAAUACAUGCUUCCACUCAAAUACGACUGAAAUUCCAAUCUCUAUGCAAGAUUAACCAUAAGUACAUGACGUUUAUUGAUGCUAUCCAGCUUAAGUUGGUGGUAUGAGCGGCAAAGAAGCGCAGUCUCAUUAGGUUGCUAAGCUGCUUGCGCUACAGCUCCCGGGCCGGGCUAACCUUUCUUGAACUGUGUUGAAGUGCUGUCGGUUCUGUCUAUUAUUUUGUCCGCCUAUUAACUUCCACUGGUGGCGACCUGCCCAGUUUAUGUAAUUUGAUGUUUGGUUGCCCUUUAUUAUCACUGGCGGUGAACUUUUUUUUUGACAGAAAGACUGUAAGGGGACCCCCUACAGUAUAAUUGGUGCAACAAACCCAAAUUGCAAGUACCAUGCCUUGAACCUGGGUGGAUGGGAAGGCAUCAGCCCCUUCCAACCACUAGGCUAUGCCUUAACCUGCACUAGGCUAUACCCAAAUUUCUUUGUUGUAUAGUCUAGGUUUAUUCUUGGUCGGUAUGCUGUAAUUUAGGUCGGAAGGUUCAGUGGAUCUCAGUGUUGUCGGUCUUCAGGCCGGCCCGUUAGUCAUAUGGGCCAAAACGUGGGCCUAUUAUCAUCUUGGGCCAUUAGUAGGUCUAAACCUAUAGUAGUUUCCUGCCUUUAACAGGUCGAGUAAAGUUCUGGCCAGCUGGGCCAGAGAAUAUGGGCUUUUAACAGGCUAAAAUCUAGAUUGGGCUAGUGUUGAGCCAAAAAAUUCACGGGCCAAUACAGGCCGAAACUGCCUAAGGCCAAUGUUGGGGCCAAAUAGGACGAGCAAUUAACAGGCCAAAAUAUAUCUCGGGUCUGUUUGGCCAAAUAAAAUUAUGGGCUUUAAGCACGCCGGUAUCCGCGUGGGCCAUAGGCCCAAAAGUGUCACGGGCCAUUAUCAGAUGGGCUGUAAGCAGGCCGGAUUCAACGCGGGCUGUAAUUAGGCCCAACUGUUACACGGGCCAUUAACAGGCCGAUAGGCCAGUUGGGCUGAAAUUUAUCCACGAAGACUACGGGCCGUUAAGAGGCCUAAAGUUACUUUGGACAAGAAAUAGCCCAGUUUAUGCAUGGGUCGUUAAAUGGCCUAAAGUUAAACCGGGCCGACAACGUCCCAGAUACACCACGGGCCGCUAACAGGCCGAAACUAUUAUCGGGCCAAACUGGUAAACGAGCAUUUAACAGGCUGAAAUACAAACAUGUCUUAGAAUGGGCCCAAAAGAACAGUGGCCUGUUAACGGGCCUGAUCCAAUAUUGGCCGUAAUUUGGCCCAAAACGCGGCAGGCUGUGAAUGGGCCUGAUGUAGUAUGGGCCUCAAUUUGACCCAAAACAUGGCAGGUUGUUAACGGGCCAGCCCACUAGUGUCUGAAAAAACAUGGUGGGCCUUUAGCUGGGACGGCCUUUUCACCGGAAUGGGCCUCUGUUGGGCCGUGCCACGUGUCGACGUAUCAUAGUCGCCUCCUGUCCAAUGAGUGGAUGACAUCUGUCCCAACGGUGAGCCAACACGUGUUUCCUCCGGCCAAUAAGAAUUUUACACGUGGAAAAUCCCCAUUGGUCUGGGCUGUUAACGGGUGAAAGGACAUGCGGUGCCCCCAUGUGUGGUUUUGGUAAUUGAUGACAAUCUGUAUGGACUAAUGGUUGCAUUGAGUUAUAUUUGAAGGAUUUGUCCAUAGGCAUGUCUUGAAGUCCAUGUGUUGGUUUCAAGGAGUUUAUGUGUUGACAGAGGUGCUUUUAAGGAAUUAUCCAAAGAUUGGUCAUGUGAGAGUUGAGCUUAUUGCAAGCAUGUCUUGGAGAAGAAGAUUGUGUGAUCAUUCAUGUCUACCUUCAAGACAUCAUCCAAAUGAAGAGAGUUCGAAAGAUUCAAGGUUGAUCAAGAUUAAGUCAAGAGUGAAUCAAGUUGAUCAACACACAAAGCAUACAAGAUGUACCAAGGGAUCAAGUGAUCCCAUGGUAUGGUAAGCAUUGUCCAUUAUGCUUUGUAUGCUAUACCAUGGUAUUCGUGAGAGUUUUUUGUGGGGUUAGGUUGCGGUGUGUGAUACGUCUCCAACGUAUCUAUAAUUUUUUAUUGUUCCAUGCUAUUAUAUUAUCUGUUUUGGAUGUUUAAUGGGCUUUAUUAUGCUCUUUUAUAUUAUUUUUGGGACAAACCUAUUAACCGAAGGCCCAGUGCAAAUUGCUGGUUUUUUUGCCUAUUUCAAUGUUUCGCAGAAAAGGAAUAACAAACGGAAUCCAAACGGAAUGAAACCUUCACGAGGAUCGUUUUUGGAACAAACGCAAUCCAGGAGACUUGGAGUGGACGUCAAGGAAUCAACGAGGCGGCCACGAAGCAGGAGGGCGCGCCCCCCACCCUCGUGGGCCCCUCGUGGCUCCACCGACCUACUUCUUUCGCCUAUAUAUACUCUCAUACCCUGAAAACAUCCAGGAGAGCUACGAAACACUUUUUCCACCGUCGCAACCUUCUGUACCCGUGAGAUCCCAUCUUGGGGCCUUUUCCGGCGCUCCGCCGAAGGGGGAAUCGAUCACGGAGGGCUUCUACAUCAACACCAUAGCCUCUCCGAUGAUGUGUGAGUAGUUUACCACAGACCUUCGGGGCCAUAGUUAUUAGCUAGAUGGCUUCUUCUCUCUCUUUGGAUCUCAAUACAAAGUUCUCCUCGAUCUUCUUGGAGACCUAUUCGAUGUAAUACUUUUUGCGGUGUGUUUGCCGAGAUCCGAUGAAUUGUGAGUUUAAGAUCAAGAUUAUCUAUGAACAAUAUUUGAUUCUUCUCUGAAUUCUUAUAUGCAUGAUUUGAUAUCUUUGCAAGUCUCUUCGAAUUAUCAGUUUGGUUUGGCCUACUAGAUUGAUCUUUCUUGCAAUGGGAGAAGUGCUUAGCUUUGGGUUCAAUCUUGCGGUGUCCUUUCCCAGUGACAGCAGGGGCAGCAAGGCACGUAUUGUAUUGUUGCCAUCGAGGAUAAAAGGAUGGGGUUUAUAUCAUAUUGCUUGAGUUUAUCCCUCUACAUCAUGUCAUCUUGCCUAAUGCGUUACUCUGUUCUUAUGAACUUAAUACUCUAGAUGCAUGUUGGAUAGCGGUCGAUGUGUGGAGUAACAGUAGUAGAUGCAGAAUCGUUUCGGUCUACUUGACACGGACGUGAUGCCUAUGUUCAUGAUCAUGCCUAGAUAUUCUCAUAACUAUGUGCUUUUCUAUCAAUUGCUCGGCAGUAAUUUGUUCACCCACCGUAAUAUAUGCUAUCAUGAGAGAAGCCACUAGUGAAACCUAUGGCCCCCGGGUCUAUUUUACAUCAUAUUAGUUUCCCGUCAACUAGCCAAUUUCUGUCACCGUUUAUUUUGCAACCUUUAUUUUCCAAUCUAUACAACAAAAAUACCAAAAAUAUUAUCUUAUUAUCUUUAUCAGAUCUCACUUUUGCAAGUGGCCGUGAAGGUAUUGACAACCCCUUUAUCGCGUUGGUUGCAAGGUUCUUGAUUAUUUGUGCAGGUACUAGGCGAUUUGCGUGUAGUCUCCUACUGGAUUGAUACCUUGGUUCUCAAAAACUGAGGGAAAUACUUACGCUACUUUGCUGCAUCACCCUUUCCUCUUCAAGGGAAACCAACGCAUGCUCAAGAGGUAGCAAGAAGGAUUUCUGCCACCAUUGCCGGGGAGGUCUACGCACAAGUCAAGACAUACCAAGUACCCAUCACAAACUCUUCUCCCUCGCAUUACAUUAUUUGCCAUUUGCCUCUCGUUUUCCUCUCCCCCACUUCACCUUUGUCGUUUUAUUCGCCCUUUUUCAUUCGUCUCUUUUCGCUUGCUUCUUGUGUGCCCGUUCUUAGUGAGGUUUGUCGCCAUCAUGUCUGAAAUUGGGGAGGUUAUCGUCGAAAAAGAUAAUAGUAACAAUGGGGGAAACCUUGAUACUUUUGAUAAUCCAGAUGAAGAAUCCGCUAUUCUACACACUAAAAAGUUUUGGAUUGGUAGUGGUAAUAUUAUUGGAAAAGGAGUUACUCAAGAUUUCUUUACUUGUGCCGGUGCUUUGCCCACUAUGGGAGGGUCUAUUCUUCAUAGAACUAGUAGUCUCGCGGAUGCUAUAUCUUUUCUCAUAGUUGAACUUGAAAGACAAUUUAUGCAUAUGCAUCCUUGCAUACAAAGGAUUUUCCUAGAAUUUUUCAAUAUUGAGCAUUCUUCUGUUAAGCGUGUAGCUACUAUAUUUUUAGCACAUGAGUUCAGAUUUAUAAUGAAAGAGGCCAAUGAAAUUUUUGCGCAUUAUAGGGUGGACGCUUGCCGUCCUCCCAUAUAAGCUAUCCUUUUUAAUCAAGAAGACAUAAUGCGUUUACGAUCUUUAGAUCAUGUUGCUUAUAAUGAAAACCUUAGAAAAAAGGUUCCUACCGAUGUUCUAGUUGAUAGAAUCUCUAAACUUAAUGAUGAUUUUGCUAUUCAGAAUAAUGGGUUAGGAUUUCCUCUUGAACAUAGGCUCAUGACUUUUUGCCAAAAGAAUGCUUAUAAUGAUGAAUUGGUUGUGCAAUAUGAGGGGCCGAAGGAGGAACCAAUACCUCCCAAGCUUGAUCUUGGGGACUUUUGUCCCAUUAAAUUUAGCCCUUUUGAUUAUUUUUGCCUGCCGCAAAGAAAGCUUGCUGCUGAACGUAGGGAGUAUGAGAUGAGUUUUCGCGAUUUGCCCUAUCAUUAUGGCAAUACCUGGAUCUAUUCUUGUUUUUAUGCCUAGCUAGGGGCGUUAAACGAUAGCGCUUGUUGGGAGGCAACCCAAUUUUAUUUUUGUUCCUUACUUUUUGUUCCUGUUUAGUAAUAAAUAUUUCAUCUAGCCUCUGGUUAGAUGUGGUUUUAUGUUUUAAUUAGUGUUUGUGCCAAGUAGAACCUUUAGGAUAACCUAUGGUGAUAGUUAAUUUGAUCUUGCUAAAAAGCAGAAACUUUUGCGCGCACGAAAUUAGUUUUCAUAAAUCACAGGAACGUGCUUUUCAGUUGAUUCUUUUUGCAGAAUAUUAAUAAACAAAUUGCUUAGGACUUCCUAAUUCCUCAGAAUUUUUGGAGUUACAGAAGUAUUUGAAACUAUUAGAUUUCUACAGACUGUUCUGUUUUUGACAGAUUCUGUUUUUAGUGUGUUGUUUGCUUAUUUUGAUGAAUCUAUGGCUAGUAUCGGGGGGUACGAACCAUAGAGAAGUUGGAAUACAGUAGGUUUAACACCAAUAUAAAUAAAGAAUGAGUUCAUUGCAGUACCUUAAGGUGGUGGUUUGUUUUCUUAUACUAACAGAGCUCAUGAGAUUUUCUGUUUGAGUUUUGUGUUUUCAAGUUUUCAAGUUUUUGGGUAAAGAUUUGAUGGAUUUUGGAAUAAGGAGUGGCAAGAGCCUAAGCUUGGGGAUGCCCAAGGCACCCCAAGGUAAAAUUCAAGGUCAACCAAAAGCCUAAGCUUGGGGAUGCCCCGGAAGGCAUCCCCUCUUUCGUCUUCGUCUAUCGGUAACUUUACUCGAGGCUAUAUUUUUAUUCACCACAUGAUAUGUGUUUUGCUUGGAGCGUCUUGUAUGAUUUAAGUCUUUGCUUUUUACUUUACCACAAUCAUCCUUGCUGUACACACCUUUUGGGAGAGACACACAUGAAUCGGAAUUUAUGAGAAUACUCUAUGUGCUUCACUUAUAUAUUUUGAGCUAGAUAAUUUUGCUCUAGUGCUUCACUUAUACCCUUUUUAGAGCACGGUGGUGAUUUUAAUUUGUAGGAAUUAUUGAUCUCUCAUGCUUCACUUAUAUUAUUUUGAGAGUCCUUUAGAACAGCAUGGUAGUUUGCUUUGGCUAUAAAAUUAGUCCUAAUAUGAUAGGCAUCCAAGAUGGGUAUAAUAAAAACUUUCAUAUAGAGUGCAUUAAAUACUAUGAUAAAUUUGAUACUUCAUAAUUGUUUUCAGAUAUAAAGGUUGUAAUGUUAGAGUCAUGCUAGUUGGGUAAUUGUGGAAUUGAGAAAUACUUGUGUUGAGGUUGGCAAGUCCUGUAGCAUGCACGUAUGGUAAACGUUGUGUGACAAAUUUGAAGCAUGGGGUGUUCUUUGAUUGCUUUCCUUAUGAGUGGAGGUCGGGAUCGCGCGAUGGUUAACACCUACCAACCCUUCCCCUAGGAGCAUGCGCGUAGUGCUUAGUUUUGUUGACUUGUAGAUUUUUGCAAUAAGUAUGUGAGUUCUUUAUGACUAAUGUUGAGUCCAUGGAUUAUACGCACUCUCGCCCUUCCAUCAUUGCUAGCCUCUUCGGUACCGUGCAUUGCCCUUUCUCACCUCGAGAGUUGGUGCAAACUUCGCCGAUGCAUCCAAACCCCGUGAUAUGAUACGCUCUAUCACACAUAAGCCUCCUUAUAUCUUCCUCAAAACAGCCACCAUACCUACCUAUUAUGGCAUUUCCAUAGCCAUUCCGAGAUAUAUUGCCAUGCAACUUACCACUGUUCCGUUUAUUAUGACACGCUCCAUCAUUGUCAUAUUGCUUUGCAUGAUCAUGUAGUUGACAUCGUAUUUGUGGCAAAGCCACCUUCAUAAUUCUUUCAUACAUGUCGCUCUUGAUUCAUUGCAUAUCCCGGUACACCGCCGGAGGCAUUCACAUAGUCAUAUUUUGUUCUAAGGAUCGAGUUGUAAUUCUUGAGUUGUAAGUAAAUAGAAGUGUGAUGAUUUUCAUUAUUAGAGCAUUGUCCCAUGUGAGGAAAGGAUGAUGGAGACUAUGAUUCCCCCACAAGUCGGGAUGAGACUCCCGAUGAGAAAAAAAUAAAUAAAUAAAGAGGCCAAAGAAGCCCAAAUAAAAAAAGGCCAAAGAAGCCCAAACAAAAAAACAAAAAAAUGAGAGAAAAAGAGAGAAGGGACAAUGUUACUAUCCUUUUUCCACACUUGUGCUUCAAAAUAGCACCAUGAUCUUCAUGAUAGAGAGUUUCUUAUUUUGUCACUUUCAUAUACUAGUGGGAAUUUUUCAUUAUAGAACUUGGCUUGUAUAUUCCAAUGAUGGGCUUUCUCAAAAUGCCCUAGGUCUUCGUGAGCAAGCAAGUUGGAUGCACACCCACUUAGUUUCUUUUGAUGGGCUUUCAUAUAUUUAUAGCUCUAGUGCAUCUGUUGCAUGGCAAUCCCUACUCCUCGCAUUGAUAUCAAUUGAUGGGCAUCUCCAUAGCCCGUUGAUUAGCCGCGUCAAUGUGAGACUUUAUCCUUCUUUUUGUCUGCUCACAUAACCCCCAUCAUCAUAUGCUAUUCCACCCAUAGUGCUAUGUCCAUGGCUUGCGCUCAUAUAUUCCGUAAAAGUUGAAAGAGUUUGAAAAGGCUAAGUAUGAAACAAUUGCUUGGCUGAAACCAGGGUUGUGCAUGAUGGGAGCAUUUUGUGUGACGAAAAUGAAGCAUGGCCAAACUAUAUGAUUUUGUAGGGAUGAGCUUUCUUUGGCUAUGUUAUUUUGGUAAGACAUAAUUGCUUGGUUAGCAUGCUUGAAGUAUUACUAUUUUUAUGUUGAUAAUAAAAAUUUGUCUAGGAUCUUUUGGAUCUAAGCAUUCAUGCCACAAUAAAUAGAAUUACAUUGAAAAUUAUGUUAGGUAGCAUUCCACAUCAAAAAAUUUGUUUUAUCAUUUACCUACUCGAGGACGAGCAGGAAUUAAGCUUGGGGAUGCUUGAUACGUCUCCACCGUAUCUAUAAUUUUUGAUUGUUCCAUGCUAUUAUAUUAUCUGUUUUGGAUGUUUAAUGGGCUUUAUUAUGCUCUUUUAUAUUAUUUUUGGGACUAACCUAUUAACCGAAGGCCCAGUGCAAAUUGUUGUUUUUUGCCUAUUUCAGUGUUUCGCAGAAAAGGAAUAUCAAACGGAAUCCAAACGGAAUGAAACCUUCGCGAGGAUCGUUUUUGGAACAAACGCAAUCCAGGAGACUUGGAGUGGACGUCAAGGAAGCAACGAGGCGGCCACGAGGAAGGAGGGCGCGCCCCCCACCCUCAUGGGCCCCUCGUGGCUCCACCGACCUACUUCUUUCGCCUAUAUAUACUCUCAUACCCUGAAAACAUCCAGGAGAGCCACGAAGCACUUUUUCCACCGCCGCAACCUUCUGUACUUGUGAGAUCCCAUCUUGGGGCCUUUUCCGGCGCUCCGCCGGAGGGGGAAUCGAUCAUGGAGGGCUUCUACAUCAACACCAUAGCCUCUCCGAUGAUGUGUGAGUAGUUUACCACAGACCUUCGGGUCCAUAGUUAUUAGCUAGAUGGCUUCUUCUCUCUCUUUGGAUCUCAAUACAAAGUUCUCCUCGAUCUUCUUGGAGAUCUAUUCGAUGUAAUACUUUUUGCGGUGUGUUUGCCGAGAUCCGAUGAAUUGUGGGUUUAUGAUCAAGAUUAUCUAUGAACAAUAUUUGGUUCUUCUCUGAAUUCUUAUAUGCAUGAUUUGAUAUCUUUGCAAGUCUCUUUGAAUUAUCAGUUUGGUUUGGCCUACUAGAUUGAUCUUUCUUGCAAUGGGAGAAGUGCUUAGCUUUGGGUUCAAUCUUGUGGUGUCCUUUCCCAGUGACAGCAGGGGCAGCAAGGCACGUAUUGUAUUGUUGCCAUCGAGGAUAAAAAGAUGGGGUUUAUAUCAUAUUGCUUGAGUUUAUCCCUCUACAUCAUGUCAUCUUGCCUAAUGCGUUACUCUGUUCUUAUGAACUUAAUACUCUAGAUGCAUGUUGGAUAGCGGUUGAUGUGUGGAGUAAUAGUAGUAGAUGCAGAAUUGUUUCGGUCUACUUGACACGGACGUGAUUCCUAUGUUCAUAAUCAUGCCUAGAUAUUCUCAUAACUAUGCGCUUUUCUAUCAAUUGCUCGGCAGUAAUUUGUUCACCCACCGUAAUAUAUGCUAUCAUGAGAGAAGCCACUAGUGAAACCUAUGGCCCCCAGGUCUAUUUUAAAUCAUAUUAGUUUCCCGUCAACUAGCCAAUUUCUGUCGCCGUUUAUUUUGCAAUCUUUAUUUUCCAAUCUAUACAACAAAAAUACCAAAAAAUUAUCUUAUUAUCUUUAUCAGAUCUCACUUUUGCAAGUGGCCGUGAAGGGAUUGACAACCCCUUUAUCGCGUUGGUUGCAAGGUUCUUGAUUGUUUGUGCAGGUACUAGGCAAUUUGCGUGUAGUCUCCUACUGGAUUGAUACCUUGGUUCUCAAAAACUGAGGGAAAUACGUACGCUACUUUGUUGCAUCACCCUUUCCUCUUCAAGGGAAAACCAACGCAUGCUCAAGAGCUAGCAGUGUGCAAGUUCAAGUGGAGCAUCACGAAGAAAUCAAAUGCUUGAAGCUUGCCGUCCAUUGUGGUGACAAUGGAUUUGUGAAGAUGUGCGGAAGAGUGGCUCACCCAUAGUGGAGUAUGGGGGAGCAAUCAACUAGUCUUCAUCGAGCCAACGCAAUCAAGAAAGGUGGUCCAACUUGAGGGAGUCAAGAUCGUCAUCAUCUAGCUCAAGUGGACCAUGUGCAAGGCAAAGGUUUGCCCUUGAUAGGUUUUCUAUUUUACCGAUCUCAUGGUGGUAGUUGGGAGACCGGGUUAUAGGAUCGAUUGCCGUACUAUCAAGGGGGGCUCUCAAUGAGUAGCUUUAUCGUAUCAUUCGUAGAGAGCUCAAACCAUUGCAUCCUUGCAUCAUCUUUCUUGGUUCUUGUUUGAUUCUCUUUGUGAGUCUUAGAGCUUAUGGUCAUCUUGAUGACAAGCUCGAGUUCAUCGAAAACGGAGUUCACCUGCAUCUUCUAUGAUGUUUUCGAUGUUGGAGGUUAUGCCGGUUCUUCUCUGUUGGAGGUUUCACUCCUCUAUAUGUUAGGCAUACCUCCCUUGCCCCUUCUUACUCGCUGUUUUGAUGCUACUCGUUGUCUUCUAUCCAACAAGCUUGAGUUUUCUCAAUUCGGAGAUCAUUUGCAGAAGUUAUGGCAGUUCUGGUUUUAUUGGAUCCUUUUGUUGGCUUUAGCUGCGAUAUGAAGGCAGCCAAGUGCUAAAGCCUCUGUGGCGUGCGGUAGUACUGCUCAAGGGAGCGGUAGUACCGCAGGGGCCAGCGGUAGUACCGCUCCUGGUGAGCAGUAGUACCACGGCCUCUAGCCCAGAACAUUGUCACGCACGGAAGUAGGCGCGGAAGUAAUUUUUUACUUCCGUCCCUACGCGGUAGUACCGCUCCCUGCGAGCGGUAGUACCAUGCCGGCUUUCUACUCAAAGCUAGCUCCAGCGGAUGUAGGCGCGGCAGUAAUUUUUUACAUCCGUGGACGCACGGUAGUACCGCUAUCCCCAGCGGUAGUACCGCUACCUCACCGUGUAUACUGCUGUGUGCUGCACCUGUGUGGCCGUUGAAUACUACCCCUGCGGUAGUACCACAAGGGCAGGCAGUAGUACCCCUCCGGCAGUAGUACCACUCUGUUGCCCCGUUGUAGUAGUGUUUCAUUUGGCUACAGCCGCCCUAGCGGUAGUACCGCUCCUUGGAGCGGUAGUACCGCUCGGUGCGGGCUGUGAGGAUAACGGUUGGAUUUUUCCCCACCUAUAAAAGGGGGUCUUCUUCCCCAAUGAACCUUAUCCUUUGAGCUCGUGUUCUUGCCCCAUUGCUGACCUUCUUCGAGCUUGCUAACUCUCAAUCCCUCCAUGGAUUCUUGCUAGUUUUUGAGGGAAAAGAGAGAGGAGAUCUAGAUCCACAUUUCCACCAAUCACUUUCUCCUCUAUGUGAGGGGAACCCCUUGGAUCUAGAUCUUGGAGUUCUUGGUGUUCUCCUUCUUGUUCUUCCUCUCAUUUUCCUCCCCAGAAUUAGUUGCUUCGGUGGGACUUGAGAGAGAAGGACUUGGGCACUCCGUGUGCCCUUGCCAUUGCAUUUGGUGCAUCGGUUUGAGUUCUCCACGUGAUACGUGGAAGUUACAAGUUGAGAAGCUUAUUACUCUUGGGUGCUUGGUACCCUUGAGCUUGUUCCUCUUGGGUGCUUGGGCGCCCUAGACAGUUGGUGGUGUUCGGAGCUCAAUCAUUGUGGUGUAAAGCUCCGGGUGUCAGUGUCAAAACUGGUGGAUCUCGGGUAGGGGGUCCCAAACUGUGCGUCUAAGGUUGAGGGUAACAGGAGACGGGGGACACAAUGUUUACCCAGGUUCGGGCCCUCUCUACAGAGGUAAUACCCUACUUCUUGCUUGAUUGAUCUUGAUGAAUAUGAGUAUUACAAGAGUUGAUCUACCACGAGAUCGUAAUGGCUAAAACCCUAGAAGUCUAGCCUGUAUGACUAUGAUUAUGAUUAUUCAUCCUCUACGGACUAAGCCCUCCGGUUUAUAUAGACACCGGAGGGUUCUAGGGUUACAUCAGGUCGGUUACAGAGAAAGGAAUCUUCAUAUUUGGUCGCCAAGCUUGCCUUCCACGCCAAGGAGAGUCCCAUCCGGACACGGGAGAGAGUCUUCGGUCUUCGUAUCUUCACGGCCGAUCAAUCCGGCCCAUGUAUAACAGGUCGGAUGCCUGAGGACCCCUUAAUCCAGGACUCCCUCGGUAGCCCCCGAACCAGGCUUCAAUGACGAUGUGUCCAGCGCGCAGAUUGUCUUCGGCAUUGCAAGGCGGGUUCUUCCUCCGAUGACUUUCAAAGAGAUAUAUUCGGCACUCCAUUUAACGUUGUGCCCCUCGGCUUCUGUGCGUCAACAACUUCAGCUUCCACGUGUCGAGCGAAUGCGGGAGGUCAGGGUAUUUUCACAUAUAACACCCCGGCCAUGUAAGAACAGCGUCUAUUUAACGGGAUUGGAUCUCAGAUCCAUUCUAUAUCAUGCAAAAAAUCCUCAGAGCUUGCUAGGAAAAACCAUUCCAACAUGGCCAGCGCUCCUAGCUCUUCCUCCCGUCCCCACGGCCCAGAAAAAGGCAAUUGGGAGAGAUGUUUCAUAUCUCACGGUCAGUUGGUGAAGCUGCAAACACAGGGAUUCCUUCCCCCUGCGGAUCUAGUCCCCGUUCGAGUAGGAUUGAAUUCCUUCAACGGCGGGGCUCAGGCUGAGAAUUUCCACAACCCAUCCAGGGGGGAGCGAGUGUGCUUCAUCCCCUACUUGCUAAGAGGCGUCGGAUUUCCAAUCCAUCCGUUCCUCCGAGGGCUUCUAGAGUAUUAUGGCUUCCAACUGCACAACUUCACUCCUGCCUCCAUCCUGCACAUCACGGGCUACGUCACUCUUUGCGAGCUAUUCUUGGGUUGCGAGGCCCAUUUUGAUUUGUGGAGGAAGCUAUUCUGCCUCGUCCCUCGCAACCAAGAUGGAUCAAUAUUUGAAGUGGGCGGAGCCGAAGUAUGGCGCAUCGCCGGGACCGGAUACCUGUCCGGCACGCGGAAGAAGGCAUCCGAAGAAUGGCCUUCCGAAUGGUUCUAUAUCGAGGACGUCGCCCUUCCAGACCCAGUUCGAAUGGGUCUUCUCGAAUUUACAAGGGUUCCGUUGAAGAAAUGCCACAGCUGGCGCCCUCGGAGCCUCGAGGAGGAAGAUAGUGCGGAAGUCCGUCAACUGAUUAGCAAGAUAAAGACGCUUGCCCAGCCCGGAUUAUCAAUAGUCGACGUAAUGGCGACUUCCAUAGUGCGAGGGGUUCAGCCACUCCAAUACAGAGGGCUUCCUAUGUGGCACUACAAUGGGGAAGAUGACGCCUCCCGUUGCGGUCGAAAAGGUCCGGACACCCCCGCCGCUUUGGCCAAGAUAUUGGUCGAACUAUUCAAAGGGGAGGAAGAGGAAUUCCUUCGCAUCAAGCGUCGGGAUGGAUUUUCCAUGUACAACCCUACUAGUUGGGUGAGUUACAAUCCCAUUAUUCCAUUCAAUCUACUCCCUGAGUCACUUUUAACGAACAUUACUCCGUCCAUUCGUAACAGGAAUGGCGAAAAAUCACCAAGGGGCUACACCGCCCCGCCCCACAGCCAGAGAACCAUAACCGGGACCUUGACCCUGGAUUUGAAGAGGAUCCGGACAUAUAUGUGGAGCUCGAGGAUGGGGUGUUCUACCAGGCGAGCUAUGACGGCAUGGAAGUGGCCAUCACUGCCGACUAUCCCGGUCUUCUCCCUGCCUCGCACGUAAAUAAUCAGGAGAUAUCUCCUAUGAAAGAGCCUCCUCAUUCUGCCUCAUGAUGGGGAACGUAGCGAUAAUUCUAAAAUUUCCUACAUGUCACCAAGAUCAAUCUAGGAGAUGCUAGCAACGAGAGAGAGGGAGUGCAUCUUCAUACCCUUGAAGAUCGCUAAGCGGAAGCGUUACAAGAACGCGGUUGAUGGAGUCGUACUCGCGGCGAUUCAAAUCGCGGAAGAUCCGAUCUAGCGUCGAACGGACGACGCCUCCGCGUUCAACACACGUACAGCCCGGGGACAUCUCCUCCUUCUUGAUCCAGUAAGGGGAGAGGAGAAGUUGAGGGAGAACUCCAGCAGCACGACGGCAUGGUGGCAAUGGAGCUCGUGGUUCUCCGGCAGGGCUUCGCCAAGCACUAUGGAGGAGGAGAUGUAUGAGGAGGAAGGGGGCUGCGCCAAGGGAAGGGUAUGGCUUCCCUCCCACCCCCUCACUAUAUAUAGGGGGAGGGGAGAGGGUCCGGCCCCUCUAGAUGGAUCUAGAGGAGGAGGCGGCGGCCAGGGGAAACCCUAGAUGGGUUUGGGUGCCCCCACCCCCUAGGAAACUUGCCCCCCAAGCCGGGAGGGGCGGCUAUCCUAGGGGUGGCGCCCCCACCUCUCCUGGUUACGUGAGAGGGGUUGGGAGGGGCGCACAAUCCCUUAGUGGGCUGGUUUGACACUUCCCCUUGGCCCAUAAGGCCCCCCAACACUUGCCGGGGCCUCCGAAACCCCUUUCGGACAUGCUGGCCAUAGCCUGGUACCCCCGGAACAAUUCCGGACUCCAAUACCCUUCGUCCAAUAUACCGAUCUUCACCUCCGGACCAUUCCGGAGCUCCUCGUCAUGUCCGGGAUCUCAUCCGGGACUCCGAACAACCUUCGGUAACCACAUACUAUUUCCCAUAACAACUCUGGCGUCACCGAACCUUAAGUGUGUAGUCCCUACGGGUUCGGCAACCAUGCAGACAUGACCGAGACGUUCUCCGGCCAAUAACCAACAGUGGGAUCUGGAUACCCUUGUUGGCUCCCACAUGUUCCACGAUGAUCUCAUCGGAUGAACCACGAUGUCGGGGAUUCAAUCGAUCCCGUAUACAAUUCCCUUUGUCUAUCGGUAUGUUACUUGCCCGAGAUUCGAUCGUCCGUAUCCCUAUACCUUGUUCAAUCUCGUUACCGGCAAGUCUCUUUACUCAUUCCGUAACGCAUGAUCCCGUGGCUAACUCAUUAGUCACAUUGAGCUCAUUAUGAUGAUGCAUUACCGAGUGGGCCCAGAGAUACCUCUCCGUCAUACGGAGUGACAAAUCCCAGUCUCGAUUCGUGCCAACCCAACAGACUGUAGGAGAUAUGCCCUAGAGGCAAUAAUAAAUGAUAUUAUUUAACUCCGAGUUCAUAAUUAUGUUUAUGUUCCAUGCUAUAACUGCUAUGGUUCUCGAGUCUGCAAUAACCACGAGGCUCGGAGGAAGACUCAUAUGCACGUGUGGAAUAAUAAACGGUAAAAUGUAUUCCUAGUAUGGCCUCUAAGACUAGCUCAAGUGUUGAUGGUUAUGUUUUCCUGAUCAUGGGCAUGUCUAUGUCAGCAACCUUGAGGGCAUAAUGUUAAGAGAACAUUUGUGUUGAAUCGACCCGGCAUGAUGUUAUGCUAUGAGAUUCAUUCGUCACAAGUUUAUUGGUACAUAACACAGAGAUGGUUAAAGUUUGCAUGAUUCCUUAGACCAUGAGAGUAUCGAGUUUCUUCAUGCUUGCUUCAUGAACUUUGGGGUUUGUUAAACGUCAUCCGUAAAUGGGUGGCUAUUACGGCGGCUUACGGGUUCAUGGAAAAGUGUGUCAAGUAACUUGAUAGCUCAAGAUUGGGAUUUGCUCCUCCGACGAUGGAGAGAUAUCUCUGGGCCCUCUCGGUGUUACGGUAUCCAUCAUCGUCUGGCCAGACACUUUGUGAUUUGAUCACGGGGAUGCCGGAACACGAUAACGAGAAAAGAGAACAAUACCGGUAACGAGGUAACUAGCAUAGUGGACAAGUUGUUGAUCCACGGGAAUGCCAACAUGUCUCACCUCGGGUAUUUGCAACAUAUUGCGAAGCAACAGGAAUAGCACACGGCAACUGGAGGUUCACUCGAAUAUUUAUUCGUGUGGGUAUAGGGGUCAAUAUGGGUGUCCACGGCUCCGAUGUUGAUCAUUGAUCGGAAGGGGUUCCGGGUCAUGUCUAUACUUCACCGAACCUAUAGGGUCACAUGCUUAAGGGUCAUCUAUCUACUGAAUACUAGACAGGGAGUCUGAGAGAAAAUCACCGAAAAAGUUUCGGACACCGAAAAGUUUCGGACAGCGGAAUCGUACCGCAGAGAGAGGUCAUCGGAUAAGUUUCGAUGAUACCGAAAAGUUGUUUCGGGAUACACCAUUAAGUCAAAUUGGUUUCGGCACAUGCCUGAUAAUUCUUGGAGGAUGCCAGAAUCAUUCUGGAAGCUUUUUGGAAUUUUCUGAGAUAAAAACCGGAAAUGUUCCGGAGCUGCCGGAGCCACUUCAGAUGCGUUUCGCAGAUGAAAAUCACUAAAACCGGAAUUGUUUCGGAACGCGUUGAAAAUCAUUUUAGUGGGUAUUGGAAAUGUUCUUAGCCCACAUAAAUAUUUUCAGUUCGAUCAGACGCUGAAAAAUGUCGUCGUGAAUAGUGAAAAUCAGCUUUAUGGUUACUUUAUGGAAAGCCACCUUUUGGGGCUUUGCUCCAAAAGAUCUUGGGGAUGACAUGGAUGGAUAGGAGCCAUUUUUGGGGCCCCUCAUGGGGGUGUGGCCGGCCACAUGGGGUAUCCCCCCUUGGGGACCCUCUUGUUCCUUGGUUUCACUCCUAGGUCCUUGUGGAAGGACUUCAUUCAUGUGCAUUUUGGGUUUUUUGUGAAACUACCCUACCCCCUUGGGAUUUCCUAUAAAUAGAGGUGGAGGGGCAGCCCUCCACACUCAUCCCUUGCUCUCAUACACAUGCCAUGCAUUAUCUGGCUUCUUCUCUCCCUCCCACGAAAAGAGUUUCGUAGAGCCGUAAGGCUGUCUGGGUUCCGGCAGGAACUAGUUCUGGACGGCGAAGCCCUGCCGGAUAGAUGACACCGUAUGUGUGCAACUCUUUAGAGAGAUCGUAGUUUCGGUCUUAGUUCGUGAGUGCCUCCCGAAGGGCUGUCCGUGUGACCGUCCGAGUUUCGAAGGUCCUCCCGAAGGGCUGUCCGAGUGACCGUUCGAGUUUCGAAGGUCCUCCCGAAGGGCUGUCCGCGACACCGUCCGGGGGCUGUUCGACCGCCUCCUGGAGGGCUGUCUGAGGAGCAGAUGAGGGUAUACAUCCUCGCGGUUGGGAGGUUGUAAAUCCUAGCUGUGGGGAUCUGCACCGCCGAUCGUCAUCGACUCUACUUCCCGCUGCGCUACGAGUCGGUAACGAAAAAGAUCAAACCAUGUAUGCAGUCUCCAUAGUGGUCCUGGGCUGGUCCGUAGGUCGGAAUUUUUUUUGUUUUCUGCUGCGUUCCCCUACACAGACACUUUCGGAGAUACCUGUAGUGCACCUUUAUAGCCACCCAGUUACGUUGUGACGUUUGGUACACCCAAAGCAUUCCUACGGUAUCCCGGAGUUGCACAAUCUCAUGGUCUAAGGAAACGAUACUUGACAUUAGAAAAGCUCUUAGCAAACGAACUACACGAUCUUGUGCUAUGCUUAGGAUUGGGUCUUGUCCAUCACGUCAUUCUCCUAAUGAUGUGAUCCCAUUAUCAAUGACAUCCAAUGUCCAUGGUCAGGAAACCAUAACCAUCUAUUGAUCAACGAGCUAGUCAACUAGAGGCUUACUAGGGACAUGUUGUGGUCUAUGUAUUCACACAUGUAUUACGGUUUCCAGUUAAUACAAUUAUAGCAUGAACAAUAGACAAUUAUCAUGAACAAGGAAAUACAAUAAUAACCAUUUUAUUAUUGCCUCUAGGGCAUAUUUCCAGCAGUCUCCCACUUGCACUAGAGUCAAUAAUCUAGUUCACAUCACCAUGUGAUUAACACUCAAAGUUCACAUCGCCAUGUGACUAAUACCCAAGAGUUUACUAGAGUCAAUAAUCUAGUUCACAUCACCAUGUGAUUAACACUCAAUGAGUUCUAGGGUUUGAUCAUGUUAUGCUUACGAGAGAGGUUUUAGUCAACGGGUCUGCAACAUUCAGAUUCGUGUGUGAUUUACAAAUCUCUAUGUCAUCUUGUAGAUGCAGCUACCACGCGCUACUUGGAGCUAUUCCAAAUAACUGCUCUACUAUACGAAUCCGGUUUACUACUCAGAGUCAUCCGGAUUAGUGUCAAAGUUUGCAUCGACAUAACCCUUUACGAUGAACUCCUUUUCCACCUCCAUAAUCGAGAAAAUUCCUUAGUCCACUAGAUACUAAGGAUAAGUUCGACCGCUGUCAUGUGAUCCCUUCCUGGAUCACUAUUGUACCCCUUGACUAACUCAUGGCAAGGCACACUUCAGGUGCGGUACACAACAUAGCAUACUGUAGAGCCUACGUCUAAAGCAUAGGGGAUGACCUUCGUCCCUUCUCUCUCUCCUGUCGUGGUCAGGUCUUGAGUCUUACUCAACACUCACACCUUGUAACACAGCCAAGAACUCCUUCUUUGCUGAUCUAUUUUGAACUCCUUCAAAAUCUUGUCACGGUAUGUAUUCAUUUGAAAGUACUAUUAAGCGUUUUUGAUCUAUCCUUAUAGAUCUUGAUGCUCAAUGUUCAAGUAGCUUAAUCCAGGUUUUCCAUUGAAAAACACUUUUCAAAUAACCCUGUAUGCUUUCCAAAAAUUCUACAUCAUUUCUCAUCAACAAUAUGUUAACAACAUAUACUCAUCAAAAAUUCUAUAGUGCUCCCACUCACUUCUUUGGAAAUACAAGUUUCUCAUAAACUUUGUAUAAACCCAAAAUCUUUGAUCAUCUCAUCAAAGCGUACAUUCCAACUCCGAGAUGCUUACUCCAGUCCUAAGAAGGAUUGCUGGAGCUUUGCAUACUUGUUAGCAUCUUUCAGGAUUGACAAAACCUUCUGGUUGUAUCACAUACAACCUUUCCUCAAGAAAAUCGUCGAGGAAACAAUGUUUUGACAUCCUAUCUGCAAGAUUUCAUAAAUAAUGCAGUAACUGCUAAUAUAAUUCCAACAGAAUCUUAGCAUCGCUACGAGUGAGAAAGUCUCAUCGUAGUCAACUCCUUGAACUUGUCGGAAAACAUCUUAACGACAAGUCGAGCUUUCUUAAUGGUGACACUUACCAUCAUUGUCCGUCUUCCUUUUAAAAUCCAUCUGCACCCAACAGCCUUACGACCAUCAAGUAGUUCUUCCAAAGUCUAUACUUUGCUUUUAUACACGGAUCCUCUCUCGAAUUUUAUGGCCUUGAGCCAUUCGUCGGAAUCCGGGCCCACCAUCGCUUCUCCAUAGCUCGUAGGUUCAUUGUUGUCUAGCAACAUGACUUCCAAGACAGGAUUAGUACCACUCUGAAGUAGUACGCAUCCUUGUCGACCUACGAGGUUUGGUAGUGACUUGAUCCGAAGUUUCAUGAUCACUAUCAUAAGCUUCCACUUCAAUUGGUGUAGGUGCCACAGGAACAACUUCCUGUGCCCUGCUACACACUAGUUGAAGUGAUGGUUCAAUAACCUCAUCAAGUCUCCACCAUCCUCCCACUCAAUUCUUUCGAGAGAAACUUUUCCUCGAGAAAGGACCUGUUUCUAGAAACAAUCACUUUGCUUCCGGAUCUGAAAUAGGAGGUAUACCCAACUGUUUUGGGUAUUCUAUGAAGAUGCAUUUAUCCGCUUUGGGUUCGAGCUUAUCAGCCUGAAACUUUUUCACAUAAGCGUCGCAGCCCCAAACUUUUAAGAAACGACAGCUUAGGUUUCUCUAAACCAUAGUUCAUACGGUGUCGUCUCAACGGAUUGCGUGGUGCCCUAUUUAAAGUGAAUGCGGUUCUCUCUAAUGCCUAGCCCAUAAACGAUAGCGGUAAUUCGAUAAGAGAUAUCAUGGUAUGCACCAUAUCCAAUAGGGUGCAGUUAUGAUGUUCGGACACACCAUCACACUAUGGUGUUCCAGGCGGUAUUAGUUGUGAAACAAUUUCCGCAAUGUCUUAAUUGUGUGCCAAACUCGUAACUCAGAUAUUCAUUUCUAUGAUCAUAUCAUAGACAUUUUAUCCUCUUGUCACGACGAUCUUCAACUUCACUCUGAAAUUACUUGAACCUUUCAAUAAUUCAGACUUGUGUUUCAUCAAGUAAAUAUACUCAGCAUCUACUCAAAUCAUCUGUGAAGUAAGAACAUAACGAUAUCCGCUGCGUGCCUCAGCACUCAUUGGACUGCACACAUCAAAAUGUAUUACUUCCAACAAGUUGCUUUCUUGUUCCAUCUUACUGAAAAUGAGGCCUUUCAGUCAUCUUGACCAUGUGUUAUGAUUUGCAUGUCUCAAGUGAUUCAAAAUCAAGUGAGUCCAAAUGAUCCAUCUGUAUGGAGUUUCUUCAUGCAUAUCUACCAAUAGACAUGGUUCGCAUGUCUCAAUCUUUUCAAAAACGAGUGAGUCCAAAGAUCCAUCAACAUGGAGCUUCUUCAUGCGUUUUAUACCAAUAUGACUCAAAUGGCAGUGCCACAAGUAUGUGGUACUAUCAUUACUAUUUUAUAUCUUUUGGCAUGAACAUGUGUAUCACUACGAUCGAGAUUCAAUAAACCAUUCAUUUUAGGUGCAAGACCAUUGAAGGUAUUAUUCAAAUAAACAGAGUAACCAUUAUUCUCCUUAAAAGAAUAACCGUAUUGCGAUAAACAUAAUCUAAUCAUGUCUAUGCUCAACGCAAACACCAAAUAACAAUUAUUUAGGUUUAACACCAAUCUCGAUGGUAGAGGGAGCAUGCGAUGCUUGAUCACAUCAACCUUGGAAACACUUCCAACACAUAUCGUCAUCUCACCUUUAGCUAGUCUCCGUUUAUUCCGUAGCCUUUUAUUUUGAGUUACCAACACUUAGCAACCGAACCGGUAUCUAAUACCCUGGUGCUACUAGGAGUACUAGUAAAGUACACAUUAAUAUAAUGUAUAUCCAAUAUACUUCUGUCGACCUUGCCUGCCUUCUCAUCUACCAUGUAUCUAGGGUAGUUCUGCUUCAGUGACCGUUCCCCUCAUUACAGAAGCACUUAGUCUCGGGUUUGGGUUCAACCUUGGGUUUCUUUACUAGAGCAGCAACUAAUUUGCCGUUUCAUGAAGUAUCCCUUCUUUCCCUUGCCCUUCUUGAAACUAGUGGUUUUACUAACCAUCAACAAUUGAUGCUCCUACUUGAUUUCUACUUUCGCGGUGUCAAACAUCGCGAGUUGCUCAAGGAUCAUCAUGUCUAUCCCUGAUAUGUUAUAGUUCAUCACGAAGCUCUAAUAGCUUGGUGGCAGUGACUAUGGAGAACCAUCACUAUCUCAUCUGGAAGAUUAACUCCCACUCGAUUCAAGCGAUUGUAGUACUCAGACAAUCUGAGCACAUGCUCAACGAUUGAGCUUUUCUCCCUUAGUUUGCAGGCUUAAGAAACUUGUCAGAGGUCUCAUACCUCUUGACGUGGGCACUAGUCUGAAAUCCCAAUUUCAAUCUUUGGAACAUCUCAUAUGUUCUGCGACGUUUCAAAAUGUCUUUGGUGCCAUAAUUUUAAACCGUUAGCAUUACGCACUGAACUAUCACGUAGUCAUCAAAACGUGUAUGUCAGAUGUUUCGCAACAUCUACAGACGACGCUCGAGGUUCAGCACACCGAGCGGUGCAUUAAGGACAUGAGCCUUCUGUGCAGCAAUGAGGACAAUCCUCAGUAUACGGACCCAGUCCGCAUAAUUGCUACUGUCAACUUUCAACUAAAUUUUCUCUAGGAACAUAUCUUAAACAGUAGAACUAAAGCGUAAGCUAUGACAUAAUUUGCAAAGACCUUUUGACUAUGUUCAUGACAAUUAAGUUCAUCUGAUUAUUUAAUGAACUCCCACUUAGAUAGACAUCCCUCUAGUCAUCUAAGUGAUACAUGAUCCGAAUCGACUAGACCGUGUCCGAUCAUCACGUGAGACGGACUAGUCAUCAACGGUGAACAUCUCCAUGUUGAUCGUAUCUACUAUACGACUCAUGUUCGACCUUUCGGUCUCUUGUGUUCCGAGGCCAUGUCUGUACAUGCUAGGUUCGUCAAGUCAACCUAAGUGUUUCGCAUGUGCAAAUCUGGCUUACACCCGUUGUAUGCGAACGUUAGAAUCUAUCACACCCGAUCAUCACGUGGUGCUUCGAAACAACGAACCUUCACAAUGGUGCACAGUUAGGGGGAACACAUCUCUUGAAAUUUUAGUGAGGGAUCAUCUUAUUUAUGUUACCGUCGUUCUAAGCAAAUAAGAUGUGAACAUGACAAACAUCACAUGCAAAUCAUAAAGUGACAUGAUAUGGCCAGUAUCAUCUUGCGCCUUUUGAUCUCCAUCUUCGAGGCGCGGCAUGAUCACCUUCGUCACCGGCAUGAUCUCCAUCAUCGUGUCUUCAUGAAGUUGUCUCGCCAACUAUUACUUCUACUACUAUGGCUAACGGUUAGCAAUAAAGUAAAAUAAUUACAUGGCGUUUUUCAUUGACAUGCAGGUCAUACAAUAAAUUAAGACAACUCCUAUGGCUCCUGCCGGUUGUCAUACUCAUCGACAUGCAAGUCGUGAUUCCUAUUACAAGAACAUGAUCAGUCUCAUACAUCACAUAUAUAUAAUUCAUCACAUCCUUUUGGCCAUAUCACAUCACAUAGCAUACCCUGCAAAAACAAGUUAGACGUCCUCUAAUUGUUGUUGCAUGUUUUACGUGGCUGCUAUGGGUUUCUAGCAAGAACAUUUCUUACCUACUCAAAAGCCACAACGGUGAUAUGCCAAUUGCUAUUUACCCUUCAUAAGGAUCCUCUUCAUCGAAUCCGAUCCGACUAAAGUGGGAGAGACAGACACCCGCUAGCCACCUUAUGCAUCAAGUGCAUGUCAGUCGGUGGAACCUGUCUCACGUAAGUGUACGUGUAAGGUCGGUCCGGGCCGCUUCAUCCCACAAUGCCACCGAAUCAAGAUAAGACUAGUAACGGUAAGCAAAUUGAACAAAUCAUCGCCCACAACUACUUUGUGUUCUACUCGUGCAUAGAAUCUAUGCAUAGACCUAGCUCAUGAUGCCACUGAUGGGGAACGUAGCGAUAAUUCAAAAUUUUCCUACGUGUCACCAAGAUCAAUCUAGGAGAUGCUAGCAAUGAGAGAGAGGGAGUGCAUCUUCAUACCCUUGAAGAUUGCUAAGCGGAAGCGUUACAAGAACGCGGUUGAUGGAGUCGUACUCGCGGCGAUUCAAAUCGCGGAAGAUCCGAUCUAGCGCCGAACGGACGGCGCCUCCGCGUUCAACACACGUACAGCCCGGGGACGUCUCCUCCUUCUUGAUCCAGCAAGGGGAGAGGAGAAGUUGAGGGAGAACUCCAGCAGCACAACGGCAUGGUGGCAAUGGAGCUCGUGGUUCUCCGGCAGGGCUUCGCCAAGCACUACGGAGGACGAGGAAAUGUAUGAGGAGGAAGGGGGUUGCGCCAAGGGAAGGGUAUGGCUGCCCUCCCACCCCCUCACUAUAUAUAGGGGGAAGGGGAGAGGGGCCGGCCCCUCUAGAUGGAUCUAGAGGAGGAGGCGGCGGCCAGGGGAAACCCUAGAUGGGUUUGGGUGCCCCCACCCCCUAGGAAACUUGCCCCCCAAGCCGGGAGGGGCGGCUGCCCUAGGGGUGAUGCCCCACCUCUCCUGGUUACGUGAGAGGGGUUGGGAGGGGCGCACAGCCCCUUAGUGGGCUGGUUUGCCCCUUCCCCUUGGCCCAUAAGGCCCCCCAACGCUUGUCGGGGCCUCCGAAACCCCUUUCGGACAUGCUGGCCAUAGCCUGGUACCCCCAGAACAAUUCCGGACUCCAAUACCCUUCAUCCAAUAUACCGAUCUUCACCUCCGGACCAUUCCGGAGCUCCUCAUCAUGUCCGGGAUCUCAUCCGAGACUCCGAACAACCUUCGGUAACCACAUACUAUUUCCCAUAACAACUCUAGCGUCACCGAACCUUAAGUGUGUAGACCCUACGGGUUCGGGAACCAUGCAGACAUGACCGAGACGUUCUCCGGCCAAUAACCAACAGCGGGAUUUGGAUACCCAUGUUGGCUCCCACAUGUUCCACGAUGAUCUCAUCGGAUGAACCACGAUGUCGGGGAUUCAAUCAAUCCCGUAUACAAUUCCCUUUGUCUAUCGGUAUGUUACUUGCCCGAGAUUCGAUCGUCAGUAUCCCUAUACCUUGUUCAAUCUCGUUACCGGUAAGUCUCUUUACUCGUUCUGUAACGCAUGAUCCCGUGGCUAACUCAUUAGUCACAUUGAGCUCAUUAUGAUGAUGCAUUACCGAGUGGGCCCAGAGAUACCUCUCAAUCAUACGGAGUGACAAAUCCCAGUCUCGAUUCGUGCCAACCCAACAGACACUUUCGGAGAUACCUGUAGUGCACCUUUAUAGCCACCUAGUUACGUUGUGACGUUUGGUACACCCAAAGCAUUCCUACGGUAUCCGGGAGUUGCACAAUCUCAUGGUCUAAGGAAACAAUACUUGACAUUAGAAAAGCUCUUAGCAAAUGAACUACACGAUCUUGUGCUAUGCUUAGGAUUGGGUCUUGUCCAUCACAUCAUUCUCCUAAUGAUGUGAUCCCAUUAUCAAUGACAUCCAAUGUCCAUGGUCAGGAAACCAUAACCAUCUAUUGAUCAACGAGCUAGUCAACUAGAGGCUUACUAGGGACAUGUUGUGGUCUAUGUAUUCACACAUGUAUUAUGGUUUCCAGUUAAUACAAUUAUAGCAUGAACAAUAGACAAUUAUCAUGAACAAGGAAAUACAAUAAUAACCAUUUUAUUAUUGCCUCUAGGGCAUAUUUCCAACACCUCACCCACCGCACUGUCUUGUGCUCCAAAGGGGAGGCGCUCGAUGCGUCAUUCUACACCAGAGGCAACUCCAAAGAGAGCGGUGCCCAAGCCGGGCAGGCCUUCGAAGAGGAAGGCAAGCGAAGACACGACCGAGCCUUCAUCGAAGAGGUAUGGCUUUGUAAAUAUGCCCCUUGGCAAUCACAUCCAACUGUGACAUUAUCCGUUGUGUCUUAACAGGAAAAGCGUUCACCGGACUAUGUCCAGGGAUCUUACCGGCCGCGCCUCCACAAGUCAGGUUCCCGACCCUGCUUUAAAGGCAAGGGCUGAUACGGGAGUGACGCCGGAUUGUCCCUCGGCAGAUGAGUCGGAUGAUGUAUCCGUCACAAACUCGGAGGUGGAGAGCGCCAUGAAUCAUCGGCGCCGGAGAGCCGUUCUACGCGACCCCGGCUUUACGAGCGAGGCAUUCAAUGCCUUCAGCUCGACUGAUGCAUAUAUCCAAGCUGCUCGAGACGGGCUUGCCAGAGCCACAGACCAACAUUUGAAAGGUAUGCGGGUAAAUUUAUAUUAUACAAAACUGAUAAUUAUAUACUAGUAGCCCCCGAGACUUGAAGCAGUUGAUACAACUGAUUUAAGGAUCAUUGUAUAACUAGGUGCUUAUGGAGAAGAACAGCCUGUUGUCUCAGGAACUAGAAAAGUGUCGGACCCAGCUAACUGCUGCUACCACCGAACUGGAGAAAUCCAAGAAGGCAUCACCUGGUAAUGUUCCCCUCCAUCGAGAAAACAUAAUUAUAUACCGGAAAUGCUAACACUGUUGCUCAUCUUAUGGCAGGAUCGUUAGAUCAACUGAAGGAGCAACUGAAAGCCGCCCAAGCGGAAGAACAAGAGGCCAAAAGACUACUGGCCGCGGGCGAACGUGUGCUGACACGAGUCAGAGAUGAGAAAAACAAGCUGUAGGAUGCCCACACCCAGCUGGGCGAAGAACUGAAAGAUGUACGGGCCCAGCUGGCUAAUUCUGUAAAGGAAAAUAAGAGGCUGCGCGGUGGCAUAUUUGGUAUGUGGUCACACUUACCUCCGUGUAGUUCGGAGAUGAAAGGGACUGACAGAAUUAUAUCUGUAGGUAUGCUGACCGGCCGUCCCGAAGAGGAGAUGUCCAGAAUCUCGGGCGAUCUGCUACAAGAGCUGUCGCAAAUGCACGAGCAAGCUCGGCAGGUGAUGCGAAGUAUUGCCAAGGCUUUAUGGCCAUCCGUCUCCCCUCCAGGAAGGAUGGAGGAGCUUAUACAGCUAUUCAAGGGAGCGCGGCGGCGCUUCCGAUUAUGGAAGAUAUCGGCCUGCCGGGAAGGUGCACGAGAAGCCUGGGCCAUGGUGAAAACACGGUAUACCAAGCUUGAUCCAAAUCAUAUGGCCCAGGUCGGACCUCUAGGGUCAGAUGGGAAAGAAAUUCCCAUGAAUUUGGUAUAUGACCAAGUAGAAGUAGCUGCCAGAUAUUCCCAAUAGGAUUGUAAGUUAGACAGCCUGUUAGACGGUAUAGAGGAGGAAAUUUGUGAGUCUAAGUGACUAUGUACUUUCCCUGACGUAUUUGUCCCUAGCCGGAUUGUAAAACGAUUGUCAUGGCAGACCUUUUCGCUUUGACCUCUGGACCCAAAGGUGCAGAGUGUUUCCGAAUACCUGAGCGGCAAAAUAUACCGGAGUAUGCGUGGAAACCAGGCGUAGGGGUCAUAGUUGCUUGAACAGACAAGUUGUCUCUGGCUAGCUAUGUUAUAUUACAUUGUGAUUGUAAGAAACAUCUUCCAGAGAGAAUAGUUCUGUUAAGGGUUCCUUUCCCUGGGUGUGCAUGCGGUAAUGUGCAUGUCCGGACUGUGAUUGAAAAAAUCGCAGUAUAUUCAAUAUCUGGGGGUUCAUAUUUUAAUGAAUGUAAAAACAUCUUUAGUUUGCCGACCGAAUAUUCCCUUAAGAAUGCUAGCUUUCGGCUUCACCCAGUCUGAGGUACACAUCUGGAUGACCCGGCAGUAACAAUCGCAGAGGUGCUCCCUUUAUGCCCUAGCCGAACUAACGGGAACGUAGGGCAUAAGCACAGGAGCCAGGCAACCCAGCUUGGCCAAAACUUAAGUCAUAUCGAUGCAUAUAAUGGCGAAGAAAAGGUACAUAUGGGGAAAACGCGCAUAUGUGAUGAGCUUGAUGCUCAAAAAUAACAAUAAUAAGCUUCUAUCAAAGAAGCCCCCAGGUAUAAUUGACGUACAUAUUUGAGGAUGUGUAUGUCACUAGUGCACGGUUUAGCCGCACGAAAAGCUUUAAGGCUAAAAACGGAAAAAGCAAAAAGAGAGGAAAAAGUAAUGGAAACAAUAGGGAUAAGGAGACGAACAAAGAGUUCGGCGCUAGGCAUAGAAUCUUCGGAGUCUGGCCGCGUUCCAGGGGUUCGGCUCUAGGCGAUUGUCUGACGCAUCACGCAGGCGGUACGCUCCUCCGGUGAGAACUUCGUCGAUGAUGAAGGGACCCUCCCACUUGGGCUUGAGUUUGUCUUUUUUUUCUUCUCUGGCAGGCGUAGAGCAAGUUCGCCAACGUUAUAAGUCUUGGCCCGCACUUCUCUGCUUUGAUACCUGCGAGCCUGCUGUUGAUGAAAUGCGGAACGGGCUUUUGCAACGUCGCACUCCCCCUCCAUGGCAUCUAAGCUAUCCUGCCGAUCAAGCUCGGCUUCUCUCUCUUCGUACAUGCGCACUCGGGGUGAGUCAUGAAUAAUGUGGCAGGGUAACACAGCCUCUGCGCCGUACACCAUGAAGAAAGGUGUAUAUCCGGUGGUGCGGUUGGGCGUGGUCCGCAGCCCCCAGAGUAUGGAGUCGAGCUCCUCAACCCAGUGCUUGUCUGAUUCUUUCAAAGACCGCACCAGUCUAGGCUUGAUGCCGCUCAUAAUAAGACCAUUGGCUUGUUCGACUUGACCGUUUGUUUGCGGGUGAUAGAUGGAGGCGUAAUCGAGCUUAAUGCCUAGAUUGGUGCACUAGUUUUUCACCUCAUCGGCUGUGAAAUUGGAGUCGUUAUCGGUGAUGAUGUUGUGUGGGACACCAUAACGGUGUACAACGCCGGAUAUAAAGUCUAUCACUGGUCCGACUUCGGCCGUUUUAACUGGUUUGGCCUCUAUCCACUUAGUGAAUUUAUCCACCCUGGCCAGCAGAUAUUUUUUCUUAUGGCUUCCUCCUUUAAGGGGUCCAACCAUAUCAAGCCCCCAGACCGCAAAAGGCCAAGUGAUGGGGAUUGUUUGCAGAGCGGUGGGUGGCAUAUGGCUCUGGUUGGCGAAGAGCUGGCAUCCGACGCAACGUUGGACAAGGUCCUGUGCGUCUGCUCGGGCCGUCGACCAAUAGAAACCUAUACGGAAAGCCUUGCUUACAAGGGCCCGAGCCACGGCGUGGUGACCACCGAGACCGGCAUGAAUUUCAGCCAAGAGUUGCCGCCCCUCUUCCUCGGAGAUACAUCUUUGGAGUACUCCGGUAGCGCUUUUCUUGUAGAGUUCUCCCUCGUGAACCUUGUAGGCUUUAGAGCGCCGAACAAUGCGGCGAGCCUCGUUCUGAUCCUCGGGGAGUUCUCGCCUAUUAAGGUAAGCCAAGAAGGGUUCGGUCCAUGGGGCAAUGACUGCCAUUAUGAGAUGGGCCGACGGUGUUAUUUCGGUGGCUGAGCCCCCGAUGAUAUCGGUGUGUUCGACAUCUAAGGUUAUAGUCGGGUCCGGACUGUUGUUGCCGCUCUCCCCUUGCCACACCAUGGACAGCUUGAAAAGCCUUUCCAGAAAGAUGUUAGGUGGGAUGGGGUCGCGCUUGGCGCCGAUGCGAGCAAGGACGUCCGCCGCUUGAUUACUUUCUCGAGCCACAUGAGGAAACUCAAGCCCCUCGAAGCGGGCCGAGAUUUUAAGAACGGCGUUGCGGUAAGCCGCCAUUUUUGGAUCUUUGGCAUCGGAAUCUCCAUUUAUUUGAGAUAUUGUGAGGUUUGAGUCCCCACGCACUUCCAGGCGUUGUAUGCCCAUGGAGGCAGCCAUCCGAAGCCCAUGCAACAAGGCCUCAUAUUCGGCUGCAUUGUUGGAGUCUGUGUAUAAUAUUUGGAGUACGUACUGAACUGCGUCUCCAGUGGGGGACGUUAAGACAAUGCCCGCCCCUAACCCCGCCAACAUUUUGGAACCAUCGAAGUACAUAACCCAGUUGGAAUAUGUGUCGUACUCUUUAGGGAGUUCGGCCUCUGUCCAUUCGGCGAUGAAAUCAGCCAGUACUUGGGAUUUGAUGGCCCGGCGUGGUUUGUAUGUUAUGUCGAAUGGAAGGAGCUCAAUGGCCCACUUAGCAAUCCGGCCUGUCGCAUCGCGGUUGUUUAUUAUGUCAUUGAGUGGUACUUCGGAGGCCACCGUGAUUGAGCACUCUUGAAAGUAGUGUCGUAGCUUCCGGGAUGCCAUGAAGACCGCGUAUGCUAUUUUUUGGUAGUGAGGGUACUGGGAUUUGCAUGGUGUGAGGACAGUGGAUACGUAGUAUACCGGUUUUUGGAGUGGGAACUUGUGUCUGUCCUGCUCUUGCUCGAUGACGAGCACGGCGCUCACCACCUGGUGUGUUGCCGAUAUGUAUAAUAACAUGGGUUCGCCGAUGUUCGGCGCGGCCAGGAUUGGGUUGCUCGCUAAAAAGGCCUUUAUUUUCUCCAGUUCGGCCGUUGCCGCGUCCGUCCACUCGAAGUGGUCGGUGCGUCGGAGAAGGCGAUAGAGUGGCAACGCUUUUUCUCCCAAUCUGGAGAUAAAGCGGCUUAAAGCUGCCACGCAUCCUACAAGUUUUUGGACCUGUUUAAGGUCUGUUGGCGUAACCAAUUGUGACAAAGCUCGGAUUUUCCUCAAUUCCUCUAUUGGAAACGAUGAAGCCCAGCAGUUUUUCGGCGGGGACGCCGAAAACACACUUUUCCGGGUUGAGCUUGAUGUCAUAUGUACGGAGGUUGUCGAAUGUAAGACGUAAAUCAUCUAUCAGUGACUCGACGUGCCUGGUUUUGAUGACAACGUCAUCCACGUAUGCUUCAACUGUCUUGCCGAUAUGUUUCUCCAGGCAUGUUUGAAUCAUGCGUUGGUAGGUGGCGCCAGCGUUUUUGAGCCCGAAAGGCAUAGUGUUGAAGCAGAAAGGCCCAUAUGGGGUAAUGAAUGUCGUUGCGGCUUGAUCGGACUCCUUCAUCUUGAUUUGAUGGUAUCCGGAGUACGCGUCGAGGAAACACAGUGAGUCGUGUCCUGCGGUUGCGUCAAUAAUCUGAUCGAUGCGAGGGAGGGGGAAGGGAUCCUUAGGGUAAGCCUUGUUGAGGUCUUUGAAAUCGACGCAUAGGCGCCAGGAUUUAUCUUUUUUUGGUACCAUCACCAGGUUUGCUAGUCAGUCCGGGUGUUUUAUUUCUCUGAUGAAUCUGGCUUCGAGUAACUUGGCUAGCUCCUCUCCCAUAGCUUGUCGUUUGGGUUCGGAAAAACGCCGCAGUGUUUGUUUGACCGGUUUAUAUCCCUUUAAGAUAUUGAGGCUGUGUUCGGCCAACCUGCGUGGGAUUCCUGGCAUAUUAGAAGGGUGCCAGGCGAAUACGUCCCAGUUCUCACGCAGGAACUCUCGUAGCGCGGCAUCGACCGCUGGGUCGAGUUGUGCCCCGAUGGAUGCUGUCUUCUUGGGGUCCGUCGGGUGGACUUGAAAUUUGACUAUUUCAUCUGCUGGUUUAAAGGAGGUGGAUUUGGGUCGCUUGUCCAGGAUUACGUCAUCCCUAUCCACAGUGGAGCAUAGCACGGUCAGCUCUUCGGCCGCGAGGGCUUCAGACAAUGCCUCGAGGGCUAGGGAUGCGGUUUUAUUUUCGGCACGCAGUGCUAUGUCUGGAUCACUGGCAAGAGUGAUGGUGCCGUUGGGCCCGGGCAUCUUGAGCUUCAUCUACCCGUAAUGAGGUAUAGCUUGGAAGCGUGUGAAUGCGUCUCGCCCCAGUAGGGCGUGAUAUCCGCUGUUGAAAGGGGCCACUUGGAAGGUUAUCUCUUCGGACCGAUAAUUCUCCGGCGUGCCGAAUACCACGCCGAGCGUGAUUUUUCCUGCGCAACGCGCCUCUCGACUGGGAAUGAUUCCCCGGAAGGUCGUGCUACUUUGCUCAAUGCGGCUCCUAUCAAUUUCCAUUUUCAUGAGUGUGUCCUCGUAGAUGAGGUUUAGUCCGCUGCCGCCGUCCAUGAGCACUUUGGUGAGCCGGAAGCUGUCCACGAUUGGACUGAGGACCAAGGCGGCUGGUGCCCGGACUGUCUUGAAUUUUGGUUCGUCAUCGGCAUUGAAAGUUAUGGCUGUGUAGUUCCAGGGGUUUAUUGCUGCGACUUGGCAGACUUCCGCAAGGUCGCGAAGUGCCCUUUUGCGCUGAUUUUUUGAAGCAAAGGUCUCGAAGACCGUCAAUACUCUGAGGUCGUCGUCUUCUGGGGGGUGUUGUUCUGGGGUAUUUUUGGUGAGGAGAUCUUCGCCGCUCUUGGCCACUUGCCGGAGUAUCCAACAUGCUCUAAGGCUGUGGGUUCGUGUGGCAUCCGGUGUUGUAUGUAUUUUGCAUGGCCUAUCGAGCCAUCCUUCCAGAACAGUUCCGUGCCCCAUAAUGGGCUUUGAUUUCUUUACUAUUGGGUCAGGCGCUCCACGAGGGUGCGUCCUUUUUGCCCGGACGAGGGGCUGAGUUGAAACCGGUGGUUCCCAACGAGCUGCCUGAGUUUUCCAGGCGCUUUCCAUUGCGCAGUACUUCUGUACUAUGGUUGCCAAGUCAGCAAAGUGUAAUACGCGACGGCGGUUGAUGGCGUUGAGGAUUCCUUCGUCCGUGCAAUUGUUGCAGAAUACUGAGAUUGCGUCUUCAUCGCGGCAAUCUUUAAUCUUGUCUUUGACAAGGAGGAAUCUGGCCCAGAAGUGAUGGACCGUUUCCUGAGACUGUUGUCGUAUGUACAUAAGAUCGCGUAUAGCUGGGUGGGUGGGUGGUUUUAAAUCUGAACCCUGACCCGGUUUGGGAUCCGGAGUUUGUAAAUCUUCCGAACUUAAUGGUUCAGACUCCGGGAUAUCAACUGAUGUUUUAGGCCCGUCGUCCGAUUCUAGGUUCGGAGGGCAGGGCACGUCGUUCCGCGAACAGGUAUCCGGCUCCUCGAGCUCGGAAAUCUGAACAUAGUUCGUCCUCAAUAUAGAGGAAGAGUUAUUGUCUUGCUCCUCCACUAUCGCUAUCUGAUGGGUGAUAGGCGGAGAUUUAAUUUCUCUCUGGUCAGGUUUAAGCCCAAUCCGACCGUAGUCUGUAGCGACCCCCAAGGCGGUGAUGCGAUCUAGGAGUUCGUUUAAAGACGACAACUCCGUCGGAUCCAUCCGUUUGGAGUAUUCGGAGUCAACGCAGAGACGAUUUUCGAUGACUCGAGAGGUCAUCGUCGGCUUAAAGGCCGAACAGGCGGUCAUGGUGAAGCCGCCAAGUCGGAGGGUUUGGCCCGGAGCCAGGGCUCCUCCGGAGGUGAUAUUAUCCUUGACAACAAGGCGAGCCAUCAACCCUGUCUUCGACGUCACAGCGGAACUCUCAAUGAAAGCACCAAUGUCGGUGUCAAAACUGGCGGAUCUCGGGUAGGGGGUACCGAACUGUGCGUCUAAGGUUGAUGGUAACAGGAGACGGGGAACACAAUGUUUAACCAGGUUCGGGCCCUCUCUACGGAGGUAAUACCCUACUUCCUGCUUGAUUGAUCUUGAUGAAUAUGAGUAUUACAAGAGUUGAUCUACCACAAGAUCGUAAUGGCUAAAACCCUAGAAGUCUAGCAUGUAUGACUAUGAUUAUGAUUAUUCAUCCUCUACGGACUAAGCCCUCCGGUUUAUAUAGACACCGGAGGGUUCUAGGGUUACAUCAGGUCGGUUACAGAGAAAGGAAUCUUCAUAUUUGGUCACCAAGCUUGCCUUCCACGCCAAGGAGAGUCCCAUCCGGACACAGGAGAGAGUCUUCGGUCUUCGUAUCUUCACGGCCCAUCAGUCCGGCCCACGUAUAACAGGUCGGACGCCCGAGGACCCCUUAAUCCAGGACUCCCUCACCGGGCAAGCGUCGGGGUCUCCAAUUAGGUUGUGGAGAUCACCCCGAGCAAUUUGACGGGUACCGAUGACCGCCCCCAAGGGUUCCCAAAGGGUACGGGUUCGGUGACCGCCCCCAAGGGUUGCCAUUUGUACGAGUUCGGUGAUCGCCCUCAAGGGUCCCUUAGUGGAAUCACGGCAUCUUGCAUUGUGCGAGGGCGUGAGGAGAUUACGGUGGCCCUAGUGGCUUCUUGGGGAGCAUUGUGCCUCCACACCGCUCCAAACGGAGAUUAGCAUCCGCAAGGUGUGAACUUCGGGAUACAUCAUCGUCUCCGCGUGCCUCGGUUAUCUCUUACCCGAGCACUUUUACUUAUGCACUUUACUUUGUGAUAGCCAUAUUGUUUCUUGUCAUACAUCUUGCUAUCACCUAGUAGUUUAUCUUGCUUAGCGUAAGUUGUUGGUGUACAUAGGUGAGCCUAGUUGUUGUAGGUUUGUGCUUGACAAAUUAACCGCUAGGUUUAUUCUGCAUUUGUUCAAGCCUAAACCAUAAUUAUUUUAAAGCGCCUAUUCACCCCCCCUCUAGGCGACAUUCUCGAUCUUUCAACGGGUUAUCGGAUCCAAAACCGGUCCCGAUAGCUGGCGACCCGUUACGGUCAAUGCCACGUGUCAGUCACCCUUGACGAAAGCACUUCUAUGACGCGCGAUUUAUCGUCAUGGAAGUGGACACUUCCGUGAUGAUAAUUUUGGUAAUGUCAGGAACACUUCUACGAUAGCACAUGUAUGACUAUUUUGAUUCUGUCAUAAAAUCGUCAUGGAUGUACAUGCAUGACAGAAAACGUGACCUGCUGUGACAAACACGUAUCAUCACGGAAGUGUAUUUUUUUGUAGUGAGUAAUGCCUUAAGCAAGAUGCCAUGAUUUAGAGGGAUAGAUCCAAUCAAUAUGAACAAACCCCAUCUUUUUAUCCUUAAUGACAAUAAUACAAAUAUGUGUCAUGUCCCUUUAUGGGAUUGAGCACUGCAAGAUUGAACCCAUUACAAAUCACCUCUCCCAUUGCAAGAAAAAAUCAAUCUAGUUGGCCAAACCAAAUCAAUAGAUCGGUGAGAAAUACAAAGCUAUAUAAAUCAUGCAUAAAAGAGUUCAGAGAAGACUCAAAUAAUAUUUAUAGAUAAUCUGAUCAUAAAACCAUAAUUCAUCGGAUCUCAGCAAACGCACCGCAAAAGAAGAUUACAUCAAAUAGAUCUUCAAGAACAACAAGGAGAACAUUGUAUUGAAGAUCAAAGAGAGAGAAGAGGCCAUCUAGCUACUAGCUAUGGACCCGUAGGUCUGUGGUAAACUACUCACACAUCAUCGGAAGGGCAGCAAGAUUGAUGUAGAAGCCCUCCAUGAUCGAAUCCCCCUCCGGCAGAGUUCCGGAAAGGUCCCCAGAUGGGAUCUCACGAGGACAGAAGUUUGCGGCGGCGGAAAAGUAUUUUUGGUGUGCCCCUGGUCUUCGGGGAAUAUUUGGGUGUUUAUAGAAGAAAGAUUAGGGUUAGAGGAGCCACGAGGGGGCCACAAGCUUGGAGGGCGCCCCCCUAAGCUUGUCGCCAGCUCGUGGCCCUUCUGGCCUCCCCCCAAAGCUUUCAGGGUGUCUUGUGGUCAAAGAAAAAUCAUCAAAAGUUUAAUUCCAUUUAGACUCCGUUUGGUAUUGAUUUUCUAUAAAGACAAAAACAAGGAAAAGACAACAAUUGGCAUUGGGCACUAGGUUAAUAGGUUAGUCCCAACAUAAUAAUGCAUAUAAAACAUCCAAGAUUGAUAAUAUAAUAGCAUGAAAUAAUAAAAAAUUAUAGAUACGCUGGAGACGUAUCAGGUACCAUUGCCACUUCUGGCACUGCUCAGUGUAAACCUGUGGUGACCCAACCCCGUGCGGAACUUGAUUGCAAAUCGAACGGUGGCUUUCAUGACAGGCUCAACCUUAGGUCACUCCGAGGCUGCCAAUGUUUUCCUGACACCUGAAGCCCCCUGUAGAACGGGGUAUCCGACUAAGGAGGCCCAACCCCUUAUACCGAAGAACGACGGCAAGGACUGGGAUUGCAAUAAAGCCUGCGCCAACUGGUGGUAUCUUUUGGAACUAGCACGACGUUUGGUUACCAACGCAUGUAUCGUUCCCGCGGGCCUCCCUCCGGGCUAUGGUUUCGCCGAAGUUCUAUAUGAGAAAUCCCCUUGAAGGCCACCCUGGUCCCAUUGUAGGCCCCUUGCGAAUCCCUCAGCAGAACUUCACCAAAGAGACUGGUCCAACUGGUGGUAUCUUUUGGAACUAGCACGACGUUUGGUUACCAACGCAUGUAUCGUUCCCGCGGGCCUCCCUCCGGGCUAUGGUUUCGCCGAAGUUCUAUAUGAGAAAUCCCCUUGAAGGCCACCCUGGUCCCAUUGUAGGCCCCUUGCGAAUCCCUCAGCAGAACUUCACCAAAGAGACUGGUGUGUUUUUUUAAUGAUAUUCUUGUCGAGUUUCAUGUGCUAACUUAAGAGUGUUUAGUUCUUUAGUCAAGCGCUCAAUUUCCAUCGUUGCAUUGGCAACCGUCUCAUCUUUACUAUCAUGAUCACUAUAAAGUUCAUUAUAGCUAACAUCACUAGUUUUCUCAUUGAGCAAGUCAUCGUCACCUAGCAAGUCAUCCUCAUCACUGAUACGUCUCCAACGUAUCUAUAAAUUUUGAUUGUUUGAUGCUAUUAUAUUAUCAAUCUUGUAUGCUUUAUAUACCAUUCUAUAUCAUUUUUGAGGACUAACCUAUUAACUCAGUGCCAAGUGCCAGUUGUUGUUUUCUGCUUGUUUUUGGUUUUACAGAAAAUACAUACCAAACGAAGUCCAGAUGACAAACAAGGAGACGUCAAGGCAGCACGGCCCCCCUUGUGGGCCCCUCGUGGCUCCGCCUGACCUAAUUCUAGCGCUAUAAAUUCCCAAAUAUUUCGAAACCCCCAGGAGAGGCCCCGAAACAAUCCUUCCGCCGCCACAAGCCUCUAUUCUUCCGUGAUAUCUUCUGGAAGCCUUUUCCGAUACUCUGUCGAGGAGGGAAUGCAUCAGGGAAGACAUCAGUAAAGCAACUUUGUCAAUCUCAAAGCUCCGCAACUUUGAUCUAUCUUCGGUAGGUGCUGUGCGUGGUGAUGUGAUUGAGUGCAUGUCCAUAAGAAAAAAAAACUCCUUAAUUAAUGAAAAAUCUUUUGCCCCCUUGAACAAGUAUUGUUUUCGAUACGGGCUUGGGAGUACAACGGUAGAUACGAUGCAUUUAUUACAUCGAUGAUCCAUCGUCCCGUGUGCGGCCGCCCACACCAGUUUCCUCGUCCCACGAAAGCCCCUUCCAUGCGGGCCCUCGGAAGAGCGCACGCCCACUGGCCCCACAGGCAGCGGCACGGCUAAAAACGGGGGACGCUUCCCUUUCAUCUCGCGACUAUAAAAAAGAACGGGCGGCCCUGCCUAAAGCCCCCGCCCCCUGUCCUCUCCCCUCUCCUCGCCUUCUCCGCCCUCCGCUCCAUUCGUUUCGAUCUAUUUCGGCUUCCUCUCCAAGCUUCGGCCAUGGCGGCGACGAUCCAGUCCGUGAAGGCCCGCCAGAUCUUCGACAGCCGCGGUAACCCCACCGUCGAGGUACGCGCGGAUGCGCCCAUCCCCCGUCCGCCUCCCCGAUCUGUACGUUGUGGUCCGGUUCGAUUCGAUCUGGUAGGGCGGCGGGCGUACGCAGCAACGGCUUGUUUUCGAUCUGGUGAUUCGUCCGUCGGCUGUGGGUUGGGGCUUCUGGGGCGCGGGCAGUAGGUUUCUGAUGCGCUAGAUUCGAGGGGUUUUGGGUUGGUGGGCCGGUAGGUAGGAUGCGGAUUACUGUUGCCCCUCGGCCAGACUUUAUGGGGUUUGGAUGUGCUAGAUAGAUUCGAUGUGAGGUGGUUUGUUUAGUCGGACGCUGCCUGCUCGUCAUGCAUUUUGGGGUUUCGCAGGAUGUAUCCACAGAUCGGCUGGCCGCCAUGCCCAGCGUUUAUGUAGUCAUUAUGGUUUCGUGCCCUGGUUGUUGCUCAGCGCUUAUCGUUUGAUCUGCGCAUAAUGCCGUGGUGUGAAGUAAUGUGACGAAAAUGUAAAUGAGUGUAGGCUCAUCUCAUUCUGGUCCAAGUGGUUUUGGGCGUGCAGGUAGGAUUUAUAAUGUCGUUUGCUCGUUGCCCCUUGGCCAGUUUUUGUUUCUUCAUAUGUUAGAUAGAUUUGACGCAAAGUGGCUUGUUCAGUCAGGUAGAUACUGGGUAGAACUAUUUUUUAUUUUGCCUGCCAGGCGUCCAUUGUAGGUUUUCACAGUGUGUAUCAACAGAUGGUUGUUCGCCGUGCUUGGUGUUUACAUAGCUAAAUGUAGCCAUAUGGCCUGUGUCCUAGUUGCAUGCGACAUUGUCUGGAUUUUAUUGUUUAAGCUAUGCAUAAUGCCAAAGUGUAAAAUAUUUUGGCAAGUUAUUUUGCUAAUCUCAUGGUUUUGUGCAUCAGGUUGAUGUGUGCUGCUCAGAUGGAACCUUUGCCAGGGCCGCUGUUCCCAGCGGUGCAUCAACUGGUGAGUUAUUUUGUUAUUAUCAUCACUCUCUCCUUUUCAACCUUAAGUUUUUGCUUUGGUUUCCUGAGUUCCUGACUAGUGAAGGCACAAACUCUUAUUUGGAUCAUUAUUUAUGGAUUGUGAUUGUAUUGUUUUUGUUGAACUAAUCUUGUCUGAAUCAUCCCUCUUCUGCAGGUGUUUAUGAAGCUUUGGAACUGAGGGACGGUGGAUCUGACUACUUGGGAAAGGGUGUAUCCAAGGUUUACAUCCAUUUGAGCGAAUUUUAUCUUCACAUUCUUUAAAUCUAUGUCAUAGUUCUUAGUCAUGUAAUGUGGCUGCUGUAUAUGUUUUUUUUUGCCUCAACUCUGCUUUUGUUACACUAGCAAUAUUGUUGCCAGCUUUUGAAAUUUUCCUACUUGUUUACCGAAUUAUUAUGCCAAAUGGACCAAACAGUGCUAUCUUUCCGGUUAUCCUGUUUGUGAGGACAAGUUAUUUUGCCAUGUUGGUUUGGUUUCAUCCAUACAAUGUUUCCUUGUGCUGUAUAACUUGAUGUUUCUAGUUUGUGCCAGGUUGUAGAUUUUUUUUCUUAAUUUUAAUGUGAACUACAAUAUUUUUUCUUAAUGUUAAUGUGGUAGGUUGUAGCUUUUUUUUUUGAUAUCUCAUUGCCGUUGAUUGUAUGUACUCCCUCCGUCUGAAAAAGUUUGUCCCAAGCUUGUCCCUCAAAUGGAUGUAUCUAGCACUAACUUGGUGCUAGAUACAUUCAUUUGAGGGACAAGCUUUUUCGGACGAGGGAGUAGUAGCUUAGGAUUAUGUAUUUAUGAAGUGAAUAAUCGUGGGCAAUAUCUCUUGUGCACAUUUUCUUAUUUACUAAAAAACCAACUUGCUCAAGUACUGUCAUGAAAUGAACAACUCAGGAUCAUUUAGUGCUUGAUGUUUCACUAUAGCUAUCCUGGUUUUUUCUAUUGUAGCGAAUAGUCCAUUUGCAUGCAUAAUUUAGUCUUUUCUUUGUAUUUACAUGUAUUUUUUUAUUUUUUUCGCAGGCUGUUGACAAUGUGAACUCGAUUAUCGCGCCAGCUUUGAUUGGCAAGGUUAGCAUUGUCUCUGCCCCCUUUUCUAUUGUGAUAUGAGAGUUGAAUGCAUAAUUCAUUCAGUGCUCUCUUUCCUUCCACAGGACCCUACCGCUCAAACUGAGCUCGACAACUUUAUGGUUCAGCAGCUUGAUGGAACCAAGAAUGAGUGGGGUUGGUGCAAGCAAAAGGUAUAACAUAACCCAUGAUGAGUUUUACCUUUAGAGAGGGAGUACUAAUUUCCAUUUGCAGAUUCCCUUCUAACAGCUUGAUUUCUUUUGUAAACUCAGCUUGGUGCUAAUGCAAUCCUGGCUGUGUCACUAGCUGUUUGCAAAGCUGGAGCCAGCGUCAAGAAGAUUCCGCUGUACCAGGUGUGCAUCAUUGCUAAUCUCCUCUUUUAAUAUUCUACAUUUGUUUGCUAUUGCCUAAAGUCUUCGAACAUGAAUAUUCUUCACUGCAGCACAUUGCCAACCUUGCUGGCAACAAGCAAUUGGUUUUGCCUGUUCCUGCAUUCAAUGUCAUCAAUGGUGGAUCCCAUGCUGGAAACAAGCUUGCUAUGCAGGCAAUGCUCUGACCUAAGAUUUUCACAUCUUUCAUCAUGUUGUUUUCGCACAUUUCUUAUUUAUGCCUAUACUUGCAUAUCUGCAGGAGUUCAUGAUCCUUCCUACUGGAGCUGCCUCAUUCAAGGAGGCAAUGAAGAUGGGCGUUGAAGUGUACCACAACUUGAAGGUAAUUCUUUCAUCUUCUUUUUCUCUUUGCUAUCUUGUAAAAAGCAAAUUUACUAAAACUAACAUUUUCUGUGACAGUCUGUUAUCAAGAAGAAGUAUGGGCAAGAUGCCACCAAUGUUGGAGAUGAAGGUGGUUUUGCUCCUAACAUUCAGGUAUUUCCCUGUCCUUAGAGGUUUACGAUCAGAUUUCCUUGCUUUGUUAUGCCUUGUUAUUUCGACAACAGUUGCUGAUUGUCAUGUUUGGACGUAUAGAACUACUGUGUUGUUAUAAAUUGAGGUCAAUGUUUGUGGGGUGUGAUCUGAGUUCUUUUUAUUUUCGGGUGUUGUAGGAGAACAAGGAGGGCCUUGAGCUCUUGAAGACUGCAAUUGAAAAGGCUGGAUACACCGGCAAGGUUUGUCUGCUUGAAUUAAUCUGUUGUCACGCACUUCUCAGUGAGCUUUUAAGUUAGUGACUGAAGGAGAUUUGUUGGUUUGGGAAAUUCUAGGUUGUCAUUGGAAUGGAUGUUGCUGCUUCAGAGUUCUACAAUGACAAGGACAAAACCUAUGACCUCAACUUCAAGGAAGAGGUAAUUAGCCCCAUGGUUUAUUUUGUGGCAACAAUUUGUUUUCUUUUCAUGAGCAUUUUUAACAUUUGCCCUCCCUUGCUGUAGAACAACGAUGGUUCCCAGAAGAUAUCUGGAGAUAGCCUGAAGAAUGUAUACAAGUCAUUCGUGAGUGAGUACCCCAUUGUGUCGAUUGAGGACCCAUUUGACCAGGAUGACUGGGUGCACUAUGCUAAGAUGACUGAGGAAUGUGGAGUGGAAGUUCAGAUUGUUGGUGAUGACCUUCUAGUCACCAACCCAACCGUGAGUUAUUUGUUUUCUGUUGUGUAGGUGGGCAUUUUCAUUCUGUUGGAUCACUGUAAUUAAUUUGCUGUAUCACUAUGUUGUGCAGAGAGUUGCUAAGGCAAUCAAGGAGAAGUCAUGCAAUGCUCUUCUGCUGAAGGUAUUAUUCUGUUCAAACAUAAGCUGUUAUUGAUUCUUAUCCUUUGGUCGUCAUAGUACAAGUACUCCUUCCGUCCAUAAUAAGUACCUGAUCGGAUGGAGUAUGUAUUACAUAUUCUGAUUGUUUCAUCCUUUUCAUGUGUAGGUUAACCAAAUUGGAUCCGUCACUGAGAGUAUUGAGGCCGUGAAGAUGUCAAAACAUGCUGGUUGGGGUGUGAUGACCAGUCACAGGAGGUACAUACUAGAUACUGCCUUAUUACCCAUCCGUUUUCCCCCUUGUUUCUAUUGUUAUUACCAUUUGUAUGCUUAUGUACAUUCACUGUGUGCAGUGGUGAGACUGAGGACACAUUCAUUGCUGAUUUGGCUGUCGGUUUGUCCACGGUAUAAUUUUAUAAUCUUCAUUUUAUUGUUUGUCUGAAUAAUUUUAAUGAGACUACUGUUUCUUCUCCUCUGGAUCGAUUAGGAGUAUCUGAACAAUGUUUCUUCAUGUGCAACAGGGCCAGAUCAAGACUGGGGCUCCCUGCCGCUCAGAGCGGCUUGCCAAGUACAACCAGGCAAGUGGCUUUCCUGUAAUUCUUGUACUGCUGAAGCAUUCUCCUGAUAUUCUGUUGACCAACAUGACCUCUCGCAAUAACAAAAACCAAAUUAUUCUUCCUCUUUAAUCUUCUGUUCGAUGCAUUGUGCUCAUUUAAGAAUGAUUUCUUGUCUUUUGUUUGGUGUUAAGACUGAUCUUACAUGUUUGGUUUCUGAUAUUCUUUUGUUCAGUGUAAUGUGUUUAUUUGAGCAGUCAUGUCUUGUUUUUUUCUUGAUCUGUUUCCCAAAUUUAUACUAAGGUGUUAUUUCUUUUCCAAUUGGAACAGCUUCUGAGGAUCGAGGAGGAGCUGGGCGCUGCCGCUGUGUAUGCCGGCCUCAAGUUCCGUGCACCGGUGGAGCCAUACUAGAUGGGAUCUGCAUCCGAGACAUGAUCACCACUCUGCACUUGUUUUUGUGAAAGUGGGCGUGUGUUAACUUGUGGAAUGAACUAUGGUUGAAGCUCUUAGGACUUGUCGAGCAAUAAUGUACCGCAUGUUGCUGUGAACGGGACGGAUAUGUACCUACGUACUCCAAACUUGCUCCAAUUUUGGUCUUUGUGGUGAGCGAGCAAGUACGCCUGAUUACCUUUUGGAUCUGUAGUAAACUGUUUGGCUGUUGGCAUCAUCAUAUUUGGCGUCAGUUUAAUCUUGCAGAAAGCAUGCUUUUCGUUCGCCAUUC
RNAcentral lists this long non-coding RNA (327927 nucleotides) under Triticum aestivum (bread wheat). RNAcentral describes it as "long non-coding RNA (TAES_LNC008307)". The stretch from base 162008 to 162142 matches the Rfam family "MIR1120/MIR1122 microRNA precursor family". The record is from RNAcentral. Lineage: Eukaryota; Viridiplantae; Streptophyta; Magnoliopsida; Poales; Poaceae.